This 218777-nucleotide long non-coding RNA is filed under the name Capsicum annuum. Its description in RNAcentral is "long non-coding RNA (CANN_LNC012041)". The record is from RNAcentral. Lineage: Eukaryota; Viridiplantae; Streptophyta; Magnoliopsida; Solanales; Solanaceae.
AGGAGCACCAUACUGUGGAUGAAUAGUAAUUACUGCAAAUGGAGCAUGUGUAUAAGAUGGAGAGAGUUCGAAGGAGAAUUUUCUUAGUAUCAUUGCUAUUGCCAUUUUUGCUUCCAUCAUUGCAAAGUUUUGUCCAAUGCAAAUUCGAGGUCCCCCUCCAAAUGGAAUAAAAGAGACAUGUCCUUUUGUUGCCUUUGACACUCCUUCACUGAAUCUUUCUGGAUUGAAUUCUUUCGCGUCUUCACCCCAUAUUUCCUUGUCAUAAUGAAUUAAUAUUGUGGGUAUAACGAGUAGCACUUCAGCUGGUAGAUGCAGCUCCUCUAAGUUGACUUCUUCUUUGUUUGUUCUACUAAAUACUGGUAAUGGAGGAAACAGGCGUAACGUCUCUAACAAGAUCAUUGUCACCUAAGGAAAAAAUUGUAUUUCAUAAGUUGGCAGUAGAAUUAGUUCACUUACAAAAUUCAGGGGUCAUGCCUUUUCGAGUUCUAUAUAUAUGGCUAGGCCACUCUCCACUAACUUUGGUAGCCCCUUUGAGACUGACGUAGGACGAUAGAAGAUGUGAUCUAUCUGAUUUCAGGUGGAAUAAUUUCACAUUAUGGGAAAGACGAUUUAACAGCUAUGUGUCUUAUCCUGAUUUUAUAAUGCUCUUGAUCUUUGAUCGAUGCAAUGAUCUUGGGCUAUUAGAAAUUUGUGAGAAGUACUUACAAUUUUGAGACGACUUAGUCCUUCCAAAUCUGGUUUAUCAUUUCCGAAGAUCUGCAAAACCUCUUCUCUGGCUCGUACUUGCCACUCUGGAUGUAGGCACAGCAAAAUCAUUGUCCAAACAAGCAAAACUGAAGUGGUCUCUUGCCCAGCAAAAUAGAAUAACUUGCACUCUUCAAUCACUUCUAAUAUUGUCAUUCCGAAACCUUUGCUUCCGUGUUGUUGGAUUUCUUUCAAAUUGGAUUCAAGUAAUAUGCCUAAUAAGUCAUCUUUACUAGUCUCCCCUCCUUCCAUUGCCUUCAAUCUUUUGUCGAUGAUGCGCCUAAUUGUUGUUUGGAUUUGCUUUUCGAUUUCUAGCAUUUUUUUGUUCCUUUUAGUAGGCAAGAACCUAAUGAAACAAAUUUAAAAGCAAACAAGAAGCGUGUUUUUAGUAGAAAGUAAUGAACAUGUGAUUUUCCAUAUUAUAUCUAAAUUUCCCAAACAAAUUGUUAUACCUUGAUCCUGGUAUAUAAAUUGAACGACUUAUGUCCAUUACAUACUCAGCUUGUUCUUGCUGAAGUUCAAAUACUAUUCUUCCUUCUUCAUAGUUACUCCCAAAUGCAGUUCGAGAAAUGACUUCACUAGUCAUUAUUUGGAGGUCUGGCCAUACAUCGAGAUCGAAUGAUGUUUCCCUUGGAACAACCUCCUCCCAUUUGCUUAUCAUUUCACUACAACUCUGAUAAAAUGCUGGUAGCAUAUGCUGUACAAAACAAAUGGAAAAACCAGAAAAUUGAAUUUCCUUAUUAGAAUUUUGUAACUUCUUAAUAUAAGACGUUACAUGAAUAUCAACCUUAUGUCUAAAGGCAUGAAAAUUUACCUUUAACUUCUCGACAUGGAAAGCAGGAUUAAUGAUUUUUCUGUGUUUGGCCCAUUUGUCUUCCUCAAGACUUACAAGGCCUUGUGCCAAUAACUUGGAAAAUGGAUUGGGAUGCGUUUGCUUUUGGUACACAUAAUUCUUUGUGAAAAUUUCUUUUACAUGUUCAGGAUCUGUGAUCAACACUACUGGAUAUGGGCCUAGCCAAACAAAAGAACUUUUACCUGCAAGUAAUCGAUUUUGGAUUAGAAAAAAAAAAAAGGGGGCCUAGUUUUGACUGCCCAUGAUUUGGCACAAAAGUGAGUUCGCAUAUGGAUAUUCAUACUUUACCCAUGUUUUUUCAUAUAUUUACGAGUUAAAAUAAACAGAAGCUCACAUUUACCUAACGGAAAUAUAAGUGAUCCAACUCAUUAAAAUAUGAAUUAAAUGAACUGAUGUUAUAAAUAUGGGCUGAAAUUGCGAGCUCUAUAUUCCGGAAAUGGAUGAUAAGAUACAAGAGAAAACACAGGCAAGUAAGAAGUCAAUAAAGACGAAACUGCAGUUGCUAAUAAAAGGAGACAUUAACAGGUGAAAAUGACAUAGCAAUCUACUAGGGACACUACUUUAUUUAUGGCACAAAAUGAAGUUUCAUCAAAGUGGCAAAAUCAUACAAUCGUUUAUUCAAUAUGAAUUGAAUUCAUAGGGCUCUAAUUUCUUAAGUAAUUGCACCAGUCAACCAUAGUCAUGAGAGCUAGAGCGGAGCUAAAGUGGAACGUAUUGGUUAACACGAACGCAGUACCUUUUGUCCAAAUCUUGUAUAUGUCUUAAGAGUAAGUAUCUAUAAAUAUUUGAUUGCGUGCCAGUUCCUAUAGGACCUCACAAAUUUUAAAUCGUGGAUCAGCCACUACUAUAAAUCCCUUUGCUAAAUUACUGAUCCCCCAUUGCUCUCGCUGUCCCCUCUCGUUACUCUCUUUCUUUCACCAUGGAUAGGUUACUACUCCCAAAUAGAAUAGAGUGAAGGUGAUAAGCAUGCCAAAAUAGUUUGGUUUUUUAAUUUUCAUAUCUAACUAUCAGGUGUACAAGCUUACUAUCCAGCCAAUCAUCAACUAUAUAUCAAAACAUACCCCAACUAUCAAAUGUUAACUUUUUGUACCUAAAAGUUCAGCUAUAAAACUAAAACCAUCCGUUUAGUUUAAAUAACCUUAUUUUCUUAUUUUAUGUUGGUUUAACAAACGAUUCUUUUAUAAAUUCAAAAAUAAUUUAACUUAAACUUCUAAUACUAUCCUUAACGACAUUUCUAUAAUCACAUAAAUGUUAUGUCAUAUUUGAAAUGAUCUUAGCUAAAAAGUUUCCACUUCUUUCUAAAACUCCAUGCAUAGUCAAAUAGAAUCACGACGAAACCUCAACGACUAUACAUAUAAGAACAAACAAGCUAAAAUCAAAAGUAGCUUCUUAAAAUACAUACCAUUUUUGUUCAUGGCGUUGAGGAAAAAAGGGACGAGCCUUGGAGCAAUAUCAUCAGAGAAGUUAAUAGGCUUAGAUUUUGCUUCUACUAUACUUUUUGUAAGUUCAUCCAAAUCUCCAUACAAGAACUUAUAUGGAUUUCCUUUAAGACCUCUUUGCCUUAAGCAAUUUUCCAAUCUUUUUGGCCUAAACCAUGCCCAAUUCAACACUCUCCAUGUAUAAUAUACCAACAAUAUUGCCACACAUAUUGUUGCUAUAAUUAUGUUGUAAAAAAUCUCCAUGAUAUUAAGGCUUAUUUUUUGUUACAUAGAAAAAAAGAGGGGAAUUUACCUUUUAAAUUUGUUGUUGUUUGGACAAGUUAAGGCCACCUAGCUAUUCUCUCUAUAUUAUCGAUGACAAAAAAAUCAGUCCAAUACUAGUAGAGACUUUUGUCCAAUCUGUUUGGACCCACUCAUCAAUCUUGAAAAAUAAAUGAGUAUAUGAAUUUAUUCUUUAAUAUUUAUCCAGAAUAAGUACUUGUUGGAAAUAAUAUUUUACUCGGCACAUUAUGUGAUACAUUUAUUUUUAGUAAAUCUAAAAAAGAAUGUCACUUAUUUAAUAUGAUAUUGAGAAAUAAUUUGACUUUAAAAUUUCUAUUUUACUAAAUUAAAUUCUUUAUAGCCACAAAAUUUUAGAUCACAAUUUAUAAGUUUCCAUUUUUUUUUUUAAAAUAAAAUAGUACUUGAUCAAAUAGUGCCACAGAUAGAAAAAAUGAUAUUUUGAAACAAUUAUUUUUUUCAAGGGAAGAUAUUCUCUAGCAUUUGGAAUAUAUAUGACUUUUUUUACAAUAAUCUAUUUUUCUUUGAAAUGGACAAUAAAUAACUAUCAAGGAGAAAGUGACCCAAGAAAUUAGGUUCUUCUUUGAUUUAUCCCCACUUGUUUGUUAGUUAUUGUCUAUUUCUAUUAUAUUUUUAUCUUAAUAAUCUUGGUAAAAUCAGUCAUUUGUAAAAGUAGUUAUCCACACAUUGUGUUAAUAAAUUAAUUGGACAUGAAUAACAUAAGAUUAAAAUUUAAAGGACAUAUUAAUUCAUGUUAUACAUUAAUCAAAAUGCGAAUUAGCUGCCUUUAUUUAAAAUAAUUAUGUUUUGUGGGUAGAAAAUAUGUAUUAACAAAAUCUCUAUAAUCUCAUAGCAAUUUCGCAGAAGAGAGGGGAUAAAUAUUAUUUUUAGAAAAGUAUUUUGUACGUGUUUCAAUCCUUGAAUCAUGUGUUUGAUGUUCACAUUUUUAACUUUUUAUCUUGUGUUCUUUUUUGUAUGCAUUUUGUAUUCAUGGAAUACGUUUUCCAACAAUCUAGAAAGGAUAUUUGUGCGAACGAGAGAUUCAUUGUUUGAAGAAUUUAGGGAAAAGAGACAAAUAUACCUUCGAACUAUGAUAAAUGGUACAUAUAUACCCUUUAUCAUACUUUGCGUACACAUAUAUCCCCACCAUUAAUGAAAUGGUACGUAUAUACCCCUUACACAACGGUAGGGGCAUGUGUGUAACCAAAGUACAACGAAAGGUAUAUACGUAUCAUUUAUUAUAGUUCGGGAUAUAUUUAUUUAUUUUUUAUUUUAAUUAUUUUAUUUCAAAGUAUUAAUCCAAACCCUCUAUCCCAUCCAAUAAACUCACUACUCGACCCAACCCCAAUUAAAAUCCAAGAGGCGCCGAUCUAACAGUCACCCGUUUCUCUUUCUUAUAACGAUGUACACACACAAUACAAAAGCACUUACUACUAUCAAUUUUUUUUUAAAAAAAAAUCAUUAAUUCAUAAUACCCAAAAAUAAUAAAAUCAUCAAUUUGAAGAAAUGAAAAUAUGGAGGCCUCUAUGCUAAAUCGAAUAAGAAAGCGACAUAGGCAAAAUAGCCUUUUUCUGCUUUCUAAAGCAAAGGGGGAGUAUUGAUCAGAAGUAAAGACCACACUCCAUAAUUGUAGCUCUCAAAAAGAGUAUUACAAGUGAUUGUGUUUCAAGAACAGAGAUCUAUAAAUAAGGGAGAGAAAACAUUCAUAUUUUUUUUUCUCUUUCAAGAGAUUCUAUCUCGGAAUCAUGCCUUGAGGGGGAUGCUGUCAAUCCUACCGAGGACUUUAUGGAUUUUUUUCGGAAAGCGAGAGGUAUUGGACAUAACCACCGAAUGGGUUCAGCGAAAUUUCAUCGAAAAAGCACUACCCACCAUUGAUCAACACCACAUAGUUACCGUUUUCGUCAAACCGGAAGCACCCCAUUGGCGAACUAUUAUCGCACCCUAGCUCCGGCCACCUCUGGUGUAAUCUCCACUCUCUCCAUUUAGUAAACACCAAGUAGUAGCCACGAUCAAUCAUUGCAAUUUGACGUGUUGUUGGAUUUCUUUCAAAUUGGAUUAAGUGAUAUGCCUAAUAAGUCAUCUUUACUGGUCUCCCCUCCUUCCAUUGCCUUCAAUCUUUUGUCGAUGAUACGUCUUAUUGUUGUUUCAAUUUGCUUUUAGAUUUCCAGCAUUCUUUUGUUCCGUUUAGUAGGCAAGAACCUAACAAAACAAAUUUAAAACCAACCAAAAAGGGUAUUUUCAGUAGAAAUUAACGAACAUAUUAUGUAGAAAUUUCACGAAUUUAUCAUUAUACCUUGAUCCUGGUAUAUAAAUUGAACGACUUAUGUCCAUUACAUGCGCAGCUUGUUCUUGCUGAAGUUCAAAUACUAUUCUUCCUUCUUCAUAGCUACCCCCAAAUGCGGUUCGAGAGAUGACUUCACUGGUCAUUUUUUGAAGGUCUGGCGAUACAUCGAGCUCGAAUGAUGUUUCCACUGGAACAAACUCCUCCCAUUUGCUUAUCAUUUCAUUACAACUCCGAUAAAAUGUUGGCAGCAUAUGCUGUACAAAACAAACAGAAAAACCAGAUCUGAAUAUUCUCCUUGUUAGAAUUUGGCAACUUCUUAAUAUAAUGAGUAAAGCAUCUAGUACCCCUUGAACUAUGGUCAAAUUUGCUACGACACAUUCCAACUUCACAAGGAUCCUAGUACCCCUCUGAACUCGUAUUUUUGUCACCCUUUUUAGCUGAUGUGACACUUUUUAGCUGACAUGACACCUUUGACGUAGGUCCUAUUUUUAUGUAAUAAAGAUAUUACGUCAGCACAAAACAAACAACAACAACAACAAACCCAGUGUAUUCCCACUUUGUGGGGUCUGGGGGGGGUAAGAUGUACGCAGUCCAUACCUCUACCUCUGAUGAAGUAGAAAGGCUGUUUCCGAAAGACCCCCGGCUCAAGUUACGAGAUAUCAAACAAACACAUAGUACAGCACAGAAGCAGAUGACAUAACAUAGAUACUGCAGCCAUAAGGAAUAUAAAACAGAGUAAAGAAGGAAUGCAGGAAUAUAAAGCAGAGGAAAGCACACAUAUUCGUAAUAAGAACACGGAACACGGAACAGAACAUUGAAUACGGAAUCAUACCAGGAAUACACCCCCACCAAUUACCUCCCUACAUUAGCGACCCGAACAGGCCCUAAUCCUCUGCCGUAAUUCGCGUCUUCCAGACCUUCCUAUCUAGGGUCAUGUCCUCGGUAAGCUGUAACUGUUCCAUGUCCCGCCUAAUCACCUCACCCCAGUACUUCUUCGGUCUACCCCUACCCCGUCUAAAACCAUCCAACGCUAGCCUCUCACACCUACGGACCGGGGCAUCCAUGCCCCUCCUCUUCACGUGUCCGAACCAUCUCAAUCGUGCUUCCCGCAUCUUACACUCCACUGAAGUCACACCAACCUUCUCCCGGAUAGUCUCAUUCCGAACUCUAUCCCCUCGAGUCAGUCCACACAUCCAGCGCAACAUCCGCAUUUCUGCCACCUUCAUUCUUUGGGUGUGGGAGUUCUUAACUGGCCAACACUCCGCUCCAUACAGCAAGGCCGGACGGACUACCACCCUAUAGAAUUUACCUUUAAGCUUGGGCGGCACCUUCUUAUCACACAGCACCCCCGAUGCAAGUUUCCACUUCAUCCAUCCCGCCCCGAUACGGUGCGAGACAUCCUCGUCAAUCUCACCGUUACUCUGGAUCACGGACCCGAGGUACUUGAACUUAUCCCUUUUCUUUACCUCCUGCGCUUCUAGCCUCACCACUACCUCAUUCUCUCGCCUUACGUCAUUAAACUUACAUUCCACAUACUCUGUCUUGGUUCUGCUCACCCUGAACCCUUUAGACUCCAGAGUUUGCCUCCACAGCUCUAAUUUGUCGUUCACACCCCCUCGCGUCUCAUCUAUCAGGACUACAUCGUCUGCAAAAAGCAUACACCACGGCACCUCCCCUUGGAUACGCCGCGUUAACACAUCCAUUACUAGCGCAAACAAAAAGGGACUAAGAGUAGAUCCCUGAUGCAAUCCUGUCAGGACAGUGAAAUGCUCUGAGUCUCCUCCCGCCGUCCUCACCUGGGUUUUCGCUCCCUCAUACAUAUCCUUAAUUACUCUGCUAUAUGCCUGCGGUACUCCACUCACCUCCAAGCAUCUCCAAAGCACCUCCCUGGGGACUUUGUCGUACGCCUUUUCUAGGUCGAUGAACACCAUGUGCAAAUCCUUCUUCCUUUCCCUAUAUUGCUCCACCAACCGCCGUACCAGGUGAAUUGCCUCCGUCGUCGAGCGGCCGGGCAUAAAUCCGAACUGAUUUUCCGAGAUAGACACUAUCCGUCUCAGCCUCACCUCGACCACUCUCUCCCAGAUCUUCAUAGAGUGACUCAGUAACUUAAUCCCCCUAUAGUUAUUGCAACACUGAAUGUCCCCCUUAUUCUUAUAGAGGGGGAUCAUGGUACUCCACCUCCACGCCUCGGGCAUCUUUGCUGUCCUGAAAAUUUCAUUGAACAAUGCAGUCAACCACCUUACACCAGCCUCUCCAACGAACUUCCAAAACUCCACCGGUAUCUCAUCCGGCCCCGUCGCCCUACCCCUUCGCAUCCUGCGGACUGCCUGUCUAACCUCGUCUACCUUAAAACGUCUACAAUAGCUAAAAUCCCGACACUCCCCUGAGUGCUCCAGUUCCCCUAACACAAUAGCUCUGUCCCCCUCGUCAUUCAAGAGCCUAUGAAAGUACGACUGCCAUCUCUUCUUUAUGUGGCCGUCCUCCACCAACACUCUACCGUCCUCCCCCUUAAUGCACCGCACCUGAUCGAGGUCACGACCCUUCCUCUCCCUAGCCUUAGCGAGUCGGAACAACUUUUUCUCCCCUCCUUUCCCCUGUAACCCUGCAUACAAGCUCUCAAAAGCAGCCGUCUUAGCUGCCGUGACCGCUGACUUCGCCUCCUUCCUUGCUAGCUUGUACUCUUUCCUGUUUACCCGCUUCUCCUCUUCGUCCUUACUUUCCACCAACUUAGCAUACGACUCUUUCUUGGUCUCCACUUUCUUCCCCACCUCUUCAUUCCACCACCAAUCCCCCCGAUGAUGUCCGGCCCGGCCCCUAGAAACACCCAACACCUCCCUUGCAUUUUCCCUGAUGCACGCUGCCGCCCUGUCCCACAUAUUAUCCACGUCCCCCCUACACUCCCACACCCCCAUUCCCGCCAACCUCUCCCCUAUCUCCCACGCAUUCACUGGCGUCAAACCGCCCCACUUAAUUCUCGGUCUACACUCCUUACUCCUCCUCUUUUUAUUCUUCUUCAUACCCAAAUCCAUAACCAAGAGCCUAUGUUGGGUCGAAAGGUUCUCACUCGGGAUGACUUUACAAUCUUUACACAGCGCCCUAUCCCCUUUCCUAAGCAACAAGAAGUCAAUCUGGGUCCUGGCUACCGCGCUCCGAAAAGUGAUCAGGUGGUCGUCCUUCUUCGGGAAGCCCGAGUUCACCACCACCAGCCCAAACGCCCUCGCAAACUCCAAUAGGGUCGCCCCCUCUUCAUUUCUCUCCCCAAAACCAAAACCUCCAUGCACAUCCCCAAAGCCUCCCGGUAGCGCCCCGAUGUGCCCGUUGAAAUCCCCUGCUACCACAAUCUUCUCCGAACUGGGCACGCCUCUCACCACGUCCUCCAAGGCCUCCCAGAACCGCAUCUUCUCCUCCCCCUCCGAUCCCACAUGCGGCGCAUAGGCACUACACACGUUCAGGGUAAACCCCCGAAUGACCAACUUGAUAGUCAUCAACCUAUCGUUGAUCCUCUUCACCUCCACUACCUGACCUCUAAGCUCUUCAUCUACCAAGAUGCCAACUCCAUUCCUACGCCUGUCGCUCCCAGAGUACCACAGCUUGUAACCGUCCACAUCCCUAGCCUUAGACCCUACCCACUUGGUCUCUUGGACACACGCAAGGUUGAUCCUUCUCUUCCUAAGAAUCUUCACCAGCUCUAUGGACUUCCCCUGAAGGGUCCCUAUAUUCCAAGACCCAACCCUCAGCCUACCGUCGCUAUCCACGCGCCCCCCACUNNNNNNNNNNNNNNNNNNNNNNNNNNNNNNNNNNNNNNNNNNNNNNNNNNNNNNNNNNNNNNNNNNNNNNNNNNNNNNNNNNNNNNNNNNNNNNNNNNNNNNNNNNNNNNNNNNNNNNNNNNNNNNNNNNNNNNNNNNNNNNNNNNNNNNNNNNNNNNNNNNNNNNNNNNNNNNNNNNNNNNNNNNNNNNNNNNNNNNNNNNNNNNNNNNNNNNNNNNNNNNNNNNNNNNNNNNNNNNNNNNNNNNNNNNNNNNNNNNNNNNNNNNNNNNNNNNNNNNNNNNNNNNNNNNNNNNNNNNNNNNNNNNNNNNNNNNNNNNNNNNNNNNNNNNNNNNNNNNNNNNNNNNNNNNNNNNNNNNNNNNNNNNNNNNNNNNNNNNNNNNNNNNNNNNNNNNNNNNNNNNNNNNNNNNNNNNNNNNNNNNNNNNNNNNNNNNNNNNNNNNNNNNNNNNNNNNNNNNNNNNNNNNNNNNNNNNNNNNNNNNNNNNNNNNNNNNNNNNNNNNNNNNNNNNNNNNNNNNNNNNNNNNNNNNNNNNNNNNNNNNNNNNNNNNNNNNNNNNNNNNNNNNNNNNNNNNNNNNNNNNNNNNNNNNNNNNNNNNNNNNNNNNNNNNNNNNNNNNNNNNNNNNNNNNNNNNNNNNNNNNNNNNNNNNNNNNNNNNNNNNNNNNNNNNNNNNNNNNNNNNNNNNNNNNNNNNNNNNNNNNNNNNNNNNNNNNNNNNNNNNNNNNNNNNNNNNNNNNNNNNNNNNNNNNNNNNNNNNNNNNNNNNNNNNNNNNNNNNNNNNNNNNNNNNNNNNNNNNNNNNNNNNNNNNNNNNNNNNNNNNNNNNNNNNNNNNNNNNNNNNNNNNNNNNNNNNNNNNNNNNNNNNNNNNNNNNNNNNNNNNNNNNNNNNNNNNNNNNNNNNNNNNNNNNNNNNNNNNNNNNNNNNNNNNNNNNNNNNNNNNNNNNNNNNNNNNNNNNNNNNNNNNNNNNNNNNNNNNNNNNNNNNNNNNNNNNNNNNNNNNGCCGGCUAUCUGAUCAGCGCCGGCGCCCGUCGGUCGGAGCCGGCGGCCGGAUCGGGUCGGCGACGGCGCCGGGAACCGGGGCCGGUAAGCUGGGGGUGGGGAGAGGGUCGGGCGAGAGAGAGAGGGGGAGAGAGGGGGAGAGAGCCGUUGGGUAAUGGGUAAUAGGAUCCAUGAAGUAAUCCAUUUUGGAUUAGCAAAAGAAAAAAAGUUUCUACGCCUAAUUUAGCCCAAAAGUGAGUUCACCCGUAUUUCUUCAUAUCUUUAUGAGUUAAAAUAGACGGAAACUCAUGUUUAUCCAUCUGAAAUAUAAGUGAUCCAACUCAUUAAAAUAUGAAUAAAAUAGAAGAGAUAAGCAUCUAGUAUCCCAAACUAUGACUAAUAUUGUUACGACACACUCCAACUUCGUAUAGAUCCUAUUACCCCCGCCAUGUCCAGAGGCGGAUAGAUGGGAACCCAUAACUAAAUCAAGGGAUGACUCAGCGAUAGGAAAGGAACCCUAAGCAGUUUGUCUCUUGGGUAGUUGAACAUGUGUUCUAUUUCUUGUAGAGGCAUUUAUUUCUUUCCAUUUAAUUCUUUUCGAGGCUUGGUUUUUAUUGGGAACCCGCAAGUUUGAAAUUUUGGAUCCGCCUUUAACCACGUCAGCUAAAAAGAUUGACACAAGAUACCACGUCAGCUAAAAAUGUUGACAAAAAUAUGAUAAAAUUUAGUCGGGGAGUAGGGCCCCCAUGAAGUUGGAGUGUGUCGUAGCAAAUUUGGUCAUAGUUUAGGGAUACUAAAUACUUUGCUCUAAGUAGAUUGAACCUUUUUGAAUACUUUUUAUAAAAUACUUAUGGUCUUUUAAUAUAUUUUUUUAUUUAUUAUCUAUAUAUAUCAUAUUUUAAAAAUAUUUACCAUCUAUAACAAUUACACUAUAUAUUAAAAGUGAAUUAUAUAUGUAGUAUAGAUAUAUUAUAAGUGUAUUGAAUUGUAUUAUACUUGUUUUGGUAAGAAAAAAAUACCCUGAGUGUGUUUGGUACGAAGGAAAAUGUUUUCCCAUGAAAAUAUGUUCAUUUCUUACUUAUUUUCUUAUGUUUGAUAGGUGAGUGAAAAAUAUUUUUUGAAAAAUAUGAAAAAAAAUUUUAAUGUUUGGUUGGUGAAAGAAAAAAUAUUUUUCAGGAAAUACAUUUUAGUGUUUAGCUUAAAAGUAGAAAAUAAUUUUAGUAUAAUAAUUUUUUACCUAAAAAAAAUACCCUUUUUAGGGUGUGUUGAUAUGGAGGAUAAAAAUAUUUUCAAAGAAAAUAAAUUGUUUCUUACUUAUAUUCUUAUGUUCGUUAUGCAAGUAAAAAAUAUUUUAUAAAAGUAUUUGUAUAUAUUUAACAAAAAAUACUGAAAACGAAUAGGGUAAGAAAAAUUAUUUUAAAAAAUUAAAUCUUUUUUUUAANNNNNNNNNNNNNNNNNNNNNNNNNNNNNNNNNNNNNNNNNNNNNNNNNNNNNNNNNNNNNNNNNNNNNNNNNNNNNNNNNNNNNNNNNNNNNNNNNNNNNNNNNNNNNNNNNNNNNNNNNNNNNNNNNNNNNNNNNNNNNNNNNNNNNNNNNNNNNNNNNNNNNNNNNNNNNNNNNNNNNNNNNNNNNNNNNNNNNNNNNNNNNNNNNNNNNNNNNNNNNNNNNNNNNNNNNNNNNNNNNNNNNNNNNNNNNNNNNNNNNNNNNNNNNNNNNNNNNNNNNNNNNNNNNNNNNNNNNNNNNNNNNNNNNNNNNNNNNNNNNNNNNNNNNNNNNNNNNNNNNNNNNNNNNNNNNNNNNNNNNNNNNNNNNNNNNNNNNNNNNNNNNNNNNNNNNNNNNNNNNNNNNNNNNNNNNNNNNNNNNNNNNNNNNNNNNNNNNNNNNNNNNNNNNNNNNNNNNNNNNNNNNNNNNNNNNNNNNNNNNNNNNNNNNNNNNNNNNNNNNNNNNNNNNNNNNNNNNNNNNNNNNNNNNNNNNNNNNNNNNNNNNNNNNNNNNNNNNNNNNNNNNNNNNNNNNNNNNNNNNNNNNNNNNNNNNNNNNNNNNNNNNNNNNNNNNNNNNNNNNNNNNNNNNNNNNNNNNNNNNNNNNNNNNNNNNNNNNNNNNNNNNNNNNNNNNNNNNNNNNNNNNNNNNNNNNNNNNNNNNNNNNNNNNNNNNNNNNNNNNNNNNNNNNNNNNNNNNNNNNNNNNNNNNNNNNNNNNNNNNNNNNNNNNNNNNNNNNNNNNNNNNNNNNNNNNNNNNNNNNNNNNNNNNNNNNNNNNNNNNNNNNNNNNNNNNNNNNNNNNNNNNNNNNNNNNNNNNNNNNNNNNNNNNNNNNNNNNNNNNNNNNNNNNNNNNNNNNNNNNNNNNNNNNNNNNNNNNNNNNNNNNNNNNNNNNNNNNNNNNNNNNNNNNNNNNNNNNNNNNNNNNNNNNNNNNNNNNNNNNNNNNNNNNNNNNNNNNNNNNNNNNNNNNNNNNNNNNNNNNNNNNNNNNNNNNNNNNNNNNNNNNNNNNNNNNNNNNNNNNNNNNNNNNNNNNNNNNNNNNNNNNNNNNNNNNNNNNNNNNNNNNNNNNNNNNNNNNNNNNNNNNNNNNNNNNNNNNNNNNNNNNNNGGGGGUGGGUGGGGUUGGGAUAGAAAAGUGAGGGUGGGUAAGAAAAAAAUUGAAAUUUUCUUAAUAAGGAAAUUUAAAAAGAAAAAAUGGGAAGGAGGGGGGCGGGUAGGGGGGAUAAGAAAAAAGUUGAUUUUUUUUUUUAAAAUUAAAUACAUUUUUUUUUGGGUGGGGGGUUUGGUAGGGGUAGAGGAUGGGUGUAACAAAUAUAUUUGAAAUAUUUCUUUAAAAAAUUAAAUAUUUAAAAUAUAUAUAUAUAGAAGUGUGCAAGAAAAAUAAAAAAGAGGGCCUAAAACACACACCAAAAUCGAACCUACACUACACUCCAUGGGCGGUAUUUUGAGGCUUUUCAACAAAGGGCCUUUUGAUCAUUUUGUAUUCUAGUUGUAACCUAGUAUAAAUAGAACAUUGUAGGUCAUUUUGUCUUAGACUUUGAUGAUAUUUGUAAGUUGUAUAACACUUUGAAAGACAAGUCCUCUCUUCUCUUUAGGAGGCAACCCGAAACUAGGGUGAUACUAGUGUGAAAUCACUAGUGUUGCAUUCAUGGCUUGAGACAUUGGUGUUUAGAGGAGGGAAAGUUCCUUUUGUAUCAACGUAGGAGUUAGGUUAACCGUUAUGUGUAGUGUUAAGGGUCCAAGAGUAUCACAUGUUCUUGGGUUCUUAAGAUUAUACCAACCAAGGUCUAACUAUCUAUCCUUUGUUCAUUCUAUUCUUGUAAUCGUUUGUACUAGUUUGUUCUUAUUUCUAGGGAAGUUGCGAGUUGUUGUUACAAUAUUGUUGUGUUCUUCUUCUUGUUUUGUAACUUAGUUUUGUUGUUGACUGCCUUGGUGUGUUAAACACCUUGUAAUCUCUUCAUUCUUGCUCUUAUUUGUUGAAUCCAAAAGUGGUCAUCGAAGGGGUCCUCAGUUCCUAGAACUUGUGGACUGUUUUGGUGUAUGUUUUGUGUCUUUCCUUGUUAUUCUUGUAUCAUUUGGUAUCAAAGCUUAAGGCUUGGUUUUGUUCUUACAAAACCAAUCUUGGGAAGAUCUUACCAAAGUUAGAGACAUUGUAUUGUGUUGGACCUUGGCGAAAAUUUGAAGUAUUAUUGUGUUGACUUGGCCAAGAGUUUUGUGACUAGAUCUAGUAGUCUUUUACUUGUUUAGUGUGUUUCUAGUGUUUAAUCCUUUCUCACCAACACUAAAAGUGUCUAGAUCUAAAAUUGAGUUUAUAAUAUUGACCAUUGUUAUGGUGACUUGAAGAUGGUCGUAUGUUGUACCUUGUUGUUGACAAUUGGUAGUUUUGUGUUCUUGAAGAAGUUAUUGUGUUCUUGAAGGUUGUUGUAGUGUUCAUCUUGUUCUUCAUCUAUUCUUACAACUUAAGACAACAAAAAGUGUAAAAUUGAUCCAAAAAGUUAUAAGACAAAAGUUGUAGUGAGAACACUUGCACACAUCACUUUCUAGACUUGACAACCACUUUUUCUUAAAUCAAGGGACCUUGUCUUGUGAGACUAGUAAAGUCAAAUCUCACCUUUUUGAGUUUGAAAAGUUGAAAAAGACUACAAGACUUUUACUUUCCCUCUAAAACCAAUUGUCAUCCAUUACAAGUUGUGUGAAGAUUGAAAUUACAAAUUUGUGACUAAAGUUGUGUGGGAAUGAGACCAAUUGCAUACUGCCACGUCACUUAAUUACUGUUCACCUUCAAUAUUAAGAUCAAAUUUGAAUUUUCUAGUCUCUAAUUGUUGAUUCUUGAUUUCGUUAGUUGAUCCUAGAACUAAUUAACAAACUAGUAAACUCCUACUAGAUUGUUAAUUAGUCCUUUGAAUCCAUUGUUCGUGUCUACGUUUCUUUUGUGCUUUUAUCAUUUUUAAAAUCGUAGUAAUUCUUGGUUCAAGUUCGGACAUUACUUUCCUUGAGUCUUCAAACAAAGAAUUCAUUCCGACCAAAGAGUAGACUCACCACUCGACUCAUCACGAACUACGAGCCGACUUGCAACACUUGUGAAUUCAAGUGUGAGACAAUCAAGUGUGUGAGAGUGUGGUGAGUUUGUUUCAAACUAACUUUUGUUUUGCUUUGUAGGCUUCUUUUUUUUAAGGUACAAUUACAAAGGAUCCCGUGGCUUCAACCUCUCAACCUAUGGACAGCAAUGCCACCAAUGUCAAUUUGGCUACCUUGACACUAUAUUCCGAGACCUAGCUAUGACAAAUGAAAGGUUGGAUCAUAUGGUAGGUCAAAGGGAGCAAGUGGGCUUCCUGGACACACAUCAAGAGGAAGGUCGUAGCUCAUGUGAGCUACGAGGUAAAAACGAUAUCCCCUACACUCUUAUGAACUUAGAAUGUUGUGUUGUGGCUAGUAGGAGCCAAGUAGGUGCAUAAAAACGAAUUAUGCACGCAAUAUAGAUCUAUUAAAUUAUGUACUAAAAAUGAAUUAUCCAUGUAAUAUAGAUGUAUUAUAAGUAUCUUAAAUACAUUAUGCUUGUUUAAAUAAAAAGUUUACAUUAUGUAUUAAAAUGAACUAUGCAUAUACUAAAUAUAGAUUGAAAUUAUUCUAAAUAUGGUAUAAUUAAAUAAAAUUUCCUUUUAUAAAUAUAAAUUGAAAUUGCCAGCUCUAAAUUAGGGAAAUGGAUGAAAAUGAUACAAAAGAAAACAUAGGCAACUACGCAAGUAAGAAGAGUCAAGGAAGACUGACUUUAUUAGUUGAUAAUAAAAAGAAGACAAUAAUGGAGACAUUGACAUAGUAAUCGAUAUAUAGUACAUCUAAUUACAGUACUGUUAUUAAUGAGUUUUGGAAUAUCUACUAGGACCACUACUUUAUUUAUGGCACAAAAUGAAGUUUCAUCAAAUAAUUGAUUGUGUGUGGUUCCUUUGAGAUCUUAUAAAUUUAAAUCGUGGAUCAUCUACCUCUACUAUUAUCUAUUUCUUCGUUUUUCAUAUGAGUCACUCCCUUCUCGGUACGCUCUUUCUUUCACCAUGGAAACAUACGUUACUGUUCCGAAAUUAUGUUGCUCGAAUUUUUUAAAAGUGUCAACAAAUGUAUGUCGGAUUCUUCAAAAAUGAUGUAUUUUUAAAGCAUUUGACACGAAUGUGACAUCGAAAAUGAAGAGUCUGCGCAACUUAGCUCCCAAAUAGAAUAGAGUGAAGGGGAUAGACAUACCUACAUAUUUUGACUUUUUAAUUUUCAUACCAGAAUUAUCAGGAUGUAUGAGUUUUCUAUCUAAACAAUCAUCAACUGUGUAUCAAAACAUACCUAACCUACCAAAUGUUCACUUUUCCAACGAAAAAAUUCAAGUAUAAAACUAAAACCAUCCAUUUAGUUUAAAGGAAAAAGGUUCAAUAUGUCAUCAAAUUAUUAGAAAUGUUUCAUCUAUGUCAUCUGUUAUAAGUUUGACUUAUUUAUAUCACUAUCUUUAAAAAUUUUGUUACAAAAAAGUUCAUUCUACUAUUAUAUUGUAAUGGUGAUUUUGCAAAAUAAUUUUUGUCAUGUGGCCUCUUAUCAGAGGUACACGCCACCAAAUCCAAAUUAAUCAAUAUUACUCAAAAUCAAAAUUAAAAAUCAGACCCAUUACAAAAAUUUGAUCCACACUGUUAAAAUAAAAUAAAACUCAUUAAAAUAUAAAUCAGACCCAUUAAUUGUGUCGAGUUUUAUUUUAAUGGGUCCAAUUUUUAAUUUCGGUUUUAAGUAAUAAUAAUUGAUUUAGAUAUGAUGAAUUGGACUUCUGAUAAAAGGUCAUGUGGUCAAAAUAAUGUUGCAAAUUAAUGGUAUGAAUAAAUCUUUCUGUAACGGCAAUGACAUAGAUCAACCAAAUUUUAUAAUCAAUGACAUAAAUGAGUCAAAAUUAUAACGGAUGACAUAGAUGAACCAUUUCUAAUAGAUCGAUGAUAUAUUUAAGUUUUUUUUUUUCAAAUUUAAAUAACCUUAUUUUCUUAUUUUUAGUUGAUUUAGCAAACGAUUCUUUUAUAAAUUCAAAAAUAAUUUAACCUUCUAACAUUAUCCUUAACGACAUUUCCAUAACCACACAAAUGUUAUAUCACAUCUAAAAUGAUAAGUUCAAAAGUUUUCAUUUCUUUCUUAAACUCCAUACAGAUAGUCAUAUAGAAUUACGACAACACAUCAACGACUAUACUUACAAAAACAAACAAGCUAAAAUCAAAACUAGCUUCUUAAUAUACAUACCAUUUUUAUUCGUAGCGUUGAGAAAAUAAGGGAUGAGCCUUUGAGCAAUAUCAUCAGAGAGAUUAAUAGGCUUAGAUGUUGCUUCUACUAAACUUUUUGUAAGUUCAUUCAAAUCUCCAUACAAAACUUAUAUGGAUUCCCUUUAAGACCUCUUUGCCUUAAGCAAUUUUCCAAUCUUUUUGGCCUAAACCAUGCCCAAUUCAACACUCUCCAUGUGUAAUAUAACAACAAUAUUGGAAUACAUAGUGUUGCUAUAAUUAUGUUGUAAACAAUCUCCAUGAUAUUAAGACUUCUCUGUGUUGCACAGAAAAAAUUAAAGAGGGGAACUUACCUUUUAAAUUUGUUGAUGUUUGAACAAGAUAAGUUCAACACGUUAAUAUCUCCGUACUAUCCAUGAUUAAAAAAAUCAUUGCCCAAUAGUAGUAAAGUCGCGUCCAAUCUGUUUGCACCACUCACCAAUCUUGAAAAAUGAAUGAGUAUAUGAAUUUUUUUCUUUAAUAUUUAUCCAUAAUAAGUACACUACAACAUUUUUCGCCUAUGACCACCCUUAUAAAGCGUGGCCUAAAAUAACAGAAAGUGUGGCCUUUGAUCAAAGGCUACACUUUUGGAUUUUAGGCAACACUUUUUGGGGAGUGGCCUAAAGAGGCAUAACCUUUGAUCAAAGGCCACGCUUUUCAAGUGUUGCCAUAUCAGCUACACUUAAAAAGCGUGGUCAUUAAGGUAUAAAGGCCACACUUUGUAACUUGUCAUUGCCAAUACUUUUAUUUGAUAAAGCUACUCUUACAGGUGUUGCCUUUGUUUUGGUAUUGGGCACACUUCACAAGCGUAGCCUUUUGUAGCACCUCUACAGCAACACUUAAAAAAUGUUGCCUUUGUUUUACUAUUGGGAACGCUUCAAAAGCGUAGCCUUUUCUAGCAUCCCUAUAACAAUACUUAAAAAGCAUGGUCUUUACUUUCUUAAGGCCACACUUUUGAAGUGUAGCCAUUAAUACCUUCUCUAAAGCAACAUUUAUAAAGUGUUGCCUUUGCUAAUUUGAACAUACACAUCUAUAUAAGUCGUACAAUUUAUAUCCCUGCUCCCAAUGACCAUACGUUUAAAACAUAGGAUUCUUGUCUAUUUUAUACGAUUAAUAUUUACUACAAAUUUGAUUGAAAAAUACAAUUAUAUUCUCAUACAUCCAUUAGUCAUAUUAUACAUCGUUAUUCUAUUUAGAUUGUCUCAAAACACUAUGUUAGAUAAAAAUAACUCAAAAAUUAUAGUACACGCAAAUUUUCAUCAUGUUCCCUUCGAGAAAUAGACUGACUCCAUGCUUAAUCUAGGCUUUGCGACAUCCUCGAUCACAAUAUACAUUAUUAUUUAUGUCCUUGAUGAUUUGUGAGUUGAACUAUGAUCUUCUCUAGUUGAAUAACAUACUAUGUUGUUGUAUAACACAAACAGAUCCACUUAAUGUUUCCUUUAAAAACCACCUUACCUGCAUUUCAUAAGAAAAUAACUAUAAUUAAGUAAAGAAUGGGGAAAUGAACCAGAAAAGAAAAAUUACUAUAUUUGAAUAGAAAAUGUGACCUGAAAAAAAUACCAAGUGUACUCCCAUAAACUAGGGUCUGGGGAGGUCAGAGUGAAUGCAGACCUUACCCCAACCCUCAAAGGAAGCGAGGUUAUUUUCGAUAGACCUAAGAUAAAUUGAUCCAUAUUCCCAAGCUAUUGUUUUAUUUUUGUUAUAAACGUAACUUUAACAUACUGCCACAAAUAGAAUUACUGCAUUUAGAAGUCUCAUCUCACCAAUGUCUAACAUGUGGGAACUCUAAUAUAAAAAUAUGCUAACCUUUAAUGCCUAGUAUAGAAAUUGAGUAACUCAAGUCCACUGACCUUUAUAUUGAUGUUUCUUAUCCGCACCAGCAUUCUUCUUUGCCUGGAGUCUUGACUGCAAGAAAGAAAAACACUAUUAUGUAGAAAAAAUCUGUUGAAUUGUGGUCCAAACGCCGCAUGAUCAGAACUUAAUUGGACCCAAUUGCAGGCCACAUAUGUUUAAUUUGAAGAGUUUAUUUAAGAGUUUAAGUUGAGAGCAGGUGUUUAAUUUCAAAAAUAAGAGCAGGUAUUUUCGAGAGUUUAUUUAAGUCCAUCUCAGUUCCUAGCACAACAAGUUGUCUACGUUUUCUAGUAUCAUAUACCAAUGAUAUGUGUCUAGAAUACUUAGAAUUUUGCACUAGAAAGCUAUACAUGCAACAAUAAACUUAAAAAGUUCUUCUGUGAGCAGAAUUUACCUGCUUCCUGAGAGCCUGUUGAACAUAAAAGAAGCAGUUAACGACACUUCCACAACUAGCAUAAGCCUCAAUAUCAAAAAGAGUGCAGUUUACCUCAACUAGAACAGGUUUAUGUUCAUUAACAACUAUUUUUCGUGCCUCCUGGACAGCGGUGAAAAUAGCAAGAGCAUCAUUACCAUCCACACGAAUACUACGAAUUCCAUAGCCCUGUCCUUUGGUAACAGCACCAUCACCUAAGUAAUAACAUAAAUAGAUGCCAUUGUCAGUAACCAACUAUAUAAUUGUAGUAGCAACUAAUUGAACAGCUAAGAGAGCUACCUACUUCGAAGGUUAAACGGUGGCUGUUAAGGUUAUAAGGUUGUUUCCUAAUAUAAGGUUUUAAGGUUAACUGGUGGCCAUUAAGGUUAUAAGGUUGUUUAUUAAACGAUGUCCAUUAAGUUUUAUGUAUAGAUUAGGCCUUAAACGGUUGCCGUUAAGGCUAAGGUUAUAAGAUUAUAAGGUUGUUUCCUAAUAUAAGGUUUUAAGGUUAACUGGUGGCCAUUAAGGUUAUAAGGUUGUUUAUUAAACGAUGUCCAUUAAGUUUUAUGUAUAGAUUAGACUUUAAACGGUGGCCGUUGUUUCCUAAUUUAAGGUUAUGAGGUUAAAUGGUGGCCGUUAAAGUUAUAAGGUUGUUUAUUAAAUGGUGGCCAUUAAGUUUUAUGUAUAGAUUAGGCCUUAAACGGUUGCCGUUAAGGCUAAGGUUAUAAGAUUAUAAGGUUGUUUCCUAAUAUAAGGUUAUAAGGCUAAACGGUGGCCGUUAAGGUUAUAAGGUUGUUUACGUAACGGUGGCUGUUAAGGCUAAGGUUAUAAGGUUGUUUACUUAACGGUGUCCGUUAGGGUUAUAAGGUUGUUUCCUAAUAUAAGGUUAUAAGGUUAAACGGUGGACGUUAAGGUUAUAAGGUUGUUUAUUAAACGGUGUCCGUUAAGUUUUAUGUAUAGAUUAGACUUAAACGGUGACCGUUAAGGCUAAGGUUAUAAGGUUAUAAGGUUGUUUACUUAACAGUGGCCAUUAAGUUUUACUCUUAUUAAGAAAGUGGUUGUGCGGGAUCAAUUAUGGUUACACAGCGUGAAUGGAUUUCAGGAUACUUAAGGGAAAGCCAAACAGCAAAGAUGGAGCAUCUAGAUGUUUUUGCUAACUUACUACAACUAUCAAAUUAAGUUCAACAAAUUAAUAACAUAUUGAUACAAGACUAAGUGUGUAUCAGGCGAUUCAAGCCAACACAAGAGCAACAAGAUGAACAACAAGGUGCUAGUGAAUCGAAAUAGGCCGCUCACGGCUUCACUAGACUUUAGAUUUAGUUUUGAGCAAGAAAAGAGAUGAACACAACAACAACAAUGCUAGUGAAUCGAAAUAUCCCCACACGGCUUCACUAAAUUUUAGAUUUAGUUUUGAACAAGAUGGUAAAGGAUUAUAAAAACAUACCUUUGCAUAGGCGCGAACAAUGUCAUUCCCUGAGCUUUUGCAGUAAAGCCACAGGGCGAGUUUUACCACUGCUGCAGUUAACAUGAUUGAAUAUAACCAUGCAAGCUGAUUCAAAGUCAUCUUUUCAGGAGGUUUAUUUUCAACUAGUUAUUCCACAGCCUGGAUCAAUACUUGAAAAUCUAAAAAUUAAAUUUUCAACUUUUUGAUUGAGAAUGAUGUACAUGAGUGAAUAGUAAAAUAGAACGAUCAAUCCAGAAUAUUUUGGUAUACUGCAUUAAAAAAUAGCAGGAUAGAAACUAGAAAUAAAUGGAUUCUUUUACAGGGAAAUGGAGAUAAUUAACACCAGGGCAGCCAAAUGUAUUUAUGUUCAUUCUCCCAUCUAUAUCCAGAAGUAUGGAUGCAUUGUGGAGAAAAUGGAUCCCUGCACAAGGAAUACAACACGAUUAACUACGCAAUGAUUACAUAGCACUAUUUUUCAUCAGUGCAGUCAGCAACAUAAGUUGUUUUGCCUCCAGGAGCAACACUGCACCAUGAAAAAAUUUAACACUUUAGGCGAAUAAAAAGUUAUCAAAAUAUUUCAAUCCUCUGCUUAUUGAACUAAGAAGUAAAAAGUUGGCAGAAAUUGUUUUAGCUUCCCUCUCAAAAGAAAAGAUACUAGGUGCAUCACUUGAACCUAAUAUGGACAAAGCUAUAUCCAAGGCAAAGCAGCUAGUUUAAAGAAAGGAGAAAUUAAAAGUGAAAGUGAAAAAGCAGAUGCUUUAUUUUUUGAUUAGCUUUUUCCUAGACUAAGUAUGCACCAGAAAAUUCUUUUAGCAAUCAAUUUGUUUUAACAUUAUUUUAGACAAAAACUUAGUUACUUACGCCAUAUUAAUGACACAUUCAUUCUCUUGAGGUGCAAGGGCCAUUACAGGUUGUCAGCACAAUAAUUUUUAAUAACUGUUGUACGUCAACUAUUGUACAAUAGCUUGGCUAUGUUAUAAUUUAAAAUAGAGCUAUUGAAACUGAAUUUUACAAAUUGAUUCAAUCUCAUAAAGAAUUCAAGCACACCAAAUUCAUGGUGUCUUUUUGGUCUACGAGGAUAAAGCAUGAAACUGCAGAGGACUACCAUUAGAAGAGCAUAGAAACUCCCCUAAAGUUAAUACUAAAAUAAAGUUUAUGGCAGUGAAAAAUUUACUUGUAUUGUAAUUUAAUUAUCAGGAUGAUUGAGCAGUUAACUCUACAGCAAGGAAGUGCAUACGAAUAGCUUGAACUGGCUAUGGCUGUCUAUACGAGAUAGGAUGGGCAAACUACGCAAAACUAAUAUUUAAGUUCAUGCAACUGGUAGAAUAGUAUGGAAAGCAUUUUUCUUCAUACUUUUGGAUUUCACAUGAUUUUGAAAGUCAAAUUUGCACGAGUGAAGAAAGCGGGAAAAUACAUCGACUGUUAGAAGUAAGUUAUGCACUUUCUUUAAUUCUAUAUAUACUUAAUUAGUUAGUUAUAACCAAAAUUAUUGUGCUUUAUACUCAUGUUGUACUGGAUACACCUAUAUACUUUAGGAACAAGGUAAACGUUAAGAUAAAAAAAUUCCAACUCUAACAAAAAAACUUUAAGGAAAACUUGACAAUUAGAUAUCUAAAAAUAAAAGAAAGAAGGGUGCAACCCCAAACUCCUCACAUUCUCUUCAAUCGUAUAAAGUGGAAUCACAACACACCCCAAAUUGGCAUUUCCAAAAUCCAAGAAACUCAAAAGAACCAACAAAUUCUCAAAAUCAAGCUCAGAAAUUGACAAAACAACGAAAAGGGUGUUCAAAUUCACUGAUUGAGAAAAAAAAGAUCAAAAGGAGAGAUUGACUAUCACCUUUAGGUUCUCGCCCCUCGCCAGUGGUCGUCCCUCACCGGUGGUUGGCCUUCUGAUCCGAUAGGCAUUCGAUGAUGUCGGUGUUAUUCAACGGUGGAGAGACCUGGACCGUACAGGGUGUUCAAUACCUAUGUGAAAUAAUACGUAGGGUUUUAAAUUUUUAAUAUACUCAACUGUUUUUGGUUAAUUAUAAGUUGAAGGGAAAUUGAAAUAUUUAGGAGGGAGAGAGAAAAUUUUAAUGAAAAUUUUAGACCAUAUUUUAAAAAUGUUGUUUUUUAAAUUAUAAUAAUAUUACCUUUAAAAAUGUAGUCAUAUAUGUUAAUAAGUGUUGUCAAUUAUAUCAUGAUUUGGCAACAUUUGUAAAGUGUGGUCUACAUCAUUAAAAAUCACGCUUUCAAAGUGUUGUCAAAAGUAAUGUGGCCAGAAGUUAAAAACUAAGGUUAUGCUUUAAAGCAUGGUCUUUAAUGGUAUAGGUCACACUUGUAAAAUAUGGCUCAGAUUUAGUGUGGCCUUAGGCAAAAAAUGUUGUAGUGGUACUUGUUGGAAAUUGUAUUUUACUAGUCACAAUUUAUAUGAUACACUUUUCAUUUUAGUAAAUCUAAAAGAGAAUGUCACUUAUUUAAUAUGAUAUUUAGAAAUAAUCUGACUUUUAAAAUUUUUAUUAAAUUAUUUAUAGCCACAAAAUUUUAGAUCACAAUUUUUGAGUUUCUUUGUUUAAAAAAUAGAUAAAUAAAUCAGUACUUGAAUCAAAUAGUGCCAUAUAUAUUAAGAUAGAAAAAGGGAUAUUAUGAAACAAUUAUUUUUUAUAGUAAUUUAUUUUUUGUUCAUAUGGCGUAACUCGUUAUUUGCAAGGAAUCAAAGAAAAAAAGAAAUGAAAAAUAAAAACAGUUAAGGAAAAUGAUAAAAUUAAAGGAAAAAUAAAACUCAAAGAAAAAAAAGAUAGAAGUUGAGAGAAUAGAAAGAAAAAAAGAUAAAAGUUUAGAAAAUUAAUUUAAAAAGAUAAAAUAAUUCAUAUUUUUACUUUUUUCUUUCAAUUAUUAUAUGAUUAUUUUUAUAAUACUAAAUAUUGAUUAUAAUAAAUAUUUGAAAAAAUAAACGAAAAGACCUCUAAUUUGGUUUUGUUGGAUUUGUGAUUCCUAAUGUCAGCUAUAAUGAAUUAAAAUUUUACUUAAAUUUCCUUCUAAAGGGGGACAACCUAACUAGGUGUAAGCACCCAAAGAAAAAAAACUAAUUAGAUGCAACUUACCUUUCAAAGCCUUUUGUUUCCUAUUUAAAAAAUGUUUGUUCAUUUACAAACGAAAGCUAAACGUACUAAAUUAUACUUUAAGUUAGGGGUGUUCACGGUUUGGUUAAAAAUCAAAUCGAACCGCGAACCAAAUCAAAUCGAUUAAAAAAAUCGAUAUUUGGUUAAGUUUGGUUUGGUUUGGUUUUAAAUUUUUAAAACCGAUACUUAUGUGGUUUGAUUUUGAUUUUACUCUAAAAUAACCGACAAAAUAACCAAACCAAAUCGAAUCGAUAAAAAUUAUAUAUAUAUAUAUAUAUAUAUAUACAUAUAUUCAUGUAUAUAUAUGUAUACACACAUACAUAUGCAUAUAUAAAUUAUUUAUAUAUUAUUUAUAAAUAAAAUAUAAAUAUUUUUUAUAUUUUAAAUUUUAAUCAUGAAUUUAAGUUUAGUCAUAGCACUUUUAGUCAUCUGUCUCCAUCUAGUUAUUGUAUGUUAUGAGAUUCUAUAUGAUUUUCGCACUUUGAAUGACAAAUGAUACUAAUUGUGAAAAUUGUCUUGUUAUCUAUGAGAUUUUAUAGGUGAGUUUUAUUAGACUAUCGAUAAUCACUAGUUUUAAACUUUCUUUUUGGUACCUAUUGAGCAAACAAUUUAUGUGUUUACCUUUUGGGGGUUUAUCAUAUCAUUCUCUUAUAUGUAGUUUCUAAAUACUUUUAUAGAAACGUUCAUAUGGUGUUGUUCAUGGCUUUGCCUAAGUAUAACACUAAAUUGACAUCUUAGUUUCAAGAUUGAGGAAUAACACUCGGUUGACAUCUCAUAUGUUGGAUUGAAUUUUUUUAAGAAAGAUUUCAACUUUUAUCAUUAACUAAAGUUAUAAACCAAAAAACCGAACCGACCCGAACUAAAACGAGAAGAACCAAACUGACGGUUAAUUUUUGUAUUGGUUUGGUUUGGUUUUAGAAAUUUAAAAACCGACUAAGUUGGUUUGGUUAUGAUUUUAACCAAUAACCGACCCAAACUGACCCAUGAACACCCCUACUUUAAGUAAAUUCUAUUCUAAAAUAAUUAUUAUUUAAUUGGUUUUGAAAUUAACUAACGUAUUUUAAACUUUACGUAAUAUUUUGGAUCAAACUUUAUAAAAAUAUACCUAUUUUUCCUCUAUUUCUACUUAUUUUUAUUUUGAAUCGAGUCGUUUCUGUAAUUUUUCAUUAUAAUCAUGCUUCAUUUCUUUCUUUUAGUUAACUAGUUUAACUACAUGUGACUCGCACGUAUAAUAAUGUUUGAUUAUUUAAAAUUAAAUGAUUUUAUCUAUUGCGAAAUUUUUAUAAUUUUAAUGACGUAUAAAAAUUUAAAUCACUCUUUAAUAUAAUAAUGUAAUCAUAAACAUAUUUUUGUGUAAGCACACAUAUACAUUUUACCACUAGAAGUUUUACGUGGUUGAUGGAUCAUCAUCACUUUUGCGUGUGUCAUAUAGUACCUCUGCUGGCCGCGACAGACGUCCCGAAUCAUCAAGGACCGAUAGAUCCCUGUAACGGUCCAACCCAUUGCGUGUGUCGUAUAGUACCUCUGUUGGCCACGACGAACGUCCGAACCAUCAAGGCCCGAUAGACCUCUGUAACGGUCCAAUCCACUAGUGAUAUUGUCCGCUUUGGGCCCAGACCCACACGACUUUAAAACACGUCACUAGAGAGUAAGACUUGCUUACUUAUAUACCCAGCAUCCCUCCGGUGUUUUGCCGAUGUGGGACUCUUUAUCCUAAGUUGGGGUGUUACAAAUUUGAACCAUAUUUGUGCUUCAAUUAUUUUCUUUAUUUCUAUGUUUAAAAAUCUUUCCUUGUUUUUAAAGUCAAAUCUUUACAAUAUCAUUGAUUACGUUCUUAUUACGUAAUUAAAAUUUUUAAAAAUUUGAUACUUGUUAAUCUUUUAAAAUUCUAACAUAUUUAUAUUUAUUUUUAGAUUUUCAAUUCUUUUUAAAAUCAAAUUUAGUUCAUUUAUAAUUUUCAAACUAAUGAAAAAAAUAUUAGUUGUUAUUAAUUCUGAUAACUUCUAAUAAGAAAAGGCUUUAUGAUAAAAUAUAUUUAAUUAAUUUUCAACUUUUAAUUAUUAAAAAAAAAUAGUGAAGAGACUAUUCUGUCCAAUACAAAGACUUUUAAUAAAGGGCAAACAAUUCAAAUAAUAUCUUUAAGGGCUUUCACACUUUUAAUAUAUUAUAUUAUAUAAUAUAUAAUAUAUAGAAGAUUAUAGAUAGUUUUAAAAAUUAUAUAUGAUUGACAAUGAAUUAUUUCCUUUUGAUAAUUUAUCGUGUUUCUUUCUUAGUUGAAAAUUUUUUAUUGAAAAAUUAAAUGUAUGAAAUAUAUUGUCGUCGAAUGGAGUAGUCGAAAAAAUUAAAGAUUUAUCUCUUUACUUUUUAUUUCUUUGUUUAAAUAAAAAAACAUAUUGUAUAAUAUAUUUUGUUACUAAGUGAUUAGGUGGUUAUACGUACCUAAAAAUCAUGGCACAUAAUCCUGAAAUUUAGAAAAGUUUGAAAUAAUGAAUUAAUGGUAUUCAUUUUGGUUUUUUCUCAGCACCAUAAAAAAGAAGAUAGCUUUAGCAUUUUGUUUGUUAGUUUAGUUGGUAAUACUAAUUUUGCAAAAAUAUAUUGAUACAAUUAAUUUAAAGUAUAAAGAAAAUUUCAUACACGUUUUCAUAGAUUAAUAUAUAAAAAAGAAAGAAAACUAAUUCUAUAGAAUAUUUUUAUGAGAUAAAAAGGCAAAGUUAUUCAUUAUAGGGACAUUUUUGUAGUUUAUCCUAAAAAAAUGAACAAAUUUCAUUCAAUAGGUGAAAGACCAACAUUUCUAAUGCAUUAUGGACAUAUGUCAAAUCAUGUGGGGUUGUUAUCACUUUAGGUGGAUGUUGUUAUCAUUUCUUUUAGUUUCCCACUAGUUAGUGUCUGAUACACGUUAGAGAUUCAACCAACUCAGAUUCGUAUUAAAAAAAAUUUCACUUUGGGAGUAAAAUGAUUCCUAUCAAAGAUUGACUAGUAUUUUUAUGAAACGUAAUUUCAUUUUUAAGAUUGGAACCCAAAACUCUAGGUAGUAUUAUUCUCGUCCAAUCAUGCAUGAAAUUAAAUGGAUAAUUUGGUGUACAAAAACUUUCGCUACGCAUAAUCUUGGAAAAAGACCCCACCACAAUAUAUAAAUGAUGCAUGGAAUUAGAACUCAUAAAUAAUAACAUUGUUCCUCCGUUAGAAAUAGUUGAGUGGCUUAAAAGAAUCUUAAUGGAUAUUAAUUCUUUGGGUACAAGAAUUUUUUAUUUUUUUCAAAAAAAAAUUCAUUCUAUUUUAAAAAUGGUGUUUGGUAACAAGUAAAGUUUGUUUUCAUUUUUUUCACUUCUACUUCUCUCAAAAAUUUAAAAACAACUUCAAUUUAUAUUCAUGGCCCAACUCGAACUCUAACUUCAAAAAAUUGUGAUUUUCAUGAUCAAGCACCUUUAAGGUUUCUAUCUACGUUGAACAGUGGACAUUAAAAUUUCAUGACAUGAAAAACAUCAAGACUGAAGAAAAUCACAACAAUCAUAAUAUGACAAAAGAUAUAACAAUGUUUAACACGUGGAGAAGCAGGUUAAGUUUACUCCCUUGCAAGAUUAAUUAAUGUAUAAUAUGCAAAAUUUAAUCGAUUUACUGUUUUGCUUCAUAAUGCAGUUGAAAGUUUGAGUUGCAUCUAUAGAAAUCCUAAGCAAACUGUUCACAAUACUGAAGAACUAAUACACACUGAAGAAAAAGGUGAACAAUUUUGAUGACUACUUAACCAAGCGGCAGUGUUUUAUUUUUAAUAGAAGUCCGCUAGACAAUCUGUCUACUCGAAUAAUGCAAUGUUUUAAAGUUUACGCAUAAGCAGAGGAGCACCAUACUGUGGAUGAAUAUCAAUUAUUGCAAAUGGAGCAUGCGUAUAAGAUGGAGAGAGUUCGAAGGAGAACUUUUGUAGUAUCAUUGCUAUUGCCAUUUUUGCUUCCAUCAUCGCAAAGUUCUGUCCAAUGCAAACACGGGGUCCCCAGCUAAAUGGGAUAAAUGAAACUUGUCCGUUUGUUGCCUUGGACACUCCUUCACUGAAUCUUUCUGGUUUGAAUUCCUUCGCGUCUUCACCCCAAACUUCCUUAUCGUAAUGUACUAAGAUUGAGGGAAUAACGAGUAGCACUUCAGCUGGUAGACUCAGCUCCCCUAAUUUGACUUCUUCUUUGUUCGUUCUACCAUAUGUUGGUACCGAGGGGAAUAGCCUUAAAGUCUCGUACAAGAUCAUAGUCACCUGUGAAAAAAGAUCUUAUUGCAUGAGUUGGCAGUAGAAUUAGUCAGUAUUCUGAGAGAACUUGUGAAAAGUACUUACAAUUUUGAGGCGACUGAGUCCUUCAAAAUCUGGUUUAUCAUUUCCAAAGACCUGCAAAACCUCCUCUCUGGCACGUACUUGCCACUUGGGAUGCAGGCUUAGCAAUAUCGCUGUCCAUACGAGCAACACUGAAGUGGUAUCUUUUCCAGCAAAAUAGAAUAACUUGCACUCUUCAAUUAUUUCUGUUGUUGUCAUUCCAAAACCUUUGCAUCCAUGCUGUUCAAUUUCGUUCAUAUUGGAUUCGAGUAAUAUGCCUAAUAAGUCUUCACUAUUCGUACUAGUUUCCCCUGCUUUCAUCGCCAUCAAUCUUUUGUCAAUGACACGCCUAAUUGUCUUUUGGAUUUCCUUUUCGAUUUCCAGCAUUCUUUUGUUCCUUUUACUAGGCAAGAACCUAAAAAUAAAAUUUAAGUAAAUUUUCUAUGCUAUUAAAAUAGAAACUUGAUAAAAUAGAUUAAUAUUGUACCUCGACCCUGGUAUAUAAAUCGAAAAAACUUCUUCCAUUACAUACUCAGCUUGUUCUUUCUGAAGUUCAAAUACUAUUCUUCCUUCUUCAUAACUACUCCCAAAUGCAGUUCGAGAAAUGACUUCGCCCGCCAUUAGUUGAAAGUGUGGCCAUACAUCGAGCUCGGCUGAUGUUUCAUUUGGAACAAUCUCCUCCCAUUUGCGUAGCAUUUCACUACAACUCAAAUAAAAUGCUGGCAGCAUAUGCUGUUUUAACACAGACGGAUUAAUUUCACUCGAGGUCAAUAAAUUUUAUAUACUAGCUAUAUGCAAGAAGAAAAAAGUAGUAUGUAUAACCUUUAGUUUCUCAAAAUGGAAAGCAGGUUUGAUGAUUUUUCUGUGUUUGGCCCAUUUGUCUUCCUCAAGACUUACAAGGCUUUGAACCAAUAACUUCGCGAAUGGAUUGGAAUGUUUAUGCUUGUGAUACAUAUAAUUCUUUUCAAAAAUCUCCUUUAUGUGUGCAGGUUCUGUGAUGAAUACUAUUGGCUUGGGGCCUAGCCAGGCAAAAGAAGUUUUACCUGCAGAAUAUUUAUCAGUUUUUUAGGUUAGUAUUUAGGAAAUUCACUUGAUACGUAUAAAUAAUUUAUCAAGAAACCUCAUUUUCUAAAUCCAGAAUACAUGAACUGAAAAUCUUAGCUCCGCCAGACACCCGGCAAACAACCUUCUCCAAGAAGAAUUAUACUUUGGCCUGAUACGUCAACUAGAGGAAAGACCAGUUGGUUCACCAAACUCCAACCCGAGCGUCAUGAAUUCUCCAGAUCGAGUGCCAAACUACCGACCCCUCUUGAAAUUACAUUGUUGGAGCCGAACCAGGAAUGGCAGUAAGUGGACCACCACCACUUUUCACCGGUUAGAGCUAAGUCGAGCUUGUUUUUCUUACUAUUGCAUGAAGUGGAAGACAUAAUUAUAAAAGCGUGUUUUCUUAAAUAGUUUAGGCAUUUAGAUAAGAUAACAACACAUUUAAACAUGAUACCAUAUCAGACAAAAUAUAAGUCGGGUUCAAGUCUUACAAUCUCACGUGAUUUGUCCGUGAAAAAGAAUUAAGCAUCCAUGUGAGGAGACAUGUCGAUCGAACACUUGUGAAUAUAAUGGACGAAAAAGGAGAAAAACAACAAACUAAGCUAGAGUCUUAUUCUUACCAUUUUUGUUGACAGAGUCACAGAAAAAAGGAAUGAUCCUUUGGGCAAUAUCAUCAGAGAAAUUGAUGGGCUUACACUUUGCUUCAUUAUUUCUAAUACUAGGCUCCUUUAGAUCUCCAUAGAGUAACUUGUAUGGGUUUCCCUUAAGACCAUUCUCUCUUAAGUAUUUCUCCAAUUUCUUUGGCCUAAACCAUGCCCAAUUCAACAAUCUCCAUGUAUGAAAUACUACUAACAAAAUUGCAACACACACUGCUACUGCAAUCAUAUCUACUCCCACAAGUGACAUAAAAUUAUUAGGCUUAACUUAAGUACAUUUUUCUCUUAUAAAUAUGAAAGUUAACCAAAGAGUACCUUCUUUUUCUAUUACUACACAUGCAUCCACGACAAAAUGAGGCAGUUGAUGAAUUUUCGUCAACUAAUAAAGAUGCUUUUCUUUGUCCCAAUUGGUCAAAUUUGUGGACUUUUCAGUGUGAUGAAUAGACAAAAUAUGGACUAGAGUGUAUGCAUGAGGGGAAAGACUGUUCCAUGAUUUUUCACUGGUAUCACUAGUGUAAGGAGUUCAUGGGUGAGGCUUCGUACAGUACACCUUUGCGGUUCGGCCUUUCCCGGACCCCUAUGCAUAGUGAGAGCUUUAGUGCACCGAGUUGUCCUUUCUUUGGUCACUAGUGUAAGGAAUUUUUACACUAUUUGGUCACAUUUAUGUGCUACUUGUAGUAGAUAAUCUGUCUUAGUUUUAAGAUUACAAAUCCCACAUUAUAAGAAGGCUUACCACUACUAGAAACAGGGGUUUUUCUACCGCGACGCACUGGGAAAAUUUUUUUUAUAAAAUAUGAUUUUCCAUCUCAUUUCCCACGGAACCACCUCAUGAGUGGGAAAACGUAUGGUGGAUAAAAAAUCUCAUUGAAGCACUCAAAAGUUUUCUACUUUUUUCGUGUGAAAAUGCUAACCUUUUUCUCAUUGAUUCACUUAAAAUAUCUAUCAAAAUAGUCACUUCACAUUUUUAGUGGAAAAUUCUAAUGGGAAAAUAGUGUACAGUUCUUCUAUUGCGUUGAUGUUAAAGUACGAGCCCUACUACGUUUAACAUUAAACUCUAUUGAUUGCCUAUCUGUGGAACAAGUAAGUAAACGUGGUUCACAGAAAUAAAAACUGAAUACAGUAUUUUAACGUGGAAAACACCCGGCUCAAGAAAGUGUCAAGAAAUGGACCUUGGGCCUAGCUCAACCCCAAAAGCUAGCAUAUGAGGAGAGGAUUGCCCAAAAUCAUAUAAGGAGACCAAGUUUCUAGUGUUGGGCCCCCCUUCUUAUAUUUUUCACGCUUCAGAUGUUCACCCCUGGGCGUGCGGAGGGUGUUGAAGUGCCACAUCGAUGGGUUAAAGGGUCCUUGGUCUCCUUAUAUGAUCCUGGGAAAUUCUCCCCUCAUGAGCUAGCUUUUGAGGUUGAGUUAGACCCAAGGUCUAUUUCUUUAUCUCUGGUAUCAGAGUAGGACCCAUUGUCACCCAAUGUCGGGGCCCUACUCUAAUACACAUCUCAAUUCGGGGCCCCAACAUUGGGUGAGAAUGGGCCCUGCUCUGAUAUCAUGAUAAAGAAAUGGACCUUAGGCCUAACUCAACCUCAAAAGCUAGCUCAUGAGGGGAGGAUUGCCCAAGACUAUAUAAGGAGAUCAAGGGCCCUUUAACCCACCGAUGUGGAACUCCAGCACCCCCCGCACGCCCAGAGUUGGACAUCUGGAGCAUGGACAAUCUAAGACGGGGGGACCAAUAUCGAAAAUAAUGAAUUGGGUGGGCCUGACUCUGAUACCAUGAUAAAAAAAUGGACCUUGGGCCUAACUCAACCUCAAAAGCUAGCUCAAGAGGUGAGGAGGAUUUCCCAAGCCUUAUAAAGAGACCACCCAUCUCAUUAACCACCAAUGUGGGACUUGUUUUUCAAUAUUUUAACAGAAAGGUGUAAAAAACCAUGACCUGUACCUCUACAGAAUUUAAUUCCAACUUCACUAUAACUCUUGAGCCUCAACAAUCAACAAAAUUACAAGACUUCUUGUAAACUAGGAAUUAAAACUUCUAACUCCUAUAACUACAAAAACACAAAUCUUCCCAAGAUAAGUGUUCCCCAAGUCUUCGGGUCCCCUAACUUGUAGACACAACUCCUAACUUAGUUUAUAGAUCACUGAGACUAGAAUAAUGACUCAAUACAACUCAAAGAACCUUCCUACUACAAAUAGUCUAAGACUUGCUAAGUAAGGAACUCGAUUCUGCUUCAAGUAAGUGAACUGCUUUGUUGAUUGUUGAUUAUCUUAUCAGUGCAUGAGUGAAUUCUUUGAAAGUCGUUUCUUCUAUUUAAGCCAACACCUGAUAAAUUCCUUUAGUUGAUGUAUAUUUCAAUCCUCACUAGGACUCCCAGGUAGUUUCACUCAUUCUUUACUGCCUCUUUUCCCUCUUGAUGUUUGAAUAGGACUCUUCUUGAUUAUCUCAUAAUUUCUGCAAGACUUCUUAUUCGACUGAACUUCUUCAAGGUUUCCUGUUUAACUCAACUUUAGCAAGACUUCUUUUUCAAACCAAACAUCUUUAAGAUUUCUUGUUCAACUCAACUUCUGCAAGACUUCUUGUUGGGAUAAGUGUUAUCAACUUCUAUUUUGUAUCCAGAGUCAUUUUUUCAAUAACUUGCCUGCAUCUUUGUUCACUUGGAUGGAACAUCUUUCAUAACAUAUUUCAUUUACAUGUCCAUAAUCAAAACUUCACAUGCCCUGAAAAAUUCCCCCUUUUUGAUGGUGACAAACUUAGCAGCACAACAUCACAAAAAAUCUUACAACUCAAUAAGGAAUUUAAAAAGAAUUACAGAAUGAAACAGGUUAGUCCAAUUGAGUUAUAAGCAUUGCAUAGUCUAUCUAUUAUUCUUCUCCCUUUUGCCAUCAUCGAAAAGCAUAUCUAACAAGUGAAAACUUUUAAUAAUUCAUGGCCACUUGGGCUAUCACUAAGACAAUCAAAAUGUAGAGUAAAAGACAAUUAAUGCAUCAUGAAAGAACAGAAACAGAGCACUUGAAGCAAAGAAGACCAUUUCAUUCAUUGUGUAGAUACACCAAAAUUACCAACAACGGCAUAAGAGAAAACAAGUAACCAUGGAAGGAAGCAACAAAAAAAGUUGUCCUGGGGCACUAGGAUUAGGUUAAGUAGAUAAAGAGGAGGGGAUAAGGGAAGUCAACUUCCUAACAAUGUCAGCAUUGUCUGAUCUUUCAUGCUCUAGAGAGGCAGUGAAGGAGGCAAUAUAAGCUUGAAGAGCCCUUUUCUCAUCAUCAUAGGCAGCUUGAGCAGUUAUUAGUGCAAUUUGAGCAGCCUCCAGCUCAAUAGUUUUUGCUGCAAGAACAUUCCUUGACCUCUGCACUGGGUUAUCAACACUCCUCAUAGAAAUAGGUAGGUUCACAUGGUUCACACUACCAAUAAUAUCCUUUGUAGUUCGUAAAGACCACACUUUAACAGCCACACCAAAAUCUUCAAAUGUGGGAGUGAGCUAGAACUCAUAAGAAAGAAAAUAGCCAUUAACUUCUUAGAGGAGAACCUUUUGCAUAUGUUUUAGAACCAGCUUAGGCAAUUCAAUUCGGAUUUCUGUUUCCAGCAACUUCAUCAGAGUAAGAUCAACAAAUCUAGCUAUAGUCCUACAUUCCUUCCUAGGGAGUACCAUCUUGUGCACAACAUCAAAAUAGAGUUUAAUGCAGUGGGGAUAUCUCCCUUUUAAGAACCCUUCUAUGAUUAACCAGGUAAGGGUUUCCAGAAAACUUGUAGACACGUAAUUUCGUCCCUCCCCGAUAUCGUUUUACCCAUUUUUACCUUAUCCUAUCCAUGUAAUUACAUCCCACGAAAAUACAAAAAAUAACUCUCAACAAAAUCCCUAACAAACUUUUAUUCUUUUUAAUAUCCUAACAACCCUUUCAAUUAAAAUAAGACACAUUACCCAUACCCCUACCCCCAACACCCCAUACCCACAUGACCCUCUCCCCCUCAUAUUUCUUGUCCACAAAGGUAAAAAGGGAUAAACAUUAAAAAAGGACCCCACUAGGAAACUUCCAUGAAAGGGACAAAAAAGGACUAUUUUCUUCAUUUUUUGAAAAAGAACCAUAUAUAAAGAUUCAUGCCUCACACAAUUAGGGGGAGCAUAAUAUUCAUCAGGUGGGGCCCACAGGGAAGAGGAGACAGCUCCUUCUCCAUUUUUUCCAUUGGAUCACUCAAAGCAAACAGAGGACUGAAGCAUAGACUCCAUUUUUCAAUUUUCACUUUCUAAGAAUUCACUUUCUUCUCCAUAAAAAGACUCCAUAGAACACACUCACCUUGACACAAAACCAUUACCAUCAUCUUCCAUUUUUAUCUUCACAGAAAGAAACAGAAUCACGCACACUCUCCAUCGACUGGGGACGCGCACACCAAUCGGACUUCACUUAUACACACGAAACACUCCCAGAUUCCUUCUCUACACUAAAUCUCACAUACUUAAUGGGAUAAAAAGAGAGAGGGUAACAGAAAGAGAGAGGACAGAAAGAGAGGGAGAGAAGAUCGAGAAGGAGAACGGAGAUUUUUCAGCGAACCCAUCGCCGGAGCUGCUCACCGGAGCUCAGUUCCUAUAGGUUCCCAGUUUAUUUGGAAUUUUUGAGGCUUCAGGUUCAUCCGACUUAGUGAUUCAUUAUUGAAAUUGUGUUUAGGUCGGUGAAAACAAUGAAGGCUUUGCCGAGUUGGGGUUCGGUUGGAUAUUAUUGAUUCGAGGUUCGUGUUUUGGUUUCGGUCAGAGCUCUAACCAACUGCUUUGACGGAUUGAAAUAAAAUUGAGGCCCAAUUCUAUCUUCUCUCGCUUUAAUUUUUACAUUAUCGUGAAUGAUUUGGGUAUUUGGUAUGUUUGAAUUUUGAUUGCGUAUUGGUUGAUGUUGGAUUUGAAUGUUGAAAAGUGAAUUGAUAAUUGAAGCAUGUGUUAAUCAUUGAUUGAUAAGAAUGAAGUUGGGGGCGGGAAUCGAAAAUUGAUAAAAGUGGAUAUUAUAGUAUUUUGAUUCAUUGUUGUGUUUGUAUGUAAAUGUCACCGAAUUGGAUAGGCAAAUGUAGGUUGGGUAGGCAAAGUUUGAAAUUUGUGGUUUUUGUUGAAGAUUUGAAAUUUUGUUGAAUGUUUGAAAAUUGGGUGAAUGAUUUGGUUUUCUCACAUUGGAAAAAAUGUAUUCAUUUGGCCGGGGAAUGCCCCAAGGUAUUUGUAUUGAUUUAUCCGGGGAAUGCCUCGAAGAAUUUUAUACCCGGAGGACGUUCGUGAUCAAGGCCCGAGGCAUCGGGUAGAGCACGGGAGUUUAGUUUAGGAUUAGUUUAGAAUAGAGUAGGUUUAUAUUUUCGCAUUUUUUCUAUUUCGGGAUUGUAAUAAUCGGACUGGACAUUAUAAUUUUGGAUUUGUUUUGUUUGUUUGUUUGAUUGAUUGUUUUGUGUGAUUUUGUGUGGUUUAUAUAUGCAUAAUGUCAAAUUAGCCUAUACGCUCCGCCAAGCGACCAUGGUCAAACCACGGGAUCGAGGGAUACCUAACACCUUCCCCUCAGUGAACAGAAUUCCUUAGCCGGAAUCUCUGUUCGCAAACCAGUUUUAAAGAGUCAAACCAUUUCGAAAAGAAUUUUCCAAUGGUAACUUGGCACACCGGAUUAUGCCAAGUGGUGACUCUGAAUUUAAUUAUAAAAAAAAAUCCUUUUCGGAACAAAAUUUUCAUAUUUUGUCACUUAAUAAUAAAACCCUUUCGAACUUAAAAAUUAAUCUUUUGAAGUACGAAAAAGGGGUGUGACCGCUCUGGCGACUCUGCUGGGGACAAUUUCAGAAUCCGAGCUUUUUUGGAGUCGUAUCGGCUUUGUUUGGCAUUACAAGUGUAUAAACAUUGUUUGUGAUUUUUGUUUGUGUUUUCACUUUUGUAUAUUUUCGUGCUCUUUCUUUAUAGUAUUUAUCCUAUGUGUUACCGCUUUUAUAUCUGACAUCAUGUGCAUAACCCGAGUCAUUCUUUCCGUAACAAGUCUCGGAGUGCACGUCGUGCGCACGAACUCUAGUUGAGUCACCUUUAUUUUAGGGGGGAGCCAUUGGAUGUAUGGAGUAGUUGGAAAGCUAAGCAGCCACUAUCGACCAUAUGCUCCCCCGAACGGCCUUGUUAGUGAACCCCAGCGUAGGUCAGCCUUUAGGUCAUGCUUAUGUGCAUCAUAUUGAGACCUAGCGGGUCCACUUGAUCCUUUGUAGGAGACUUACCUCUAAAGCAUUCCUAAGUGCUAAAUGUUGCAUCUUUGAGGAUAACGUGGUCAUUAGACAGACUGAUGUGGGGUAAAGCAUGUGUUAGACAGUAAAGACUGUGAAAAAAAAUAGUCCGAAAAAGAAGUUCGUAGUUUUUAGAGUUCUUUAUGGCUUUUGUUUUUCACAAUUCAAAAAUUUCAAAAAAAAAGAUUUCUUUUACAAUAGGAGGUUUUACAAAGGAAAAUGCAAAAGAAUUAUAAUAAAAAAAUUGGUAGAAGUUUUGUACAUUUCAUAUAAUGAAAAUAUCAAAAAAAAAAAAAUUUUUAUUCCUUUACCACACAUUCAUAAUUCAAAAAUUAAAAAAAAAAAGAUUUUUCUUUCAUAGUUGUUGGUGUCAAAUUAAAAAUGCAAUUUUUUUUUAUUCAUCAGUCUUUGGUUGUGUCUCUUAAGUUAGGGUCAAUCUGUUAGUUAAUCUUUAUUUGUCCAAUAUGGAUGAACUACGCACCCCUGAUUCUCCUCUCUCGGGAGUGAGAUACGUAGGCAGCCUAUUGUGGAUUCGGGGAUCUUAUUUCAAAAAAAAGAAAAAGAAAUUCUUCACUCUUCAUUUAGAGUAGGUGUCUCAUGUACAUCUUUAAAAUAAAAAACAAAAAAAAAAUAUUACCUUUUAAUAGGUUCAAGUUUCAUUUUCGUAUGAAAUUCAAAAUCGAAAAUCCAAAACAAAAAGAUUUUCUUCACUCUUCAUUUAGAGUAGGUUUCUCAUGUACAUCUUUAAAAGAAAACAACAACAAAAAAAAUAUUUUCCUUUAGUAAGUUCAAGUUUCAUUUUCGUAUGAAAUUCAAAAUCGAAAUUCAAUAUUUUUCUUCGAUAAUCAUAGAUUUCAUUUUAUACAGGAAUUUGAAAAAUUCAAAAAGAUUUUCUUCACUCUUCAUUUAGAGUAGGUGUCUCAUGUACAUAUUUAAAAGAAAACAACAAAAAAAAUUAUAUUUCCCUUUAAUGGGUUCAAGUUUCAUUUUCGUAUGAAAUUCAAAAUUGAAAAUCCAAAAAUAUUUUCUUCGGUAAUCAUAGAUUUCAUUUUGUACAGGAAUUUAAAAUAUUCAAAAAGAUUCUCUUCACUAUUCAUCUAGAGUAGGUGUCAUAUACGUCUCUAAAAGAAAAAUACAAAAAAGUUUUCUUUAAUAUUUUCAAGCUUUAGUUUCCUAUGAAAUUCAAAAUCGAAAACCCCAAAAGAUUUUUCUUUGGUAAUCAUAGGUUCCAUUUUGUAUAGGAAGUUUAAAACUGAAAAAUACAAAAAGAUUUUCGUCAAUUCUUUUGACAAAUUGUUAUUUUCUUUUUUUCUUAAAGUAUCAAGAAAAAGAAAAAAAGAAAGGAAAAAAAAUCAAUUGGCCAUUUUGGCAAGACUUCACAAACUACGCACACUUGAUUCUCCUCUCUAGAGAGUGAGAUACGUAGGUGCCCUUCUUGAGUUCGGUGAUCUUUUAAAAAAAAAAAAAAAGAAAUAAAAAAAGAAAGAAAAAGAGGUUUUGAAAAAGUGUUGAACUCCAAAACAUUUGUUUUUUUUUAUUGAGUCAGUUUAAAGUGGUUGAUUUGUGGCAUUCUGACUGGUCCUUCACAUCACACCAAAUCCAAAGGGUUAGUUGUGUCCAACCAAGAUAUAGAGAGUGACAUCAUGGAUCAAACAAAGAAUCAAAAAUGAGAGUGUGAAGCAAGAGAUUAGGAGGCUAAGACAACAAAUGACAGAAAUGUAUCGAUCUUGGGCCAGUGGGUUGCCUCCUCCUCCAUUUCCCUUUAUUGAUCCUACAAAUACCUCGAGUUUUCCACCAAAAUCUCGAAGUCAGUUUUCUACUGUUGUUGAUGCAUCGCAACAUGACUUAGAAUUCAUUCCAAGCCAAAAGCAUCUUAAUACUUCCACCACUUUUCCUCUAGCUCCUCAGCAUAAGCCUGCUACAUUCUCAACACCACAUGUCGUCUGCGAUCUUGUUGCUCAAUCCUCUACUGGGACUUAUACACUGGCUCGUCCAACGGUUGUGCGUCUCCAUGCUGCUUGUGAACUUAUAUUCAAUACUUUUGGUGAUCAUUGUUAUACUCCUAAGCCUGCUUUUAAGUUAACUGAACCACCAUAAUUUCUUAACAAGAAGUCCAGUGUGCUAGAAGAGUCGGAGAAAAUGGUUGAAAAAAUGAAGAGUGCAGAAAUGCUAUGAAAAAUUCUCUAGGACGUACGAGUAAAGAAGAUGUUUCAUACAAAGACUGGGGCAUGCCUUCAAGUGCUAACCUUCCUCUAAUCUUUGAGAUGUCGAAAUUUAAGGAGCAAGAUGGGCAUGAGAAAUUCGUGAAACAUUUGGGACAAUAUUGCAAUCAAUUGAGGGAACCAGAAGGAAGAAGAAUGAGAAAGAUGACAUUGCUAUUGUAGUUAGAGAAUGGGCACAUCCAAGAAGACGACAUCGUCAUUGCCGUCAGUCUCAAGCCCAAGUUCAUACCCAAGCUCUCCAUAAUCACUGUCAAAAUCUAAUAUACUCUGUUUCCCAACCUCCAUAUCUAGUAAAUUGCGCACAACUAUAUGUUCAACUCCUUCUUUACCCACAAUGGCGCGCACAAAAUUUUCAAAGUCAUUCUCUAAUUCUACAAACAAACCAAAGCCCUUCUAGGCCCGAUGUUCGAUCCAAGUUAAAUAAUGAAAUGAGGUAGAAAUUGAGGGAUAGUUUCACACUAAUUGGAGAGUCAUAUGUCAGUUUAUUUCAGAGAUUGGCACAGCGAGGCAUGAUCACUCCUCUCCUUGGGUAUACUCUUGACCCGAAUUCAAGAAGUUUUGAUCCUAAUGUAGGAUGUGCAUAUCAUUCUGAUGUUCAAGGUCACAGUAUUAAAGAUUGUCGUGCUUUGAAAAGAGAAAUUGAAAAGAUGAUUUAAGACAAAUUGAUUAUGGUGCCGAACAUUGACGGCGAGGAAAACUCUAGUCAUGCUGAUAUACAAACCAGUGGCUAAGAUGUCAGGCCGAGUAAUUGAGAAGUCACCCAUCUCCCUACUAGGAAGAGUUCUGGUAGUUUGUUUUAUUUUAUUUUCUGUUAUUUGAAUUAUUCCAGAGUUGUAGUUCAGGAUCUAUCUUGUUUUGUCCAUUUGUCGUUAUGUUCAAACCCUUCUAUCUUUUAUUUUAAUUCAAUAAAGUGUCCCUUUUUCCUUUGUGUUUUAAAUGUGUUGUUUGUUUGUUUUCUUUACAUAGUACAUUUUAGGUUAAUUCUAGUGAUAUGACAUGCUAGCGGAAUUUUCAGCCUGAUCUUAAAAUUUAUUUUAAGCAUGAACAUUGAAUCAGAGGGUUAAAGUUAGAAAAAGAGAGCAUCUGAGAAAAUAGGUAGCGUGCUGGGAAAUUUGGUGACAAGUUCAAGCCUUCUUUGAAAAUUAAGGAAAUUAUUUUGAGAGUCAUAAGAAUAACUUGGUCAUCAAUUGAAAAACAUGUCUUAAUUAGAUCAAAUAGCGGGUGUGUGAUAUCGGGGGACAGAAAAAUCAACUCCACGAAAGCAUGAGUCAUUCGAUAUGAGGAUUGUACAACAAAAGUGGAGUGAUAUAUUGAACAAAGUGCAAGAGUAGUGACGCACAGACUCAGUUAAAGUUAAUGCUUAAAAAAUAUCACAAUUGAUCUUCAUCUCUCACUUCCAUAAUGCAUGAUAUGUACUUGCAUUUUCAAGGAUUGAUAUGACGAAGACAUUUCAUUCUACUAUCCAAACAUCGUGUCAUCCUUUGUUUACCCCAUUUGAGCUUUAGUCCUAUUUUCUUUCAUACCCCUCUUUUGGAAUCAAGAUAGAGUCAGCAAAGCUCAAAAUAAAAGUGUCGAGCAAACCAAUAGAGUCAGAAAAAGUUCAAAAAAAUAGAAGAAAAAGAAAAUAUGUCUAAAAAGAAAAAGAAAAGAAAAGUGUCAAGACAAAUAGAGUUAGAAAAAAUCCAAAGAGAAAAGAGUGUCAAUAAAUGAAAAAGAAUCAAAAGUCUAAAUCAUGCAAAAUAAGCUGCCAGAACUACGCAUGACCUGAUUCUUCUCUCUCAGGGGUGAGAUACAUAGGCUGCCCUACUAAGGGCUCGGUCCAACCAAAUAAAUAAUUUAGAAUUGCCCAAUCAAAAGAAUCUGGGGCAUAAGUCAAUCCUCAUUGUUUGAGUCGAUUCCAAAAGUUGUAAGUCCCACCCCACUUCAAGUAUCAUUUAGGCCCCAUGUCAUCCUUUCUUUCUAACCCUAUCCAAAAUACAAGUUACAACUAAAGAAAGACCUUCAGAUCAAUCUUUGAGAAUGUUAGGGCUACGCAUAAAAUGGAUGUGAUGAUGUAUUUUGAGAACUACUUAUCUUCCUCAACAUAAGAAAUCAGGAGAGAAGUAAAAAUGAGAGAGUCUUAUUGGUGAAAACCCUCACGGGCACCGUGAGAUGAAUAGUGAGUUGAGAGAAAUAAAAAUGAGAGAGUCUUAUCGGUGAAAACCCUCACGUGCACUGUAAGGCAACGGUGAGUUGAGACAAAUGAAAAUAAGAGUCUCAUUAGUGAAAAACCCUUAUAGACAUCAUAAGGCAAUGAUGAGAUGAGGAAAAUAAAAUAAGAAAGACUUGUUGGCGAAAACCCUUCAAGGUGCCACUGGCCGAAUGAGGUCUCUGAAUGCAAUUGACCCAAGAAAGUAACUUAAUUUCAGGGUCAUUACCUCAACAACAAUUGGUAGAAGGUUUGGAUGAAAUGAUCAGGCAGCCUAAUCCAAAUGCAUGACAUAAUCAUUAGAGUUGAUUGUCAUUUUAGAUAAAUUUUUCAUUUCUUUGUUUCAAAUGUGGACUUUCAUUGUCUUUUCUUUCUUUUCUUUAUCUUUAUUUUUAUUUUCUUGAGUCAGUUAUCCAAAUAAAACAAAAGUUGUUGUCAUUUUUCUUUUGUUUUUGAGUCAAGUCCAUGUCAAAACAAGUGAGAAAAGAUUUCAAAACUGGAUACCAACUUCUUCAAUUGCACAAAACAAGACAAAAAGGCCAGCGCAUGAAAGAGAUAUGAUUGUGAGCCAAAAAAAGGGCAUGCAGAAAGUUUUGUCAAUAGACAAGUCUGGCAACUCAUGAAAAUACCAAGGUUUAAAGGGUUUAUUCAUGAAGCAUGGCAAAGCAGAGAUGCUGUAUUUAUUUCGGAGUCACUCUUAAUAAUUUGAGUUUGGGUCAAUGACACGACAAAGCAGGGGCAAAUGCCAGCAAUCUGAAACAAAAUGAAGGGAAUGAACACUAGAGCAAAUGCUUGGAAAGCCAAGUGCUGCAAGCUACCACUAAGUUUUUAACUAACAAAUUUUCUUUUUGAAAUAGGGGCAAAUUCGCUUCACUGAAUUCAGCUACCAUUGAAAUGCACAUCCGUGGGACUUUAAUUUCUGUUUAGGACCCUUCUAAAAAAUAGGAAUUUACUUUAUGUUCAGGACCCUCCUGAAAAAUGGGACUUUAAUUUAUGUUCAGGACCCUCCUGCAAAAUGGGAUUUUACUUCUAGUUCAGGACCCUCCUAAAAAUGAGAAUUUACUUUACGUUCAGGACCCUCCUGAAAAAUAGGACUUUACUUUAUGUUCAGGACCUUCCUGAAAAAUGGGAUUUUACUUUCUGUUCAGGACCCUCCAGAAAAAUAGAAAUUUAUUUUCUGUUCAGGACCCUCCUGAAAAAUGGGACUUUAAUUUCUGUUCAGGACCCUUCUGAAAAAUGGGACUUUACUUUAUGCUCAGGAUCCUCUUGAAAAAUAGGAAUUUACUUUCUGUUCAGGAACCUCCUGAAAAAUGAGAAUUUACUCUCAGUUCAGGACCCUCCUGAAAAAUGGGACUUUACUUUAUGUUCAGGACCCUCCUGAAAAAUAAGAUUUUACUUUCUGUUAAGGACCCUCCUGAAAAAUGAGAUUUUACUUUCUGUUCAGGACCCUCCAGAAAAAUGGAAAUUUAUUUUCUGUUCAGGACCCUCCUGAAAAAUGGGAUUUUAAUUUUUGUUCAAUACCCUCCUGAAAAAUGAGACUUUACUUUUUGUUCAGGACCCUCCUAAAAAUGGGAUUUUACUUUCUGAUCAGAACCCUCCUAAAAAAUGGGAUUUUACUUUAUGUUCAGGACCCUUCUGAAAAAUAAAACUUUAUAUUUUGUUCAGGACACUCCUAAAAAAUGGGAUUUUACUUUCUGAUCAAAAUCCUCCUAAAAAAUGGGAUUUUACUUUAUGUUCAGGACCCUCCUGAAAAAUAGAACUUUACUUUUUGUUCAGGACCCUACUGAAAAAUGGGAUUUUACUUUUUGUUCAGGACCAUACUAAAAAAUGAGAAUUAAUUUUCUAUUCAGGACCCUCCUGAAAAAUGGAAUGAUAAUUUUUGUUCAGGACUCUCCUGAAAAAUGAGAAUUUACUUUUUAUUCAGGACCCUCCUGAAAAAUGGGAUUUUACUUUACGUUUAGGACCCUCCUGAAAUAUGAGAGUUUACUUUUGGUUUAGGACCCUUCUGAAAAAUUGAAUUUUACUUUAUGUUCAGGAACCUCCUGAAAAAUGGAAAUUUACUUUCAGUUCAGGACCCUCCUGAAAAAUGGAACUUUAAUUUAUGUUCGGGACCCUCCUGAAAAAUGGGAUUUUACUUUCUGUUCAGGAUCCUCAUGAAAAAUGGAAAUUUAUUUUCUGUUCAGGACCCUCCUGAAAAAUGGAAUUUUAAUUUUUGUUCAGGACCCUCUUGAAAAAUGAGAUUUUAAUUUCUGUUCAGGACCCUCCUGAAAAAUGGGACAUUACUUUAUGUUCAGGAUCCUCCUGAAAAAAUGAGAAUUUACUUUCUGCUUAGGACCCUCUUGAAAAUGGGGAAUUUACUUUCAGUUAAGGACCCUCCUGAAAAAUGGGACUUUACUUUAUGUUCAGGACCCUCAUGAAAAAAUAGGAUUUUACUUUCUGUUCAGGACUCUCCUGAAAAAUGAGAAUUUAUUUUUGGUUCAGCACCCUCCUGAAAAAUGGGAUUUUAAUUUUUGUUCAGGACCCUCCUGAAAAAUGAGAGUUUACUUUUUGUUCAGGACCCUUCUGAAAAAUAGGAUUUUAAUUUAUGUUCAGGACCCUCCUAAAAAAUGAAACUUUACUCUAUGUUCAGGACCCUCCUGAAAAAUGGGAUUUUACUUUCUGUUCAGGACCUUUCUGAAAAAUGGAAAUUUAUUUUCUGUUCAGGACCUUCCUUAAAAAUGGGAUUUUAAUUUUUGUUCAGGACCCUCCUGAAAAAUAAGAUUUUACUUUAUGUUCAGGACCCUCCUGAAAAAUGAGAAUUUACUUUCAGUUCAGCACCCUCCUGAAAAAUGGGACUUUAAUUUAUGUUCAGGACCCUCCAAAAAAAUGAGAUUUUACUUUCUGUUCAGGACCCUCCUGAAAAAUGAAAAUUUAUUUUCUAUUCAGGACCCUCUUGAAAAAUAGGACUUUAAUUUUUGUUCAGGACCCUCCUGAAAAAUAGGACUUUAUUUUAUGAUCAGGACCCUCCUGAAAAAUGAAAAUUUACUUUCUGUUUAGGACCCUCCUGAAAAAUGAAAAUUUACUUUCAAUUCAGGACCCUCCUGAAAAAUGAGACUUUACAUUAUGUUCAAGACCCUCCUGAAAAAUGAGAUUUUACUUUCUGUUCAGAACUCUCCUGAAAAAAGGAAAUUUAUUUUCUGUUCUGGACCCUCCUAAAAAAUAGGAUUUAAAUUUUUGUUCAGGACCCUCCGGAAAAAUGAGACUUUACUAUUUGUUCAGGACCCUCCUGAAAAAUGGGAUUUUACUUUCUGUUUAGGACCCUCCUGAAAAGAGGGAUUUUACUUUAUGUUCAGGACCCUCCUGAAAAAUGGAACUUUACUUUAUGUUCAGGACCCUCCAGAAAAAAUGAGAUUUUACUUUCUGUUCAGGACUCUCCUGAAAAAUGAGAAUUUAUUUUCAGUUCAGCAUCUUCCUGAAAAAUGGGAUUUUAAUUUUUGUUCAGGACCUUUUUGAAAAAUGAGACUUUACUUUUUGUUCAGGACCCUUCUGAAAAAUAGGAUUUUACUUUAUGUUCAGGACCCUCCUGAAAAAUAGGAUUUUACUUUCUGUUCAGGACCUUUCUGAAAAGUGGAAAUUUAUUUUCUGUUCAGGACCUUCUUUAAAAAUGAGAUUUUAAUUUUUGUUCAGGACCCUCCUAAAAAAUAAGAUUUUACUUUAUGUUCAGGACCCUCCUGAAAAAUGAGAAUUUACUUUCAGUUCAGCACCCUCCGGAAAAAUGGGACUUUACUUUUUGUUUAGGACCCUCCAAAAAAAUGAGAUUUUACUUUCUAUUCAGGACCCUCCUGAAAAAUGAAAAUUUAUUUUCUAUUCAGGACCCUCCUGAAAAAUAGGACUUUAAUUUUUGUUCAGGACCCUCCUGAAAAAUAGGACUUUACUUUAUGUUCAAGACCUUCCUGAAAAAUGGAAAUUUAAUAUCUGUUUAGGACCUUCCUGAAAAAUGGAAAUUUACUUUCAAUUCAGGACCCUCCUAAAAAAUGAGACUUUACAUUAUGUUUACGACUCUCCUGAAAAAUGAGAUUUUACUUUCUGUUUAGAACUCUCCUGAAAAAUGGAAAUAUAUUUUCUGUUCUGGACCCUCCUGAAAAAUAGGAUUUAAAUUUUUGUUCAGGACCCUCCUGAAAAAUGAGACUUUACUAUUUGUUCAGGACCCUCCUGAAAUAUAGGAUUUUACUUUCUGUUUUGGACCCUCCUGAAAAUAGGGAUUUUACUUUAUGUUCAGGACCCUCCUAAAAAAUGGAACUUUACUUUAUGUUCAGGACCCUCCUGAAAAAUGUGAUUUUACGUUCUGUUCUGGACCCUCCUGAAAAAUGGAAAUUUAUUUUCUGUUCAGGACCCUCCUGAAAAAUGGGAUUUUCAUUUUUGUUCAGGACCCUCCUAAAAGCUGAGACUUUACUUUUUGUUCAGGACCCUCCUGAAAAAUGAGAUUUUACUUUCUGUUCAGGACCUUCCUGAAAAAUGGGAUUUUACAUUAUGUUCAGGACCCUCCUGAGAAACAAGAUUCUACUUUAUGCUCAGGACCGUCCUGAAAAAUGGGACUUUACCUUCUGUUCAGGAUCCUCCUGAAAAAUUAGAUUUUACUUUAUGUUUAGGACCCUCCUUAAAACUGGGAUUCUAUUUUAUGCUCAGGACCCUCUUGGAAAAUGGGACUUUACUUUAUGUUUAGGAGUCUCCUGAAAAAUGAGAUUUUACUUUCUUUUAAGGACCCUCCUGAAGAAUGAGAAUUUACUUUCAGUUCAGGUCCCUCCUUAAAAAUGGUACUUUACCUUCUGUUCAGGACUCUCCUGAAAAAUUGGAUUUUACUUUAUGUUCAGGACCCUCAUGAAAAUUGGGAUUCUACUUUAUGCUCAGGACCUUCCUGAAAAAUGGGAUUUUACUUUCUGUUCAGGACCCUCCUGAAGAAUGUGAAUUUAUUUUUAGUUCAGGACUCUCUUGAAAACAUGGGAUUUUACUUUCUAUUCAGGACCCUCCUGGAAAAUGGGACAACGCUUUCAAAAAUGAAAUACUACUUUACUGUAAUUUUUGUUUGGGAUAAUUUUCGUUCUAGUUUUAAUUUUGGGUUUGAGGAGCCCGCCUGAAGAACAGGGUGAUGAAAUAGCAAGUCAGGAGCCAGCCUGGAGAACAGAGUGAAGAAAUGAAAAGUCAAGCAACAAAAUGAUGAAAUAGCAAGUCAGGAACCCUCCUGGAGAAUAGGGUAAUGAAAUAAAAAGUCAAGCAACAAAGCGAAGCAAUUGAAAACCAAGCAACAAGUUGAAAGAAAUUGCAAGUCAGGAGCCUGCCUGAAGAAUAGGGUGAUAAAAGUCGAGUCAAGAGCCAACAGAAGCUGUAUAGAUAGGAUUUUGUAAUUUCAUUUAUGUUUUAACUUGUAAUUUUAAUUUUUGAUGUAAUGACAAAGCCGCGAACCGAAACCUCGAUGGAACUUCACUCGACUCUCCAACUCGGUAUAGUCCACUUCUCUUUCAACCCUUUGAGAUACUUGUGACUUCCUCAUGACUUGGGUAGAUAGGGUGUCCGACAGGAUUCGAUUGUCCUUCCUUCUUUUACUCCUUUCUUUGAAUAAUGAUCGGGACAAAAUUCGGCCUCGUUGUUUACUUCUUUGUCUGAAAACAUUAUGUGUUUAAAUUCAAAGGGGGCAUGAUGUAGACACGUAAUUUUGUCCCUCGCCGAUAUCGUUUUACCGAUUUUUACCUUAUCCUACCCAUGUAAUUACAUCCCAUAAAAAUACAAAAAAUAACUCUCAACAAAAUCCCUAACAAACUUUUAUUCUUUUUAACAUCCUAACAACCCUUUCAAUUAAAAUAAGACACAUAAACCAUACCCCUACCCCCAACACCCCAUACCCACAUGAACUUCUCCUCCUCAUAUUUCUUGUCUACAAAGGCAAAAAGGGAUAAACAUUAAAAAAGGGCCCCGCUAGGAAACUUCCAUGAAAGGGACAAAAAAGGACCAUUUUCUCCAUUUUUUGAAAAAAGGACCAUAUAUAAAGAUUCACGCCUCACACAAUUAGGGGGAGCAUAAUAUUCAUCAGGUGGGGCCCACAGGGAAGAAGAACAACUCCUUCUCCAUUUUUUCCAUUGGAAGACUUAGAGCAAACAGAGGACUGAAGCAUAGACUCCAUUUUUCAAUUUUCACUUUCUGAGAAUUCACUUUCUUCUCCAUAAAAAGACUCCAUAGAACACACUCACUUUGACACAAAACCAUUACCAUCAUCUUCCAUUUUCAUCUUCACAGAAAAAAAUAGAAUCACGCACAGUCACCAUCGACUGGGGACGCGCACACCAAUCAGACUUUACUCAUACACACGAAACACUCCCAGAUUCCUUCUCUACACUAAAUAGCACACACUUAAUAGGAUAAAAAGAGAGAGGGUAACAGAAAGAGAGAGGAAACAAAGAGAGCGAAAGGAGAUCGAGAGGGACAACAGAGAUUUUCCGGCAAACUCGUCGCCGGAGCUACUCACCGGAGCUCAGUUCCUAUAGGUUUCCAGUUUAUUUGGAAUUUUUGAAGCUUCAGGUUCAUCUGACUCAGUGAUUCAUUAUUGAAAUUGCAUUUGGGUCGGUGAAAACAGUGAAGGCUUUGCCGAGUUGGGGUUCGAUUGGAGAUUGUUGAUUCGAGGUUCGUGUUUUGGUUCUAGUCGGAGCUCUAAACAAAUGCUUUGAUGGAUUGAAAUGAAAUUGAGGUCCGAUUCUAUCUUCUCUCGCUUUAAUUUUUACAUUAUCGUGAAUGAUUUGGGUGUUUGGUAUGUUUGAAUUUUGAUUGCGUAUUGGUUGAUGUUGGAUUUGAAUGUUGAAAAGUGAAUUGAUAAUUGAAGCAUGUGUUAAUCAUUGAUUGAUAAGAAUGAAGUUGGGGGUGGGAAUCGAAAAUUGAUGAAAGUGAAUAUUAUAGUAUUUUGAUUCAUUGUUGUGUUUGAAUGUAAAUGUCACCAAAUUGGAUAGGCAAACGCAGGUUGGGUAGGCAAAGUUUGAAAUUUGUGGUUUUUGUUGAAGAUUUGAAAUUUUGUUGAAUGUUUGAAAAUUGGGUGAAUGAUUUGGUUUUCUCACAUUGAAAAAAUGUAUUCAUUUGGCCGGAGAAUGCCCCGAGGUAUUUGUAUUGAUUUAUCCAGGGAAUGCUCCGAAGAAUUUUGUACCCGGAGGACAUUCGUGAUCAAGGCCCGAGGCAUCGGGUAGAGCACGGGAGUUUAGUUUAGGAUUAGUUUAGAAUAGAGUAGGUUUAUAUUUUUGCAUUUUUUUUCUAUUUUGGGAUUGUAAUAGUCGGACUGGACAUUAUAAUUUUGGAUUUGUUUUGUUUGUUUGUUUGAUUGUUCGUUUUUUGUGAUUUUGUGUGGUUUAUAUAUUCAUAAUAUCAAAUUAGUCUAUACGCUCCGCCAAGCAACCAUGGUCAAACCACGGGAUCGAGGGGUUCCUAACACCUUUCCCUCGAUCAACAGAAUUCCUUAGCCAGAAUCUCUAUUCGCAAACCAGUUUUAAAGAGUCAAACUAUUUCGAAAAGAAUUUUCCAAAGGUGACUUGGCACACCGGAUUAUGCCAAGUGGCGACUCUGAAUUUAAUUAUUAAAAAAUCCUUUUCGGAACAAAAUUUUCAUUUUUUCUCACUUAAUAAUAAAACUCUUUCGAACUUAAAAAUUAAUUUUUUGGAGUACGAAAAAAAGGUGUGUCAAAACUUACUACAAAUAUCAAGAGCAGAAGCCAAAACUUUAAGCGGUGGCCAGGUACCCUUGACAUAGUGCCCCCACCCCCUGAAGAAAUAUGUACGAUUCGAGCAAUGUUGGUAGUAUACAGAUUUAUGUUCUUCCCCCUGAUAGUUGUAGAAAAUAACUCACCAAUGGCCACCUCAUUAGUAUAAAAUUCAUAUACUUCAUGUUUAGCAAACUUCCUUUGAAGAUCACCCUGAAGAAAUAGGUGUGACCAUCCUUGAAACUCCAGUUUCUCCAACACGAUUUGCAUGGAAUCACCACCAAAACCAUUAACAACAUGACCCCUAGCUAAUUUAUGCUUUUGAAAAUGGAGAUAGUGCUCAGCAGGAGUUCCCUGAUGUGAAGAAGUAUUAGGGAUUUCAAAAUCAGGAUCCAAUUCAGUAGUAGGAUCAAUAGGGGAGUCAGACUCAUAUGAUUCAGAAGGAACAGGUUUGGUGACCUGUUUCUUCAUAUAAGAGGAUGAUUUUGCAGGAGAUGCUUUGGAUGAGGAUGAAACUUUGGAGGGAAAGGAGGGUUAAAGAGACGAAGAAGCUUUUGGGGUAUGGGAGGAUUUUAUCUGAGAGGAGGGUUUGGGAACUUUUGCUUUGAUGUUUUUACCCUUACGCUUAGAGCAAAGAAGAAUGUUAGGUGAGGAGGGAGAAGGAGGAGGAGGAGCAGACUUAGCAACAUGCCUCCGCUUGCUUGCUUAAAGAUUUUUUGCAAGGGAAGCAUCUUCCUGAUUCUUUCGCUGACGAGUAUGUGGAGUUCGUUAAGUGGGUCGAACAGGAAUAGGUUCGCCAAAUUUGUGAUCGUCAACAACAAUGGGUGGUAAGGAGAAAUUUUUUUUAGAUCUUGACUUUUGUAGAAUCAAUUCUGUAAUAGGGAUAUCAUCACAAUCAAUGAUUUGAAGUGGAAUUAGAGGUGGGAAUGUGGGUUCAGAGGAUGAUGAAGGUUUUGAAGAAAAUUUGGCAAAGGGAUUUUUCAGAUUUUGGAACAUGGCAAAAUCGGAUAGUUUGUUUGAGAUUUAGGGAGGAAUAAGUGGAGGUAAAGUGAUAUCAGGAUGAAGAAUAAGUGCUAUUGAGGGGGUGGUGGUAGAGUCUGUGGAUGGAGUAGAAGAAGAAAAAGCCAUGGUAAAGGAGACAGAAGCAAUAAUUUUUUGGUUUCGUGAUUUAGUGUUUGAAGUAAUGAAAGAUGAGAAGAGAGAAAGUGUAUUUAAAGUGAAGAAGGAGAAGAUGAAUCGUGUGUGAAGUAUACUUUGUGAAGGAAACGUAAUAAUUAAGAGGGUCAGUUCUGAUGUGAAAGGAUGAUAGCCUUUCUGAAGAAAUAGGACUCUUGGAUUUUGGCAGUUUAAAUAAAAUACAAAGAACCAUGUAGUCAACAUGUUUCCCUUUAUGCCACUACAGGUAACUGUAAGCGUACCUUAAUGUUGAGGAUAAAAUGGAUAAAUUUGCUCCUGUGUACCUGUCUUUCUGCAAAAUCAGCACAUAAAUGGGUCAAUUCACUCUGAAUCCUAGAAUAAGGAUACACAACUUAAGGUGUGAGACAGAAUUAAUCAACAAUCACUUUAAGAUUAAGUUAUUCUAAUCAAGCAUAGAGGGAGACUUAUGCAAUUUUAAUCACCCCCAAGGCUAACCUAUUUUUCUCAAACUGUUCUCUACUUAAAGCCUUAGUGAAAAUGUCAGCAAUUUGUUCUUCAGUAGAACAAAACAUAAUUGAUAUAUGACUUUUUUCAAUAUUAUCUCUAAGAAAGUGAUGUCUAAUAUCAAUAUGCUUAGUUCUUUUAUGUUGAACAGGAUUUUUGGCUAUGUUAAUGGCACUUGUAUAAUCACAAAAAAUGGGAACACAACCAACAUUUAUACCAAAGUCCAAUAGUUGUUGGUUAAUCCAUAGCAAUUGAGCACAACAAGAACCUGCAACAACAUAUUUAGCUUCAGCAGUAGACAAGGCUACUGAAUUUUGCUUCUUAGUGGACUAGGUAAUCAAACAAGAUCUAAGAAAGUGUACCAUGCCUGUAGUGCUCUUCCUGUCAACCAACUAGCAUGUAUAAUCAACAUCAGAGUAUCCUACCAAAUCAAAGUUACUACCUUUGGGAUACCAUAAGCCAAGAUCACUAGUUUCCUUUAAGUAUCUGGAGAUUCUUUUCACUGAUUUUAGAUAUGAUUCUUUAGGCUUUGCUUGAAACCUAGCACAUAGCCCCACACUGAACACAGUGUCAGGCCUACUUGCUGUAUGGUAUAAUAAUGACCCUAUCAUACCUCUAUACAUUUUUUGCUCCACAUCAGGACUUGUUUCAUCUAGAUCAAGCUUUGUAGUUGUGGCAAUAGGAGUACUGAUCUCUUUUGCUUCUUCCAUGGAGAAUCUUUUGAGAAUUUCUUUUGCAUACUUUUGUUGAUGGAUCACUGUCCCUGAUGCUGAUUGUUUUAUUUACAAUCCCCAAAAGUAAUUCAGUUCCCAUGCUCAUCUCAAAUUCACAACUCAUGAGUCAUAUUCAUGUUGGUUGAAUAAAAAAUAAUGUCAUCCAUAUAUACCUGCACAACUAACAAAUUCUUUUCAUUAGUUUUCAAGAAAAAGGUAUUGUCAAUUUUACCUCUGGUAUGACCAUUCUCUAGUAAAAAAUUUGACAAUCUUUCAUACCAAUCCCUUAGGGCUUGUUUUAACCCAUACAGAGCCUUGUCCAGUUUGUACACAUGAUCAGAAAACUCCUUGAUUUCAAAUCCUGGAGGUUGCUUAACAUAAACCUCCUCUUUGAGAAUGCCAUUAAAGAAUGCACUCUUUACAUCCAUCUAAUACAGAAAAACUCCAUAUAUGCAUCAAAGGCAACAAGUAAUCUUAUAGCUUCAAGUAUAGCUACAGGAGCAAAAAUCUCAUCAAAGUCAAUUCCUUCUUCUUGAUUAUAUCCUUGGACCAUCAAUCUUGCCUUGUUUCUUGUAACUGUUCCAUGCUUAUCAACUUUAUUUUUGUACACCUACUUAGUCCUUAUUACUGAUUUAUCUUUGAGGAGAGGGACUAAGUGUCAUACUUUGCUUUUCUCAAACUGAUUCAACUCUUCUUGCAUGGCUAAAAUCCAAUCAGCAUAAAGAAAUACUUUAGUUACCUUCUUAGGCUCAAUAUCUGACAAAAAUACCUUGAAGGCACACAUACUUCUCAAACCAGACCUUGUAGUGAUCUCAAAGGUGAGGUAUUAUCAAUAGGAUGUGAUUCUUGAUAUUUGUAUCCUUUUGGGAUCAAGCUUAGUGAGCUACUAGGAUCACUGCUGAUAUUCUGAGCUGGAGUAGUUGGUGGCUCAGUUCCCCCUGUCACUGUACCUUUAGAUUCAGUUUCCCUAUCAAGAUGCUUCCUUGUUUAGUAACUUCGGUCGAUGAACCGGGUUGUGUAACCUGUUCCUUAGUGUCACUUUCUUUCUGCAGAUUAGUCUUAUCACAGGAUUCAUUAAAAACCAGGCUUUCUUCAACAUAAUUAGUUCUGUUCUUUAAAACCCUAUAAGCCUUACUAUAAAGUGAGUAACCUAAGAAGAUUCACUCAUCACUUUUAGCAUCAAAUUUUCCUAGAUUGUCCUUUCCAUUAUUAUGUAUAAAAUAUUUACACCCAAAGAUUCUAAAAUGAGAAAUAUUUGGCUUUCUUCCUUUUAGUAAUUCAUAGGGAAUCUUCUCUAACAUAGGUCUGAUCAUGCAUCUAUUUAUGAUAUAUGUUGCAGUACUUAUUGCCUCAACCCAUAAGUUUUUUACAACAUUUGCUGCAAGUAUCAUUGUUCUAGCCAUAUCUUCCAAAGUUCUAUUUUUUCUCUCCACAACUCCAUUUUGCUAUGGUGUUCUAUGAGUUGAGAAGUUAUGAUCUAUACCAUUUGCUGAAUAGAAUUCAAAGAACUUUACAUUCUCAAAUUCUGUACCAUUGUCAGACCUCAUGGAAACUAAUGAAGUGCCUAGUUUUUUUUCAAUUUUCUUAAUGAAAAUUUCAAAGACAUCAAAGGCAUCUUCUUUAGAGGUUAGAAACAAAGUCCAGGUGAACCAGGAAUAAUCAUCAGCAAUCACAUAAACAUACCUUUUUCCACCUCUGCCUUGAAGUAUCAUGGGUCCACACAAGUCCAUAUGAACCAGGUCAAGGAACUUGGUAGUGCUAACAUGGUUCUUUGACUUAAAAGAAAAUCUUACCUACUUCCCCCUUACAUAUGCACUACAUAACUUUUCUUCUUUCAACUAGGUUUUGGGUAAUCCCAAUACCAUAUCUUUAGAGGAAAGUAUGUUUAGUUGUUUUAGACUUGCAUGACCAAGUUACCUGUGCCAAAGGAGGGGAUUAUUUUCUAUGGCACUUAGACAAGUCAACUCAGGUCUUGGUAGUGCCAUGAUGUCAACUUUGUAUACAUUUAUGUAUCUUCUUGCAGUGAGCAUAAUCUCUUUGGUGUCCAUUCUUUUGACUUUGACUCCUGCAGCUGUAAAAAUAACUUUAUUACCUUUGUCAUAUAGUUGUGAGAUGCUCAGCAGGUUUUGCUUUAAUCCUUCUACAAGAUAGACAUCCUUCAAUGCUUUCGACUUAGAUGAGCCAAUUUUUCCAACUCCAGUAUGAUUCUCUUUUUUCCAUCACCAAAAGAAACUCCUCUUUUAUCUAUUUUGUAGAGUGAAAGGAACUAAUUCUUAUCACCAGUCAUAUGCCUUGAGCAAGCACUAUCUAAGUACCAGUGCUUUUUGUGUCCUUUCACCUUCUCCUUCAAAAGAAAUCAAUGGUUAGACUUAGGAACCCAGACAAACUUGAGUCCUAUUUUAUGAGUGAAAGGAUGAAUCAAGUUUCUUCUAGUCCAUUUAGGCAACAUAUAGUGCAACCUUUUUCUCUGACCAGAACUAGUCUUUUUUAUUUUUGGUCUGAGAAAAUCUGUUAGCCAUGUUUUGACUAUUUGAUCUGCUUCUAGCAGCCACAGGACAUUCAGUAGUGGGAUGUCCCAGGCUGCCACAAAUGUAGCAUAAAUCUUUUGGAUCAUCAACACCUUUGUGGAAUCCCAAACCUAUCUUUUCAUUCUAAUUUCUUUCACUCAAUUUGUGAACAAUUCUUGAGGAGUUUUCCACCUAUUUUCCCUUUCAAGAUCAAGUUUUAGGUUAGAAACUUCUUAACUCAGCUUAUUCAUUUUUUUUAGUUAAAUUAUGGCAUUCUUGUUUAUAUUUAACUAGAUCAAGUUCAGCAUUUUCUUGUUCUUUACUUAUGGCCUUUUUCCAUUUUUAGUGAGAGUUAAUUUGAGAAUUUCAAACUUAAAAUCAUUGUUUGAAAUCUCAAGUUCUGCAACCUGCUUCUUGAUAGUGCAAUUUUCCUUGUCAACUGUACCUGUACAAGCCUUUAAAUCAAUGAGAUCAAAAUUGAGGCUUGCAAGACUAUUGAACAUUUCAUCGCUAUCAGAGUUUAACUCUUGGAAAUUAUUAAUCAAUGCACUCAUCAGGGAAAUAAGUUUUGGUUUUGAAAACAACUGUAGUUCUUCUUUGAGUUCAAGUAUACUUACCUAAGAACCACCAUCUUCUUAAUCUAAGUCUGAAUCUCUAAGAGCCAUGAAUGUAGUUUCAUCAACUUCAUCUUUAUCUAAAUUAGAUUCCCAGACUACUAUCAUUGCAUAUUUCUCCUUCCUUUUUGCCCUUAAUUUAUUUUCAGCUCUUUCCUUCUUCUAUUCUAUUUCCCAGACUGGACAGUCUCUGAUCUGAUGAUCCAUUUUGCCACACUUGUAGUAGCUAUUUGGAUUGUCAUUAAAACUUUUCUUAGUACCUGUUCCCUUCUUCUUCUUAAAGAAUUUGCUGAAAUUUUUAGUUAUGAAGGCAACUUGCUCCUUAUCAAGUUCAAAUUACUCAUCACUAUCAGAGGCUUUUAAUGCCAAGACUUUCUUAGGAGCUGCUUGUUUUUUGAUUCCAUCUACUUCCAUUUCAUAAGUCCUUAAGUUCCCUACUAGUUCAUCUAGGGUUAUACCUGCAAGAUCCUUAUUUACCUCCUUGACUGCAGUUACCUUGACAUUCCAUUUUGAUUUAGGUAAUACCCUCAGUACCUUUUUAACUUGUUCCUCCUCAGAUAUGACUUUUCCUAAGGAAGUCACCUCAUUUGUUAAGGUAGUAAGCCUUGUCAUCAUCUUAUGUAGGGUUUCAUUUUCCUUUAUUUUGAAUGCCUCAUACUCAGUGAAAUGGAGAGAGAUCCUAAAUUUUCUUACUUGAGAGGUACCUUCAUGACCAUUCACCAGUGCAUCCCAAAUUUGCUUAGUAGUAGUGCAGGUUGAUACCCUGUAGUAUUCAGCUGGUCCUAAUCCACAAAACAAGAUAUUCUUAGCCUUUGCAUUUUUCUUCAAAGCCAACAAGUCAUCAGGAGUAAAUUCACUCCUUACUUUCUUGACUUGUUCGCCAUCAACCAAAUUCAUUGGAAUAGUGAGACCAUCAGUAAUCCUGUCCCAUAAUUCAUAGUCUUUACCUUGGAUGAACAACUCCAUCCUUGUUUUCCACCAGAUAAAGUGAGAAGGAGGUGCGAAAUUCAUUAUGUUGAUCUUUUCUUAGGUGCUAGCCUUAUUUAAGACAAAUCGCUCUGAUACCACUUGUAAGAGUACGAGCCUUACUACUUUUAAUAUUAAACUCUACUGAUUGCCUAUCUGUGAAACAAGUAAGUAAACGUGGUUCACAGAAGUAAAAACUGAACACAAUGUUUUUACGUGGAAAACGCCUAGCUAAAGAAAGGUGUAAAAAACCAUGACCUGUACCUCUACAGAAUUUAAUCCCAACUUCACUAUAACUCUUGAGCCUCAACAAUCAACAAAAUUACAAUACUUCUUGUAAACUAGGAAUUAAAACUUCUAACUCCUAUAACUACAAAAACAUAAAUCUUCCCAAGAUAAGUGUUCCCCAAGUCUUCGGGUUCCCUAAAUUAAAGACACAACUCCUAACUCGGUUUAUAGAUUACUGAGACUAGAAUAAUGACUCAAUACAACUCAAAGAACCUUACUACUAUAAACAUUCUAAGACUUGCUAAGUAAGGAACCCUAUUCUGCUUCAAGUAAGCGAACUACUUUGCUGAUUGUUGAUUAUCUUAUUAGUGCAUGAGUGAAUGCUUUGAAAGUCAUUUCUUCUAUUUAAGCCAACACCUGAUAGAUUCCUUUAGUUGAUGUAUAUUUCUACCCUCACUAGGACUCCCAGGUGUUUCACUCAUUCUUUACUGCCUUCUCCCCCUCUUGUUGUUUGAAUAGGACUCUUCUUGAUUAUCUCAUAAUUUCUGUAAAACUUCUUGUUCGACUGAACUUCUUUAAGAUUUCUUGUUUAACUCAACUUAUUCAAGACUUCUUGUUCAAACAAAACUUCUUCAAGAUUUCUUGUUCAAAUCAACUUCUGCAAGACUUCUUGUUGGGAUAAGUGUUAUCCACUUUUAUUUUAUACGCAGAGUCAUUUUUUUCAAUAACUUGCCUGCAGCUUUGUUCACUUGGAUGGAACAACUUGCACAACAUAUUUCAUUCACAUGUCCAUCAUCAAAACUUCACAUGCCCUAACAUUUGAAUAAUUAAUUAAUUAUUUGUUCAAUUUUGUUUGUCAUUUUGCAUCCAGUACAAUAAUAAUUCAUAUGUGUAUAUUUUUCAUGAAAAUGACUUAUUAGGUUACCUUGGUGACUAGUUUAUAAAUGUAACACCCCUGACUUUUUGACAGGUAUAUAAAGCUUAGGAGGAGCCCUCAAGACCCCUAGAUCAAGAAUAAACCACUUUACGAUAAGUUGGGAUGUCUUGGAGGCACUUUCAGAUGAAAAUGGAGGGCAUGCGAUGUGAGAGGGACCUGUGUGAUGGCCCCGUGCCGCGAGGGGAUACUUCCUCAACCCUAAGGAGAUCCCCACACAUAUUAUUGUGAUUGAUGAAAUGAAUGGAGUCUUACGUGUUGUUUUCACUUGAUUUACCGACUCUUAUGCAUAUGAUUUUGAAGGACAAGACUUAUGCUAUAAAUUGCACUACUACUUAUGGUGUCAAUUUGGGUACAACUUAAUGAGUGAGUUCUCUUAAGUUUUUACAAGAAUUAUGAUUAUGAAAUGUCUUUUGCCUAAGCCACAAUAUUGAUUUAAAAGGUCUUAGAAAUUGACUUAUGGUAUACUUCAUGGUGGCCAACAAUUCAUGACAUGAAAGAGAUGAAACAAAACAUGUAAUAUGGCUGAUGGGACUUGCAAGCCUGGGUAUGGCGAUACCAAAUCAGACAAAUGUCAUUUCAGACUACAGACCACGUUUUAAGAAAAAUGUAUGUUUUAAGUGGCUAAAAUUUGGCCUUAAAGAGACUUAGGUGGCUAACCGAGAAGGCACAAGUUCAAAUAACUCAUAGCCUGAAAUCCUGCUUUGCUGACGUGGGAUUAAUCUUGUCCUGGAAUACAGACGAUUAUUGUAUACUUGCUAUAUGCUUUGGUAUACUAGACCAGACACUUCAAUCCUUGCGACAAACUCGGAUUGGGGGAUUGACCGACGUGUCAAUGUCGGACCCUGCAUAACACAUAGAGUUUUGCAGACCAUGUCGAGUAUGCCACCUAGCUCAAAACUAAAGAACAUCAUGAAGUGGUUUCAAAAAGCAGUUUUGAAUUGAAAAUCUAUGUUUUCAGGCUGAUUUGAUAUUAUGUGACCCCAUAUUAUGAUUCUUAUAUUGUUUUCACUGUUAUGCUAUUUUUAAAAGUUAUUUCAUUUGGUCGUUCUACAUAAUAAAACAUUCCAAGUAUUGAUCAUCCUCAGGCGGUUGCAUUAUCUCAUAAUGUAGGUUCUGAGACUAGUCCCACGGUCCAGUAGCAGUACACUUUCUUCAAAGUUCAUAGUCAGUGAGUCUCCCUUGUUAGGAAGACUUUUACUAUUAUGUUAGUUUCUUUCAGUUUCAUGGUCCGGCCGGGAGCCUUGUCACGGCUUAGACAGAUAAAUCAUCAUUAAAGGCUUCAUAAACUGGAUUGGAUUUAUGUUUCAGUAUGACUUGAUGUAAUAAGUUUGAUUAUGCGAUUUUUCAUGUUACAUUAAUAAGUUUGAUUAUGAGAUUUUUCAUGUUACAUUAUAUCUUCCGCUUUACAUGUGAAUUAUGUUUAUGAUAGUAUGCUAAGGAGUCUCUAGGACCUUGGUAGUUCGGGAUACCUGUCGCGGCGAGGAUCUCGGCUCGGGUCGUGACAAUAAAGGUUCUUGUAAAGGAGGUUAAUUAAGUAGAAUGUGGUCUAGAAUUUCUUAGCAAAAAAAAAAAAAAAGAACUUCGAGUUUGCAUUGAUUAUCACAAACAAAAAAUUGAACCGCUUGCUCUUUAAAUAGGUUGGUCUUUAAUUUUUGCCCCUCACAACUAAACUUGCGUUAAGUGGGACAUAAAUCCUCUUAGAAAUUGAAGCUAUAUGGGGUAUAACUUGUGGGAUACUACAAUAUGAAAAUACAAAUUUAUGCCCUACGAAAAAGUGUCCGUUACGAGGGGCAAAAUUAAAGACAAUUAACAUUAACCAAACAAGGAAAGACAAGGAAAGAAGUUAAGAAGCAAACAACUUUGAUAACAUUAACCAAACUGCAGUUAGUGUUAAAAAUCGAAGCAUGACUUCAAUGAAUAUCGGAAAAAUUUUACUACUGAUCAUUUGAAUGAUGCAUCUAGAUCAAGGUACAACGCUAAUGACAUAAAAUAUCAUCUUAAAGUUUGCGCAUAAGCAGAGGAGCACCAUACUGUGGAUGAAUAAUAAUUGUUGCAAAUGGAGCAUGUGUAUAAGAUGGAGAGAGCUCGAAGGAGAACUUGUGUAGUAUCAUUGCUAUUGCCAUUUUUGCUUCCAUCAUCGCAAAUUUCUGUCCGAUGCAAACACGGGUUCCCCAGAUAAAUGGGAUAAAUGAGACUUGUCCUUUUGUUGCCUUUGACACUCCACUGAAUCUUUCUGGUUUGAAUUUCUUCGCGUCUUCACCCCAUACUUCCUUAUCAUAAUGUACUAGGAUGGCGGGUAUAAUAAGUAUCACUCCAGCUGGUACAUUUAGAUCUCCCAGUUUGACUUCCUCACUAGUCCUUCUACCAAACACUGGCAAUGGGGGGAAUAGCCUUAACGUCUCAUACAAGAUCAUUGUUACCUAAAGAAAAAAAGUAUUGCAUAAGUUGGCAGUAGAUGAGCACGUUCGGUAAAUACCAAAAGUGAUUUUAACCCAACACUAGCAGAAAUGCUUAUGGAAAUGUUUAUACCAGACAAGUUAGUUGUUUGUGCUUUUAUCUGAACAUGGAACUGUCUAGUUGUUCAAUCGAUUUCGACACAUAAAAAUGGUUUUCAACACUUAAUGUUUAUCAACUACUCUCAAUUAGUUAAGCCAAUCUGGUUCUUAGUUCACUAAGGAUUACUUUAUCGAGGACACAAAGCAUACUCAUUAAAAGAUUGGAAUAAAAACAACUUGUGAAAAGUACUUACAAUUUUCAAGCUAUUUAAUCCUUCCAAAUCUGGUUUAUCAUUUCCAAAGAUAUGUAACACCUCCUCUUUGGCACGUACUUGCCACUCUGGAUGUAAGCACAGCAAAAUCAUUGUCCAUACGAGUAACACUGAAGUUCUCUCUUGUCCAGCAAAAUAGAAUAGUUUGCGCUCGUCUACCACUUCUGAUAUAGUCAUUCCAAAAUCUUUUCUACAAUGAAGCUCAAUUUCUUUCAAAUUGGAUUCAAGUAAUAUGCCCAAUAAGUCAUCUUUACUAGUCUCCCCUCCUUCCAUUGCCCUCAAUCUUUUGUCGAUGAUACGCCUAAUUGUUGUUUGGACUUGCUCUUCGAUUUCAAGCAUUUUUUUGUUCCUUUUAGUAGGCAAGAACCUAUAUAAACAAAUUUAAGGCAAACAAGAAAAGUCUUUUGAGAAGAAAGGAAGAGCACAGUUUCUUUUGUAUUGGAGUAAUUUGUUAAGGGUUGGAUUUUUCAUAUUUAACGGCAGAACGUUUCGAACAUAGAAAUGUAAUGUACACAAGUUUUUGCACCUUGAUCCAGGUAUAUAAAUUGAUUGUCCCUUUUCAAUUACAUCUUCAUCUUGUUCUUGCUGAAGUUCAAAUACCAUUCUUCCUUCUUCAUAGCUACUUCCAAAUGCAAUGUGAGAUAUAACUUCACUGGUCCUUAUUUGAAGGUCUGGCCACACAUCGAGUUCAAAUGAUUUUUCAUUUGGAACAAUCUCCUCCCAUUUACUUAACAUUUCACUACAACUCGCAUAAAAUGCGGGUAGCAUAUGCUGUAAACAAAUGAAAAACCAGCAAAAGUUUGUUAUGGAUAUCUCCUUAAUGAUAAGGCAUCUCAAUAUGCAAUCUUAAGUCAAAGGCGUGCAUAUGUUCAAUUUAUUGUCUUACUUCCCUUUUAAGUUUGUUUAAAGAAAAAUAUCAUUUUCUAUAUUUAGAAAUUCUUGAAUUCCAAUAUGGUGCAUGGCAUGUUAAAUACAAAAACAUCAAUUCAAAGAGUACUUUGGUACAUUAUACACAUUCUUUGUAAUAAUCCAGACUUUUAAUGAGGGGUAAGUGGGUAAUUUAGCCAUUAUUAUUAUUAUUAUUAAUUAAUUAAUAUAAUUAAAGUGAGUAAUUCAAAAGUCAAAAUCCAUUCCCUUACUUUGCUUUUCACAACUUAAAAAAAAAAACUGAAGGAGUAGAAUAUAGGGUUUUAUUUUUGGUCCCAUUAUUUUGAGAGAGAACAAGAAGAAGACGUAAAAAAAAAUUGGGGAGUGCAGACAACUUUAGAAGGGAGCAAAACAAGUUUUCAUAAGAAGCAGGUAUGAAAUUCUCCCUUGAUUCUUUGGCACAAAGAUAGUUAAUGCAUCUUGUUGUGUUUUGAAAAAAGCAAAAGAUUCAAUGAAUACUAGUAGGAUCCUUUUUCUAAUUGUAUGUUAGUGUGGAAAAAAUAUUAGAGUCAUGAUUUCUAAUCAAAGGUAAAAGCAUGUCGUGAUUACACCAUGAUUGGUGAAUGAUUGCUUAGCAAUCUUAGAACAUUGACAAGGCUUCAAGCCAUUACUUUUAUUCGUCAAAGUUAAUAUUGGAAUAGUGUUUCUAUGGGAUUUUUUUUUAUAUUGUUUUAUUUAUAUGAGAUUCUACUUCGAAAUAUGAGUAUUAUUAUAUUAAGCGAAAUUUUUACCAAUUAAGUUUGAAUAGUGAGAUAAAGAUCUUUCUAAAUUUUGGGUUUAAUAUGUGAGAUAGUAAGGUUUAGUUCUAAGAUUAAAAGUUAGGAAUAUUGAGACUUGACCGGAUUUGCUUAAUAUCAUUAAUUAAUAUUUUGGUAUAGAUUGGGGGCUAUUGGAGGUUGUUUGGUUGGUGUUCUACGCGUUGCAAGGUUGAAAAUUUUGUCAUUAGCGAGGUAAGUGAGACUUUAAGCUUUGGUGCUUGCUUUUCAAUUUUUUUUUAAAAAUAUAUUUUUAUCUGUCCAGUCCAUGUGUUGGGACGAACGUGUGCUUGGAAGAAUCAACGGUCUUUAAGGCCGGACGCAUAUACUUUAUGUUAAGAAUACUAAUUCUCCUUUUUUAUAAAUUAUUUCGUGAUGUGCUAUGAUUGUGUACUGUGAGAUUGGGAUAUUGUGUAUGCUUCUUAAUUCCUUUAGGGCAUUGUAUAUGCUUCUUAAUUGCUUUGGGCAUUCUGUAUGCUUCUUAAUUCCUUUGGGCAUUGUGUAUGCUUCUUAAUUCCUUUGGGGCAUUGUGUAUACUUUCCUUGAGCAUUGUAUAUGUUUGUUGAUUUUAUAUGGGGCAUUGUGUAUGCUUUCCUUGAGUAUUGUGUAUGCUUGUUGAUUUGAUAUGGGACAUUGUGUAUACUCCCCUUGAGUAUUAUGUAUACUUCUUAUAUAUUUAAUGCAUUUUAUAUGUUGCCCGAAACCUCUGGUGUUGGCUAAUUACUUUAAUUACAAAUUAUGAUAAGUGCUCUGUAUGAAAUUGUAUUGAGACAUAUGUUUCUUGAUGAAGGAUUGUUGAGCCUCGUUGGUUACCUUAUUAUGAUAUAGUUCCGUGUGUAAUAAUUUUAUGUUCUUGGUGUUGUUUUAUUUUCUAAUACUUGUCCCAGAAGUACUUAAAUCAGCGAGCCGAUUAUCUUACUAAGUUAUAUUUACAUAUAGCUUACUCCUUACUUACAUAUCUACAGAUACCAUUGCGGAGAGAGAGACCAGUGGCUGACGGUUCUUACACACGAAUUACAGUGCUGAGGUGAACCUUCCCAUUGGUUGUGAAGGCUGUCAUUCAGCAUUAGAUCUUUUAGAUUACAUUUCUUUUUGUUGGUUUUGCAUGCCCGAAAGUUGAACUCAUGUAACUCUGUUUAGAUGCUCCAUGAACUUAGAGUGGGACUUGGGUUAGAGGUUUGAUAUCUACACUACUGUUAUUUUCAUAAAUCUCUAAGCGAUAUCUUGUUGGAUACUUACUCUGCGUUAAUGAUUAUUUCAUACAUGUGGGGUUGUAUAUGUGUGUUUGUAGACCAUAUGAAUGUAUGAAAAAUUGAUUCUCCCGAUAAGUGGUGUUAGCGGGAGCCAGUCAUGUCUAAGGAUUAUUUUAGGAUGUGACAAAGUUGGUAUCAGAGCCUAGGCUUUAUGUCCCAGGUCAUGGAGCAGUGUUUAGUAGAUUCUUGUUCUUUGGUAUGUAGGCACCCAUACUUAUGAACUUGAGGCUACAGAACAUCUAGGAAGUUUUUCCCUUUUUAUUCAUUAUUCGUGCGUUGAGUUGAAUUAAGUCUAAUCUUUAAAUAUUGUUUCGCAGAUUGUUAAGAGAUGUGGUUCCUCCUCUGCUAGAUGAUUUAACGCGCCUACUAGAUGUGGUGCUGCACAUGGUUCUACCCGUGGUGGUGGUCAAGUUGGGUCUCAUCCAACCAGGCCUCGAAUUAGGGCACAUACUAAUCCUCAGCAUGAAGUUAGGAGUAGGGGCCAGCCCCAAGUUGUAGUUCCUGAGAGAGUACAGGACCAGGUUGAUUAUGAUACUCUAGCUGCAACACCUGUUGUUGUACCUACUGUUACAUUGCCUGCCGACGUUGUAGUAAGAAUGUUGAAUGUAUUGGAGGCAUUGGUGCCUAAUCAGGGUCGAGCACCGGCUCCUCAGGAAACUUCGCAAAUGCAGGCACAAGUUUAGUUGAAUGUUGGGACUUCUCAGGCACCUCAACCAGUUGAUCUUUCGGUUGCAGUUGUGGGGCAACCCAAGGAUCUUAAGCCACUGGAGUUUGAUGCUACACCAUUUUCUGUUGAGCCUCAAAAGUUUUUAGAUCGCUGUGAGAAGAUACUGACUACCUUGGGAUUGAAGGAGACUCAUGGUGUAGAAUUUACCACUUUUCUAUUCUCAGGGUCUUCUGAGGCUUGGUGGACUUCCGUUUUGAGAGGCAGACAAGUAGGAUUACCACCAAUCACUUGGUCAGAGUAUCAGCUAUGUUCUUGGAUAGAUUUAUUCCCUUGAGAAAACAAGCUGACAUGAGGCGCCAAUUUAAUGAGUUACGACAGGGAUCCGUGACAGUCACUGAGUACGAAGCUAAGUUUACUGAGUUGUCCAGGUAUGUUCUAUUUUUAGUUGCAUAUCAGAUGGAGAAAGUAAGAUGAUUUGUGGAUGGACUUAAAGAAGAUGAUUUGUGGAUGGACUUAAGGCUCGUUAUCGUGGUCCAGUGAUACGCAAUGUGCGUAAUGGGUCCUAUUCUGAGGUGUUUGACACUGCUCUUCGUUUUGAGUCCUAUUAUGAGAUGGAAAGGAUUAAUUGAGAAAAUAAAAAGACACCUAAUUCAGGUGUAUUUAGUGGUGCUCAGUCAGGGGGCAAUAGUAGUUUUUAUUAUGGGCAGUUGAGGAAUAAUUAUUCAGCUAGACAUGGCAAACAACAGAUGCAGAGGAAGGGUAAAAAUUCUUAUCAGUCAAGUCAGUAUCCGUGGUGUUCCAAUUAUGGUAGAAAUCACAGUGGUCAUUGUUACGGAACAAAUAGGGCUUGCUAUACUUGUGGUGAGCAGGGACAUAUUGCUAAGUUUUGUCCAAAGGCAGAUUCUGGGUCUAUUCAAGCUACUACUCAGGUGCAAAGGAAUGUUGCAGGAGCACAAGUUCAAGCUCAGCCAGCUAGAGCUGCUCCACAGGGUGCUUAUGGACAAAAUUGACAGGGUGCGCAGGUUGCUCAAACAGGGGGUGGACCACCAAGAUUCUUCGCUAGGGCUAGGCAGGAUAACGAGGCACCUGAUGCGGUAGUCACAGGUAUUAUAUUGUUAGUUCUCAUGAGGGACAUUCUCUGAUUGAUCUUUGUGCUACGUGUUUGUUUGUAUCUCCAUCUUUUGCUUUAUUCAUAGAAAGAAGAGUUGAGACUCUUAUUGUGCUAUAUAUGGUUAUGACUUAGUGGGGACACCUUAGUAGUAGAUAAAGUUUAUUGAUAUUGUGUGAUAUUUGUUUAGUGCACGGACACCAUAGUUGAUUUGCUUGCCUAGGUUUGACUUUGAUGUGAUUAUGGAUAUGAAUUGAUUGAUAUUUUUCUAUGCUUUGAUUGAUUAUGCUAAGCUUAUACCCACCUUUAGUGUGGAAAGGUAUGACUCUGUGACAGAAGAAAAGAUAAUAGUUUAUAUAAGGGCACGUCGAGUGGUUGAUCAUAGGUGUUUGGAUUUUAUUGCUAUUGUUUAUGAUGUGUGAGCUGAAAAUAUCAUUGAUAGUGUUCUUAUUGUUAGAGAAUUUGUUGGUGUGUUUUAAGAUUAUUUGCUCGAGCUACCUAUGUUGUUCAUAGAUUAUCUUAUUUUUUUUCACUUGUCUGUGUGAGCUAGAUAUUCCCACUCAUUUGACAUUUCUUGUAUGACUCUUAUCACAUUCGAGGACGAACAUUAUUUUAAGUGGGGGACAAUGUAAUAAUCCUGACUUUUAAUGAGGGGUAAGUGGGUAAUUUAGCCAUUAUUAUUAUUAUUAAUUAAUAUAAUUAAAGUGAGUAAUUCAAAAGUCAAAAUUCAUUCCCUUACAUUUCUUUUCACAACUUAAAAAAAAAAUGAAGGAGUAGAAUAUAGGGUUUUCCCAUUAUUUUGAGAGAGAGCAAGCAGAAGGCGUUAAAAAAAAUAUGGAGAGUGCAGACAACUUUAGAAGGGAGCUGAUACAAGAAGCACAAGGGAAACAUGAAACAAACACCAAAUCACUCCAUAAGUUUGAAGAACCGAGGACCCCUUUGGUGACUACUCUCGUAUUCACCACAACAACAAUGAAAACACAAUAACAACAAGAUAUUGAAGAUGUAAAAUACACCAAAACAACAACAAUAUGGCGAGAUGGAAAACAAUAACAAGAUAGGAACAACACAUAGUUUUACUAACAAGAGAUAGAAACGGUUACAAGAACACAAACUUCUACAAGAUUACAAUAAAAUUAAAAAGAUAGUUGGAUAGACUUAAUGAAGGUAUAACCUUAAGAACACAAGAGAAUAUUCCACUCUUGGACAGUUAAUACUACACACAACGUUCACCUAUCUCUUACAAAGACACAAGGUCAGAAUCCACCUCCCAAGCAUCACGUUUCCAAGACGUGAAUCAACGAGAGUGAUUCCACUCUCUCUAUGCCUAAUUUCGAUUUUGGUGCCUCAAGGAGAGAGGACUUAUGUUUCUUUGUGUUUCAAGACUUAAACAUCAUGAAUAAUCUAAGUCUAAAAGCCCUACAAUGUUCUAUUUAUACUAGGUUACAAAUAAAAUACAAAAUAUUCAAAAUGCCCUUUUAAGAGCUAGGCUCCCUUCAAGUGUAUUUAGGGGCUGCCUUGUUGUGUUCCAAGGCUCCUCUUUACACUCCAAGUGUGAGAUUAGGGUUGGUUUGGUGUGUUUUAAGUCCUUCACUCACACACUCUAAUCCCCGGGUUCAUUAUAUUCUCACAUGCGUCUAUUUUCGUGGUCGUACUUCUAUCAUCCUUCCCUCCUUAAAAAGUAUUCGAUCUCGAAUCCAUGCCUUGCAAAAUCAAAGAGAGACAAACAAGCACACUUCCUCAUGGAAUGAGGGUUUGGAUUAGCAAAAAUAAACAUUAAUGGUAUGCACUCAAAACACUCAAAACAGCCCACACCAAAAAAAAACCGAGGACCCUUUGAGUUCAAGUCUCGGCCAACAACAAGUCUCGACCUGCCAAGGUGGUUUAUAGUUGACAUAUAACCAAAAUUCUUUAGUGUAAAACAUUAUGAAGCCAUCGACAAAGUCACCAAGGACUUGGCUAUUAUAAGCACUCAAAAUAAAUGCAACUAAGCCGAGAGUACAUCUUCCCCACCUUAAGAUAUCACCGGGAUCAAAUGGGAAGAGUGGACAUAGACACUGGUCUAAACAACACACCCGUUUCCCGUAGUCUUUACUACAACCACACGACGUACUCUCUACAUUGGCAUACAUAUCAUCACAAGUAAAGACAGAGUAGAGAAAGGUGGCAUUUAAUUCUACUUCUACUAUGGUGUCCUCGGAAAAGCCACACAAAGUAGAAAAAGAAGUAAUUUCCAAGACCAUACAUUCCUUACCCUUAAGAGUACACUUAUCUUCCAAGAAGAGAUUUUCAUCUUUAGGAGGAAUGUUGUCACACCAUGAUACAUGUGAAAUGGCCGCCUUAGUGCUCGAUGGCAUCAUGCAAAGUCACUACGUGAAGAAUCAAGUUUUGGUACCAUGGAGGGCACAAGAUCAUACUUGUAGGGGUUAUUUUGAGCAUGCCAUCAAACAAACCCGUGUGUGGAAGAUUUCUUGGAGCCUUGAAGACUAGAGGACUCUCGGGUGUUGACCAUAUUUGAUGGUUCACGAUUUUGACCUCUUUUAUUAAGGUCAUUUUCGUCACUUAGCCUCAAGGUUAUUUUGGUCUUUUAGCCUUGUCUAAAUGACACUCCAUUGCCACCCACCUCAUGAAGGGCAUUGGAGUCAUUUUAUCUUUCAUUUGUAGUAUACUAUAUAUAGUCUAUGUUAGGUCAUUUCUCUUUAGUUAAUGAAUGAUGAACAUUUUAAAGACUUAUUCUCUCUUUGGAGAGUGCAACACCUUAGUAUAGUUCUUAGUUAGGGCUUGGAAAAGCCAAUAUUGUUCUUUGAUUGGAAACGGUGGAUCUUGAGGUGAGUGAUUCCCUUGCCGGUCACCGUAAGAGUGUGGUGUUGUUGUUACAUUACUUUGGGGUUUAGUGUUUGAAUCACCCUUUGUUCUUAAGUCUUGUAACAAAUCUAUAUCUCACUAUCUAUCCUUUUAUUCUUGUAAUUUUGUUAUUGUUUGUAGUAGACUAUUUUGUGUCUUGUUGAAUCCCAAAAUUUGUGUUCUUAUUGUCAUCUUGUUCUUCAUGAUUUGUGGCUUUUUUGGGUGUCAAAUACACCUUUGUUUCUUGUAUUCUUGUUGUAUUUGUUGAAUCCAAGUGAGGUCUUUAUUUGGUCCAUGAUUUGUUGCGAUUUGUAGACUGUUUUGGAGGGUGUAUUGGACUAUUUUGUGGCUAUUUCGUGUUUCUCUUGUUUGUAUUGUAUCAUUUGGUAUCAAAACAUGGCUUGAUAUUAUUUCUACAAGAUCAAAUCUUGGGCUAGCUCACUUGAAAAAUCAACAAGUAAAUAAAUUAAAAUCUGAAAAUUCCAGAAAAAGAACAAUCUGUCCAUUUUGUGUUCUUGGCCAAAAAUUGUGUUUUUGUUGUGUCUUGGAAGAGAUUUUUACUUGUAUUUAUUGUCUAUAAGUUUUAGUUUUGUUCCUCACUAACCCAUUGAGUCUAUAUCUUGAUUUGAGCUUGUAUUUUGAUGUUGUUGUUGUAAACAUAAGCUUGGCCCAUUGUUGUUGAACAUUGUUGUUGAGAAACUUGACUAGCCGUGUGUUUGGUUGUUGUUAUUAUUCUUGGUGAAUUUUGUUGUUUUUCUUGAUUUUCUUCGCAACCUUCAUCUCUUGUUAAAACUGAAGACACAACACUAAAGAGACUUGACCGUUUGUUGUUAUGGAUUGGAGUUGGCCGUUGGAAUUGUUGUUGUUCUUGAAGAUUGUUGUUAUUACCUUUUUUUGGUAAAUAAAACAUUUUUAUUUCACCAAAAUAUGGGUUUACAAACCAAAACAGUGCUUGAAUCCCUAUUUUAUCAUUUUGACUAAAAGCCUGUACUAGCUUUGCCCUCCUAACAUGCAAGGACGCUACUCAGUAGUAUUGAGAAUCAUAAAGCCUUAUAUUACAUUUUCAAAUCAAAAUUAUUAAGAAAUCAUCAAUCUAGCUUCAUGGUAUUGCAGCAGCUUGUUGGAGUAUCAUUCCUCAUCUUUGGUGCCUUUGACUUUGUAUAUGAAUGUGGAUGCUAUCUCCCUGCAGACCUUUUCCUCUUCAUAUUUGCCCUUAUGGUAUCUGAUGCUAUUUCUACUUCUCCAUAUGAUGUUGACCAUCAUUUCAAAAAUACUACAUAAGAUAGCACCUUGUGUAGACUUCCAUUUAGCUUGUUUGGAUACCCACUCUGUCUCUUGAUUCCAACUACCUAUAUUUUUGGUAUACCUAGCCAAUUCAGCAACCUUCUCCAUAAGUGUUUGGUGAUACUGCAAUCAAGAAAUAGGUGGUCAUGUGUUUCAUCAGCAUUUCCAUACAACACACAUAUUUUUGGCACUUGAAUUCCAAACUUUUCUAGUCUCUCAACUGUAGAAAGUCUGUUCAGUAGAGCUAACCAAAGAAUAAAGCUAUGUCUGUGGUGUACUGAAUGCUGUAAUAUAAUACUUUUCUAGGGAACUUUGGGGAGCUGGGGAGUUAAAGCAUUGUACAUCUUCUUUAUUGUGAAUGAAUCUCAUGUGACAUAUGCUCUCAAUCUAACCUCCAAGUCCCCUUGUAGUCUUGGGGCCUCCAUAACAUACUUCUGUGCACUAAUAAUUUUUUUAAUUGCCCAUGAGGCAUUUUUUGGACCGUUAUAGGAUUCAACAUUAUCAACCUUCAAAUGAUAGGUAUGCACCCAUUUUAUCCAUAAACCAUCCUUCUUUUCAGAUAAUGCCCAAAUUUGUUUUAUGAUAGCAACUAUAUUCUAGAGAUAUAUAUUCAGAACAUUUAAACCACUUGCUAAUUUUGGAAGACAAUUUUUUUCCCAAGUAACAAGUGCCUUCUUUGACGUCAGAAUAACUCCUGUCUACAAAAACACUCUACAGAGGCCUGUGAUUACCUUUAUGAUUCUUUCAGACAGUAAGAAGAACUGAGCCCAAUAAGUUUGUAUGCCAAAUAUAACCGAUUUAAUUAGUUGUAAUCUACCAGCAUAUGAUAGUGAUUUAGCACUCCAACAUUUCAUUUUUUCCACUAUUCUAUCCACAAAUGGUUGGCACUGGUCGAUUGUAAGAUUUUUUUGAGGACAAUGGCACCCCUAGAUAUUUAAAGGGCAAUUCACCUUCAGUAUAGCCCAAAAAUUCCAAGAUGUUCUGCUUGACCUGAGGUUUGGCUCCAGAAAAAUAGAUUGAGCUCUUGUCAAUAUUGGCUUGUAACCCUGUGGCUGUUGAGAAUUUUAGGAAAUCUUGAUGGAGCAUUGUUAUAGAGUUAAUAUCAGCUUUACAGAACAGAAGAAGGUCAUCUGCAAAACAUAUGUGCUUUAUAUCAAGUUGCUUGCACCUGGGGUGGUAUUGAAACCCAUUCUUUUGGUCUAGGAAUUUCAAUUCCUUAUUCAGAUAUUCCAUAGCUAUAACAAACAAAUAAAGUAACAUUGGAUCACCUUGUCUUAUCCCUCUUUUUCCUUAGAAAGGUUUUGUAAGCCCCUUAUUCAAGAUCAGUGAAUAAGAAAUAGAACAAACACAUUCCAUAAUCCAGUUGAUAAACUUCAAUGGGAACCCUAACUCAGCUAAAAUACUCUUAAGGAAACACCAUUCUAUGGAGUCAUAUGCUUUACUGAGAUCAACUUUCAGUACACAUCUUGGGGAUAAUCCUUUCCUUUAGUACCAUUUGAAUAACUCAUGGCUAAAUAAGAUAUUAUCUAUGAUACUUCUACUCUUUAUGCAUGCUGAUUGUGAUGGCCCUAUGAGUGUAUCAAUAACCUUUUUUAUCUUAUUAGUCAGGAUUUUUGUGAGCAACUUAUAGAAAGUGGUACAGUAGGCUAUUGGUCUGAAAUCUUUUACCAUGGAAGGGUUGGAACAUUUGGGGAUCAAAGUAACUGCAGUGUAACUAAAUGCUCUCAGAAGCUUAACAGAUUUGAAAAACUCUUUUACAGCAAGUAAUACAUCAUCUUUGAUAAUAGUCCAUUGACUUCUGCAGAAUUCCACAGGGAAGCCAUCAACCCCAAGAGAUUUCUCUGAUGGUAUACUUUUGAUUGCACUUAAGAUUUCCUGGUCUGUUACUUUUUGUAUGAGUUCAAGCUGCUGAGAGUGUAAGAGGCAGGGCCCUUUCUUGAUAACCUCAGAAUUUGGGCAAGGCAGCUCAGGGGUAGAAUCACCCAUUAUCCCAAUAAAGAACUCAAUAAAUUCCUUCUUAAUAAGAUCAGGGUUAGUAACUUUAUUGCUUGAGUUAUCAUAGAUGGAGGUGAUGGAGCUUCUAUUACUUCUGAUCUUAUAUUAUGCAUGGAAGUACUUGGAAUUGGCAUCUCCACAUUUGAUCCAUGUUGCUGUGGAUUUCUAUCUUAGCACCUUCUCCUCUACCAAGUUCCAAUGUUGAAAUUCCUUUAGUAGAUUGGCCUCUUCUUGUAUCAGUUCGUGAUUCAUAGGAUUUGAGGCUAGAUUGCUCUGUGUGAUGUCUAACAGUAUUCUGUUUUGUUAAAUUUUUUGUGUGUAAGCUUCCAAAUAAGUAUUCAGUUCCUGCAAUCAUAUUUGAGAGUUUUUAGUUUUUGGUUUAGCUUAUACAUAUAAGUUCCAUAAUAGUUCUUCCUCCACGUAUUUGCCAUAAUCUCAAGGAGUUUUUGAUGCUCCAACACAAUACUAUACAAUCUGAAUGGUUUAGGUCUGGAAGCUUGCUGACUAAUAUAUUGGACCAAGAUUGGAGAGUGGUCAAAAAUCCCAAGUGAUAGGAAUUCAACCUCUACAUUACCAUAUUUUUGUAGCAAUUGAUAGUUUCCCAGGACCCAGUCAAUCUUUGAAUACACUCUUUGAUCUCGCUGUUGUUUAUUGCAAAAAGUAUUGUAGGAACCUUUUGCUCUUAGUGAAGUAAGCUAGAGUUGGUCUAUAAAAUCCUUGAAAUCCUAAACUUCUUGUUGAGUGACUGGUGACCCAAGUCGAUCCUCACAAGUUAGCACAACAUUAAAGUCUCCACUCAGGAUCCAUGCCUCUUGAAUUGUAACACCCAAUGCUUUGAGCUCGUUCCAUAGUUCUAUCCUUUCCUGCAUGCUAUUUUUGGUAUACACCACAGUGAUAUAUGCUGAGAAAUUUCCUGAAGCAUCAGUGGUAUAGCAAUAUAUGAACUGCUCUUUUGUCAAGAUUAUAGACACAUUUAUUGUAGGCUGCCAUAUUAUCCAAAUUCUUCCAUUUGGGGCCAUCGGGUAUUUACAACAAGUGUUCCAUCCCCCCAUCAUCUUCUUGAGGAUAUUACCAGCUUUAGCUUCUUUUACUCUAGUUUCCAAACACCCAAACAUAUCUAUUUUGGACCUUUUCAAAAAGAGACUAAUCUCCUUCUAUUUCAGGGGUUAAUUUAAACCCCUGAUGUUCCAUGUUGAGGAAAUCAUAUGUUUGGGGCCUCUCCAGGUCUCUCCGGAGGUCCUUCAUCAUCAGUGCAGUGCAUGAGAGGGCCAAAAGAGUUUGUAUCACUAUUGCUAGUACUUUCAUGGUUAUUAUUAACAUAUUCACUUUGUUGUAUGUGUCCUGAAUUUUGCACAAUCAUCUUAUCCUUGUAAGAGCCUUUUGGAUCAGACACAGAGGGGUCUAUAGGUUUAUCCUUCUUUUGGGCUUCAUUUUUCUGCAUCCAUUAUGUCUUCUGGGGCCUCUUCCUUCUUCUGUUCCUCCUCUUUUUUCUUUGAACUUCUUUGAAUUCAUCCUUAUCUUCUACCUCUGACUCAUUUUGAAAUCUAUAAUUUGCUAUGACAUGCCCAAACUUCAACCAAUUCUCACAAUAUUUUGGUCGCCAUUCAUAUUCUACUGGUUGUUGGAAUAUACCAGUAGGUGUGACCAUUUCUAUUGUGUCAAUUAGGGGUUGUGCUAUGUCUAUUUCCACCAGGACUCGUGCAUAAGAUAUUCUUUCCAUGUUGGCAGUAAACUGGUAUGUGUACUUUGGCUUGCCAAUGGCACUUGCUAUUUUACUAAGAGCUUCUCUAGACCAGUAUCCUACUGGUAGCCCAGGUAAAGUAGCCCAUAGGGGUAUAGUAGUGAUACUAUCCGGGUUGAAUUUGAAAUCAAUGUCCCAAGCUUGCACAAUGAAAGGUUUGUUAUGAAAAUUAUACGGUCUGCCCAUUAACACCCUAUCACAAUCAUCUGUUGAUUCAAAUUAAAAGAUAAAAUAGCUAUCAUCAUGAUUCAGCACUUGAGAUUGUGUAUCACAAUUCCAGGCAUGCAAUGCGUAAGUCUCAAUGUAUGGUAGGGGGUAUCCCCAAUAACAAACCCUAUAAGAGCAUGUUUCCAGUACUCGAUUUGACUUUGAAUAUCCUCCUCGACUAUACUGACACAGAUAUUACCUUGCUUCGAAUCUGGGGAAACAUAGGAUAGAUCCUUUCCCGCUGUUUGAUUCGCACCAAACUCCUUCUGCACUGUAUUAGGUGGAGUCGCAGCUGUAGAGAAUUAAAGUUUCUGAUUCGUCGGAGGAUCCAUCGAAGCACCAUAGGUUCUCAGAUGUACUGUUCUAGGAGAGACAGAACUUGAUGAUGUGUUUUCAUCUUCUUCAGGUAUUGAUUUGAAUUUUAGGGGUAAGAAGUUUUCAAAAGUAAUCAAGGGAAGAUUAUAUCUAAUACCAUCCUGAGGUGUUACAAUCUUUGCCGGCAUAGUGAUUUCUGAUCGGGUCAUGUUGGUUCUACCGCUAGUGUGGUUGUUGUUGUUUUUUAAGUUCUUCACCUUCCUUCAUAUAUUUUUAGAACAUAAAGUGAAUAAUAGAUCCUAAAAGGUAAAGGAAAGAGGUGUAAGUAAUUGUUAGCCUUGAAAGACCCCCAACCACCAAAAGACUUUACAUCACUUCUUAACCACUUUUCCGUGAAACAAGGGUCCAUGUUUUAACUAAAAGUACAACAAAAGUCAAGUCUUGAAAUUUGAAACUUGAAAAAAAGGCUCCAAGACUUAUUCUUCCCUCCUUAGAACAAAUUCCACCAAUCCAAAUUAAAAUUGGUUAAGACUUGGGCUUUGGAAAAUAAAAAUUGAAGAAACCUCAACCAAUACGUGGCUGCCACAUCAUCAAGUCACUGUUCACGCAUCAAAUUUUGGCUCAAAUUUCAGAUUAUUAGUUUCACUUUAUUGUUUCCUUAGUUUCCUGUCUUGAUGCUAGAAUUAAUUAACAACUAGUAAUCACCUACUUAGUUGUAGAUUAAUUGUUGAAUCCGUUCCUUUCCUGUCUUCGUUAUUUGUGUGAUUUUUCUUAUUUUUAACUUGUAGUAACUUCUUUGUUUCAAGUUCGUAAGUAAAUUUUAUUUUUGUGUCUUGAGUCGAUCAAACAAGAAUCUAUUCUAGCCGCCAAGUAGAAUUGACAUCCUAUUGACUACCGGAGUAUAAACAACUUUCAAUAUUCGCCGCUCUAAUUGUGAGAAUCACAAAGGUGAGUGUAUAUGUGUGUUAGUGAGAAGCUUUACUACUAAUCUUGUUUGUUCAUUCUGUAGGUACAAAAGUGAUAUAAGGGGAACAUAUCUUCGAUAGCCGAGGAUUAUUGUGACUACAACAUAGGAGACUAUGAUUGUAGCGAGGUGUUUUAUGGCUACGAAGUUGAGAGAGAUUGUGGGGGCUAUGAAAAUAGCCAUGAUCAAAACUUGGGCAGAUUUGAGGGUCUCGAGUUUAGGGGAGAAAAUAAGGGGAAUGAUGUGCCUAGUGCUUAUGGUGAAUUUGGAGAUGAUGUAGGAUCUCGUGAUGGUUCUUAUAAUAAAGUUAGGGCAUAUGAGGAGUCUUAUACUUCCCACUCUUAACCUACAUUUGGUGUUAGGUAUAACCCUUUUAUUCGUAAAGCUUAUGAGAGCUAUGCUGAGAGUACGCUUGUGGUGUGUGAAAGAUCACAUUCUUCACCUUAUAGUACUUCUUAUCAAGGUCCAUAUGGUGUGAUUGGUUAUACUAGCUAUAGUAGAGGUUGCCCCAUGAGAAGGAGAGGGCAAGUGUUCCUUAUAAUGUUGAUCCAAGGAGGAGUGUACACUCCAGAAAGGUGACUAUUUGUGGGAUACCAGGCUGCCUUAUGGUGUUGAAUGAUAGGUACUAUGGAAACUACAUUCUUCCUUCCAUGUUUGACUACUUAGGGUUAUUUUGAGAGCCUUUACUUAUUCCAUACUACUUGGACGAGUUCAAGGUUACCGAGAGGGUAAAAGUUGUCUUCUCCUAAUUUAAUUACCAUAAGGAAGUGUAAUGCGAUGUUUUUUCCUUAACCUACGAUUAUAUGAGCUUGGGUGAUGAUUAGUUUUCAUGACAUCAAGUUCCUAAUGUGCAAAAUUGGCCUAAUAUUGUAAGAGACCAAUGGGGAAAUCACCUCAUAACGUACUUGCUACCCAAACCGCAAAGAAAAAUACUUACCUACUCAAAUCCAAUUUAUGAUGAGAGACAAGAGAUUGAGAGGAGUAAGAGAGUGCAAGGUGGUAAUCCUAGAGUGGAAAAAAAAGAGGAUAUGUGGAGUAAAGUAAGGGGAUUGCCACCAAACCGUGCUAACAUUGGUUGUCCUUCCAUUUCUAAGGACAUUUGUGUAGGUACCAACAUGGAAAACGAAGGCGAACAAUGCCAAAAGGAAGUGUUGUCCAAGCUUGUGGAGGACCUUUACCCCACAGCAAAAAAGAGUCUACUCAAGAUCUUAAAGGUAAAAUAGCUAACUCUUACACUUUAGUGAAUGUGAAUGACAAUUGUAUGGCUAGUAAGGCAUUGAGUGUAAGUAGUAGCUUACUUAUUUAUGAGUCUAAUGAUUCCUUGCCUCUUGUUAAUGAUGUACAUAUUGUGAGUUUGGAUACACUAGUUGAUCCUAUUGAUGACGAAAUUGACUCUUCUUGUAAGAUCAAUUUAUGUCCACCUAGUGUUAAAGCCUAUAUGUUGAACGAAAGUACAUCAUCUUGUGUAAUUGGUGUUGAUUAACUUGUUUGUUAAAAUUAUCCUCCACUUGAGUAUGUGUGUGAUAUUCUUAAUAGAACUCAAGUGAGUGAAGUAUUUGAAAAUGUUGGUCAACAAAGUGGGAGUGAACCCAAGAUCUCUUCUUAGGGUAAUCUUAUGUUUGGAACAUCCUUGAAACUUGAUAUUGAUCAUUUAGAGCGUGAGGAACUUUCUUGUUCCAAAUCUGUCCGUGAGGUAGAUCACACUCUCUUUAGGUGUAAUGUCUUGUUUGAAGAUUAUUUAAACACUUCUAAUAAAGCUAGUGGUGAAAAUGAUGGUAUAGCUUGCCUUGGAAGCUAUAGUAUAUAUGCUAACCCACUUUGGUGUGACAACAUUCCUCCUAAAGAUGGAAACCUCUUCUUGGAAGAUGAGAGUACUCUUAGGGGUAAGGAAUGUGUAGUUGCGGAAGCUACUUCUUCUUUUACUUUGUGUGACUUUAUUGUUGAGAGUACUCAUGGUUAUCAUUAGGAAACUAGUAGGGAGUACACACAUGAGGGCACCUUGGUAGAAGUCGAUUUGAGUGAUACCUUUCUCUACUCUCUAUUUGCUUUGGAUGAUAUGCAUGCUAUUAUAGAGAGUAUGUCGUUUAGUUUGGGUGUAGACCACGGGAAAGAGGAGUGUUUUCUAGACCCGUGUCUAUGGCCACUUUUCCCAUUUGACCCCGGUGCCAAAUGUAGAAUAGUGAUGUUGGUGCACCCAACUUGUUUCUUGGUCUACAUGACAAGAAAAGUAUCACUCUUGGUGUAUCCCAUAGCCAAAUCCUUUGUACAUCUUUCAUUGAGUUCUUAAUACUCACUUCAAAGGAUUCUUGGUUAUACUUCAAGUAUAUACCCCUUGGCGUGAUGAUGUUUAUUGUUGUGCUAACCCUAACCCUCAUGCCAUGAGGAUAUUGUGCUUGUUUGUCCUUUCUCUUGUUUUGCAAGGUGCGGAUUCGAUGUCGAAUCCUUUUCAAGAAGGGGAGGAUGAUACAAGUGAAAUGGCCGCAUUAGCUUUCGGUGGCAUCAUUCAAAGUCACUACCUGAAUAAUCAAUCUUUGGUCCCAUGGAUAGAACGGGAUCAUACUUGUAGGGGUUAUUUUGAGCAUGCCAUCAAACAAACCCGUGUGUGGAAGAUUGCUUGGAGCCUUGAAGACUAGAGGACUCAUGAUUUUGGACCACAUUUGAUGGUUCAUGAUUUUGGCCUCUUUUAUUAUGGUCAUAUUGGUUACUUAGCCUCAAGGUCAUUUUGGUCUUUUAGCCUUAUCUAAAUGACACUCCAUUGCCACCCACCUCAUUAAGGGCAUUGGAGUCAUUUUAUAUUUCUUUUGUAAUAUACUAUAUAUAGUCUAUGUAAGGUCAUUUCUCUUUAGUUAAUGAAUGAUGAACAUUUGAAAGACUUAUUCUCUCUUUGGAGAGUGCAACACCUUAGUAUAGUUCUUAGUUAGGGCUUGAAAAAGUCAUCCUUAGUAUAGGGCUUAGAAAAAUCAAUAUUGUUCUUUGCUUGGAAACGGUGAAUCUUGAGGUGAGUGAUUCCCUUGGUGGUCACUGUAAGAGUUGUUGUUACAUUAAUUAGGGGUUUAGUGUUUGAAUCACCCUUUGUUCCUAAGUCUUGUAACAAAUCUAUAUCUCACUAUCUAUCAUUUUAUUCUUGUAAUCUUGUUAUUGUUUGUAGUGGACUGUUUUUGUGUCUUGUUGAAUCCAAAAAUUUGUAUUAUUUUUGUCAUCUUGUUCUUCACGAUUUGUGGCUGUUUUGGGUGUCAAAUGCACCUUUGUUUCUUGUAUUCUUGUUGUAUUUGUCGAAUCCGAGUGAGGUCUUCAUUUGGUCCACAAUUUAUUGUGAUUUGUGGACUAUUUUGGAGGGUGUAUUGGACUGUUUUGUGGCUUUUUCGUGUUCCUCUUGUUUGUCUUGUAUCACACCAUAGUGGGUUAGCAUAUAGGCUAUAGCUUCCAAGGAAAGCUAUAUCAUUAUUUUCACCACUAGGCCUAUUAGGAGUGUUUAAACUACCUUCAAACAAGACAUUGUACCUAAAGAGUGAAUGAUCUAAUCCGGGAAUAGAUUUGGAACUUUCACUCUCUAAGGAAUCAUUAUCAAGUUUCAAAGAUAUGUCAAGCACACGAUUAACCCUAUGAGCCAAGCAAACAUUAGAAUCUUUACAACAACUUAGGCUCAUGGGUUCACUCCUUUUUUCUUGACCAACAUUUUCAAAUUCUUCACUCACUUGAGACUCAUUAAUCAUAUCACACAUAUUCUCAAGUGGUGGGCAAGUUUUACACAUAAGUUGGUCAACACAAAUUUCACUCGAUGAUGUACUUUCAUUCAACACAAUAGCUUCAACACUAGGUGGACACAAAUUGAUCUUACUAGAAAAGUCGACUCGGUCAUCUAUAGGAUCAACUAGUCUAUCCACUCGCACAACAUUACAUCAUCCACAAGUGGUAAGGAAUCAAUACACUCAUACGUAGGUAAGCUACUACUCCCACUCAAUGGCUUAUUAGUCACACUUUCAUCAUCCACAUGUACCAAAGUGUAAGAGAUAGCUAUUUUACCUUGACGUUCAUGAGUGCGUUCGUCUUUACCUUAGUGUGAAAGUCCUUCUCAAGUUUGGGCAUCAACUUCCUUUGGUAAACUCUCAUCACAAGGUGUUUGGACCUUAGAUUUUGAAUUUGUUGGGAUAAGUGUGGAUACCAAUUGGCGUAGCCUUUCAACGUGCCAUUUUAUGUCUUCAAUAUUAUCGGUGAUGUAGUCAAACUUGGCAUCGAGAUUGGUGGCAGCCAUGGUACCUAAGAAAAGACAACAACGAACAACAAAACAAACAAACUUGCUAUAUCAAAAAUGCCUCACCACACUCUCACUCUCAAUUUUUACCUCACACUUGGUUUCACAAGUGUUGAAAGCCAGCUUGUACUUCGUGAGUGAUUAGGGAGGAGUCCACCUUGGUCUAGAAUAGAUUUUCAUUUGAUUUGACUCAAAGAAAAUUUACUUACGGACUUGAACCAACAAGAUACAACAAAUUCACAAAAGAGAAAAAGCACAAAAGCAACGUAGACACGAACAACGGAUUCAAGAACUAAGUGACAACCUUGUAGAAGUUUACUAGCUAGUUAAUUAGUACUAGGAUUAAUUAAACGAAACUAAGAGACAACAAAAUGAAACUAAGAAAUCUAAAAUUUGAGCUCGAAAAUAUUGCGUGAGCAGUAGCAAUGAUGAUGUGGUGGCCACGUAUUGGUUCGGUUUUAUCAAGUGGUUAUUCUCAAAUGUUCAAGUUUUGGUCAAAAAUUAAUUUGGAUUGGAGGAAUUUAUUUUAGGAGGAAAAAUAAGUCUUGGAGACUUUUUCAAUUUUCAAGACUUGACUUUUUCUUGCACUUCUCCUUAAAACAUGGGUCCUUAAAUCAUUGAAAAGUAAUUGAGAAGUGAUAUAAAGUCUUUUGGUAGUUGGGGGUCUUUCAAGACUAACAAGUACAUUCAUCUUUUUCCUUCACCUUUUAGGAUCUAGCACUCACUUUAUGUUCUAACAAUAUAUGAAGGAAGGUGAAGAACUUUAAGAACAACAACAACCACACCACGAACAAUAACAACAAUCUUCAAGAACAACAACAAUUCCAAUGGCCAACUCCAAUCCACAACAACAAACGGCAAAGUCUCUUUAGUGUUGUGUCUUUGAUUUUAACAAGAUAUGAAGGUUGUGAAGAACUUCAAGAAUACAACAACAUUCACCAAGAACUACAACAACAACACUCCUUUCAACAAUAAUAACCACACACAUGGCCAAGUCAAGUUUUUCAACAAUAAUGUCUACCACACGGUCUUACUUGGUCAUGACAACGAAAACAAAGCUCAAACUUAGAUAUUGACUCAAGUGUUAGUAAAUAACAAAGCUAACACUAGAAAAACUCAAGACAAACAAAAAUCUCGGCCAAGACACAAGAAGAACGUAAUUCUUGGUCAAGAACACAACACGGGCAGAUUGCAUUCUCACAUGCGUCUAUCUUCGUGGUCGUACUUGUAUCAGGGGUAAAAUAAGUUUUCAUAAGAACAGGUAUGAAAUUCUCCCUUGAUUCUUUGGCACAAAGAUAGUUUAUGCAUCUUGUUGUGUUUUGAAAAAUCAAAAGAUUCAAUAAAUACUAGUAGGAUCCUAUUUCUAAUUGUACGUUAGUGUGGAAAAAAUAUUAGAGUCAUGAUUUCUAAUCAAUGGUAAAAGCAUGUCGUGAUUACACCAUGAUUGGUGAAUGAUUGCUUAGCAAUCUUAGAACAUUGACAAGGCUUCAAGCCAUUACUUUUAUUCGUUAAAGUUAAUGUUGGAAUAGUGUUUCUAUGGGAUUUUGGAUUUUUAUAUUAUUUUAUUUGUAUGAGAUUCUACUUCUAAAUAUGAGUAUUAUUAUAUUAAGCAAAAUUUUUACCAAUUAAGUUUGAAUAGCGAGAUAAAGAUCUUUUUAAAUUUUGGGUUUAAUAUGUGAGAUAGUAAGGUUUAGUUCUAAUAUUAAAAGUUAGGGAUAUUGAGACUUGACCGGAUUCGCUUACUUAAUAUCGUUAAUUAAUAUUUUGGUAUAGAUUGAGGGCUAUUGGAGGUUGUUUGGUUGGUGUUCUACGCGUUGCAAGGUUGAAAAUUUUGUCAUUAGCGAGGUAAGUGAAACUUUAAGCUUUGGUGCUUGCUUUUCAAAUUUAUUUUAAAAAUAUAUUUUUAUCUGUCCAGUCUAUGUGUUGGGACUAGCAUGUGCUUGGCAGAAUCAACGGUCUUUAAGGCCGGCCACAUAUACUUUAUGUUAAGAAUGCUAAUUCUCCUUUUUAUAAAUUAUUUCGUGAUGUGAUAUGAUUGUGUAUUGUGAGAUUGGGAUAUUGUGUAUGCUUCUUAAUUCCUUUAGGGCAUUGUGUAUGCUUCUUAAUUCCUUUGGGCAUUGUGUAUGUUUCUUAAUUCCUUUGGGCAUUGUGUAUGCUUCUUAAUUCCUUUGGGGCAUUGUGUAUGCUUGCCUUGAGGAUUGUGUAUGUUUGUUGAUUUUAUAUGGGGCAUUGUGUAUGUUUCCCUUGAGCAUUGUGUAUGCUUGUUGAUUUGAUAUGGGACAUUGUGUAUGCUCCCCCUAAGUAUUAUGUAUACUCCUGAUAUAUUUAAUGCAUUGUAUAUGUUGCUCGAAACCUCUAGUGUUGGCUAAUUACUUUAAUUGCAAAUUAUGAUAAGUGCUUUGUAUGAAAUUAUGUUGAGAUAUAUGUUUCUUGAUGAAGGUUUGUUGAACCUCGUUGGUUACCUUAUUAUGAUAUAGUUCCGUGUGUAAUAAUUUUAUAUUCUUGGUGUUGUUGUAUUUUCUAAUAUUUGUCCCAGGAGUACUUAAAGCAGCGAGCCGAUGAUCUUACUAAGUUAUAUUUACAUAUAGCUCACUCCUUACUUACAUAUCUAUAGAUACCGUUGCGGAGGGAGAGACCAGUGGCUGAUGGUUCUUACGCGUGAAUUACAGUACUGAGGUGAACCUUCCCAUUGAUCGUGAAGGCUGUCAUUCAGCGUUAGAUCUUUUAGAUUACAUUUCUUUUCGUUGGGUUUGCAUGCCCGAAAGUUGAACUCAUGUAACCCUAUUUAGAUGCUCCAUGAACUUAUAGUGGGACUUGGGUAAGAGAUAUGAUAUCUAAACUACUGUUGUUUUCAUAAAUCUCUAAGCAGUAUCUUGUUGGAUACUUACUCUGCAUUAAUGAUUAUUUCAUGCAUGUGGAGUUGUAUGUGUGUUUUUAGACCAUAUGAAUAUAUGAAAAAUUGAUUCUCCCGAUAAGUGGUGUUAGCGGGAGCCAGUCACGUCUAAGGAUUAUUUUGGGAUGUGAUUAAGACCAGUAGAUGCAAUAACUCCUUUUAUUUUCUUUAACUUCAUUCCCAAUCAAAUGACAACAAUAUAUCAAGUGUAAUCCAACAAGUGAGAUCAGGGGAUGGUAGUGUGGUGUGUACAUAAACCUUAUCCCACGUUCUGAAGGAACAGAGGUGGUUUAAGAAAGACCAUCAGCUCAAGUAAAGCAAUUCAAAGCAGGUUCGAAAUAAUAACAAGAAAAUAUAAUAAAAGGAAUAAUAAAGUAGAACCUUUAACUUCUCGAUGUGGAAGGCAGGAUUGAUUAUUUUUCUGUGUUUGGCCCAUGCGUUUCCCUCAAUGUUUGCAAGACCUUGAGCCAAUAACUUGGUCAGUGGAUUGGGAUGAGUCUGCUUUAGAUACACAUAAUUCCUUGUGAGAAUCUCCUUUACAUGUUCAGGAUUUGUGAUCAACAAAACUGGAUAUGGGCCUAGCCACACAAAAGAACUUUUACCUGCAAGUAAUCAUUUUUGUGUUAGAAAAAAUCUAAAAUCUGAGUCUUUGCUAUGCUUUAUUGUAAGUGAAAGUAGUGAUUGACUCUAUUAGGCAUUUUCCAGUAAGAAAGCAAUUUGGGUUACAUAUCAGCCCAAUUUUUAAUGGGCUGAAAUAGGUUGGGCUGAAAUGAGUUGAGCUAAUAAAUGAGUGUAUCAAUUACCCGUCCUUAUUCAUUGAUUAUUAAACAAUCUCAUCUAUGUAUAUACUAAUUAAUUCAUAUUCUGUACAAAGUCUUAAUCAACACUUUUUUUUAAAAACGUGUUCGUGAUAUUUACCACUACUCUUUCAAUAUCCAACAAUGUUUAUCAUCAUGCCUUGAUCAGCUACCACCAUUAUUAUCAAUCAUCUUCCUCUCUAUAUACUAGCUUCUUAAAUUACCCCAUAAAUUUCAACGUGUUUCUACUUUUGCAGUGCACGGAGUUUAAGAAAUUAAAUAAAGACGUUUAAAUCGGCACUGGAGGGUGGGGUCGAUGAAGUGGUUGAGAGUCAUGAGGUGUUAGGUUUAAAUUUUUAAUAGAAACAAAUACUAGAUGAUUUAUUCCCAUCUGUCAUAGCCUUGGUGGACAAAGUUAGCUAAUACUUGUUGUUGGUGAGAGGCGACAUUGUCCCGUGGAAUUAGUUGAGGUGCGCAAAAUUUAUUGCGUACACCACAGUCAUCAAAAAAGUUCCUUAAGUUUGAACUUUGAAUUUAAAUGAUUCUUAUUAGUCAACAAUACGAAAUAUCACUAACCUUUCAACUAUAAAACUUAGUGAGUACAAUCUUUGAACUUUGUUGAAAUUGUUAAAAAUAAGCUUAUAUGUAUUGUAUUUAUUUGGAAACGUAGGAGUUCAAUAAUAAAAUAAUAUUUUAUAUUUAUUCAUUUUAGGAUUAAUAUUUAUUCUUGAUAAAAUAGUUCAAGUUAGUUGUUAGUUUCUUCUACUCCAAAUUAUUAUAGAAAAAAUUAUAAUUCAUAAAGAAGACGAUGAAUUCCUGCAAAUAAAAAAAUUAGGGUCUCUAACUAGUAGAAGAACCAUAUAUAAAUAUUUUAAAGGAUUGUUAUUUUUAAAAAAUAAUGCAUAUUAACGGAUACCAUGAUAAUAACAUCAAUCAUUCACUAUCAAAUAAAAUUAUGUGAUUUUAUAUAACCAUUUCGUAACUUAAUAAUGUUUUAAGGUUUCAUUAUUAUUUUUAUCAAUCUUGUGAUAUUAUUUCAAAGAAAAUUAUAUCGCCUAGUGAAAUAUUUUGUUAAAUUGAGUGACAAUAUAAGGGAUUGAUUUUGCUUUCUCUUAAUUAAAUAGUGCAUAUAUAAUAAUGACCACAAGCCAGAGGAAUCUUUCUUGCUUAUUUAAAAGAGGCUGGGGCUUAAGAGAGGGGUGGGGGGUUGUGGAGGUCUUCUUAAUUUGCAAAAAUGGGGUCAUUUACACCUUUGUCCCUAUUUUGUGUUGGACUUUCACAUUUUGCUCCUCAAAAUAAAUAAUAUUUUUGCGGAGCAUAUAUUUAUAUUUUUGUAUUAUAAUAUUUUACAUGUUAUGUGUAGCAUACUUAAAGAACUUAUAUUUUUUACAUGUUAUGUGUAGCAUACUUAAAGAACUUAUAUUUGUUAGUGUAAAAACUAAACAUCAGUCUACUAUGUUAGGGUUUUUGUCCUAAUUUUCUUACCAAAAUUAAGUUUUACUUUUUUUUUGGAAGAAAAAUAAAAGUUACCAUAAUUAUUUUUAAUUUUCCUUAAAGAAAAAUAUAAAAAUUUUUCAUAUUUGGCUAACCUCUUUCUUAGAGAAAAAGUUUUAGACCUUUAUAAAUAGAAGACCAUCUUCCCAUACCAAUAACACAAUAGCAUCCACAAUGUAGUCUUUUAAAGAGUAGUUUAGGGGGAGAUUUUAUCUCUCAUUAGUUUUAUGUUUUUUUUUUUUAAAUUUAGGUUUUAAAUAUGUAGGCAAUUGACCGAAUCAUAUCAAUAAGUUUAUGUUUUAGUAUGUUUUUCUUGUCAUCUUAUUUAUCGUCUCAAAUAGUUUGUAAACUACAAGCUUCCGCAUGACGCCUCUCGAUUUCGAAUAUUGUGUUGGACUUUCACAUUUUGCUCCACAAAAUAAAUAAUUUUUUCGCGGAGCACAUAUUUUUAUUUUUGCAUUAUAAUAUUUUACACGUUAUGUGUAGCAUACUUAAAGAACUUAUAUUUGUUAGACGUAAAUUCAUUGUUAAGGGCAAAAACUAAACAUCAGUCUUUUAGAGGGCAAAUAAUGCAGUUAAGUGGAAAAGAUCUUGAUAAAAAGUACUUUCUGUUUUAAUGGGCCAUAUACAAAAUAAAUUCAAUUUAAGUAAAACUUCAAUACAAAUAUCAAACCUGAAAUAAAAAAGGUUUCAUCCAUUCUGCUAUAUCUGUCUAGUGAACUAUUUCUUUUCAUGAUUUUGUCCUGCCGGCCCUGAUUCCUCUGGCCCCACUACAGGAACUGAAAUCUCUUGUCCUCUUAUAAUUUGAAUAAAAGAAAAUGAUACUGAGAUAUAAAGGUUCCAUUGAGGGAGGCUAACUAAAUAGAGUGAGACUUGGAAUAUUUAGAAAAUUAAAAGAAGUUCAAAAAUUUUGCAAAUAAAUGAUCAAAGUACGUUUCAAGGUAUGUAGAGGUUAAGACUUAAAUGAAGAGAGAAGUAUAUACAGGCCAAAGAAAACAAGUACGUACAUAACAAUUGAGAAACAUAGCAGUACUUGUUUGUUUUACUUUAUUCCUACAUAUGGACAAAUCAAAAUUAACAUAGAGAACGUCAACAAACUGCAGUUCAACGUUUAAAUUCAGCCAUCAAGAAACAGUUUCUGUUUCGGAUGAUGUAUGGAGAUCAAUGCACAACGCCAGUCAUGUAAAAUAUCAUCUUAAAGUUGUGCAUAAGCAAGGGAGCACCAUACUGAGGAUGAAUAGUCAUUAUUGCAAAUGGAGCAUGUGCAUAAGAUGGAGAGUUCGAAGGAGAACUUUUGUAGUAUCAUUGCUGUUGCCAUUUCUGCUUCCAUCAUUGCAAUGUUUUGUCCAAUGCAAAUUCGAGGUCCCCCGCCAAAUGGGAUAUAUGAGAAUUGUUCUUUGGUUGCUUUUGACACUCCUUCACUGAAUAUUUCCAGUUUGAAUUCCUUUGGGUCUUCCCCCCAUAUUUCCUUAUCAUAAUGUACUAAGAUUACGGGUAUAAUGAGUAUCAAUCCAUCAGGUAUAUCUAGCUCUCCCACUUUCAUUUCUCCUUUAGUCAUUCUACCAAAUGUUGCUACUGGGGCAAUAGCCUUAACAUCUCUAUCACGACCCGAGCUAAGGCCCUGGCCGCAACUGUUAGGGUUUUGCCCUAAUUUUCUCACUAUAUUUAAGUUUUACUUUUUUUUAGAAGGAAAAUAAAAGUUGCCAUAAUUACUUUUAUUUUUUCUGAAAGAAAAAUUAUAAUUCUUUUCCAUAUUUAGCUAACCUCUUUCUUGGUGGAAAGAUUUUGAACAUCUAUAAAUAGAAGACCCCUUCUCAUACCAUAACAUAGUAACAUCCACAAUGUAGUCGAUUAAAAAGUUUUUGUUUAGGGGGAGAUAUUCUCUCUCAUUAGUUUUUAUGUUUUUUUAUAUUAGGUUUUAUAUGUAGGCCAAUUGGCCAAAUAAUAUAAUAAUAUUAAACUUUUUAGUAUUGUUUUAUGUGUAGCUUUUGAAUUGUCACCACAAUGGUUUGCAACUAAUAGCUUCCGCAUGACGCCCUCUCGAUUUCGAACCCAAAGCUCCAUUUUUAAACAUGACAAGCAAUAGUGAUGAAGAUUAUGUGAAGAACAAAGAUCAAAGAUAUGAAGAAGGCGGAUCAAUUUAAGAAAAUCAAUCCAAAAAGGGGAGAUUUGUUAGGGUUUUUGCCCUAAUUUUCUUACUAUAUUUAAGUUUUACUUUUUCUUAAAAGAAAAAUAAAAGUUACCAUAAUUACUUUUAUUUUUCCUGAAAGAAAAAUUAUAAUUCUUUUCCAUAUUUGGCUAACCUCUUUCUUGGAGAAAGAUUUUGGACAUCUAUAAAUAGAAGACCCGUCUUCUCAUACCAUAACAUAGUAACAUCCACAAUGUAGUCGUUUAAAGAGUCUCGUUUAGGGGGAGAUUUUCUCCCAAUAGUUUUUAAUAUUUUUUUAUAUUAGUUUUCAAUAUGUAGGUCACUUGACCAAAUUACAUCAAUAAUAUGUUUUUAGUAUGUUUUUCUUUGUCGUCUGAAUUGUCACUACGAUAGUUUGCAACUAAUAGCUUCCCCAUGACGCCCUUUCGAUUUCAAACCCAACAGCGACGCGCAUCCCAAAUCAUGAAGGCCCGAGAAGCCCCUUAGCAUACUAUCAUAAGAAUAAUCCAUGCAUAAAUCAAAGUACAGAAGAUAUAAUGAAUUUCAAAGGAAUUUAUAAUAUAAAUUGUAUCAACAAAAUAUGAAAAUACAAGUUGAUCUAGGCCUCUAUUGAAUUACAAGUCAAACUAGGCCGAGACAAGGCCCCCGUCUGGACCAUAAGACAACUAAACUAACAUAAGAAUAGAAUGCCUUCCAAAGCAUGGGAGGCUCACCAACUCCGGAGUUCAAGAAGUAAUCUAUUGUUGAGCUGGACCAUGCAAAUUUGCCUCAGAACCUAUAUUAUGAGACAACAUAGCCGCGGCAAAGAACAGUCAAUACCUGGAAUGUAUUGGUACUCAAAACUAACCAUAAAAAACAUGUAUUUCAUAAAAAAUAGUCGAGAGAAUUUAGAAAACAAUUUAGCAUAGUUUAUACAUAAAACACAUGGGCAUAAUUUGAUGAGCUUCAAAACAUUUUCUUGUAAUCAUGACUCAACUCUUUGUUUUACUUCUGAGCUAGAUGGUACACCCCACAAACUUACUUAUCCACGGGCUAUAUGGACUCCGCCCUUGACUCAGCGGACAAGCCCUCAAUCCGAAUUUGCCACAAGGAUUAGGAUCUGUCAUCCGUACUACGCUAUAAGGCCAUCGUAAAUGUACAAUCCAUAUCAUAGGACAUCAUAAACCCAUAUCGGCAAAACACGAUUUUGGGCUAAGAGUUAUCUGAACUCAAGCCUUCUUCGGGUAACCAACUAGCUUUAUUUAAGCCAAAUUUAGUCCUUUAAAAACAUGCUUCAUGCUUUUAAAAGAUUUGUUUCUUUCCUGCUAAGAAAUACCCCUUUAAAAACGUGCAAAACAACAAUGCAUAGUGUUUAAACAGACAUUUAAAACUCAAAAAUUAUCCUCAUUCAUAAACCAGCCCAACAUUAAUAAUACAUAAAUCUCAUGAUCAAAACGGGGCUUAUAAUUCAUGCUCUCAAACGCAAUUCACAAUUCAUACCAUGCAAAGACCAUAAAUUUCAUCAUGAAAAAGGUAAUUUCGCAAGUCAUAUUCAUAAAUCACUUUUUGAACUCAAAUAAUGUAUGCAGAAGAUUAUAAAUUGAACUUAUGGAAAAACCCCUUGACAAAUACAUACUUUCAUUAAAUUGAGUUCAUGAUGCAUGCUCUUAAAACAAUUUCUCAAACCUUAUUACAUAUACAUACAUAUAUAACUUUAAAACUUGUUAAAAUCAUAAAACCUAUACCCAAGAGAUGUAGGAUAGUCCCACGUACCUUUUUGAUGAACAAAACUUGUGAUAUCUUGAAUCUAAGCCUUGGAAGCAUGAGUUUUUGAAAGAAACUUUAACUUUUCUAUCUUGAGAAUGGAGAGGAGAAUAAAUGAUGAAAAACUGACAUGAUGAUGGAAAAGUAGCGUUCAAAUCAUAUUUUAAGUCAUGGGGUAGGGUUUUAGGGUGAGAAAAAGACCAAAAUACCCCUAAAGAAAUUGAAUAAAAAUUUCAAGAAUUUUUAGCUGAUGACUUAGUUGACAACUUGUCAACUAGUUGAUGACUUAUCAGCCUAGUCGUCACCUUCUCUUCAUGAUCUAGUUAAAGUUAAAGACUUGGUUGAUAGCCUGUCAACAAGUUGAUGGCUUGUCAACCUAGUCGUCACCUUUUCUUUAGUGAUGCAGGGUGUUUCUGGUUAAGGCUGACAACGAGGUUGAUAUAUCAUCACGUAGUUGACGGCUUAUCACCUCAAGUCGUCACCUUGUUGACAAAUGGACAUGCUGAGGUAAAAUGAGCAUAACUUUCCACUUUGAUAUUGGAUUAAGGUGAAACCAGUUGCAUUGGAAAUAAGACUCGAAGAUAUUUUAUUUGGUAUAUAGUAGGCACAUAACUAAAUAUAUACUAGGAGUAAUGAUUGUUAAAGUUGAUCCAGGUUGAAACAUUCACUAAAACUUAAUUCAUAGAAAUGUUCUUAACUUGUCUUUGAGUUAGAAGAUUUUCGUGACCUCAAUUCAUAUUCAAAAGUAUCCCCACACUAUGGAAUUGAUCAUCACACAUAUAUUAACGACGAAUCAUUCGGUUCGGGUCUAUACGCAUAGGAAUGAUGGUUUGAAUUCUAUUCCAAAAAUAUAGGGUGUUACAUUAUCUCCCCCUUGGAAUCAUUCAUCCUCGAAUGAUGGGUAGAAAUUUGUUGAAGCUAUAGAAGUAUGGAAUAAAUUACGUAACAUCACAUUAGGAAUUCUAUUUUCCACAAUGAAACAUACAUAGGCAUUCAAGAAUAUCUUUAUGACAUCACCAAGUAAAUUAUGUAAGCAUAAAUCAUGAGAUAACGAGACUUGACAUAGACAUGAUCUUGGCAUGUGUUCGAUGACACAUGAUCAUAACAUUGAAAGACAUAGAUUUUCCUAAGAAUCAUCGGCCUAAUUAAGAUUGGUACAACACAUGAAUAUGUAACUGAGAUUCUCGCGGGAUAUAAGAAUAUAAUAGAAACAUGCUCUACCUCAAAUGAUAUGUCUAAUAGCCUUUAAAUUUUUGCGAUGCUUCUUCACUAUGCCUUCAACUAUGAUUACCACAUUUCAAUAGCUCAAUCCUAUAAUCCCCACACUAAAGACAUAACUACAAGAGCUUGGGUCUAAAUUCAUCAUACUUCUAUGUUGAAGCCUAACUCAGAGUAAAAAGAUGCUAGCUUAAGUUGUGGGAUCCUAUGCUUUACAUCCCUUUUAAAAAUUAUUUUCCAUAUAAUCAAACAACCUCAGGCCUUAAAUCGAGGAGUACUAACCACAUAGCACAUUAGUUUGAGUAUCUAUCAAUCACAACAUUCAAGCCUAUCUCUAUGACACCCACUUUAUGGAUCUCCCCACUAAAACCCGCAAGUUCAAUCAUUCUCACAAGGAUUUUCGUCACAUAUCUCCUUCCUAACUAUUUCACAUAAUGAAAGUUCAUAUCCUUGUUUUCCCUUUCACCUAUCACCUUAGCUCGAGAAACCACAUCAAAAUUUUUAUAUUUAAGAACAUCUACUCCUUUACCUACAACAUUACUACGCUUCUACAAUCACCACCAUACUAACAUAUGGAGGGUCAUUGAGGAACCCGAGCAUACGCAUCAUGAAUGGGAGUAAAACUAUUUGAUUAUAACUUAUACUUAUUGCACUACUCAUGAUGGGACACGAUAUGUAGAUACGAUACAAUAGACAUGAAGUGCUUUAUGUAUCAAAUGUCUGGAUCAUAGAUAGAAAGUUGUUUGGGCAUAAACAUACACAACAAGAGUUCUUAGGACUAGGCACAGUGAGAACAUAUGACCAUAUAUCAUGAGCUAUUUCGCAUAAAGGCAGAAUUCAUGUAGUCAAUGAUUGAGAUAAAGAUUGAUACUUGAAGAUAUUGCUUCUCAUUUUUAGAACUGAGAUAGUCAUGAGUUUGGAUAAACUUUAUCACUUUGGUAUAAAGCCGACAUAAAAUGAACAGGUAACAUAAUAGAAAACAUAGUUCCUUAAAACUUAAAAUGAUUUGAGACAUGGAUCUGUGGGUCAUGAGGAUCACAAUAUAGAGCUUGAAUACUUGAAAGCUUAGAUUACUGAGAAACACUAUUUCUUCUAGUUUGGAGGUCAGAACAUGGACAUAAGUACAUAGAGAACUCGAAUCAUAGGAAUAAGCAUGACUUGAAUGCAUAACAUAAGACAUUAGUAGGAUGACUCCUUAAAUUAAAGUAGGAGGAGUUUGGUUGCAUAGGAAUAGAUUUAUCAUGACUCUUCCCUGAAACUUGCCACCAUGAGAAAAUUUGGGAACUACCUAAGCCUAUCAUCUCCCCGUUAGAUCAAAGUCACAAUCCUAAACUUGCGGACAUAUCCCUUCAUCAAACCUAUAACCAAAACUCUCAAUACAAUGGGGUAUCAGUAUACACAAGAACACAAACUCUCCUCAAUAACUUUAACAUAAGGACACUAAAUUCUCUCUAGGACAUCCCCCUUCAAGGAUACUAAUCAUAAUUUCCUCCAACAUCUAAAAUCAUCAACUUAUGACUUACAUUAUCAUGGGCAUGGGCAUCCAUGCUUCUAAACACUUAACACUCUAUCUUCAACUCCUUAGAAUACUAGCAUUACAGAUCUAAUCUCAUAACCUCGCAACUUAACAAAACCUUUAAAACUAUACCAAGGGUUCACAUAUUUUGUCUAUUUCUCCCUCAAUCCAGCUCUACAUAACACCAUAUAACAUCUCCCUAGACUCCUUCAUACUAAGAAACUUGCGAACACAAGCUAGGUGUUCAUGACACUCAUACACAUAAAACCUUAUCUAACAACAUGCUACCUGGAGGUUCAACUUAUUCUUAUAUACUUAUAACUUUAUCCACUUUAUGACUCAACCACAAUUAUCUACUUCUUUUUCCACGAGUUGCCAACCUAGGUGAUUUCACACAUUACAUCAAGCCCACUAAUUCAUUCCAACGAAACAUGCAUUAUCAAUCUUAAGCUACUAUGCUUACUACCAUACUUCACAUCUAAAGUUCAAGCCUAUAGUUUAGCAUCAAUAAUAUACCACUAAUAAAGCAUGCCACAUACUACUAAUCUAUCAAAUUGAGAAAAUAACCUAAAUAACUCAUUUCACUUUACUACGACCUACAAUCAUAUCCCCUUAUGACAUUACUACUACACCUCAGAAUCUACUGAACACCUUCUCACAAUCAGUACUAGUUUACAACUGCUAGAGAAAAGACAACCAAGGAGAGUAAAGUCACAUAAUAAGGAUAAUCAAUCUUAAUCUCAUAAUAUAACCAAUUACCAUCUAUUAACAUAUUCUACUUUCUCAUAUCAUAUUUACUUACCCACACCUAUAUUCCCACUAUCUUUAAAUUCCAUAAUCACCACUAAGUUUUCCCCAAGCUAGUCUAUACUUAUAACUUAUUGGAUAUUCUACCCCUCCUCAUUUACCAUCUAUAAAUGAUUUCUACAACCACCACAACUAUCCACUAUAGGUUCCUUCUCUAUUUUGAAUAAAUAACAAUCAUAGUCAAUCACCUUCUUCACAGACUACCAUGCAAUCUAAAAACCUUGCUACAACAUUAGUCUAUCGCUAUAAAAUGAUAACCCAUUCCUCCAUCAAGGGUUAUACAACUAAAAUUAGCUUCUUUAUCCAAAAGUCACCCUCACUAUAACUUUUAAACUUGUGAAUUCAUAUCACUAACUUCUGGACCAUCUUACUUCCAAUAGGUCAUGACACAUUAACAUACACUACUAUGAGGUUGAAAAUACAGUUCCAAUAUUCUGAUACAAAUCUCUACCCUUAAUCAUGACAUCUGCAUUAAGAAUUCUGAAAGGAAUUGAAUACACUUUGUACCUUAGGCUGAAAAGAACGAUUGCAUUAAGAUAACGGUAUACACUUGAAUCAAUACACUUUAAAGAACUAUUAGAUUCCUCACAAUUUUUUGUGCUAUCUUAUAGCAUCAGGGAUAACUCAAUCAGAAUUAACCACAUCAUUGGGAUCUAAACUCUUGGACUUGUAUCACCUCGACAAUGAGGCAUGGCCCAUAAAAUUAGAGCAGGGAUAAAAUUUGGAUAAAUUUCAUAUGGACGAUGCUAUAGCAUGAACUAGAGUAUGAAGGAAUAAGAAAUAACUCCUAAAUGCCCUGUAGCUUCCUGAUUAUAAGUGUGGUGCACAACACACCUAUAAACAAGACUAUAAUAGACACGGCUUCGUAGAUGCCCUGGGACCAUAAACCUAGCUCUGAUACCAAGGUUUUCACGACCUGAGCCAAGGCCUUAGUCGCGACGGGCAUCUUGACCCACGAAGGCUUGAGAAGCCCCUUAGCAUACUAUCAUAAGAAUAAUCCAUACAUAAAUCAAAGUGCGAAAGCUAUAAUGAAAUUCAAAGGAAUAUAUAAUACAUACUAUAUCAACAAAAUAUGAAAAUAUAAUAAUCAACUUUCGUCUACGAAGCCUCUACUAAAUUACUAGUCAAUCUAGGCCGAGACAUGGCCCCCGGCUGGACCAUAAGACAACUGAACAAACAUAAGAAGAAAAUACCUUUCGAAGAAAAAAAGGCUCAACAAUUCUGGAGUUCAACAAGAAAUCUAUUACUGAGCUAGACCAUUGAAAUUUGCCUCAGAACCUAUAUUAUGAGAUAAUAUAGCCGCGACGAAGGAAGGUCAAUACCUAGAAUGUAUUGGUACGCAGAACAAACCACAAACAACAUGUAUUCCAUAUAAAAUACUCAAGAGAAUUUAGAAAACAAUUUAGCAUAGUAUAUACAUAAAACACAUGGGCAUAUUUGAUAAGCUUCAAAACAUUUUCUUGUAAUCAUGACUCAACUCUUUGCUUUACUUCUGAGCUAGAUGGUACACCCUACAAAUGUACUUAUCCAUGGGCUAUAUGGCCUCCGACCUUGAAUCGGUGGCCAAGCCCCCAAUCCAAGUUUGUCGUAAGUAUUAGGGUCUGUCAUUCGUACUACGCCCUAAGGCCAUUGCCAACAUACAAUCCAUAUCAUAGGACAUCAUAAACCCAUAUCGGCAAAAUAUAAUUUCAGACUAAGUGUUAUCUAAACUCAAACCUUCUUCGGAUAACCAACUAGCUCUCUUUAAGUCUAAUUUUAGUCCUUUAAAACCAUGCAUCAUGCUCUUAAAAGAUUUGUUUCUUUCAUGCUAAGGGCAUUUCGUAAUAGGUAUUGUCGUACCUAGAUUUGCAAGUCAUAUCAUAUAACAUCAUAUCAUAUCAUACCUAGACUUGAAAGUCAUAUUAUAUAAAAUCAUAUCAUAUCCAUAGCCUUUUCAUUCAAAAAUUAUGUUAAUAACCACCAAAAGAUUUAAACAUUACAUGAGAGUUCUUAUUUUAAAAGCAUAUAAAACUUGUGAAACAUAUCUCAUUUCAAGUCUUUAACACAUGGUGGUCAAUUCUUUUAUUCAACAUAUGCAUUUCUUUCAGUUAAGACACAAGAGCCUUUAGCAUAAGAAAUACCCCUUUGAAAAUGAGCAAAACAACAAUGCAUAGUGUUUAAAUGGCUUUUAAAACUCAAAAAUUAUCACCAUUCAUAAACCAGCCCUAACAUUAGUUAUACAAAAAUCUCAUGAUCAAAACGGGGCUUAUAAUUCAUACUCUCAAACCUAAUUCACAAUUUAUACCAUGUAAAGACCACAAAUUUCAUCAUGGUAAAGGGAAUUUCAAAAGUCAUAUUCAUAAAUCACUUUUUGAACUCAAAUAAUGUAUGCAGAAGAUUAUAAAUUGAACUUAUGAAAAAACCCCAUGACAAAUACAUACUUUCAUUAAAUUGAGUUCAUGAUGCAUGCUCUUAAAACAAUUUCUCAAACCUUAUUACAUAUCCAUACAUAUAUAACUUUAAAGCUUGUUAAAAUCAUAAAACCUAUGCCCAAGAGAUUUAGGAUAGUCCCACGUACCUUUUUGAUAAACAAAACUUGUGAUAUCUUGAAUCUAAGCCUUGGAAGCAUGAGUUUUUGAAAGAAACCCUAACUUUUAUAUCUUGAGAGUAGAGAGGAGAAUAAAUGAUGAAAAACUAACAUGAUGAUGGGAAAUUAGUGUUUAAAUUAUGUUUUAAUUCGUGGGGUAGGGUUUUAGGGGUGAGAAAAAAAAACCAAAACACCCCUAAAGAAACUGAAUAUAUAUUUUAGGAAUUUUUAGCUGAUUACUUAGUUCACAUCUUGUCAACUAGUUGAUGACUUAUCAGCCUAGUCGUCACCUUCUCUUCAUGAUCUAGUUAAGGUUGACGACUUAGUUGAUAGCUUGUCAACGAGUGGACGGCUUGUCAACCUAGUCGUCACUUUUUCUUUAGUGAUGCACGGUGUUUCUAGUUAAGGCUGACUGUAAGGUUGAUAUCUCGUCACUUAGUUGACGGCUUAUCACCUCAAGUCGUCACCUUGUUGAUAGAUGGACACGCUGAGGUAAAAUGAGCAUAACUUUUCACUCCGAUAUUGGAUUAAGGUGAAACCAAUUGCGUUGGAAAGAAGAUCGAAGAUAUUUCAUUUAGUAUAUAGUAGGCAUGUAACUAAAUAUAUACUAGGAGUAAUGCUCAUUAAAGUUGACCCAGGUUGAAACAUUCACUAAAACUUAAUCAAUAGAAACGUUCUCAACUUGUCUUUGUGUUAGAAGAUUUUUGUGACCUCAAUUCAUAUUAAAAAGUAUCCCACAUUAUAUAAUUGAUCAUCACACAUAUAUUAAUAAGGAAUCAUGGGGUUCAAGACUAUACACGUAUGAACAGCGGUUUGAAUUCUAGCUUAAAAAAUUGAGGUGUUACAGUCUCGUUCAAGAUCAUUGUCACCUAAGGAACAAAAAUUUAUUGCAAAAGUUAGAAGUACAUAGAAUUAAUUCACUUCUAACAAAAGUCAUGCCUUUCCAAGCUUAUAUAUAUGGAUUAGUCCUCUCUCCAUGUAGUAUGAUAGAAAAUGUGCUCUGUCUUAUUUAAUUUGAAGCAAUUUCACAUUAAUGAUAACAACUACGUGUCUUAUCCUUGUUUUAUAAUGCUCUUGAUAUUUUAUUGACGCAAUGAUCUUGGGCUAUUAUAAAUUAGCUUAUAUAAUAAAUUUGUGAGAAAUACUUAAAUUUUGAGGCGACUUAGUCCUUCUAAAUCUGGUUUAUCAUUUUUGAAGACCUGAAAAACCUCUUCUCUGGCCCAUACUUGCCACUCUAGAUAUAGGCACAACAAAAUCAUUGUCUAUACAAGCAAAACUGAACUGGUCUCUUGUCUAGCAAAAUUGAAUAACUUGCACUCUUCAAUCAUUUCUGUUAUUGUCAUUCCGAUUUCUUUGUUUCCAUGCUGUUCAAUUUCUUUCAUAUUGGGUUUGAGUAAUAUACCUAAUAAGUUGUCACCACCCGUGAUGAGAUCCUAGCCGCGAUGGGCAUCCCAAACUACGAAGGUUGUAACACCCGAGAGUAUACCCUUGGCGCUACACAGUGUUCGGUCACAAGUGACCACAAGCUAACCCAUGUACUGGUACCUGCUGUGAGCAUCGAUAAAACUGGUAGCAAGAGAGUAUUUGUGGAAUUUAACUAAAAAAUGCCAUAAGGUUUUAAAUUAUAGUUAUGAUAAUAUCUGCAAAACAACACUAUAAUACUGAUAAAACGGCUGAUAAUGACAACUAAAAACUGACUAACUGUUUGGACAAGUCUGAAAGCCUCUAAACUGCCUGACUGUGGAGUUGAUAGGACAAGUCUUCAACUAACUUUUUGUGACUAAUAAAUAGAAUAUACUGAAAUAAACAUAACAGUCCACAGAAUAUGAGGACUCACCACUGCUACUGUUAUGGGUACACUGGGAUAUCUAGGUGCGGUCGAGAAUCCGAGAGAAUGAACCUAUGAUAUGAAACAUCAUAGUGCAAAAAAAUGAGUAUGUGUUCAGUACUUUGGAAGUACUAGUAUGCUAAUUGAUACUAGGCUAAUAUGCAUGGUUUCAUAUACAUGAGUAAUAAUUGACCGAAUGAAUAACAUCAAGUACCGAGUAGAAUGCAUGAAAUCUGUAAAGACUGAGAAUGCAUGACCAAGCAUAACACAUAUUUUGAAUAUAAUCUGUAAACUAAAAUACUGAAUACGGAUUAAUGGAAAAUUGAUAUCUAUAUGCUAUGGUCAACAAAAUUGAAACUGAUUACUACGCUGAAUACUGGACUGAGACUAUGGGAGCUAUCAUCUAACCGACAUACCCCAAUGAGCUAAUUGGGGUCCAACCUGUGACCCAGUUGGAAGGGUGUCACUAUCAUGCCAUGAGUACUAACACUUGGCUGCGUGGAUCCACUAAGAUACUAAAUAACCAGGAUGUCAAUCCAAAACUGACGGGUGACACCUGGGCAGAGUCAAGCCUAAACUGACGGGUGACUCCUCAUAUCCUACAUUGGUUACGUAGUUCUGGAAUGCAAGGACUACUACUAAUGACUCUGCCUAACUGACAGGAAAGCCUCCAUCCCUGCAUUCGUUCGAUUCUAAAUCCUACUCCCAACUGAAAGACCUGGAAUAUUGGACUGACUAUGCUUAACUAUUUAAAAUGUUGACUGAAAUGAUAGGGCUCGUAACUAUUCUGUAACCAUUCUAUAAAUAUUGAAAACUAAAUAAGAAGCUAAAUUUUGGGUAUUCAAACCCCCAGGACUUGAUUACAAUAAUAGCAAGAUUGUACUAAAACUUUGAGGACAUGAUAUGUAAGCAUUUAUUCAAAACUCCUUCUUGUGGGUAUUUCAUCAAACACUUGUAAUUCAUGGUUUAAUCUAAGCAUGGAAAUAGUUUAAAACUCAUAGUAAUAGCAUUAUUUCCCUACUAAAAUCACCAAUUAAGGUUUAAUUCAGCAAACAACACCAUUCAAAUGUGUGGGGAUUAAUAACAACAACAAUUACAUGUAAUCAUGGUAUAGAUUCAAAAUUCAUAAAGAUUCAUGGUUAAAAUCACAAUAACUUAUAAAAAUCACAACUUUGAAUUUGAAAUUGGAUUCUUGAACUCCAUGGGUGGAAAGGACACAUGGAUGAACAUUUAACAUACCUUAAAGCUUUGAUCUUGAAAGAGAAUUAACUUUUCUUGAACAUUCUUGGAUUAGGAACCUUAAAUUCUUGAUUAUCUUGUAGAGAGUGUAAUGGAGUCUUGAAGUUCUUGGUAGAUUUCCUUAAGAAGAAACCCUAAUUUUGUUCUUAGAAAUAAAGAGGGUUAAGGGCUUUCGAAAAUGAUUCAUAAUAGCUAAGUACGUGUUUUUGAUAAUUUAUGUUGCGUGGAGGGGAGGGGUUAUGGUUUGAGGUGAGGUAAAGACCAAAAUACACCUUUGAAACUAAAUCAUAAUUGCUGAAAUUUUUAGUUUACGACUUGGGUUGAUAAGUUGUCACUUAGGUGACGGUUUAUCACCUCAAGUCGUCACUUUUGUGGCUAAAAUUAUCACAUACUGUUUAUGGGUGGCGACUUGGUCUGAUAAGUCGUCGCUUAGGUGGCAGAUUAUCACCUCAAGUCGUCACUUGGAAGCUGAAAUUGAUAAGUUUCUGGUUGGGAUGAUGACUUGGGCUAAUAGGUCUUCACUUAGGUGACGACUUAUCAACUCAGGUCGUCACUUGGAAGUUGAAAUUGAUGAGUUUCUGGUUGGGCUGACAACUUGGGCUGAUAGGUCGUCACUUAGGUGAUGACUUAUCAACUCAGGUCAUCACUUGGAAGUUGAAAUUGAUGGCAUUCUAUUUAAGUCUGACGUCUUGGGCUGAUAAGUCAUUACUUAGUUGAUGGCUUAUCAACUCAGAUCGUCAAAUUGUUGACAGACGGACAUGCUGAAGUAAAAUAAGUAUAACUUUCCACUCCAAUAUCGGAUUAAGGUGAAACCAAAUGCAUUGCAAAAAAGAUUCAAAGAUCUUUCAUUUUAUAUAUAUUAAUCCACCUAACUCAUUAUGUACAAGGAGUAAUGGUCAUUUAAAUUUGACCCAAGCUGAAAUAUUUGCUAAAACUUAAUCAAUAGAAGAAUUCUCUACUCGUCUUUGAGUUAGGAGAUUUUUAUCUCCUCGACUGAUAUAAAAGGACAUUUUUAUACUAUAUAAUUGAUCAUCACACAUAUAUAGACAUAGAAUCAUUAGGUUCAGGUCUGUAUACUUUGCAACAACGGUUUGAAUUCUAGCCCAAAAAUGUGGGGUGUUAUAUUAUCUCCCCCUUGGGAACAUUCAUACUCGAAUUAGGCUGGUUAAGCUGAAAACACUGAGGAAUUGAGGUUACAUGUUGAAAACAUGAUUACAUAACUGAGUCUGAAAUAUGACACAUGCCUGAAGUAGUUCGUGAAUACUUGAAAUGACAUGAGGAUGAUAUAGCUGGAACUGAGAAUGGAAAAGAGAUAAUCAAAGAAUACUAUUACCUUAAGCUGAGUCUGAUCUUGCGAAGAAAAGAUAAGGGUUCUUGGUUUUCUUAUCUACUUUUGCAUCCUAAGUGGCUCCUUCAAUGGAAUGGUUCUGCCAAAGAACUUUGACUAAGGGGACUUAUUUGUUCCUUAGUCUACGAAUCUGACGAUCAAGGAUUUUGACUGGAACUUCUUCAUAAGAGAGGCUAUUCUGAACAUUUAUGCUUUCUAUAGGGACUACAACCGUUGGGUCACCGAUACACUUCUUUAACAAAGAGACGUGGAACAUUGGGUGCACUGAUGUUAAAUCUGUUGGUAACUCAAGCUCGUAAGUCACCUUUAUAAAACUGCUUAGAAUUCUGUAAGGGCCAACAUACCGGGGACUAAGUUUUCCCUUCUUGCCAAACCUCUUUACUCCCUUCAUUGGAGAGAUUUUCAAGUAUACAAAAUCACCAAUCUCAAAUUUGAGAUCUCUCAUCCUCACAUCUGCAUAGGAUUUCUGUUGGCUUUGGGUUGUCUUAAGUCUAUCCUUGAUUAACUAAACUUUCUAUAAAGCAUCAAACACCACAUCAGGCCCUAUCAAGGUGGUCUCACCUACCUCAAACCAACAAAUUGGAUAUCUAUAUCUCCUCCCACAUAGAGCCUCAAACUGAUCCAUCCGAAUGCUGGAAUGAUAGCUGUUGUGGUAUGUGAACUCAAUCAAAGUAAGUGAUCAUCCCAACUACCCUUAAAAUCGAUAACACACACUCUCAACAUGUCCUCUAGGGUAUGAAUGGUCCUCUCUUCCUGACCAUCUAUUUGAGGGUGAAAGGAUAUACUGAGAUAAACCUAGGUGCCAAGACCUUUCUAAAAAGCCUUCCAAAAGUGAGAGGCAAAAUUGAGUACCUCUAUCAGAAAUGAUAGAUAGAGGAACACCGUGAAACCUAACCAAAUCCUUGAGAGGCCAUCCUAUCCAUAAUGACCCAAAUUGAAUCAUAUUGAUGAUGAGUACGAGGAAAACCUGUCACAAAGUCCAUGUUCACCUCUUCCCACUUCUAAUUGGGAAAGUUGAACUCUUGUAUGGAACCACUAGGCUUUUGGUGCUUAAUUUUAACCUGCUGACAAUUAGAGCACUUAGCUACAAACUUUGCAAUAUCCUUCUUCAUACUAUUCCACCAAUAGAUUUUCAGCAAAUCGCGGUACAUCUUAGUGGCCCCUGGAUGAAUAGAGUAAUGCGGACCAUGAGAUUCAGCAAGAAUUUAUUGUCUCAAAUCGUCUACACAUGGUACAGACAGUAUACCCUGGCAACAUAACAUACUAUCUCCCCCUUGGGAGAAAACCUCUAAUUUUUGAUCUUUAACUGACUCUUUCAACUUUACUAGAUUAAGAUCCCUAUCCUACUUUUCUUUCACUUCAGCAACCAAAGAAGAUUACGAACUAUUCUGCACCCAUACACUACCCUCAGCGGAAUUAACCAAAUGAACACCUAAUCUAGCAAGCUGAUGAACUUCCCUAACUAACUUCUUCCUAUCAUACUCAACGGGAGCAACACUACCCAUAGACAACCUACUGAGGGCAUCUGCCACUUCAUUAGCCUUUCCCAGAUGAUACGGAAUACUCAUGUUACAAUCUUUUAAUAAUUCUAACCAUCUCCUCUGAUGCAGAUUCAAAUUCUUCUAAUGCAAGAUUUUUUGGUCCGUGAACACAUCAACAUGCACCCCGUACAAAUAGUGCCUCCAAAUAGUUAGGGUAAACACAACGGCUCCUAGUUCAAGAUCAUGCAUAGGGUAAUUCUUUUCAUGGGGAUUAAGCUAUCUAGAGGCAUAGGAUAUGACCUUAUUUUUUUGCAUCAACACACUCCCCAAACCAACUCUAGAAGCAUAAAAGUACACAACAAACCCAUCUAAAUCGUCCGACAAAGUCAAAACAAGGGCUUUGGUGAGUUGAGUCUUCAACUCCUAAAAACUCCUUGCAAAAAUUUGACCACUAAAACUUGACUUUCUCCUGAGUCAAUCUAGACAUGGGGGAUGCAAUAGAAGAAAACCCUUUAAUAAACCAUCGAUAAUAGCCAGCAAAACCCAAAAAACUCCUCAUAUCUGAUAGAGAGAUAGGUCUGGGGAAAUUUUUUACUACCUCGGUCUUUUGAGGAUCAACUCUAAUAUCAUCACCAAAAAUUAUAUGACUAAGGAAAGCUACUGACCUUAGCCAAAAUUUGCAUUUAUUGAAUUUGGCGAACAACUGAUGGGCUCUAAGGGUCUGCAACACAAUUCUGAGAUGGUCUGCAUGAUCAUUUUCACUAUAAGAGUAGACAAGAUUGUCAUCAAUGAAGACUAUGAUAAACAUGUCCAAGUACUUCUUAAUCACUCGAUUCAUCAAGUCCAUAAAGGCUACUGGGGCAUUUUUUAGACCAAAGGACAUAACUAGAAACUCAAAGUGACCAUACCGAGUUUGAAAAGCUAUUUUUGGAAUGUCACAUUCUCUGACUCUGAGCUGAUAAUAGCCAGAUCUGAGGUCUAUCUUGGAGAAAUAGUUGGAACCCUGAAGUUGGUCAAAAAGUCAUUGAUUUUAGGAAAUGGGUAUUCAUUCUUGAUUGUGACUUUGUUCAAAUAACGUUAGUAUAUGCACAUUCUAAGAGAAUCAUCUUUUUUAUGCACCUAUUGGACUGGUGCACCCCACGGGGAAAUGUUGGGCUUAAUGAAUCCCUUAUCUAGGAGAUUUUUUAACUGUUCUUUCAACUCCUUGAGUUCGGCUGGAGUCAUCCUGUAUGGCGGAAUAGAGAUAGGUUGGGUAUUUGGAAGAAGGUCUAUUCAAAAUUUAAUUUCCCUUUCGGUAGGAACUUCGAUAAAAUCUUAAGAGAACACAUCUAGCAAUUCUCUUACUACUGAAACUGACUCAAGACUGGGGGUCUCAGAAUUGGAGUCUUUAACUCAAAAAAGAUGGUAAAUACACCCUUUGGCUAUCGUUUUCCUCGCUCUAUGAUACGAAACAAGUUGACCCCUAAGCAUUGUAGUACUACCCCUCUAUUCAAGGACUGGUUUAUGUAGAAACUAAAUAUGAACCCCUUUAUUUCUGCAAUCCACUGUAGCAUAGCAUGAAUAGAGACAAUCCAUAUCGAGAAUGACAUCAAAAUCCAUUAUCUCUAAUUCUACAAGGUCUGCUGAAGUAACUUUUUGAGACACUGUAACCGGGAAGUUCCUAUAUACCCGCCAAACUACGAUAGACUUACCCACUGGGGUAGAUACUGAAAAGGGAUCUGUUAUUUUUUCUGGACUGAUUCCAAAGUCGACCGCUAUAUAUGGGGUGACAAAAGAAAGGGAAGCUCUGAGAUAUAGCAAAGCAUAAACUUGUAAAUGAAAGACUUGCAACAUACCAGUAACCAUGUCAGGAGAACUUUCCUUACCCUGUCAGGACUGAAGUGCAUAAAGCCUAUUCAGAUGCUGACUGAUAAUAGCACUGGAAGCGUGCCCUACUGAGUUGGGCGAUCGGCUGGAGUUGAUGACUAAUGAGACUGGCUUGAUUGGCGCACAUCCCUGCUCUUCUGAGCAACCACUAGACACUCUUGAAUCCCAUGGCCUGUCUUACCACAUCCAAAACAUACAUCACUACCAUCCCUAUAUUCUCUUAAUAGUUCCUACCAUAUUUUUGACAAAAUAGAUUCAUGUGACCACUGUUUACACUACCUUGGGACUUAGAGCCUGGAGCCCUAUCCCGAUUGUCAUUUCUGAACUUUGGCAUAUGAGCACUAGCUAAAGAUAGAGCCGAAGCUAAUGUUCUUUGAUAUAAAUGGAGAAGGUUACCACCCUCUGACCUUGUCUAAGCAAAGUUGAAACUACCUAUCCUAGCCCUCUUAUUCUCUCUUUUUUUCUCCUAAACCUUUUUCUCCUCAAUCUAUUGAGCAUGGACCAUCAAUAUAGACAGGUCCAUAUCCUUUAUCAAUAUUGCAGUCUUACACUCCUUGACCACACUAUCAGAUACUCCAUACAUGAACUUGCUCAUUCUAGACCUAUUAUCAGCCACCAUAUGGGGAGCAUACCUGGCUAGCUGAGUAAACUUAAGAGAAUACUCAUUCACACUCAUAUUUCCUUGCUUAAAAUUAAUUAACUCCAGUACCUUAGCUUUCCUAAAAUCUAAAGGAAAAAAUCUAUCUACAAAGGCUGUAACAAACUCUUCCCACUCUAUAAGCCUUGCAUCUGCGCCUCUAUCCCUCUUCUAUUGCUUAUACCAAGUAUGGGCUAAAUCCUACAGCUGGAAAGUAGCCAAUUUAGCACUCUCACUGGAAUUCACCCCAUAAUAUCUGUUACCUUCUGCACCAUGUCAAGGAAUUUCCAUGCAUCCUCUUCAGACUUGGAUCCCAAAAAUGAAGGAGGGUUCAUUCGGGUGAAGUCCCGAAUCCUAACUGCGGCAGUUAUCCCCACUGGGUUGGCCUAAAUAGCAGCUGGACGAAUAUUUUAAACUACUACAGAGUGAGCUAGAGUAGUGAAUGUAGCCCUAAUCUCAGCAUGCAAAAUGAGCUCAUUCAGGAGUUCUUCCUGAAUGAGCGGAGGUACUGGCUGGUUCCAUUUCUCCCUCAGUUAGUAUUUCUAGGAGGCAUGUUUUGUAAAAGAAAUAAAGAUUAAAUUAGAUGAAGAGUUUAAAUAGAGCUCAUGCUCUUUCGCACGACAUGAUAACUAAAAGAAGGAAAACUUUUCCUAAAUCAUUUUUGUAACCUCUUGUCCAUAAGUGUAGCGCGCUUCACAACCAUGCACAAGACUCUACUUAACGCAGAUUUCUAACUCCCUAGGACACUUUAAAACCUUAGGAUCUAAUACCAAGUUUGUAAUACCCUGAGAGUACACCCUAGGUGCUACAUGAUGCUUUCAGUCACAAGUGACCACAAGCUAACCGAUGAUACUGGUACCUGGUAUGAGCACUGAGUAAAACUGAUAACAAAAGAGUAGUUGUAGAAUUUAACUGAAAAAUACCAUAAUGUUUUAAAUCAUAGUUCUGAUAAUAUCUGCAAAACAACACUAAUAAUACUGAUAAAACUGCUAAUAAUGAUAAUUAAAAACUAACUGUCUGGACAAGUCUGAAAGCCUCUAAACUCCUGACUAUGGAGUUGAUGGGACAAGUUUCCAACUAAUUUUAGUGACUAAUAAACAGAAUAUACUGAAAUAAACAUAACAGUCCUUGAAACAUAAGGACUCACCACUGCUACUGUUACGGGUACGCUGGGAUAUCUAGGUGCGGUCGGGAAUCUGAGAGAACGAACCUAUGAUAUGAAACAUCAUAGUGCAAGAAAAUGAGUAUGCGGUUAGUACUUUGGAUGUACUAGUAUGCUAAAUGAGGUUAGGCUAAUAUGCAUGGUUUCAUAUGCAUGAGUAAUAACUGACCGAAUGAAUAGUAUCAAGUACCAAGUAGAAUGCAUGAAAUCUAUAAAGACUGAGAAUGCAUGAACAAGCAUAACACAUGUUUUGAAUAUAAUCUGUAAACUAAAAUAUAGAAUACUGAUUAAUGGAAAACUGAUAUAUAUGUAUGCAAAACUAAAACUGAUUACUAAGUUGAAUACUGGACUGAGACUGUGGGAGCUAUCAUCUAACUGACAUACCCCAAUGAGCUAAUUGGGGUUCAACCUAUUACCCCAGUUGGAAGGGUGUCACUAUUAUGCCACAGGUACUAACACAUGACUGCAUGGAUCCACUAAGCUACUAAAUAAUCAGGAUGUCAAUCCUAAACUGAAGGGUGAUACCUAGGCGGAGUCAAGCCUAAACUGACGGGUGACUCCUCAUAUCCUACGCUGGUUACGUAGUUCUGGAAUUCAAGGACUGCUACUAAUGACUCUACCUAACUGAUGGGGAAGCCUUCAUCCCUGCAUUCGCUCGAUGCUAAAUCCUACUCCCAACUGAAAGACCUGGAAUAUUGGGCUGACUAUGCUUAACUAUUUAAAAUACUAACUAAAAUGAUAGGGCUAGUAACUAUUCUGUAACCAUUCUAUAAAUACUGAAAACUAGAUAAGCAGCUAAAUUUUGGGUAUUCAAAUCCCUAAGACUCGAUAACAAUAAUAGCAAGAUUGUACUAAAACUUUGAGGACAUGAUAUGUAAGCAUUUAUCCAGAACUCCUUGUUGUGGAUAUUUCAUGAAACACUUGUAAUUCAUGGUUUAAACUAAGCAUGAGAAUAGUUUAAAACUCAAAGUAAUAGCAUGAUUUCCCUACUAAAAUCGCCAAUUAAGGUUUAAUUUAGUGAACAACACCAUUCAAAUGUGUAGGGAUUAAUAAAAACAAUAACUACAUGUAACCAUGGUAUAGAUUCAAAAUUCAUGGGGAUUCAUGGUUAAAAUCACAAGAACUUAUAAAAAUCACAACUUUGAAUUUGAAAUUGGGUUCUUGGACUCCAUGGGUGGAAAGGACCCAUGGAUAGACAUUUAACAUACCUUAAAAUUUUGAUCUUGAAAGAGAGUUAACUUUUCUUGAAUGUUCUUGGAUUGUGAACCUUAAAUUCUUGAUUAUCUUGUUGAGAGUGUAAUGGAGUCUUGAAGUUCUUGGGAGAUUACCUUAAAAAUAAACCCUAAUCUUGUUCUUGGGAAUAAAGAGUGUUAAGGGCUUUUGAAACUAAUUCAUAAUAGCUAAGUGAUUAUUUUUUAUAAUUUAUGUCGUGGGGGGGGGGGGGGAGGGGGUUUGAGGUGAAGAAAGUACCAAAAUACUCCAACGAAACUAAAUCAUAAUUGCUGAAUUGCUGAAAUUUUAGUUAAAAACUUGGGUUGAUAAGUCGUCACUUAGGUGAUGGCUAAUCACCUCAAGUCGUCACUUUUAUGGAUGAAAUUAUCACAUACUGUUUAUAGGUGAUGACUUGGUCUGAUAUGUCAUAACUUAGGUGAUGGCUUAUCACCUUAAGUCAUCACUUGGAAGCUGAAAUUGAUGAGUUUCUGGAUAGGUUGACGACUUGGGCUUAUAGGGAAUCACUGAGGUGACGACUUAUCAUCUCAGGUCAUCAGUUAGAAGCUGAAAUGAUGAGUUUCUAGUUGGGCUGAUGACUUGGGCCAAUAGGUCGUCACUUAGGUGAUGACUUAUCAACUCAGGUCGUUACUUGGAAGCUGAAAUUGAUGGCAUUCUAUUUAAGGCGGAUGACUUGGGUUGAUAAGUCAUCACUUAGUUGACGACUUAUCAACUCAGGUCAUCACUUUGUUGACAGACGGAUAUGCUGAAGUAAAAUGAGUAUAACUUUCCAUUCCGAUAUCGGAUUAAGGUGAAACCGAUGUGUUGGAAAGAAGAUUCAAAGAUGUUUCAUUUGAUAUACCGUAGGCUACAUAACUCAUUAUGUACAAGGAGUAAUGGUUGUGGAAAUUUGAUCCAAGCUGAAAUGUUCGCUAAAACUUAAUCAACAGAAGCGUUCUCAACUCGUCUUUGAGUAAGGAGAUUUUUAUGACCUUGAAUGAUAUAAAAGGAAAUUUUUACACCAUAUAAUUGAUCAUCACACAUAUAUAAACAUAUAAUCAUUGGGUUCAGGCUUGUAUACUUAGGAACAAUGGUUUGAGUUCUAGCCCAAAAACGUGGGGUAUUACAAAGGCCCGAAAGACCCCUUAGCAUACUAUCAUAAGCAUAAUCCAUACAUAAAUCAAAGUGCGGAAGAUAUAAUAAUAUUCAAUGGAAACUUAUAAACCAAAGUAUGUCAAUAAAGUUGUGACAAUACAAUACUCAAAAUUAUCAUUUACGAAGCCUCUACUGAAUGCUGACUGUCUAGGAUGGGACAAGGCCCCUGGCUGGACCAUAGACUAUAGAAAUCAACAUAUGAAGAUGUGCCUUCCAAAAUAUGGAUGGCUCACCAACUCUGUCAUAUCCCAAAUGUUGUGCCGAUGUGAUGGAAAAUGGAACUAUUCCUCGAAACCUGUAAUAUGGGGGUCAAUACUUGAAAAGUAUUGGUAUAUAGAACAACCCUAAAAUAACAUAUAUUUCAUGUAACAUAAUUGAGAGCAUUGUGAAAAUAAUUUAGCAUAAUAUAUAUAUAUAUAUAAACAUAUGGGCAUAUUUUAACGAGCUUCAAUUCAUGCUUGUAAAACACUGACUUAACUCUUUGUUUUAGUUUUGAGCUAGAUGGUACAUCCUACAUUCCUAAAAUACCACGGACUAUAUGUAAUUCGCUUUUGACUUGGUGGCCAAGCCCCCAAUUCAAGUUUACUGCAAGAAUUAGAGUAGUAUCAGUAAGGGGGACACGAAAGAUCACAAAGAAAGGUGCCAUAAUCCCCAAUGAAGUCAACAUUUCAUGGUAGUGUACAAGAUUACAAAGCAGGGCUCCUAACCAUAGUCCCAAAUUGGGAUGACAUAAAUCAAAAGUACACAAGAUCACAAAGCAGGGUACGAUAAUCCCGUGCUGGCAAAACACGAUUUCUAGCGAUGAGUCUUGCAACUCGUGCUUUCUUUGGAUAACCAUAUAACUGUCUUUAAGCCCAAUUUUAAUCUCUUAAAAACAUGUUUCAUGCUCAAAAUAUUCUCUUUUUGUUUCAUAUUAAGGGCACUCCAUAAUACGUAUCGCCAUGCCUAGACUUGCAAGCCAUAUCAUUUCAUAUCAUGUCCAUAUCCUUUUUCAUUCAAAAACAUGUCAAUGACCACCAAAAGAUUUAUCAUAUCACAUGAGAGUUCUUAUUUCAAAAGUACAUGAAAACUUAUGCCAAAACACUCUCUUUUCAAUACUUUAACAUACGGUGGUUAUCUCUUUCAUCAAUCACAUGAAAUUCUUCAUUUUAACACAAAAGGGCAUUUAUCAAUAAUCAACACCCCUUUGCACACUAAAGGGGGUUUAUAGUUCAUGCUCUCAAAUCCACUUCAAAAUCUAUUACAUGUUAUGACAAUAAAUUUCAUCAUGUUGGGGGCAAGGGGGGUCUUAAAUCACUUUUCAAAACUCAUAAUAUAUGAGCACAUGACCACAAUUCAAAUUCAUGGAAAAUCCCCCCUUAUUAAUUUCAUAAUUUGAUCAAGCAUAGGUUCAUAAUGCAUGCUCUUCAAAUGAUUUCCAAACACCCUUUCACAUAUACAUAAUUAUAUAACUUUAAAACUUGGUUAACCGAUAAACUUAUGCCCAUGAGAUUUAGGAUAACCUUAAUUUAGGAAUUUUUCCUCAACAAAACAUACAUAGGCAUUCAAGAAGAGCUUAAUGAAAUCACCAAGUGAAUCGUGUAAGCAUGAAGUGUGAAAUAAUGAGAAUUGACAUAGCUAUGACCUUGCAAAGGAGUUCAAGAUAUCAUAAUCAUCACAACAUAAGGCAUGAGUUUAUUUGGUGGUCGUGGGUCUUGAUUUAAAUUGGCACUAAACAUGGGAUAAGAUUCCGUGGAACAUAGGAAUAGAGGUAUCCGCCAUCUUACAUGAUAUGACUGAUAGACCUUAAACUUAAAGACACUAGUCGACUAUGCACCAAAUAAUAAAUAACACACUUCAUCAUUUCCAACGUACAAUUCCCCUACAAUACACCUAACUACAAGAGUUUGAGUCCAACUACAUAGUAAUUCCAUGUUGAAGCCUAACACGGAGUAAAAAAAUGCUAGCUUAAGCUAUGGGACCAUAUACUCUACAUCCCUUUAAGGAUAUCACUUCACCUUAUCACUAUAAUAAAACAACCUCCUUCUUACCUCUCCACCUACAACCAUGGCUCAAGUAUUCAUACCAAAAAUUUAACACAAUAAGAAACAUCUACUCCCUUAUCUAAGACAUUACAAAGCUUUCUUAACCACCAUCAUACUAAUAUAUGAAGGGUCAUUGAGGGACCGAGCCUAAGCAUCAUGAAUGGGAUUAACACUAUUUGAUUAUAACUUAUACUUAGUGCACUACUCAAGGUGGUACAUAAGAUGAAGAUACUAUACAAUAGACACGAAGUGCUUCAUAUAUCAAGUGUCUAGAUCAUAAGUAGAGAGUCAUUCGGGUAUAUGCAUAACAGAACAUGAGUUAUUAGGACUAGGAAUGGUGAGAAACGAGAGAGAAUAUAUCAUGAGUUGUAUAGCAUAAAGUCAAAAUUCACGUAGUCGACAAUUGAGAUAAGAAUGGCCACUUGAAUCUAUUGCUCCUCAUUUAAAGAGCUGAAAAUGGUCAUGAGUUUGCAUAAUCCUUAUCGCUUUGGCUAGACCCAACAUAAAAUAAAUCGGUAAUAUAUAGAAAGCACAGUUUCGUAGAACGAAGCAUGAUAUGAACAUUGGUUUAUGGAUCAUGAACAUCAUAACAUAGAGCUUGAAUACUUAAAAUAUUGGAUUACUGAGGGACAUUAUUGCUUUUAGUUUGGAGGUCAGAACAUAGACAUAAAUUACAUACAUAAUUUGGACCUUAGGCAUAGGCAUGACUUAAAUACAUAAAACAUUAGUAGAAUGACCUCUUAAAUUGAAGUAGGAGGAGCUUGCUUUAAUAGGCAUAUAUUUAUCAUGACUCUUCCCUAAAAUUUGACACCACGAGAAAAUUCAAGAACUACCUUAAUUCAUCAUCUCCCCCUUAGAUCAAAGUCACAAUUCUAGACUUGAGAACAUAUCCUCUCAUUAAAUCUACAAGCACAACACUUAACAUAAUGGGGGUAUCACCAUACACAUAAAUGCUAAACUACCCCUAAUAAACCAUACCCUGAAGGCACUGCUUUUCGGGAAUGCUACUCUUAACUUUUGCUAGCCUCUAUAGCCAUCACCCUACAACUCACACUCUUACUAUCACAUAACAAUCCAUUCUCCAUUACUUAACAUACUAUCAUUAAACCUCUAAUCGUUACCCUUACAACUUAACAAAGUUUUUAAAACUAGACCAAGAGCUCACAUUAUCUAUCUAUAUUUCCCCAAAUUCAGCUCUAAAGAACACCAUAUAGUAGCUCUCUAGGCUUAUCUAUACUAAGAAAUUCAAGAACCUAAACUAGGUAAACAUGGCACUUAUACUCAUAAAACCUUAUCUAACCACAUGCUACCUAGGGUUCAACUUACUCUUAUAAAACUAAUGCUCUUAUCCACCUAAUGAAUUAUCCGCAAUUCAUUAUUUUAACACUAGUGCUCAUGUAUGUAUAUGUCAUGCCCCGAACCAAGGCCCUAGACGUGACAUGCACCCGGUACUAUUGUUAGUAUGAGCAAACAUUCUGGCAUAUCAUAUGAGCAUGCACCUAACAUAAUGAAUAGAGAGAAAGCAAUAUAAAAUAAGAUUUCUUAAAGGAUAAAGUAUUUCAUCAAUGUUCUUUAAUGUCACAUAACGUCUAACGACAUAAUAGUCAUGAUAAAUAAGACUACAAAUUACAAGAUAUUUCUGACAACUAAACCAGCCUAUGAAGCCUCUAUUGACUAAUUAUAAAUAUCGGGAAAAGGCCCCGACAUACCUUGACACAGAAAGGAACAUAGAGAAAUUAUCAUAUCUAAAUAUGCCCCGAGUAGAAAGAACGCUCACCAAUUGUAGAAGAUGAUAAUCCUAAUGAGGCGUCUGACCACGGACUUAAGAUCCAAAACCUACAUCAUGAAUGAUGUAUCCUGAAAGACGAUCAAUACAUGGAAUGUAUUGAAAUUUACAACCACUUUAGAAGGGAAGUAAAACAAGAGAUUAGAAAUGACAAUAAAAUUCAAAAAUAAGUGAAGACAACUUGAAAGGAACAAGAAUAUAAACUAAAUUUAUAAUUGACCAAGUAAGGUAAAUUUAAUUCCUUUGAUUAUUUGUGGUAGAAAAUAGUGAACCAUCAUAAACCACCAUUUGAGCGCAUAGAGUAUGAUCUCGGCCCGAUUAGCUAAGCCUAACUACACCUUGCCAGGCAUAGGACGCGACAUGACAUAAUUUGUUAGAAAGCAUCCAUGGUUAUCCCCUUUUCGGGACACAUGAAAAAAAAAGGUCAUCCAACUUGAGGAAUAAUCUCUAUCCUAUGUCGGCAAACAUAGUUUUAGGCAUUUGUCGUUUCAACCUAUGCCUUCACGGUCAGCUAACUAACUCCCUUAUGCUCAUGACAUUAUCUUAUUUAUUUGAUUAGUUCUUGAAAUGUUAUUCUUAUUACGUUCACAUUCAUAGUUUAGCCUUUUUAGGCUCAUGCUCAUGGUUUAGCCUUUUUAGGCUCAUAAUUAUAUAUAGACACUUUAGGCUCAUAUUGAGAGUUAAUCGUAAUAGGUUCAUAUUCAUGAGUUAACACUAUCAAUAUUGGAGAGUCAUGAUAGGUAAUUUCAUGGUUUGAUAUGAUAUAAUUCAUGUACAUGAUUGGAAGCAUUCUUGUAAAAAUAUUCAUGUUCAUAUUAUUAUCUAUUAGGUCAAUGGGGGGUUCCUGGGAAGUUGGUAAUAUUAUACUGAGACUUGCAAAUUCAUAAUGUAUAAAUCACAAUGCAAAGAGUUUUACGAAUGUUGUGGGAAGGUUACAUUCUUAUGGAUUAUGGAACAAGAAUUAUACUUUUAAGAGUUUCAUAAAUUAUAUCUUAUAACUUUAAAAGAAACAUUCACAUGAUGGCAUGGCUGAGAUUUUGACAUGGAAGAUUGGACUAAGAUAUUGCAUUACAAUCAUCUACUGCCUGAGAUUCUAGAAGAUAGAUUGACAUGAGAUCCUAGUAGGAGAUAAAGCAGUUAUUAACAAUAAAAAGUGAACUCAAACUCCCAAUCUCAGAAUCUGACAAUAUCAAUAUGGGAAGUUCAAUUUUCAAAGGGCUAUUUAACAGUCCAAUAGGCCAAUAUUUUGUGAAAACAGGAAGAAAAUCGUACAAAGCAACCAAUGAAGUUGUCUUACAACUAGUGGAACAGUUAUACAACUAGUGCAACAGUCAUACAACCAAUUACACAAAUGCUUAUUGAUUCAGACAAUAUCAACAGUUAAAAGGAUGAAAGAUGAUGAUCAAAGAAAGAUGUUACUUUUCUUUUCUUACCCAAAGUAUCUGGGAAACACGUAUUUAUGCAUUUAAUUGAGGAAUAGGAGUAUGAGAGUUUCUUGGAUCCGAGAUUAUCUUGAGCAAAUUGAAUUGGUAAACAUGAAAUUUGAAGAAUACAUAAAGAUGGUAGUCUUACAUACCUCAAAAAUGCUAGAAGAAUUGUGAUUAGAUAGAGGGAUUUUACUUGAUUCUUGAAUUGAAUUCUCAUGGAUUCUUAAUAGUUGUGUUAGCGAGGAGAAUAAGGGGUGUUAUGUGCUGAAAAAUGUCGUAAAACUGAUAAAGAAAGAGGCUUUAAAAAGUUUGGGGGUUAUGGGAAAAAGAAGGAAUGAAAUCACCCCCAAGAAUGUGAAGAGUUAAGAAAAAAUAGAAAAUUUUCGUCUGGUAGGCUGUUCUGACUAUUCUUAUCAAAACAAAUGUAACUUUUUACUCGAGACUCUGAUUUAUGAGAUGUUGGUGGCAUUGGAAAGAAGAUUCAAAAAUAUUUAAUUUGAUAGGUAAUAGGUCACAUAACUCUAAGUAUUCUAGGAUAAAUGCUUCUAUAAGUUUGACCCUUGUAUGAACAUAUACGAAACUUAAUUGUUAAAGGACCUUUCAACUCAAAUUUAUUUAGAGAUUUCUUAUACCCUUAAUUCAUACCCAACACCACUACUCUUAAGACAUGACCUUUCCAUCUAGAUAUAAUAAAUUUUUUAGAUUCAGGUAUAAGUACGAGUAGUCCAAUUUGUUUUAUCUUUAGCUCUAACGUUAAGGGUGUUACAGUAUAUCACAAUUAUCCACUCAAUUUAUUUUCAUAAGUUAUCAACCUAGGAUAUUUCACAUAUCACUUCAAGACUACUAAUUCAUUCCCACAAAAUGUGCAUCAUUAAUCUUAAGCUACUAUUCUUGCCACCAUAACCCACAUCUAAAGUUCAAGCUUAUUGUCUAGCAUAAUCGUGCACCACAGAUGAUGCAUACCUCAAACUAUACUAGCCCAUCAAAUUAGAAGAUCGAUCUAAAUUCCUUAUUUCACUUAACUGUGAUCUACAAGAACAUAUUCUUCAUGAUGUUAUUACUGCACCUUAAAAUCUACUACACACUUUCUCAUAUGUUGUACUAGUUUACCACUAGAAGGUAAAGUCACAUAAUAAUGAUACUCAAUAUUAAUCUUAUAAUAUAACCCAUUACGAUCUUAUUAGCAUACUCUUACUUUCUCACAUCAUAUCAACUUAUCCAUGCAUACAUCCCAACUACCAUCAAAACCAGUGAGUCUCUACUUAUAACGUAUUGGCUAGUCUACCCAUUUUCAUUCACAACCUAUAAAUGAUUUCUACAACUACCAUAACUAUUAAUUCUGAGCUCCUUCCCUAUUUAAAUAAAUAAUUAUCACAGCUAAUCACUUCCUCUACAGACUACCAUACAACCAAUAAAUCUUGAUACAAUAUUAUCCAAUCACCAUAAAGGGCACACUACUCUCUACUUAAAGUUCACACAACUAUAACUACCUUCUUCACUCAAGAGUUACACUCUGACUUCUAAGCUUUUGGAUUCAUAUCACUAACUUCUGGACCAUUUUACUACCAAUAGGUCAUGACUCCUUAACAUAUACUACCACUCGGGUGGAACUAUUGUUCCAACAUUCUGCCACAAAUCUCUGCCCUUAAGCAUGAUAUCUGCAACAAAGAUUCUGAAAGGGACUGAAUAUACUCCUUACCUUAGGCUCAAACGCAUGAUUGAUAUAGAUAGGGGUAUCCAUUGGAUUCAACACACUUUGAAGCACUAACAGACUCGGUAUCCAUUGGAUUCAACACACUUUGAAGCACUAACAGACUCCUCACAAGUCCUUAUGCUAUAUCAUAACCUUUUAUGACUCAAUUAAAAAGGACCACAUCAUUUAGACUCUCAGAUUUUGCAUUGGUAUCGCCUCGACAAUGAGACAUAGCUAAUAAAAUUAGAGUAAGAAAGAAAUUUGUAUAACUUCCAUAUGGAUAACAAAAUAGCACGAUCUACACUAUGAAAGAAUGGAAAACUACUCCUAAAUUUCCGGUAGCCUCUAAAUUAUAAGUGUGUGUACAACACACCCAUAAGCAAGAAUCUACUAGACACGACUUUGUAGAUACCCUGGAACCAUAAAUCGUGCUCUAAUACCAAGCUUGUCAUGACCCGAGCUGAGAUCCUAGUUGCAACAGGCAUCCCAAACCACGAAGGCCUAAGAGACCCCUUAUCAUACUAUCAUAAACAUAAUUCAUACCUAAAUCAAAGUGCGGAAGAUAUAAUAAUAUUCAAUAGAAACUUAUAAACCAAAGUGUGUCAAUAAAGUCAUCAUAAUACAGUACUCAAAUGUCAUCUACGAAACCUCUACUGAAUGCUAACUGUCUAUGCCAGGUAGUGGAAUGUAUUGGUAUAUAGAACAACCCCAAAAUAACAUAUAUUUCAUGUAACAUAAUUGAGAGCAUUGUGAAAAUAAUUUAGCAUAAUGUAUAUAUAAAAAAACAGGGGCAUAUUUUGAAGAGCUUCAAUUCAUGCUUGUAAAACAUUGACUCAACUCUUUGCUUUAGUUCUGAGCUAGAUGGUACACCCUACAUUUAUAAAAUCCCAUGGGAUAUAUGGAAUCCACCUUGAAUCAACGGUCAAGCCCUCAAUCCAAGUUUGCCGUAAAAAUUGGAGUAUCAGUAAGGAGGAUACAUAAGAUCACUAAGCAGGGUGCCAUAAUCCCCAAUCAAGUCAACAUGUCAUGGUAGUGCACAAAAUAUCAUAAAGAAGGGAUCCUAACCAUAGUUCCAAAUUGGGACGACAUGAAUCAACAGUACACAAGAUCACAAAGUAGGGUACCAUAAUCCCGCACCGGCAAAACACGGUUUCCAGCGAUGAGUCUUUCGACUCAUGCUUUCUUUGGGUAACCAUCUAAUUCUCUUUAAGCCCAAUUUUAGUCUCUUAAAAUCAUGGUUCAUGCUCAAAAUAUUAAUUUUUUUAUAUUAAGGACACUCUAUAAUAGUUAUCGUCAUACCUAGACAUUCAAGUUAUAUCAUAGCAUGUCCACAGCCCUUUUCAUUCAAAAUUACGUUAAUGACAACCAAAAGAUUUAUCAUAUCACAUGAGAGUUCUUAUUUCAAAAGUACAUGAAAACUUAUGCCAAAACACUCUCCUAUCAAUACUUUUAACAUAAGUGGUAAUCCUUUUCGUCUAUCACAUGAAAUUCUUCAUUUAACACAAAAGAGCAUUUAACAAUAAUCAACACCUCUUUGAAAAUAUUUUAAAAAGAGAUAAUACAUCGAAACACUCCUAAACUUAUAUCCAAAACUAACUUUAGACCCUAAACUAAUCGGGCAAUUAUUUACCUCCCCUUAACAAUUUUCAAGUGAAUUUUUUUUCACCCUAAAAAAAUUAUACCACUCUCAAUACAGAGAGUGAAGUGCACGCGCCCCACGUAAUUGCCAAAUUAGUGCCACAUCAGCGACAUGUCAUUGCCACAUAAGAAAUUAUAAUUUUUUUUAAAAAAUAAUCCAAUAAACAUAUUAUUUUUAUAUAUUUUUUUUAAAAAAGUUCCUCCUCCUUCAAUUCUUUAACAGCCCCCCAGCCCCAUUUUCUCCUCCUCCUUUAAUUUGUUUUUUACCAUUAACACCAUUUUCACCAUUAACACCAAUAACUUGAUUUGAAUUUAACAAGAACUUGAUAAAUAACUUGUUCAUGUAGAUUAAGCCAUGACUCCUCUAUCAACAUUUAGAAAUCAACAAUUGCAAGUAGAACAAAACCUAAACUCAUCCACAAUAAUUCCAGAUCUACCAAACGAUUUAGCAGCAAUAAUACUAAUAUUCAUUCCUUUGUUUCGAUCUGCCAUGAAAAUACUUCCUUCUUUAAUUUUUUUCACCCUUAACACCAUUAUUUCAAACCUUCUCAAAUGCUCCAAUAAGCACACAACGAAGAAGUGAUAAAUUGUCAUAAGUUAUUUAUCAUCACAAAUUGGAUGUAGUCAUCUGAAAAAAUUAAAUAAAAGUAAAAAAAAAUUAAUAAAGGGAGGGGUUAAUGGAGCUUAGUAAUGGCGAACUUGAAAAAAAAAUUAGUCUAAAUGAAGAAGAUGAAGAAACGAGGAGGGGUGGGGGUGGAAUAAAGAAAACUUGUAAAAUUAAAAGGUGGGACCCACCAUUUUCCAUGUUUUUUAAGCAAAUUACACGCUGAUUUUUUAAAAAAUUGCCUCGUCAGCAAUUAGGGUGGAAAAAAUUCACUUGGAAGUUGUUAAGGGGGGUAAAUAAUUGCCCGAUUAGUUUAGGGUCUAAAGUAAUUUUUGGCUACAAGUUUAGGGGUGUUUCGAUGUAUUAUCUCUUUUAAAAAUAACUAUGAAUAUUUGAUAAAGAGGUAUUUAAAACUUAUGUUUAUCGUUAUUCAUUAAACAACACCAAUAAUAAUCAAUAAACAAAUCUCAUAAUUGAAAAAAGUUGGUUAUAGUUCAUGCUCUCAAAUCCACUUCAAAAUUCACAACACGUUAUGACAAUAAACUUCAUAAUGCAAAGGUGGGGAAGGGGGGGGAGGGGGGUCGUAAUUCAUGUUCUUAAAUAACUUUUCAAAACUCAUAACAUUUAAACACAUGACCACAAUUCAAAUUCAUGAAAACUCCCUUAUUAAUUUCAUAAUUUCAUCAAACAUGCGUUCAUGAUGCAUGUUCUUCAAACGAUUUUCAAAAACCCUUUUACAUAUACAUAAUUAUAUAUCCUUAAACUUGUUAAAAUGAUAAACUUAUGCCCAUGAGAUUUAGGAUAGUCCCACAUAUUUUGAUAAUGACGAAAACGUAGAGAAAUUUGACCCUUAGAGCUUAAAAUCCUUACCCUAAAUAGUUUAUCUUCUCUUGCUUAGGGAAAGAAAGACCUUAAUUUCAUCCAUAAAGGAUUGGGAACAGUUUGGGAGGGUGAAAAGAUCCCUUUGCCCUUAAAAUAACUCAAAAAAACCCUUUUCGACACUUGGGAAAGGCUUGGCAGCGCAAGGCCAAACCAAACCACAGGGUUUGCAGUGCAAGGACAAAGAAAACCUCAGGGUUUACGGUACAAGGCCAAAUCGUACCUGAGACAGGGUCUCACUAAAUCACUCAUAACUUUUGAUUCAGAACGAAUUGACGAACGAUCAAUUGAGUUGGAAAGAGGACUCAAAGAGCUUUAAUUUGGUAUAUAAUGGGUCACAUAAAUCCAUAUAUUACUGAAGUAAUGUUCGUUGGAAGCUGACCCAUGACAAAUCGCCAACGAAAACUCAACUAGUAAGAAAGUGCUCAACUUAAAUUUGAGCGAAGAGAUUUUUAUGACUUAAACUCAUCUCCAAAGAUGUUACCACGACAUUGGAAGGGUGAAAAGACCCCUUUAAUCUUAAAAUAACUCAAAAAGGAACACUUUUUGACGCUUGGGAAAGGCUUGGAGGCACAAGUCCAAAUCAAACCUCAGGGUUUGCGGCACAAGGCCAAAGCAAACCUCAGGGUUUGCGGCGCAAGGCCAAAUCGGACCUGAGACAGUGUCUCACUAAAUCACUCAUAACUUUUGAUUCAAAACUUGAAUUGAUGAACGGUCAGUUGCGUUGGAAAGAGGACUCAAAGAGCUUUAAUUUGGUAUUUAAUGGGUCACAUAAAUCUACAUAUUCCAGGAGUAAUGUUCGUUGGAAGCUGACCCAUGACAAAUCGCCAACUAAAACUCAACCGGUAAGAAAGUGCUCAACUUAACUUUGAGCUAAGAGAUUUUUAUGACUUAUACUCAUCUCAAAAGAUGUUACCAUGACAAAUAAUUGUUAUUCACACUAUUAUAUAAAUAAAAAUCAUCGGGUUCGGGUCUAUAUACACAGGAAGGACGAUUCAAGUUAUAGCCCAAAAAUGUGGGGUGUUACAUAAGUCUUCAUUAUUAUUACUAGGUUCCCCUGCUUUCAUCGCUAUCAAUCUUUUGCCAAUGAUACACCUAAUUGUCGUUUGAAUUUCCUUUUUAGUUUCCAUCAUUCUUUUGUUCCUUUUACUAGGCAAAGACCUAAAAAAAAAAUUUAAGUAAAUUUUCUAUGCUAUUAAAAUAGAAACUUGAUAAAAUAGAUUAAUACUUUACCUCGACCCUGGUAUAUAAAUCGUAAAACUUCUUCCAUUACAUCCGCAGCUUGUUCUUUCUAAAGUUCAAGUAUUAUUCUUCCUUUUUCAUAACUAUCCCAAAUGCAGUUUGAGAAAUGACGUCGCCCACCAUUAGUUGAAAGUGUGGCCAUAUAUCAAGCUCGAAUGAUAUUUUAUUUGGAACAAUCUCCUCACAUUUGCUUAGCAUUUCACUACAACUCAAACAAUAUGCUGGCAGCAUAUGCUAUUUCAACACAGACGGAUUAAUUUCACUCGUGGUCUCUAAAUCUUAUAUACUAGCUAUAUACAAGCAGAAAAAAGUAGUAUGUAUAACCUUUAGUUUCUCAAAAUGGAAAGCAGGUUUGAUGAUUUUUCUGUGUUUGGCCCAUUUUUCUUCCUCAAGACUUACAAGGCCUUGAACCAAUAACUUUGCGAAUGGAUUGGAAUGUUUGUUCUUAUGAUACGUAUAAUUUUUUUCAAAAAUCUCCUUUAUGUGUGUAGGUUCUGUGAUGAAUACUAUUGGCUUGGAGCCUAGCCAGGGAAAAGAAGUUUUACCUGCAGAAUAUUUAUCAGCUUUUGGGUUAGUAUUUACCAGCAGAGUAUUUAGGAAAUUCACUUAAUACAUAUAAAUAAUUUAUCAAGAACCCAAGAAGCCUCAUUUUCUAGAAUUCAGAAUCUAUAAACUGAAAAUCUUAGCACCGCCAGACACCCGGGCAAACAACCCUCCUCCAAGAAGAACUGUAGAGACUAGUUGGUUCACCAAACUACAAUUGAGCAUCACACAUUCUCCAGAUCCAGUGACAAACUACCGACUCCUCUUGAAAUUACGUUGUUGGAGCCAAGCUAGGAAUGACAGUAAGUGCACCAGCACUACUUUUCACCAGUUAAAGCUUCAUCUUGCUUGUUUUUCUUACUAUUGCAUGAAGUGGAGGACAUAAUUAUAAAGUAUGUUUUCUUAAACAGUUUAGGUAUUUAGAUGAGAUAGUUGCACGUUUAGAAUGAACACUUGUGAAUUGGGCAUGGGAAUAGUUUGUAGUAUUUUAUACAUGGAGAUUGUUGAAUUGGGCAUGGAGAUAGUUCCAUGUGAGGGAACAUGUCGAAUGAACACUUGUGAAAAUAAUAGAGGAAAAAGAAGAAAAUCAACAAACUAAGCUAGAGUCUUAUUCUUACCCUUUUUUUGUAGUCACAGAUAAAAGGAAUGAUCCUUUGUGCAACAUCAUCAGAGAAAUUGAUGGGCUUAGACUUUGCUUCAUUAUUUCUUAUACUCAGCUCCUUUAGAUCUCCAUAGAAUAACUUGUAUGGAUUUCCCUUCAGACCAUUCUCUCCCAAUUCAACACUUUCCAUGUAUCAUAAACUACUACUAACAAAAUUGUAACACACACUGCUGCUAUCAUCUCUAUUCCCACAAGUGAGAUAAAAUUAUUAGGCAAAUUUUCUACAAUAAAUAUGAAAAAUUUACUAAAAGUACCUGCGUUUUCUAUCACUAUAAAUGUAUCCACGACAAAAUGAGGUAGUUGAUGAAUUUUCCACGAAUAAUAAAGAUGUUUGUCUUUGUCCUAAUUGGUCAAAUUUGUGAACUUUUACAGUGUGAUGAGUAGACAAAAUAUGGACUAGAGUGCAUGAAUGAGGGGCAAGACUUCUCCAUGAUUUUUUCACUGGCAUCAUUUUAAGGAGGAUGUAAGAGUUCCUGAAGAGUUACAGUGGGUUGCUCCUCAAUUCUGGAACCUGUUCCCAGAUGAAAUCACACAAUACAACUAGGAGAGAUAUAAGCGAUGAAGUGCAGGAAUAAAGUAAAUAGCUCAAGGAUUUUACAUGAAAACCCCUUUCUUAAGGAAGAAAAACCAUGAUCUGCCUCCAGGAUUUCUAAGCCCCACUAUAUCUAAGCAACUCCUUGAAUACAAACUCCAGACUUCAGGAUUACUCUCCUAGUAAUAAUUCUAUUACAAGGAAACAGUACAGCAAUGCUACAGCACUCACCCUCCUGCUAACUCUAACUGGACAUACCAAGCUAACUCUAUCUUGAAAAUCACGUAAGUCUAGAUGAAUACAAUGAGAAGAAGUUUACACCACAACACCUACUAACAAUCAUAAGAAAAUGUAGGCAAACCUUUAAGAGCACAUUUACAAAGAGUCAAAUACAAUAAGUAAAUAAAAUAUAGCUUGAUGAGCUAUCAGUUCCCGUUGCAAAGUGAAGUCUUUGAUUUCAGCUUCAGAGAGAUAUUUAGUUAUAAGAAUAUGGAAGCAUUGGGUUUUUUGUUGAGGAAGAUGAGCAAUAUACAGUAUGAUACAAGAAAACCUAAGAUAGAUCCCAUUGGCUGAUACAAAAGGUGGAACUAGCUUUUCACCAUCUUUUGUACUUUGCGGCAGCUGUGACAUGUGAUAGUGAAAGGUGAGCCCAACCUAUUUUCUAAAUGGUAGAAACUUUGUCAUUACAUAAUCUCUAGGAAACAUAUCCCAACACACAAUUUUUCAAUCAUUUAAACUAAGGACUAGAAAAUUUUCCCCGAUACUAUCAUAUAAAAAAAAGAGGUGAGCAAUCAGCAUCUUCAAACAUCCAUGAAGCAUACAGUCUACCAGCAGGACUCAGCAACACAAGCCACAAGAAUUCCCCUAUCACUGAUGUCACAUACUUUUUUUGACCAAAAAAAAGAUUCGUUUUAAGUUUGAAAGGGUUUUUAUUAUUAAAGUGACAAAAGAUUGAAAAUUUUCUUUGAAAAAGGAUUAUUUACAUUUUUUAUUCAGAGUCGCCACUUGUUCCUAGUUACCUUUGGAAAUCCUUUUCAAAAUAGUUUGACUCUCGAAACUGAUCCACGAACAGAGAUUCUGACUAAGGAAUUCUGUUGACCGAGGGGAAGGUGUUAGGCACCCCUCGGUCCCGUGGUUCGACCAUGAUCACUUGGUAGAGCGUAUUGGCUAAUUUAACACUACGAAUGUAUAAACCAUACAAAACACAUAAACAAACAUCAAACAACAAUCCAAAACCGAAAUAAUAAUGUUCAGUCCAAUUAUACAGUCCAAAAUAGAAAAAUGUGAGAAAAGAAAUCCUAUUCUAUCCUACGCUAACCUAACGAUGCUUCUACUCUUUACCCGAUGCCUCAGACCUUCAUCACGAAUGUCUUCCACCAACAUAAUAUGUCGGGGCAUUCCCUAAAAAAUAGACAUAAAUCCUCGGGGCAUUCCCCGGCCAAAUAGUACAUUUUAAUCAAACACGAUAAAUUAUAAAACGUUCAACACACAUUCCACAUUCUAACAUUCAACAAGACACUUAAUCCUAAAUUUGCCUACCCAAACCUACAUUGGCCUAUCUAUUUCAACAUAUCAUAUCAACAAUCAAACAAAAUUAAUCCUAAUCUACUCUUUUCUUUAAAUUUUCAAUUCCCUCCCCCAACUUUUUUUAAUCAAUCACGCCAUUAAAACUAAUCAAAUUCAUUCCUCAAACAACCAAAGUCACAUGAUCAAGCGCAUGGUCAUAACAUCAACAACAUCGAUCAUUCAUAAUCACCUAACACAUAGUCACGAUCGUUUUAACAAAUUAAAAUAGAGAAGAGGCAAUGGGUUAAACAAAUGGACCUGUCGAUAUUAUAUUGAUAACAGUGUUUAAGAAAACCAGAUUCGAAAACCCGAACAACACCUCAACAAUGAACAAGCUCUAAACUCGAUAUCGCAAAAUAGAAACCCGCUACUGACCCCAAUAAAUUAACGGAGACGGACAACACUACGAAUCCCAAAAUAGUACGAAGACCAAAGAAUUGAGUGGAAAGCAGAAGAAUAAACUCGACCCAUACACAAAGCUAGAAGCAGAAACUGAUUCAAAACUGGACCAAUUUGAGUGAGGAAUUCACUGCUGGUCCACAUUUUCUGGAAAAAAACUUAACGAUUUUUGCCAAGUUUCCUUACAAAUCCCAGAAAAUAAUGAAGAAAUUUGGACUCUUCGAGAACUUGUUAACCGGAUGAUGAACCGAAAUUGAUUUCGAUGAAAGUUUUACACCGGAAAAGGGUUGGUGAAGGAUCGAACCUCGCACCAAUACCCUCUUCCCGAUCACUCUCUAUCUUUUUGGUCUCCCUCUAUAGCUCUCUCUUCGUGACUCUCUCUUUCUCGUCUCCCUGUGUGUAUGCGUUUCUUGCUAAGAAAAGAAAAAAUUGUUAAUGUUUCCUUGGUGUGUCUGUAUGUUUGGGUGGGUUAGUGUAGAAGAUAUGGAUGAUGAUGAUAUGGGUUCACUGUGUGUAUGUUUUCUCUCUAUUCAUGGCCUCCCCUUGUAUGUGUGUGAAUAUAUCUAUGGAGAAAAUGAUGAAUGGAGGGUGAAUUCUUGUAUGAAUUAUUCCCUAUGGGCCUCUCUCCCUUUUUUUAUUAUUGUUGUGUGUUGUAUAUAAACCAAAAUGGAAAAAUUCCUAGUGUAUAUUGAUUCAAGUUCUUGAAAAUGGAUGGGGUCACGUGGUAGGAUAGGGUAGGUGAUGGUAGAGGUAUGGGGUGGUGUGAGGAUAAAGUUUGUUAGGAUAGAUUAAAACAACAUAAAAUUUGUUACGAAUUUUGUUAAAGGUUGUUGUUUUUUUGAAUUUUUGUGGGAUAUAAUUAUACGGGUGAGGGUGCGUGGUAAGGUGAACUAAAAAUGGAUAAAUUGGGUUUUGAGAGGGACAAAAUUAGCUGUCUACAGCAUGCCCCCUUUGAAUGUAAACACAAUGUUUUCAGACAAAAAAGUAGACAACAAGACAGAAUUUUGUCCCGACCAUUAUUCAGAAAGAAUGAAACAGAAGGAAGGAAGGAAACUGAGUCUACACUUUGGACAUCCUACCUACCCAAGUGAUGAGGGAAUCGAGUCACAGGUAUCUCAAAGGAUUAAAAAAGUAGGGGCUACACUGAGUUGGAGAGUCGAGCGAGGUUUUGUCGAGGUUCUGGUCUGCAACUCUGUUAUUACAUCAAAAAUGAAAAUUACAAGUUAAAAAUAAAUAAAACUACAAAAAUCCUAUCUAUGCAGCUUCUUUUAGACUCUUGACUUGAGUUUCAUCACCCUAUUCUUCAGGCGGACUCCUGACUUGCAAUUUCUUUAACUUGUUGCAUGGCUUUAAACUUCUUCACCCUAUUCUCCAGGUGGGCUCCUGACUUGCUAUUUUUUAAUUUGUUAACUUUCAAUUUCUUCACCUUGUUGCUUGGUUUUCAACUUCUUCACCUUAUUGCUUGACUUUCAAUCUCUUAACCUUGUUACUUGACUUUCAAUUUCAUCACUCUAUUCUUCAGGCGGACUCCUGACUUGCCAUUUCAUCACCCUGUUCUUCAGGCUGGCUCCUGACUUUCAAUUUCAUCACCCUGUUCUUCAGCCGGGCUCCUGACUUGCUAUUUCCAUAUGUUGUCUUUCAAUUUCUUCACUUUGUUUCUUGACUUUCAUUUCAUUUGCCCUGUUUUUCAGGCGGGCUCCUGAAAUCACAUCAAAACUAAAAGAAAAUUAUCCAGACCCAUAUUAUUAUAAAGAGAAUUCAUAUGCCAGGAAAGUGAAGUUCCAAACACAAGAAUUAAAUUUUGCCCCAAUUUAUCAUCAAAGGACUUUUGUGAAAGUCACAUCAUUAUAGGAAUCAAAGGGAAUGACUCGACUAAAAGGUACGUCUUAUAGGAAUCAAGGGAAUGACUUGACUAAAAGGUACAACUUCUAGGGGUCAAAGGGAAUGACUCGACUAAAAGGUACGUCUUUUAGGGGUCAAGGGGAAUGACUCGACUAAAAGGUAUGUCUUCUAGGGGUCAAGGGAAAUGACUCGACUAAAAGGUACGUAUUAUAGGAAUCAAAGAAAAUGACUCAACUAAAAGGUAUGUCUUCUUGGGGUCAAAGGGAAUUUCUCGACUAAAAGGUACGUCAUCUAGGGGUCAAAUGGGAUGACUCGACUAAAUGGUACGUCUUCUAGGGGUCAAGGGGACUGACUCAACUAAAAGGUACGUCUUAUAGGAAUCAAAGGGGAUGACUCUACUAAAAGGAACGUCUUAUAGGAAUCAAGGGGGAAUGACUCAACUAAAAGGUAUGUCUUAUAGAAAUCAAAAGGGAUAACUCUACUAAAAUAUACGUCUGAUAGGAAUCAAAGGGGAAUGACUCAACUAAGAGGUACAUCUUAUAGGAAUCAAAGGGAAUGAUUCGACUAAAAGGUACGUCUUCUAGGGGUCAAGGGGAAUGACUUGACUAAAAGGUACAUCUUAUAGGAAUCAAAGGGAAUGACUCGACUAAAUGAUACGUCUUCUAGGGGUUAAGGGGAAUGACUCGGCUAAAAGAUACGUCUUAUAGGAAUCAAAGAGAAUGACUCGACUAAAAGGUACGUCUUCUAGGAUUAAAGGUUCAAUUUAAGAAGUGUAUCAUCGAACAAAUAAAAACUGAAAUCCCUAGACAAGAAAGUGUGUCUCCGAGGAAUAUAGAAUGGUGAAUUUUACCAUGAUAUGACUAUUAAACCUGUGCAGCAACAUUGCUUCCUGCAUUUGUAAAAGUGACGCAUUGCAACCCUUGAUAUUUACACUUUGAAGUCCUUACUUUGAAUGUAAUAUGUUAUCUGUUUCAUCAAAGAAAACUUGUGAGUUUAAAACAUGGUGGCUGGUUUGUGGCUUUAGCUUUUGUGGUGAUCACUCUUGCCCUUGUCACAUUUAACCUUUCUCCCAACCCUUAGAAUAUGCCAUUGACUUGCUGAUUUAUUGACUCAAACUCAGAUGAUUAAGAGUGACUCUGAAACAAACACAGUAUCUCUGCUUUGCCAUGCUCCUCAGAUAACCCCUUUGAACCUUGGUAUUUCCAUGAGUUCCCAGACUUAUCUGCUGACAAAACUUUUUGCAUGCCUUACUUCGGCUCACAAUCAUGUCUCUUUCAUGUGUUGGCCUUUUGUCUUGCUUUGUGCAAUUGAAGGAGAUGGUAGCCAAUUUUGAAAUCUUUUCUCACUUGUUUUGACAUGGACUUGACUCAAAAACGAGAAAAAUGACAAUAAUUUUUAUUUGGAUAACUGACUUAAGAAAAAUAAAAUAAAAAUAAAGAGAAGAAAGAAAAGACAAUGAAUGUCCCCUUUUGAAACAAAGAAGCAAAAAUUUAUAUAAAAGUAACAGCCAAUUCUAAUGAUUAUGUCAUGUCUUUUAGAUUAAUUCGCCUGAUCUUUUCAUCCACACUUUCUACUAGUUGCUAUUGAGUUAAUAACCUUGAAAAAACUCAUUCGGCUAGUGGCACCUUGAAGGAUUUUUGCCAAUAACAUCUUUCUUUCUCUUAGCUCACCAUUACCUCAUGGUUUUCGUAAGGGUUUUCACCUAUGAGAUUCUCUUAUCUUCAUCUAUCCCAACUCACGGUCGUCUUACGGUGCCCGUAUGAAUUUUCACUGAUAAGACUCUCAUUUUUUAUUUCUCUCAACUUACCAUCGCCUUAUGGUGCCCGUGGGGUUUUCACCAAUAAGACUCUCUUCUUUUUAUUUUUUUCUUGAUUUCUUAUGCUGAGGAAUACAAGUAGUUCCCAAAUGUAUCAUCACAUCCAUUGCAUGCUUAGCCUUAACAUUCUCAAAGAUUGAUCUGAAGGUCUUUACUUGUCUUUUGGAUAGGGUUAGAAAGAAAGGAUUACAUGGGGCCUAAACGACACUUAAAGUAGGGUAGGACUUCCAACUUUUGGAAUCGACUCAAACAAUGAGGAUUAACUCAUGCCCCAAUUUCUUUUGACUUUGGGAUCGACUCAAACAAUGAGGAUUAACUCAUGCCUCAGUUUUUGACUGGGCAAUUCUAAUUUUUUAUUUGGUUGGAUCGAGCCCUGAGUAGGGCAGCCUACGUAGCUCACCCUCGAGAGAGGAGAAUCAGGUCAUGCAUAGUUCUGGCAGUUUGUUCUUUCUUUUGAUCUGAUUUUUCUUUCUCUUUUUUUUAUUGGCUCUUUUUCUCUUUGGGACUUUUCUAAAUUUAUCUUUCUUGACACUCUCCUUUUUUUUUCUUUUUGACAUACUUUUUCUCUCAUUUCUUUUUUUGAAACUUUCUGACUUUGUUCUUUUGCUCGACACUUUUUCUUUUGAGUUUUGCGGACUCCAUCUUGAUUCGAAAAGUUGGGUAUGAAAUAAAAUAAUGAUAAGGCUCAAAUGGGGUAAACAAAGUAUGACACAAUGUUUGGAUAGCAGAAUGAAAUGCCUUCAUCAUAUCAAUCCUUGAAAAUGCCUGUACACAUCAUGUAAUAUGAAAAUGAAAGAUGAAUAUCAUUUGUGAUAUCUCUUAAGCAUUAAAUUUGACUGAGUCUAUGUGUCACUACUUCUUCUGCAUUUUUCUAGCAUACAACUCCACUUUUGUUGCUAUUUCUCACAUUGAAUGACUCAAGAUUUUGGUGGAGCUGAUUUUUGUUCUGUUCACGCAGCCACUAUUUGACCUAAUUGAGGAAUGUAUUUUAAUUGAUGACCAAGUUAUUCUUGUGAUUCUCAAAAUAAGUGUCUUAAUUCCCAAAGAAGGCUUCAACUUGUCACCAAAUGUCUCAGCAUUUUACCUAUUUUAUCAGAUGCUUUCUUUUGCUGACUUUAACCCUCUGAUUCCAUGUUCAUGCUUAAACUGGAUUUUAAGAUCUGGCUGAAAAUUCCGCUAGCAUGUCAUAUCACUAGAAUCAACAUAAAAUGUACUAUGUAAAGAAAACAAACAAACAACACAUAUUUAAAACACAAAAAAAGGACACUCAAUUUUAUUAAAAUAAAAGAUAGAAGGGUUUGAACAUAACGACAAAGGGACAAAAUAAGAUAGAUUCCAAAAUACAAUCCUAAAAUAAUUCAGAUACAGAAAAGAAAACAGAACAAACUACCAGACCUCUUCCUAGUAAGGAAAGGGAUGACUUCUCAAUUGCUCAGUUUGACAACUUAGCCACUAGUUUGCAUAUCAGCAUGACUAGAGCUUUCCUCACUAUCAAUAUUCUACAUCAUAAUCGAUCCAUCUUGAAUCAUCUUUUCAAUUUCUCUUUUCAAAUCUCGACAAUCUUUAAUACUAUGACCCUAAGCAUCAGAAUGAUACGCACAUCGUGCAUUAUGAUCAAAAUUUCUUUAAUGCCGAUUAAAAGUGUGCCUAAGGAGAGGAGCGACAUGCCCUCCUAUGCCAAUCUCUAAAAUAAACUGGCAUAUGACUCUCCAAUUGGUGUGAAGCUAUCUCUUGACUUCUGUCUCAUUUCAUCAUUUGUCUUGGAUAAAAAAUCUGGCUUAGAAGGGUUUUGGUAUGUUUGUUGAGUUAGAGGAUGACUCUGUUGCGUUAGGGUAUGCUAUUGUGGGUAAGAUAAGGUUUGAACAUGUGGUUGUGCAUUAUACACUAGAUAUGGAUGUGGAGGAACAGAGCAUAAUGAAUUUUGGGAGUGAUUAUGUGGAGCUUGAGCAUAAACUUGAGCUUGAGCCUGAGAUCGACAAUGGCGUGGUCUUCUUGACCUUUCCUGCUGUCCAACUAUAAUAGCAAAUGCAUUUUCCUCAUUCUUUUUCUCCCCAACACUUCCUGAACCCUUUUGAAUUGCUUGAGUAGUCGCUUUCAAUGUUGAAAAACUCAUAAUACGACCAGUCUUAAUUCCCUUUUCUAUCAUCUCCCCCAUUUUAAGGACAUCAAUGAACGGCUUGCCUAAUGCCGGUAACAAGUGUUGAUAAUAUGUUUUGUCCUAUGCUUGAAUAAAUACCUCCACUAUCUUACCUUUUUUCAUUGGAGGUUUUACCCUAGCAGCUUGUUCACGCCAUCUAAUCGCAUAUUCUCUGAAACUUUCGGUGUUCUUCUUCUUCAUAUUAGUUAGGGAUUUCUCGUCAAGAAUCAACUCAACAUUGUAUUGAAAUUGUUGCACGAAUUCAUUAGCUAGGUCAUCCCAACUAAUCCACUUGUCGAUGUCUUGAUCAACAAACCAUUCUGAAGCUAGGCUUGAAAGACUCUCCCCGAAAUAUGUCAUAAGUAGUUCUUCCUUCCCUUCAGAGCCCCUUAACUGGUUAACAAUAAUGUCUCAAAUGUGCCACUGGGUCCCCAUGUCUACCAUAUAUCUCAAACUUUGGCAUUUUAAAGCCAGGAGGAAGGUUGACAUCUAUAAACAUGCAUAAGUCCUUAUAUGAGACCCUUUUGCAACCCCCAAGUCCUUGAAAGUUCUUCAUAGCCAUUUUCAGACUUCUCAAUUUUCUAGUCAUUUCCUUUUGUUCUUCUGUCAUAACAGGCUUCUCAGUGUUAGAAGGAAAUUCAGGCGGGUGAGUGUCACCGAAAAGACCAGUCAACUUGAAUGUAGGCUCGGUAGCAUAACGUUGAUCACCAGUAAUAUUCAAUGCAGAAUCUCUUGUAGAGUAGGGAGGCACAACUUGGGGAUGAACAUCAAAGUAGAAGCUUCGGGUAGGGGUGGCGCCGUAAAAGCAUGAACAACAGGUGGAGCCAAGUAUGUGGUAGUCUUGGAUUGGGGAGUGAGGAAAUUAACAUUGGAAAUGGUUGGAUAUUGUUGCCCCGGAGUCGAUCCUGAUGCAUGUUGUGGCAUGUCAACAAAAAUGGGAAAUUGUGCAUGUGACAUAGGAGGCAAGCUAGAAAGUUACUCCAGAUUAUCAAUGGGAACUGGAAGAGGUGGUAACCCACUAGCCCAAGCUCGAUGCAUUUCUAUCAUUUCCUGCCUUAAUUUUUGAAUCUCUUCAUUAGCUCCUAAAUUCUUAUUUCCCGACCUAUCUGAUUAGUGACAACAAACUCGGUAUCCUUGUUGGCCAUAACUUUCUUGAUGACUUGGUGCAAUAUGGAGGGCCAGCCAAAAUGCCACAAACCAACCACCUUAAACUAACUGAAUAAGAGAUAACCAAUGUGUUAGAAUUCAGCAUUUUUUCAAAAACUUCUUUUUUUCUUUUUGAAAAGGUCACCAAACCCAAGAAGGGCGCCGACAUAUGUCACCCUCGAGAGAGGAGAAUCAGGUGUUCAUAGUUCGUGAAGUCUUUCCAAAAUGGCCAAAUUAAACUCUUUUUUUUUUCUUGAAACUUUAAGAAGAAAAGAAAAUAACAAUUUGUCCAAAGAAUUGACGAAUUUUUUUUUAUAUUUUGUAGGUUUAAACACCCUUCUACAAAGUGAAAUUCUAUUAUUACCAAAGAAAUCUUUUUGGGUUUUCAGUUUUGAAUUUCAUACGAAAAUGAAACUUGAACCUAUUAAAGGAAUUUUUUUUUUUUUGGUUUUCUUUUAAAGAUGUAUAUGACAUCUACUCUAAAUAAAGAGUGAAGAAUAUCUUUUAGUUUUUUUUUUUUCAGAUUUCUAUACAAAAUGGAACAUAUGAUUACCAAAGAAAAUCUUUUUGGGUUUUCAAUUUUACAUUUCAUACGAAAAUGAAACUUAAAACUAUUAAAGGAAAAUCUUUUUGUAGUUUUCUUUUAAAGAGGUAUAUGAAACACCUACCCUAAAUGAAGAGUGAAGAAAUUCUUUUUUGAAUUUUUUAAAAUAAGAUCCCCGAACCAACAAUAGACUGCCUAUGUAUCUCACUCCAGAGAGAGGAGAAUCAGGGGUGCGUAGUUCAUCCAGAUUGGACACUUAAGGAUUAACUAGCAAACUGAACCCUGAUUUAUGAGACACUACCAAAGAAAAAUGAUAAAAGCCGUUAAUAAAAUAUUUUUUGGGGGUUUUUCAAUUAGACACUUCACAUAAAACUGACACCAACAACUAUGAAAAAAAAUAUUUUUGAAAUUUUGAAUUAUGAAUGCAUGGUAAAGAAAUAAAAGGAAAAUCUUUUGGAUGUUUUUUUUUUUUUGAGAAAAUGAGUGCGAAAGGUAAAAAAAAUUUUAAAUUUUUGGAUUGUGAAAAAAAAUCAAAAGCCAUAAAGAAUUCUAAAAACUUACAAAACCCUCCUUUUUUUUUUGACUCACCUUCUCUUUUUCUCCCUUUUUUCAACGUUUUCUUGUCUACACACUUUACUUCUAACACAUGUUUUCCCCAAAUCGUUCUGUCAAAUGACCACACUACCCUCAGAGAUGCAACACUUAGCACGUACGGAUGCUUUAAAGGUGAGUCUCCUACAAAGGACCAAGUGGGUCCCGCUACAUCUCAAUAUGAUGCAGAUAAGCAUGACCUAAAGACUGACCUACACUGGGGUUUACUAAUAAGGCUGUUUGGGGGUGCGUAUGGUCUAUAAUGGCUACGAGAGCUUUCCACCGACUCCAUAACACCAAUGGCUCCCCCUCCUAAAAUAAGGGUGGCUCAACUAAAGGUCGUGUACAACACAUGUACCACAGACUUGUUGUAGAAAAAAUGACUCGGGUUAUACACAUGAAGCCAAAUAUAAAGUGGUAACACAUAAAGUAAAAUUGUAAACAAAGAGCACGUAGGCACUCAACACUGAUAAAAUGAAUACGAACAGUAACACAAACAAUGUUUAUAUACCCAUAAUGUCGAACAAAGCCGAUACAACUCCAAACUUAGCUCGAAUUCUGAAAAGUCCCCAGCAGAGUCGCCAGAGCUGUCACAUCCCUUUUUCAACCAAAAAAAAAAGAUUCAUUUUAAAUUUGAAAGGGUUUUUAUUAUUAAAGUGACAACAGAUUGAAAAUUUUCUUUGAAAAAGGAUUAUUUACAUUUUAUUCAGAGUCACCACUUGGCAUAAAUCGUGUGUGCCUAGUCACCUUUGAAAAUCCUUUUAAAAAUAGUUUGACUCUAGAAACUGAUCCGCAAACAGAGAUUCUGACUAAGGAAUUCUGUUGACAAUGGGAAAGGUGUUAGGCACACCUUGAUCUCGUGGUUCGACCACGGUCGCUUGGUAGAGCAUAUCGGCUAAUUUAACACUACGAAUGUAUAAACCACAUAAAACACAUAAACAAAUAUCAAACAAUAAUCCAAAACCAAAAUAAUAAUGUUCAGUCCAAUUAUACAGUCCAAAAUAGAAAAAUGCGAGAAAAGAAAUCCUAUUCUAUCCUACGCUAACCUAAUUACGCUCCUGCGCUUUAACCGAUGCCUCGGGCCUUCAUCACAAAUGUCUUCCAUCAACAUAAUACAUCGGGGCAUUCCCCGAACAAUAGACAUAAAUCCUCGGGGCAUUCCCCGACCAAAUAGUACAUUUUAAUCAAACACGAUAAAUUAUAAAACGUUCAACACACAUUCCACAUUCUAACAUUCAACAAGACACUUAAUCCUAAAUUUGCCUACUCGAACCUACAUUGGCCUAUCUAUUUCAACAUAUCAUAAUUCCAUCACGUUUCAUAUCAACAAUCAAACAAAAUUAAUCCUAAUCUACUCUUUUUGUUAAAUUUUUAAUUCUCUCCCCCAACUUUCUUUUUAUCAAUCACACCAUUAAAACUAAUCAAAUUAAUUCCUCAAACAAUCAAAGUCACAUCAUCAAGUGCAUGGUCAUAACAUCAACAACAUCGAGCAUUCAUAAUCACCCAACACAUAGUCAUGGUCGUUUCAACAAAUUAAAAUAGAGAAGAGGCAAUGGGUUAAAGAAAUUGACCUUUUGAUAUUAUGUUGAUAACAGUGUUUAAGAAAACCAGAUCCAAAAGCCUGAAUAGCACCUCAACGACGAACAAGCUCUAAACUCAAUAUCGCAAAAUAGAAACUCGCUACUGACCCCAAUAAAUCGACGGAGACGGAUAGCACUAUGAAUCCCAAAAUAGUACGAAGACCAAAGAAUUGAGUAGAAAGAAGCAGAAUAAACCCGACCCGUACACAAAGCUAGACGCAGAAACUGAUUCGAAACUGGACCAAUUUGAGUGAGGAAUUCACUGCUGGUCCACAUUUUCUGAACAAAACUUAACGUUUUUUGCCAAGUUCCCUUACAAAUCCCAGAAAAUAAUGAAGAAAUUUAGACUCUUCGAGAGCUGGUUAACCAGAUGAUGAACCGGUAUCGAUUUUGAUGAAAGUUUUACACCGAAAAAAGGUUGGCGAAGGAUCGAACCUCGCACCAAUCCCCUCUUGCCAAUCACUCUCUGUCUUCUGGGUCUCCCUUUAUAGCUCUCUCUACUCUCUUUUUCUCAACUCCCUAUGUGUGUGCAUUUCUUACGAAGCAAUGUUUCCUUGGUGUGUCUGUAUUUUUGGGUGGGUUAGUAUAGAAGAUAUAGAUGAUGAUGAUGUGGGUUCUCUGUGUGUAUGUGUUCUCUCUGUUCAUGGCCUCCCCCUAUAUGUGUGUGAAUAUAUCUAUGGAGAAGAUGAUGAAUGGAGGGUGUAUUCUUGUAUGGAUUAUUCCCUGUGGGCCCCUCUCCCUUUUUAUUAUUGUUGUGUGUUGUAUAUAAACCUAAAUGGAAAAAUUCCUAGUGUGUAUUGAUGCAAGUUCUCGAAAAUGGAUAGGGUCACAUGGUAGGAUAGGGUAGGUGAAGGGUAAAGGUAUGGGAUGGUGUGAGGAUAAAGUUUGUUAGGAUAGAUUAAAACAAGAUAAAAUUUAUUAGGAAUUUUGUUAAGGAUUGUUAUUUUUUGUAUUUUUGUAGGGUAUAAUUAUACGGAUGAGGGUGCGUGGUAAGGUGAGCUAAAAAUAGAUAAAUUAAGUUUUGAGAGGGAUAAAAUUACGUGUCUAUAACUGAUAUCUCUAAUGAGUUCUUCACCUUAUUCCCCCUGAGUAUAAGCAUCAUGUUUUCUUUAAGUGUGAGAACCCCUGCCUUCACUCACUAUCACCAAUCACCACCUACUUCUUAACUUCCCCUUUUUGGCAUCAUCAAAGAGGUUAAGCAGUAAACCAGGCAUAGAAAAGCAUACAUAUGUUAACUUAUGGCCAUUGAGACAAAACUGACAUAAGCAGGGAAGAUUAGAGAAGGGAGAGAGAAAAAUAGCACCAAAAAAAUUCAUGCAAAAAUCAGGAGAAAGUAUCAAGCACUAUUCAGAAAGAGGCCCAUAAAGACAAGAAGCAGUAGUGCUAGGGUCAUAAAAGAAACAACUUUUGGGAAACCAGACCCACUAGGGAUAGGGAAAGGAGGUUCCAGGGGAGAAUGAACCAACCUUCUUUUCCUAGAGCUAUAUACAUGGAUGUACAUAUGGAAAAUACAUAUAUAUACAUAUAUAUAUAUAUAUUAUUUUGUUGUUGUUGUUUUUUGCACAUACUUUUUCAUUGUGGAAUCCUUUAACAAUUAAAACUAGAUCAAAAAUGUUACAUUUGAGUGUUAAAGCUUACUGGGCACUUCUGCUGGUAAAGAAAUUGUGGCUACUAUUUCAGAAUAAAGUGAUAAUGGCCCAAAUAGGUACUUGGUCCUUACAUGAUAAUCUGAGUACACUUAGGUACAUAGAACUUGGGCUAUUUCACCCUUCUCCCUAUCUUUUUAUCCCUAUCAUGGGUGUGUAUCGACAAAAGAUAUAAGACUAGGUUAGACAUAGGUGAAAUUAUCCAACUUGGGUACCUGCUUACCAAGUCAUAGCCAUAGUAAGAGGACGAAGGAGAUUAAUUUGCAUUUAACUUGGUCUCACCAGCCCUAUUCUUGACCUAUUUCUUUAAAAAGGUUCUCUACUAGGUGUAUAGUAGAGAUGUCAGCAAUCUGAUCUUCAGUGUUACAAAAUACCAUUUUGAUCAAGCUAUUUUCCACAUAAUCCCUCAAAAAGUGAUGCCUAACAUCAAUAUGUUUUGUUCUUUGGGUGAACUGGAUUCUUUUCCAUAUUGAUGGCACUUGUGUUGUCACUGUACAAGGGCAUAGUCUAAGAGGAUGCCAAAGUCAUCAAGCUGCUACUUGAUCUACAACAGUUGAGCAAAAGAUGAUGCAGCUACAAUAUAUUCAGUUUUAGUAGUGGAGAGUGCCACUGAGUUCUGAUUCUUAGUAACCCAAGAGAUUAAGGAUGAUCCAAGGAAAAUGAGCUAUUCCCAACGUGUUUUUUGUAUCAACCAGUUAUCCAGCAUAAUUAGCAUCAGCAUAUCCAACCAGGUCAAAAUUUUCACUAGCAGGUAGGCCAGGAGUCCUUUUAAGAUAUCUUAAAAUCCUCUUGGAUGCCUUCAAGUGAGAUUCCUUUGGACUUUCCUGAAAACUAGCACACAUCCUAACACUAAAAACAAUGUUCGGUUUGCUAGUUAUAGGUAGAGUAGUGAACCAAUGAUCCCUCUAUACCUAGUCUUAUUUAAAGAGGAACCAGGUUCACCCAGAUCUAGUUUAGAGGAGGUUCCUAUAGGAGUAUGAAUAGGCUUUACAUCCUCCAUAUGAAACUUGUAAGUUCUUGAAUGUACUUCUACUGGCAUACAAUAUUUCCUGUUGUACUCUGCUUAAUUUUCAAAUCAAGGAAGAAGUUGAGUUCUCCCAUCAUACUUGUAACACCUCAUAUUUUUGGGCUAGAAUUUAAACUGUUGUUCUUAAGUAACCCAAUAAUUCUAUGUUUAUAUAUUCUUGAUCAUCAAUUCUAUAUUGUGGUAAUAUCUUUUUAUAUGAAUCAAGAUCACAAAAAUCUCCUAACUCAAAGUUAAGUUGAGGACUCUUCUAUCGAUAGAGUUUUAAUGGAUUCUCCAAUUAGGAUCCAAUUUAAAUGAGUGUAUCUCAUAGAAUAUAUCUAUUCAGUUGUCCUACUAUAUAUCAAAUAAAAGGUCUUUGAUUCUUCUUUCCAAUGUACUUGGUUUCACAUUAAUCCGAUAUUAGACUGGAAAGUUAUGCUCAUUUUACCUUAACAUGUCCGUCUGUCAUCAAGGUGACGACUUGAGGUGAUAAGCCAUCAACUAAGUGAUGACUUAUCAACAAGUCAUCAACCUUAAAUAUAAUGUGAUCAAUUCCAGUUACAAAUUGAUGACUUGAGAUAAUAAGUCAUCACCUAAGUGACUACUUAUCAACCAAGUCAUCACCCAUUACCAGAUUACGAUCAACCUCAGCUACAAAGUGAAAACUUAAGGUGAUAAGCCAUCAACUAAGUGAAGAUUUAUCAACCAAGUCAUUGCCCUUAAAUAGAAAGGGUCCAAGUUCAUCUAAGGGUUGACUACUUAAGUUGAUAAUCCAACAACUAGUUGAUAAGCUAUCAACUAAGUCAUCAACUAAAAAUUUCUGCAAUUCUUAAUUUUUGUAGGGGUAUUUUGGUAUUUUCCUCAUGUCAAACCCUACCCCUCCCACGACUUAAAGCAUCAUAAGGCAUUAUUUUCCCUCAUAUUCAAUUACUUAAUAUGUUAUUUCUUCUCCCACUCUAACGAACAAUAAGAUUAGGGUUUCUUCCCAAGAACAAGAAACUCAAACUUUCCUCCCCCAAGAAUCCAAGAAUUCAAUUCUCCUCAUCAAGAAAAAAACAAGAAUCUAAGUUCCUUAGUCCAAGAAGUUCACAAAAGUUUUCACGAUUAUAUCCAAGGCUUUCAAGUUCAAGCUUUCUCCAAUAAAUCAAGUCUAUUAAUGUAUGUGGGGUUAUGAACAAGGGUAUCCAUUCACCCUUGUGCCCAAAAUUGCAUAAAUUUAAUAUUUGAUUACUCUUUUUGAAUUAGGGUUCAUACCCAAACUUCUAUAUAUUCUUGAAGCAUGUUAUUAUCAUGAAAUUUAAAGAUUUUAGUGUAUAUAUCAAGAAGUGCCUAUGUUAUAUUUUUAACUUACAUGAUUUAGAUUGUGAAUGAGAUUGCACUUUCUUGAUUUGUUAUUGUGAAGUACUUCAAGAAUAACAUUUAGCAUGAAGUUUUGAUGUGAAUUGAUAUGAGUUUAAAGAAUGAGUUUUAAGCCCUAAGUUUAAGUCUUGAGAUUUUAAGAAGAUUAUAUUUUAAGAAAUCUUUGAUAAGCAUAUAUUCAGAUUUAAGCAAGAAUUGAUCUUUUGAUCCUCAGUUAAGAUAUGAAAUUCACACAUGUUAGUUUUGAUUACAGUUUAAAAAAAAUAGAUGCAUAACUGGUUUUCAUUAUAAAUCCUUAUGCUAUUUUAAGGUGGAUUUCCUACAGAAUGGGCAUAUAAGUAAGGGAGUAGUAUUUAGCACCGAGUUAGGUAUGUGUCCUAGUUCACAUGCCCCAAAACUACGAGCUAAUGUAGGUUCAGAUUAUUUCUAUUUAUAUGGAUACUGAUACAAAUUAUGAUCACUUAGCUCAGGUCCUACUCCAUGGCAAGAGUAUGACAGCUCUCCCCAACGUGAGCUUUUUCUCGCAGAGAAAUAAUAUGUUGGACUCCAUGAUAGCUCACAAAUUUUAGAACCAAGUGUUAUGGCUAACAAAUUUAUUCUUAUGCUUCAUUACUCAUGUUUAUGAUUUUACAUCUUAGUUUUAUUCAAGCCAAGGUGAGUCAUUUACACUUAGCAUACAUUCUUGAAAAUUUUAUAUGAAUAUUAAGUUAUUUUUUUACUUAUGCAUUCACCCCACUUGCUCAGUACAUUCCAAGAGUACUGAUUCACAUAUACGUCUAUGUGCCACAUUAUUUAAUAAUGUAGGCACAAGUUGUAGCACACACAUCGUAAUCAGACAGUUUGCAGCUUCCAGGUCAUGAGUCCUUUUGAAUCAAGGGAUUUUAUCAGUCAUAGUUCGAGUAGCAUUUUUUGUUCUACAGCAUAUGAGUUCGAUCCAUUAGGUUCUUUUGGCCAUGAACUAGAUCAGAAUCAUUCUCCUUGGGGUAAUGCGCCAGGUGCCGUAGAUUCGAGAUAGUUGGGGUUCAUGUCCGGCUACUUACAGUCAAUACUACUAGAGGCUUCAUAGACAGUCAGUAGAGUUGAUGUAUUUGAUUCCAGUUUUAUUUUGUAUAAGAAGGGUUGUAAUCAAUUAAAUGUAGUUCUGUAUUGAUCAUAUUCAAAAAAUAUUUAUCUUUCGCUUAUUUCAUUCAGAUUUAUGCAUUUUAUUCAGUUGCUCAUGAGUUAUGCUAGUACAAGGGUUAGCUUGGGAUCACUUGUCAUCCUAAGCACUGUGUGACAUAUAGUCAGUAGUCUCAGGGAGUUACAAUACUCAUCUCAAGCUCACUACUCAUCAAUCUGGGAAACUCAUCACAAAGUGAGCUGGUAGUGGCUCCAAAGAUGAUAUCAUCCACAUACACCUGAACAAUGAGAAGAUUCCUUCUUCUAGCUUUGAGAAAUGGUGUGUUGUCAAUCUUUCCUCUUUUGAAUCCAUUGUCAAGCAAGAAUUUGGACAACCUUUCAUACCAAGCUCUAGGAGCUUGUUUCAAUCCAUAGACUUUGUCCAAUUUGAACACAUGCUUAGGAAAUUCAACAUUUUCUAAACCUGAAGGCUAGUUGACAAACAUUUUUUUCUUGAGGAGACCAUUUAAAAAGGCACUAUUUAUAUCCAUCUGGAAUAAUUUGAACUCCAUGUACGAGGCAAAUACAAUGAGAAUUCGAAUUGCCUCCAUUCUAGCCACUAGAGUAAAUGUUUCAUCAUAAUCUAUGCCUUUUUCUUGGUUAUAACCUUGCAUAAUAAGCCUAGACUUUUUCUAAUAGUAUUCCCAUGUUCAUCUACCUUAAUGCUGUAAACCCACUUGAUCCCUAUGAUAGUUCUAUCUGAUGGCCUUGGGACUAGGAGCCAAACCUUGUUUUUCUCAAAUUGAUGAAGUUUUUUUGCAUAGCAUUAAUCCAAUCAUGAUCCUUCAAUAGUUCUUUACAUUCUUGGGUUCAAUUUAUGACAAGAAUACAGAGAAAGCACAAAGGUUCUUUGCUCUGUUCCUGUGUGUAUGUCUGAGUUCAGAGGAGAUAAUAGAUUGUCAAGAGGAUGGGAGGAUUGAUUCUUCCGACUAGAUUUGAGAGGAGUGGGUUGACUAAUGUUGGGACCAGUGUUCCCAUUGAGGUGUCACCCUCAGGAGACUUAUUAUUUCCUUCACAUGAUAGAGGGUCAGGAUUUGAAGAAAUGGCUUAUGAUGUGUCACUAUUCUUCUAAUCUUCUGUAUCUUCAUCUUCAGUUCCUGAUUUUAGACCCUGAGAUACAGCUUCAUCAUCAUCCUCAAGUAGCUUUUCUAGAACAUUUAUUGGGAUUCCUAACUCAUCAUUAUCAUUAUUAGGAGAGCUGCUCUUACUGAUGUUCCUAGCUUCAUAAAAUAUAAUAUGAACACUUUUCUUCACACAUUGUGUCCUUUUAUUUUAGAUCCUGUAAGAUUUGCUAGUGGAAGAGUAACCAACAAAUAUUUUCUCAUCACUUCUUAGAUCAAAUUUUGCAAGAUCUUCCUUGCCAUUGUUCAGUACAAAGCACUUAUAGCCAAAAGGUUUAAAGUAGAUCAGCUUAGGCUUCCUUUGGGUUAGAAGUUCAUAGGAGGUAUUCUUAAGGUUAGAUCUUACAACACACUUUUUGGUCAUAUAGCAGGUUGUAUUGAUUGCUUCUUCCCAGAAGUUGUGAGCAAUCCCAACAUUUAUAAGUAUGGUCUUUCCAAUAUCCACAAGAGUUCUAUUUUUUCUCUCUAUAACACCAUUUUCCUGGGGUGUUCUGGGAGCUGAAAAAUUAUAACUGAUUCCUAGUUCAGUGGAAAAUUGAUUGAACUUGGCAUUUUUAAAUUCUAUACCAUGAUCAGACCUAAUUGUUGCAAUUUUCUCAUCAUACUUCACUUGCACUUGCUUUCCAAAAGCCUGAAAUAGAUAAAAAUAUUUCAUCCUUUGAUUUUAGAAAGAAGGUCCGGGUGAAUUUGGAUUAAUCAUCAACAAUAACCAAGAUGUACUUCUUUCCACCUAUGCUGGCAAGCUUUAUAGGUCCACACAAAUCCGUGUGGAGAAGUUGUAGAGGUCUGGAUGUACUCACUUCUCUCUUGGUCUUAAAGGAGGACUUUGUCUGGUUUCCUUUUGCACAUACAUCACACACCUUGGAACUGACAAAUUUAACAUUUGACAAACCUUGAACCAUGUCCUUCUUGACUAAUUUAUUUAGCAUCUUGCAACUAACAUGACCAAGUCUUCUAUGCCAUGUAUCUACAACAUCUUCUUGUACACUAAGGCAUAUCAUGUUUUUGGACUCACAGGAACCUAAAUUAGCAAAAUAUAUAUUCUUGUUUCUCCAGGCUACCUACAUUUCUUUACAAUCACUGAGCCUAAAGAAAGUACAUUUUUUGACCUAAAUCUGACUUCAUUUCCUUUAUCACUGGUUUGGGAAACAUUGAGUCCAUUAACAAAAUGGACAUUAUCAAUUGCCUCAUUCAAUUUGUUCCUAAUUUUUCCUUUUCCAACAAUGUAUCCUUUGUUUCCAUCACCAAAGGAGACUACCUCCCUCAUAGGAUUUAAGCGAUAAGAAGUCACUAAUUCCUCCAUUCAUAUGCUUUGAACAAUCAUUAUCCAUGAUCCAGUGGUGGCUACUUCUUCUAGCUUUGCCCUUAUCAUCUUCAUCUUCAUCUGAGUUUUCCAUCAAGGCAAAGAGAGAGUCAUACACUUGAACAUAAUCUUCCAUCAUCAUCAUGGAGACAUCUUCAUGUUGUUCAGACUCAUCGGCAUUGUUGACACCUAAUUUUUGUCCUCCACGACUAAAUUUAAUCUUGGGUUUUUUUUAUUUUUAAUAAAAUUAAAAUAUUUAUUUCAUCCGAAUAAUUUUCUUAAAAAUAUAUUUGUAUGUAAUUUUUUCAUUUUAAGUAGCGAUUAUAUAUUAUCGUGUUCAAUUAUACGAGAUUAUACAAUUUGAUUAUUUAAAUAUUUAUUCUAUGAAAUAUCGAAUUUUAAUUAAAGAUUAUUUUAAAAAUAAAUAUAAUGAUUAAAAUCUUGAUUUUAAUCUAAUGUAUAAUCAAAUAAUUUAUUUGGAUAAAUAUGCGUUGAUUUUACUAAAUCAAGAAGCUCGGGAUUAAAAGAAGUAUUAAUUCGUAUCAAAUUUUAAUUUAAUUUAGCCAAUCUAUUAGAUUUGGCCAUAAUUGAAAUUAAAUUGAUCAUAAUUGCAAUGCAAUCCACCAAUUGAUUUUUAAUUUGAUCAAAAUUAAAUAAAUUUUACUAAAUUUUAAAUUUCAAUUGGGGUUAUAUUUAAAUAACCCCAAAAUUCCCAGAAACUCUCAUAACUUCUACCCAAUUCCCACCAAAAAACAAUUUCUAAUUGUACUACAUUGUACUAUUUCCCCCCAACUUUUUCCUUUCUCAAUUUUAAAAUUCAAAAAUUGUACUACAUGGUACAAUUUUCCCCGCAUUAUCUUCCACCUCAUCUUAUCUUCAAUUUUAAAAUUUCAAAAACACCCCAAAAUAUUUUUUCUCCCACAUUGGUGGAUGACAAUAAAUAAAUCAUCAUCCCUUCCUUUAAAUACUUUUCUCCCAUAUUGGUGGAGAAAAAGAGGAAAAAUCUCAUUCUCUCCUAUAAAUACUACCACUACUUUGGUAGAAAAAUGGAUUGAAAAGUUAAAAAAAAAAGAGGAUAGAAAGGUGAAAAAUCCUUUUGAGAAAAAUAGUUAUUUUUAUUUAGUAAAAAUUUUUUGUUUCAUAGAGUUGGUUGGCUAAUCAAAAUUUUUGAGUUGCCGGUGACGUUUUUCGGUGGUGGUUGAUUCCGACGAAACUCGUAGUCUCGUUUUGCUGCCCCCAAAAUGUUAAACACACUUUUUUUUUAGUUUUAUUAUCAUUUUCUUCUUCAUCUUUUUCUUUUUCGUAGUUCGUAUUUAUAAUUUUAUUUGCUAGAAUUGUUUGUUGUAGUAGGGCUUGAAAGCCAUAGGAUGUUGUGGUAUCGAUAUUUUAAUUAUUUUCAUGUUCAUGAUAUAAAAAUGAGCUAGCAAUAGUUGUAUGUGCCUUUUUUGAUUUUAUUCUUUGAUUAUUAUAGAUAAAUUUCAAUCUUUACUUAAAAGAUGUACUUAUGCUUUGUUUAAACUCAUUAUUGAUGGAUAUGUUUGUUUUUAAGCAUGUAAAGUUAUUUUCUUCAUGUUGAAAAGAAUAUUUAAUAUUGAUUGUUUUGCCUUUUGACCUUAUUCUUUGAUUAUUUUAUAUAAAGUUUAGAUCUUUGCUUGAAAAACAUACCCAUGUCUUGUUUAAACUCAUUGUUGGUAGAUAUGUUUGUUUUAGUAUGUAAAGUUGUUUCAUUUAUGUUGGAAAAAUAGUUAUUAUUGUUUGUUUUUCCUUAAUAAAAAUAGUAAUUAGUUAAGUCAAGAAUUUGUCAUUUGCUUGCUAAUUAUUUUAAUGGAUUGCAAAAUCCUCAUAUAAGAGAUGAAGUGCUAGCUUUAUUUUCCAUCCAAGAUGUUUAUUCCUCUUUUGUUCGCAUGUUGUCUUGUCAAAAUAAUGAGAAAGUUUGUACUUCUGUGGAUAAAUAGAAUUAUUUGGAUAUUUUUGACUCAUGCAUAGUAUGAUUGUUGAACGAUAUUUCACUUUUAGAGACGCUAAACUUUUAUGCAUAUUUUCUUACUCUGGAUUGUUAUAUGUGCUCUUUGUGUGUGUAAAGACUUUAUUCAUGCCUCUCUUUUAUUUAUAAUAUAAAAAGAUAAUCAACGAUGUCUUAGAAAUAUAAACCAUAGGUCAUUACACAUUUUUCAUAAAAUUUUGAUUGUAAUUUAGAUGUAUGAAUUUUCAUUAAUGUCGCCUUAAUUGAAAUUUAAAGAUUCGCUUUCUUGAAAAGUUAACCUUUAUUUUCUUUUGUUAUAUGGAUUAGUGUCUAUGUUUGUUCAAUUUUAGAAGACAUGAGUAUUUUUCUUGUUUCCUCAUCCCUUUACUUUCGCAAGCUUACGUUGUUUGUUUCUCGCAUUAAUUCAUUGAAUAUGACCUUCUUCCUUUUACCUUUAUUCAUUCUUAAUAUGAACAUAAAUCAUGAGGCAUGCAAGUGGAUGUCUUUGCUUUGCAUUUUAUCUAUUGUCUCUCACUUUUGUUAUACGUGUGCCAGUGUGAAUAUCAUUGUAAUUCAAAAAUUGAUUCUUGAUAUUUUCUUUUGAUUUGAAAUAUGUCACUUUUAUGCCUUGACCGUAUAUUAAUUUCUUUAUUUUUUCUUUUCAUGCAAAAAAUGACUCGAGUCGAAAUGAACUCUUCUCCUCUUGCAUUUCGUAAUGGGCCAAUGAGGCCCACAUCUUUGAGUCAAGUUCAAUGUUUAAACUCAGGGUCGACUAUAUGGCGUGCGGGUGCUAGAAGAUAGACGAAGAAGGAAAAUGGGUCAAAAUUCAUUGAUGAGGUCACUAAGAGACUUGAAAAGUCUUGAUUUUUAUUACUGUCUUCUUUUUAUUUAUUCAUUUAAUCAUUUACUUAUUCAUUUAUUCGGGGCCUCGAAGUCAAAGUUGUAAACUAAUAUACGUGAAGCGGAUUUUGGGCCAAAAAGGCUCAAAAGUAUAGAUUAGGACAGGUGAAAAUGGGUUGAAAGCCCAAUUAGAUUAGGACAGGGUGAUGGAUUUGGGCUUAAGAGCCCAAAUCAUUUAUUUCUUCUCCUCCCUUUCCCCUUUUAUGUGCUUAUUUUCUUAUACUUGGUUAAAUCCCCUACUAAGUUGUCAAAACGUAUAUUUUAUACAAAUAUUUUCUUAAAAUCGCUUUCUUUUCAAAAACUAACUUCUCCUUUACAAAGUUAGUCAAAGAUAGUUUUCAAAUAGUCUGGAUAACUGCAAGUUAGGGGGCGUUUUAGGUGCCUUAAAACCUUCCUAAAAUGUUAAUAGGAGCCGCUUACUCAGAAUCUUCAAAUUUAAAUAAUUUUUCUAUUUUGGAUUGUUUAAAGUAUCGUAUAAAGAUUUUCUUAAUUUCUUUUCAAAUAAAUUAAGUGGCGACUCUUAAAAGUCAAAAUUUCCACGAAAAACAAGCAUCAAGAAGAGAGUCACUCAAGGUAGCUAUGACUUGCAUUGCACCCUAUCAGCUUCAGCUUUUCUGCUAUAUCCUUCUUGAACCUGUUUUCUGCCUCCUUUCUUCUCAUUGUUCUGCUUGGCAUAUUCUUUAUAUUCUAUCCUAUACAUAGUACAGUCUCUGAUGUAGUGACCAGGCUUUUCACACUUGUGACAUGUAUCAUAUACCUUCCCAUCAGUGAUAUAUUUGCUAGAUCUUCCUUUCAUGGGGAAGGCUCCAGAUUUCUUCAAGUCCUUGAUAACUCACUUAGCAAUAUAAGUCGCCUCUUCAUCCUCGACACUUAGGGUUUCAUUAGUAGCCUUUAUCCUUGGGCUCAUCCUUUAGCUUCCCAAGUUUCUUCAAUAUCUCAUAUGUUUUGACAUUGCCAACAAACUCAUUCAUAGCUAUUUUUUUCAGAUCUUUAGCUUCCGUGAUUGCGUUAACCUUUCUCUCCUACAUUUUUGGAAGAAUGCUCAAGAGUUACCUAACCUCCUUGUGGGUUGGAAUAUCUUUGCCUAGAUAGUGCGGCUCAUUAGUUUCUGCAGUGAACCUUGUGUGCAUCUCUUGAAUAGACUCUCCCUCUUUCAUAAUGAAAGUCUCACAUUGAUUUAUCAGCAUGUCCACCUUAGACUAUUUCACUUGAGUGGUUCCCUCAUCUCUUGAAUAGAUCUCUUUAUUAUUAAGAUGAUUUAUGGAUGGACUUGAGGCUCGUUAUCAUGGUCCAGUGACAUGCGUUGUACAUAAUGGGUCCUAUUCUAAGGUGUUUAACACUGCUCUCCAUUCUGAGUCCUAUUAUGAGAUGGAAAGGAUUAAUCAAGAAAAUAAGAAGGUACGUAACUCAGGUGGGUUUAGUGGUGCUCUGUAUGGGAGAAAGAGUGGGUUUGAUCGUGGACAGUCUAGGCCUACGCAGUUAAAGUCAGCGGGUCAAUCUUUAAGGAAUAGUUUUCCAGCUAGACAGGGUCAGCAGCAGCAGAUACAGAGGAAGAGUAAUGGUCUUUUUCAGUCCGAGCAGCAUUCGAAAUGUUCUAAUUGUGGCAGGAAUUAUACUGGAUGUUUUAGAGUUAGCGUCCUUGUUAUACUUAUGGUGAGAGGGGGCACAUUACUAAGUUUUGUCCAAAGGAGAUUCUAGGUCUAGUCAAGCUACUCCUCAGGUGCAGAGAUAUGUUGAGGUACUUAUGUUCACACUCAGCCAGCUAGGAUCACUCCAUAAGGUACUUAUAGACAGGGUCGAUAGGUUUCUCAAGGUUCUCAGAUAGCAAGUGGACCACCGAGAUUCUUUUCUAUGGCUAGAAAGGACAUAGCGGCAUCUAAUGUAGUAGUCACAGGUAUUAUUACUAUAAAUUCUUAAGAGGCAUAUUCUCUUAUUAAUUCUGGUUCUACAUACUCGUAUGUGUCUCCAUCUUUUCCUUUAUUCAUAGAAAGAAGGAUUGAGACUCUUGUUGUGCCAUAUAUUGUUAUGACCCUGAUGGGGGAGACCUUAGCAGUGGAUAGAUUUUGUAGAGAUUGUGUGAUAUCUUUUCAAGGUAAGGACAUAAUAGUUGAUCUAUUUGUGUUGUCGAUGACCGACUUUGAUGUGAUUAUGGGUAUGGAUUGGUUGGAGUCAUGUUACGUUUUGGUUGAUUGUUAUGCUAAGCUUAUAUGUUUUGAUAUUCCUGGAGAAAUAUCUUUUAUGUGGAAAGGUAUGACUCAGGGAAAGAUAAUAUAUUAUAUUAAAGCACGUUGAAUAAUUAAUCAUGGGUGCUUGGGUUUCAUUGCUACUGUUCAUGAAACUCGGGUAGAAGAUAUUGUUGUUGACAGUAUUCCCAUUAUUUGAGAAUUUGUUGAUGUAUUUCCAGAUGAUUUUCCUGGGCUAGCUCCAAUGAGAGAAAUUGAGUUCAGCAUUGAUUUAGUGUCAGGGACUCAACCAAUCUUUAUUCCACCUUACCGUAUGGAUCCUGCUGAGUUGAGAGAAUUGAAAGUUCAACUCCAGGAGUUACUUGAUAAGGGAUUCAUCAGGCCUAGUGUGUUACCUUGGGGUGUAUCUGUGCUAUUUAUGAAAAAGAAAGAUGGCAUGAUGAGAAUGUGCGUUGAUUACAGGCAGUUGAAUAAGGCAACAGUCAAGAAUAAAUACCCUUUUCCUCAUAUUGAUGAUAUAUUCGAUCAGUUGCAGGAUGCUACUCACUUUUCUUAAAUUGACUUGAGAUCAGGUUACCAUCAGCUGAGAAUCAAGGCUGAAGAUAUCACUAAGACAACUUUUUGGACUAGGUAUGAGCAUUUUGAAUUUUUAGUGAUGUCUUUUGGACUAACUAAUGCACCUGCAGGAUUUAUGGAUCUCAUGAACAGGUCAGGCCAUACUUAGACCAUUUUGUUAUUGUGUUCAUUGAUGACAUUUUGGUAUACUCUCGAAGUGAGGCAGAGCAUAGACAACACUUGACAGUUGUGCCGCAAACACAAGCUUUAUGCUAAGUUCUCAAAGUGUGAGUUUUGGUUGGGCAUGGUUUCCUUUUAUGGGCAUGUGGUGUCAAGAGAUGGAAUUCAUGUUAAUCCAAAGAAGAUUGAAGCAGUUUGAGAUUGGCCUCAACCUAGUACUGUUAUAGAGAUACGUAGCUUCUUGGGGCUAGCUAAUUAUUAUAGGAGGUUUGUAGAGGGAUUCUCAAAGGUAGCUACUCCAUUGACGCACUUAACUCAAAAGGAUGUGGUUUUUCAAUGAUCAGAUGAAUGUGAAGAAAGUUUUCAGAAAUUAAAGACAGCAUUGAUUUCGGCUCCGAUUUUGACCUUACCUACUGCUGAGGAUGGUUUCACUAUUUAUUAUGAUGCAUCUCGAAUUGGAUUGGGUUGUGUUUUAAUGCAGAAUGGUGAAGUGGUGGCGUAUACUUCUCGACAGCAAAAGGUCCAUGAGAAGAAUUAUCUGACUCAUAAUUUGGAAUUGGCUGCGAUUGUAUUUGCACUCAAGAUCUGGCGUCAUUAUUUUUAUGAUGAGCCAUGUGAAAUCUAUACUGAUCACAAGAGUCUGCAGUACUUAUUCAAGCAAAGAGAUCUGAAUCUGAGACAACAGUGGUGGUUAGAUUUACUUAAAGAUUAUGAUCUCACUAUCUUGUAUCAUCCUGGUAAGGCUAAUGUAGUAGCAGAUGCUUUGAGUAGGAAGUCUAUGGGCAUCUUGGCCUGAUUUGCUGCCGAAAGAUGACCUAUGGUUAUGGAUAUUCAAUCUUUAGCAAAUCAUGGAGUUCGAAUUGAUCACACAGUUCCUGGAAAGAUACUUGCAGUUAUGGGUGUUCAGUCAUCCUUGAUAAUGCUCAAAUUACACUCUUGAAUGGGUGUAAGCGAUCUUUGUCAAUAUAAUAACUCAACUUUGGAGUCGGGUUUGAAUCCACGAGGAACAAUAUGAGUGAUGAUUAAACUACUUUGAAACUAUAGCUACAAGUUGAAUUUAAACAAAUGAUACGAAAAGAUAAAAUGGGGGGGGGGGGGGUUUAAGGUUUGAAAAAAAGUUCAAUUCAAUUUAACAAUGUUAUGGGAAACUAGAGUUAUGGUUACCAAGAUUCUUAAACAAAUAGGGUUGUGAAUCACUUUAGAGUUCCAAUUGACAGCUUUAAUUGCAAGAGUAGUUGAAUCCUAUUGUUUACCCAAUUCGUCUCUCGACCUCAGCAGGUAGUUCAUUCGUUAAUUCUCUCAAACUUAAAGAAUGUGUUUUCUAUUUAACUAUGUUCUCAUGUAGGCAAAUCCGGUUAAGGCAUUUGUCAUUAAACUAAAGAUUCAAGUCUUUUGAGUCCAUGUAAACUCUUUCUUUUCCCACAUACACUUUCCUCUCAAACAAGUGAUAUUCUUGGGCUCACCUUUCAAGUUGCAACUAUGAGAGAUCGUUACAUUGCUCAACAAGCACUUUUCUCUCAGACAAGUGAUUGUUUCAUUGAAGUAACCUAACAAGCACUUUCUGUCACACCCCUUUUUUGAACGUACUCCAAAAGAUUUAUAUUUUUAAGUUCGAAAGGGUUUUAUUUAUUAAAGUGACAAAAAUGAAAAUUUUCUUCGAAAAAGGAAUAUUUAUAUUGUUAUUCAGAGUCGCCACUUGGCAUAAUCCGGUGUGCCAAGUCACCUUUAGAAAAUCCUUUUCGAAACCAUUUGACUCUUAAAUUGAUUUGCGAACAGAGAUUCUGGCUAAGGAAUUCUGUUGACCGAGGGAAAGGUGUUAGGCAUCCCUCGAUCCCGUGGUUCAACCACGGUCGCUUGGCAGAGCGUAUCGGCAAAAUUGACAUUACAAAUGCAUAAACCACACAAAAGCACGCAAAGUAAUCAAACAAUAACAAAGACAAAACAAAAAUGUAAAGUCCAGUCCAAUUAUUACAACCCGAAAUAAAAAUACUGAAAUAACCUACGCUAGUCCUAAACUAUGCUUUACCCGAUGCCUCGAGCCUUGAUCACGAGCAUCCUUUAUGUACAAAAUUCUUCGGGACAUUCCCCAGUAAGUAAAUACAAAUUACCUCGGGGCAUUCCCCGGUUAAAUAAUACACUUUCAAAAAUAUGAUAAACAAGACAUUCAACAAAUAUUCCAAUCAUUCCAACACAACACCAAUCCUAAACUUGCCUACCUGAGCUUACUGUUUGCCUAACCGGUUGACGACAUAUCGCAUUCAACAUCAACAAUGUAUCAAAAAUAUCAUAAUAUUCACUUUUAUCAAUUUUCGAUUCCCGUCCCCAAAUUCAUUCCUAACUAAUGAUUAAACAUGCUUUGAUUUAUCAAUUCACUUUUCAAAGUCCGAAACCAACAUCAACCAACACAUAACACAUAUUCGAACAUACCAAACACGCAACAAAUAAAUCAUCCGCACCCACAACAUCACAAAAAGGUUAAAAUAAAUUAAAGAUUCGGUUAGAAGAAAUGGACCUCGAUGAAAUUGAUCCUUGCCGAUAAUAAAGAAAUCCGAAGACCAAAAUACUCGACCGAAGAACCUCAAUCAUGAAUUUCUAAAUCAGUGUCCCGACAUCGCCAUCCAAACAGAAUUCAAACCAAGAAGAAAAACCCGCAGCUCCAAAAUCUUGCGCUUUUUGACCAAGAUGCCCCUAUUUUUGGGCAGCAACAGAACAAAUGAGCUUAUCACAUUGGAAUUUCACCAAUGAAACCUGACUCUGCUCCACCAGAAUUCAAACAAAUUCAUCGAAUUUUCUGAUUGAAUUGGAUUCGAUUGAAAUCGGACGAGUUCGGGUCGGAGGGGUUUGUCGUGGUCGGGUCGAUUGAAGCUGGAAUUGGGUUUUUGUUAUUGCUAUGGGUGAUGGCGUGGCAGAUCUAGUCGCUGGUUGGCGAGGCAGAUCUGGAAGGCGAAGAAUGGAGCGGUGUUGGCGCUAGUUCGCCAGAGGGCAAGAGAAAAAUGGCGACUGAGGCUUGCGGUCAGUGUGGCGGUAGUCACGUCCGUCGAGGCUCAUCGGGGUAAGAGAAUGCUAGCCGAUGAUGAGCUGGCCAGCGUCAGCCAUGGAUGCCGACGGGCCGUUGGUCGGUCGCCGGCGAGUUUGCUGAGAGAGAGAGAGUGAGAGUCUAGAGAGAGAAAGAGUUGAUUCUUAUUUUUCUUUUUCUAUGCUAUCUCAUGCCAAAAAAUCUCCUCCUUAAAGAAGAAGAUGAAGUUUUGUGUGUUUGUUGUGAGUGUUAUUGUGUGCAAAUGGUGUGUGUUCUUGGUGUGAGGUCAGUGUAAAAAUGGAGGAUCUGUGUACAUACGGAGUUCUGUAAAAUGGAAAAUUGGAUAUGUGUAAUGUUGUUUGUAUAUGGCUGUGUAUGUAUUAUUCUGUUUUUUGGGGAAAAUGGUAAUUGGAGUGCCUUCCGUUCUCUUUUUUUGUGAGAGUAUGUGUGUAUAUAUUGUGAGGGUGGGUAGUGGGGGUCACAUGGGUAGGGUUAGGGGUAGGGUGUGGGGUGGUGAGGUGGUUUAUUUUGAUUGGGUAGGUUGUUAGGAUAAGAUAGAAUUUGUUAGGAUAGGUUUUGUUAGGGAUUUGGUUAUUUAUUUUAUUUUUUAUUUUGUGAGAUGUAAUCACAUGGGUGAGGGUACAUAAUAUGAUAAGGUAAAAAAUUAAUAAAAUCGAACUUUUGAGGGGACAAAAUUACGUGUCUACAUCAUGCCCCCUUUGAAUGUAAACACGCAGUGUUUUCAGACAAAGAAGUAGACAACGAGACAGAAUUUUGUCCCAACCAUUAUUCAGAGGAAGAAACAGAAGAAAGAAGGACUACCGGGUCUUGAAUUAGGAUAACCUACCUACCCAAGUUAUGAGGGAACCAAGUCACGAGUAUUUCAAAGGAUUGGAAGAGGUGGACUAUACCAAGUUGGAGAGUCGAGUGAGGUUUCAUCGAGGUUCCAAUCUGCGGCUCUGUUAUUUCAUCAAAAUGAAAAUUACAAGUUAAAACAUAAAUGAAAUUACAAAAACCCUAUCUAUACAGCUUUUGUUGGCUCUUGACUCGACUUUUAUCACCCUAUUCUUCAGGCGGGCUCCUGACUUGCAAUUUCUUCCAACUUGUUGUUUGGCUUUCAAUUGCUUCGUUUUGUUGCUUGACUUUUCGUUUCUUCACCCUAUUCUCCAGGCGGGCUCCUAACUUGCUAUACAUCACCUUGUUCUUCAGGCGGGCUCCUGACUUGCUAUUUCAUCACCCUGUUCUUCAACUGCGCUCCUGACUUGCUAUUUCAUCACCCUGUUCUUCAGGCGGGCUCCUGAAACCACAUCAAAACUAAAAAAAAAGAAAAAAAAAUUAUCCCCAAACAAAUAUUAUUAUAAAGAGAAAUUUCGUUUAUUUGCCAGAAAAGUAAAGUUCCAAAAACAGAAAUUAAAUUUUUUGCCCCAGUUUAUCCUUAGAAGACUUUUUGGAAAAGUCACAUCAUACCUACUUGCAUGUUGCAAUGAUGAAUCAAGACUCUGACUAAGAAAUGCAUCUCUUAAGAGUAAAAUUAAAUAACCAUGACUAGGAAGUGCAUCUCCUAAGAAUUAAAGUGAGGGAUUCUAACUAGAAAGUGCGUCUUCUAGAGAUACAAGUUUAAGUUAAAAGUGUGUCACCUAAAAAAUGAAAACUAGCAAGGAAGUGCAUCUCCUAAGGAUUAAGUGCAAUAACUCGACUAGAAAGUGCAUCUUCUAGGAAUCAAGACUUUAAGUUAGAAAGUGCAUCACCAAUGUUGCUUGAAUUAUCAAAAUAAAGAAGUGUAUUUCCUUACCAACGUCUCUUGAAUUACUCAAACAAGGAAGUGCGUUUCCUUACAAAUGUUUCUUGAAUUUCCCAGGCCAGGAAGUGCGUCUCCUUACAAAUGUUGCUUGAAUUACCCCAAACAAAGAAGUGUAUCUCCUUACCAAUGUUGCUGGAAUUACCCGAACAAGGAAGUGCAUCUCCUUACAAAUGUUGCUGGGAUUACCCGAACAAGGAAAUGAUCUCCUUACAAAUGUUGCUGGAAUUACCCGAACAAGGAAGUGCAUCUCCUUACAAAUACCGCUUGAAUUACCAAACAAGAAAGUGUGUUUGCUCACAAAUGUUGCUGGAUUUACCAAAUAAGGAAGUGCGUCUCCUUACAAAUGUUGCUCGAAUUUCCCACACCAGGAUUAUCAUAAGGCAGUAUUUCAUUUUGAAAGUGUGGUCCCAUUUUUUAGGAGGAACCCGAAUAGAAAGUAAAAUCUCAUUUUUCAGGAGGGUCCUGAACAUAAAGUAAAAUCCCAUUUUUCAGGAGGGUCCUGGACAUAAAGUAAAAUUCCAUUUUUCAGGAGGGUCCUGAACUGAAAGUAAAAUCUCAUUUUUCAGGAGGGUCCUGAACAUAAAGUAAAAUCCCAUUUUUCAGGAGGGUCCUGAACUGAAAGUAAAAUCCCAUUUUUCAAGAGGGUCCUGAACAGAAAGUAAACUCCCAUAGAUGUGCAUUUCCAAUGGUAGCUGAAUCAAGCGAAACGAAUUUGCCCCUGUUUCAACAAAGAAAAUUUGUCAGUUAAAAACUUAGUGGUGGCUUACAGAUCUUGGCUUUUCAGGUAUCUGCCCAGCACUCGUUCCUUUCAUAUUUGUUCCAAAUCGCUGACACCUGCCCUAUAUUUUCCGCAUCAUUGCCCCAGAUCCAUAUUGAUAGAAAUGAGUUCUGAAUCAAACAAUGGGUUUCCAUUUUACCAUGCCCCUGAGGUGCACUCUUUUCCCAAAUCUAAAUGCUUCCACGAAUCUAACAGCCUAUCAGUUGAUAGACUUCCUUUGUUUCGUGUUGAAUUACGGUCAUAUUUCUUUCUUAUGCUGUUCCUUUGCUUUUCCUCAUAUAAUUGGAAAGACUGGUAGUAAAUUUUUGAAAUCCUUUCUCGCUUGUUUCGACACAGACUUGACUUAAAAUAUAAAGAAAUGAUGGUGACUUUUAUUUUGAUAAAUGACAUAAGAAAAGACAAAAAAACAUGAAUAUGUAAAUAAAAGAAAAGGGCAAUGUCCUAUAUUCAAAAGAAAACUUAUCUGAAUACGACAACCAACUCCAAUGAGUAUGACAUGUAUUUUGGAUUGAGCUGCCUGAUCUUCCUAUCCAAACUCCCCAUUUGUUGUUGAGUUCGUGCCUUUGCCGCUGAGCCGCUUCUUCAAAUCUAUUGGACUCAUACAUCACAUUCGAUUGACGAUAUCUUGAAAGACUUUCGCCAACAAAUCUCUUUCUUUUCACUUUUCACUUUUCUCUUGAACUCUUCAUCGCCUUACGGUGAGGGUUUUCACCAAUAAGACUCUCUUAUUUUUAUUUCUCUCCACUCAUCAUCGCCUUAUGGUGCCUGCAAAGGUUUUCACUAAUAAGACCCUCUCUUUUUUUUUUCUCUCUACUCACCAUCGCCGUAUGGUGCCUGUAAAGGUUUUCACCAAUAAGACUCUCUCAUUUUCAUUGUCUCUCAACUCACCAUUGCCUUAUGGUGCUCGUGAAGGUUUUCACCAAUAAAACUCUCUCAUUUUUAUUUCUCUCUUGAUUCCUUGGACUGAGGAAGACAGGUAGUUUCCAAAUACAUCAGCAUAUCCCUUGCAUGCUUUGCCUUAACAUCCGCAAAGAUUGAUCUGAAGGUCUUUUCUUUGGUUGUGACUUGGCUUUUGGAUAGGGUUAGAAAGAAAGGAUGGCGUGAGGCCCAAAUGACACUUGAAGUGGGUUAGGACUUACAACUUUUGGAAUUGACUCAAACAAUGAGGAUUAACUCAUGCUCCAUUUUCUUUUGACUGGGUGAUUCUUAAAUCUUUAUUUGGUUGGACCGAGCUCGAAAUAGGGCAGCCUACGUAUCUCACUCCCGAGAGAGGAGAAUCAGGUCAGACAUAGUUCCAUCAACUUGUUCUUUGUUCUGAUUUGAUUUUGAUUUUUUUUUAUUCUCAUUUCCUCGACAUUUAUCUUUGACUCUAUUUUGAUUCCAAAAGAGGGAUAUGAAAGAAAAAAAUAAAAUGAAGCUCAAACGGGUAAACAAGGGAUGACACAAUGUUUAGAUAGAAGAAUAAAAUGCCUUUAUCAUAUCAAUCUUCAAAAAUGCAAGUACUAAACAUGCAAUAAAAUCAACAAAGGAUCAAAUAUCAUACGUAAUAUCUUUGACCGCAUCAGCAUUGAUAACCAUUUCUGCCAUUUUGCCUUCAGUAUCUGUCAAAUAUAAGGCUCCAUUGGGCAACACUUUCUUCACAACGAAGGGACCUUGCCAAUUAGGGGAGAACUUGCCUUUCGCUUCAACCUGGUGAAUAAGGAUACGUCUCAAUACCAACUGACCAACUUCAAAAUUCUUGGGAUGGACCUUUUUAUUAUACGCUCGAGCCAUCCUCCUCUGAUACAACUGGCCAUGACAUACAGACGUUAGCCCUUUUUCCUCAAUCAAACUCAAAUGUUCCAGUCGAGUUUUUACCCAUUCGUCAUUAUCAAUCUCUGCUUCUACAAUAACUCGAAGAGAAGGAAUUUCAACUUCUACAGGAAUGACUGUUUCUGUCCCAUACACUAAUAAAUAUGGAGUUGCCCCUGUUGAAGUGCGAACAGUGAUGCGAUAACCUAGCAAUGCAAACGGCAACUUUUUAUGCCACUGUCUAGACCCUUGUACCAUUUUUUGCAGUAUCUUUUUUAUAUUCUUAUUGGCGGCUUCUACAGCACCAUUGGCCUUUGGGCGAUAUGGAGUAGAAUUUCGAUGUGUGAUCUUAAACUGUUGACAUACUUCUUGCAUUAAAUGACUAUUGAGAUUGGCAGCAUUGUCUGUAAUGAUCAUCUUAGGAAUUCCAAAUCUACAAAUGAUAUUGGCAUGAACAAAAUCUACCAUAGCAUUCUUUGUCACUGACUUGAAAGUUACUACUUCUACCCACUUUGUGAAGUAGUCAAUGGCUACCAAAAUGAAUCUAUGCCCAUUUGAUGCCUUCGGCUCAAUCGGUCCAAUCACAUCCAUUCCCCAAGCCACGAACGGCCAUGGAGCGGCCAUUGCAUGCAACUCAACAGGAGGAGAAAGUAUAAGAUCACCGUGUACCUGACAUUGAUGACACUUUCAAACAAAUUGAACAGAAUCUCUUUCCAUAGUAAGCCAGUAAUAACCUGCUCGAAGAAUCUUCUUUGACAAGAUAUGACCAUUCAUAUGCGACCCGCAUAUUCCAGAGUGAAUUUCAACCAUGAUUGUCGAGGCUUCUCUUGCAUCUACACACCUCAAAAAUCCGAGAUCUGGGGUUCUCUAAUACUAGAUUCCCCCACUUAAGAAAAAUCCACUAGCCAAAUGCCUAAUAGUCCUCUUUUAAUCGUUGGUGGCAUAUCCUGGGUAUUCUCUUAACUGAAUGUACCACUUGAUAUCCAAGAACCAAGGUUUUCCAUAGAGAUCUUCUUUAACCGCACUACAGUAAGCAUGCCGAUCACGGCUCUGUAUAUACACUGGAUCGAUGUAGGCUUUGUCAGGAUGUUGAAGCAUUGAAGACAGAGUGGCUAAAGCAUCAGCAAUCUCAUUGCGAAUCCUUGAAAUAUGCCUAAAUUUUACUAACACAAACCGUUGACAUAGCUCCUACAAGCAUUGUCGAUACGGGAUGAGCUUCAAAUCUUGUGUCUCCCAAUCAUCUUGAAUUUGAUGGACGAGCAAAUCCGAAUCCCCUAACACCAAUAAUUCUUGGACUCCCAUAUCAACAGCUAACCUCAAACCAAGAAUGUAGGCUUCAUACUCUGCCAUAUUGUUAGUACAGUAGAAUUGAAGUUGUGCUGUCACCGGGAAAUGUUGUCCCGAUUCAGAGAUAAGAACCGCACCUAUUCCGAAUCCUUUCAUANNNNNNNNNNNNNNNNNNNNNNNNNNNNNNNNNNNNNNNNNNNNNNNNNNNNNNNNNNNNNNNNNNNNNNNNNNNNNNNNNNNNNNNNNNNNNNNNNNNNNNNNNNNNNNNNNNNNNNNNNNNNNNNNNNNNNNNNNNNNNNNNNNNNNNNNNNNNNNNNNNNNNNNNNNNNNNNNNNNNNNNNNNNNNNNNNNNNNNNNNNNNNNNNNNNNNNNNNNNNNNNNNNNNNNNNNNNNNNNNNNNNNNNNNNNNNNNNNNNNNNNNNNNNNNNNNNNNNNNNNNNNNNNNNNNNNNNNNNNNNNNNNNNNNNNNNNNNNNNNNNNNNNNNNNNNNNNNNNNNNNNNNNNNNNNNNNNNNNNNNNNNNNNNNNNNNNNNNNNNNNNNNNNNNNNNNNNNNNNNNNNNNNNNNNNNNNNNNNNNNNNNNNNNNNNNNNNNNNNNNNNNNNNNNNNNNNNNNNNNNNNNNNNNNNNNNNNNNNNNNNNNNNNNNNNNNNNNNNNNNNNNNNNNNNNNNNNNNNNNNNNNNNNNNNNNNNNNNNNNNNNNNNNNNNNNNNNNNNNNNNNNNNNNNNNNNNNNNNNNNNNNNNNNNNNNNNNNNNNNNNNNNNNNNNNNNNNNNNNNNNNNNNNNNNNNNNNNNNNNNNNNNNNNNNNNNNNNNNNNNNNNNNNNNNNNNNNNUUGAGUUUGAGAUUAUACCUACGAAGCCUUUCAAAGAACUUUCUUAAAUCUUUAACAUGGUCGGCCUGACUUUUUGACUUAAUAAUCACAUCAUCCAUGUAGACCUCAAUCUCCUUAUGUAUCAUAUUAUGAAACAUAGUAGUCAUGGCUCUCAUGUAUGUUGCUCCAGUAUUUUUCAAACCGAACGGCAUCACUCGAUAACAAUAAGUUCCCCAUGGUGUGAUAAAAGAUGUCUUCUCCACUUCUUCAUCAUCCAUAAUAAUCUGGUGAUAUCCAGCAUAGCAAUCGACAAAAGAGGAAACCUCGUGUUUAGCACAGUUGUUUAACAAAAUGUGGAUGUUGGGCAGUGGAAAAUCAUCUUUCGAACUGGCUCUGUUCAAAUCACGGUAAUCAACACACACUCGAAUUUUGCCAUCUUUCUUUGGUACGGGAACAACAUUAGCUAACCACAUGGGGUAACGAGCCACUCGAAUUACUUUGGCUUUAAGUUGUUUCAUGAUUUCCUCUUUGAUUUUAACACUUACAUCAGUUUUAAACUUUCUCAACUUCUAUUUGACAGGAGGGAAAGCGGGAUUAGUUGGCAAUUUGUGAGCCACUAUAAUUCAGUGCUUAAACCAGGCAUAUCAUCAUAAGACUAUGCAAAAACAUCCUUGUAAUCAAUUAAUGCUUGAAUCAUUCCAUCUUUUAGUUGUGGCAAAGCAUGUACACUGAUUUUAGUUUCCCUAACAUCUUCUUGAUCCCCUAGAUUUAUUAGCUCAGUAUCAUUCAAAUUAGGAUUCGGUUUGUCUUCAAAUUGUUCCAGCUCUUUGCUUAUUUUUACUAGUGUUUUUUCUUCAUCAUAUUCCCCAUCCUGAUUCAUUACAUCUUGAUUAGUUUGGAUUUUAAGAUCAGGCUGAAAAUUCUGCAUGCAUGUCAUGUCAUUAGAAUCAGCAUAAAGAAAAUUGUGUAAGAAAGAAAAACAAGAUAUAUUAGACACGAAACAAAAGGGACAUUGGCAGAAAGAAAAAUAAAAUAAACUACCAAAACUCCCUCCUGACGGGGAGAGGAGUGACUUCCUAAUUAUUGAGCCGAACAGCUGGACCUAUGAAUUGCACGUCUUCCAUACUGGUACCUUCUCCUACUUGGACCAUAUCAACUUUAAUAAAAAGGUUCUGGAAGUCAUCAACCAAUUCAAACUCAAAUUCCACAUGCUUCGUGAAACCAAUCUUAACAAAUGAUUCACUGAGUAGUGGCACUGGGCGAGGGAGUGACCAUGUUUCCUUUUUCCUUCCCUUGGCUUUUUACAGAUCUUCAGUUGUAGGCUCAAAUCCCAGACCAAACAUGCCCACGUUCUCACUCAAAUAUAUGGGAUGAACUAUACCGUGCAUAGAUGCUCCCAAACCCUUUUCUGGCUCAAAUCUAUAUUUCCAAAGUUCACUCACCAUCAUGAUAGAAGCAGAAGACAAUUGCAUUCCCGGUAUAGCCUGCCAUUCAAGGAUACGAUUCACUGGCACUAUAUCAAAAACUUGAUAGACGAAUGUAUCCUCUACGUUAUUUGCUUCAAUAAGAGACAAGGGAGAAUCUUCGUAGGUUGACAAAUCUCCUUCACCAUGAGUAACUACUUCUUGCCUGUCAUGCUCAAACUUAAUUAUUUGGUGCAGUGUAGAUGCAACUGCCUUGGCCUUGUGAACCCACGGCCUUCCCAACAACAGAUUGUGAGAGGAGUCUACAUUCAAUACUUGAAACUCUAUGGCGAACUCAACAGGCCCUAUGGUCAACAUUAGUUCUAUUUCUCCAAUGGAAUUUGAUUUUGCACCAUCGAAAGCCCUAACACAUACAUUAUUGGUCCUGAUCCUGUCAGCACCAAUAUUCAACUUUUUCAAAGUAGAAAUAGGGAAAAUAUUUGCACCUGAACCUCUAUCAAUCAUAACAUGAGUGACGUCAAAAUCUUCACACUUCAUUGUAAUGUAAAGGCCCCGAUUAUGCCCUGUAUCUUCGACCGGCAAUUCAUCAUCAGAAAAGCUGAUCCGAUUGACCUCAAAGAUUUUUCCAACCAUUUUCUCAAGUUGGUUGAUUGUAAUCUCCCUUGGAACAUAUGCCUCAUUUAAAACUUUUAGUAAAACAUCACAAUGCUCCUUGGAGUGCAACAGCAAAGAUAAAAGGGAAAUUUGAGCAGGGGUUUUCUUCAGCUGGUCUAAUAUUGAAUACUCUGGCAACUUCAUCUUUUUCAAAAAUUCUUCGGCUUCUUCUUCAGUGAUAGGAUUUUUGAUAGACGAUGGUCCACUUACCGUUGGCUAGGACUUUCUUAAGCUUUUAGGCACGAUGUAUCUUCCUGACCUAGUCAAACCCCUUACCUCAUCUACAUCUUCCACAACUUCUUUCCCGUGAUAGGUCAUCACAGUCCGCCCAUAAUUCCAGGGAACUCUUUUUGUAUCAACUAUUGGAGGUUGGGUCACUGGUUUAAGGACAAUAGACGCUGCCCGUGCCCCUUUCACCGUCAAGAUGGGCUGACUCAGAGCUCCCACCACUGUCAACUUAGGUAUAUCCCGACAUAAAUCAACAUACCUUCUGGCGCCCUGUACUGUAAUCAGGGGUUUCUUUGUGCUUUCUUGGGCUUUAUCUUCUCUCAUUCCUUCCUGGCUCAAUGACAUUACUUUCAAAGACUCCUCUACAUUCACCGAUUUCUUCUCAGUGGUCUGUAUCUUGACAAUAGGCUUAUAACCCCUCGAAGACUCUAUUCCAUCAUAUAUCAAUUCUAACAUAUUGGUUUUAGCAUGGGUUGGUAACGGAUUCUGGUUAAUGUUUGGACCCUCCGGAGCCUGGAACAGCAUCUGAUUUGUGUCAAUUAAAUCUUGGACAGCUCUCUUUAAAUGCCAACAUUUCUCGAUAUCAUGGCCUGGCAUAUCAGAACAGUACACACACCUUAAAGAAUAAUCAAGAUUCCUCGGCGGUGGAUUUGAAAGCCUUCCUUGAAUUGGGCUCAAAACCUUCAACUUUCUCAACCUAUCAAACAAGCUAGCAUAUGACUCCCCAAGAGGUGUGAAUUGAUUUUUGACCGCCUUUUCCUUCUUAUACUCGGGCCUAGACUGAAAAUUGGUUUUGGAGGGGUUUUGGUAAUUUGGUGGAGCGAAUGGGCAAUUUUAUGGAGCUUGCGCGCGCCACUGCAGGUAAGAAGGGAUUUGGGCAUAUGGAUGUGCACUAUAUACUGGGUAUGGGGGUGGAGGAAUGGAAUAUAUAGGGUUUUGUGGAGGGUAUUAAUGGUGGGGAGGAAUAUAUGGAGCUUGGGUGUAGACUUGGGCUUGGGAUUAGGGAUAGGGGCGAGGUGGUCUUUUGGGAUAGGAAUGGAUUCCAUCUACGACAGUCGCCACUACCAACUUACUUUCUUUCAUUGGAGGCUUUACCCUGGCGGCCUGUUCAUGCCACUUUAUCGCGUAUUCCCUAAAACCUUCAAGUGUCUUUUUCUUCAUAUUGACCAAGGAUUUUUCAUCCGAAAUUAGUUCAAUGUUAUACUGAAAAUGUUGAACAAAUUCAGAAGCCAAAUCAUCCCAGUUGUUCCAUUUAUCGAUGUCUUGAUCGAUAAACCAUUCUGAGGCCAGAUCAGACAGACUCUCACCAAAGAAGGCCAUGAGCAGUUCUUCCUUUCCUCCUGCAGCCCUCAACUGGUUGCAAUAACGUCUCAAGAGUGCAACGGGAUCACCGUGUCCUGCAUACUUCUCGAACUUAGGCAUCUUAAAACCGGGGGGAAGAUUGAUGUCUGGGAACAUGCAAAGAUCUUUAUAGGAAACUCUCCUAUAAUCUUCGAUCCCUUGCAAAUUUCUCAUAGCCUGCUCUAAACUCUUCAGUUUUCGGGCUAUGAUAUCCUGUUCCUCUGCUGCGACAGGUUUCUCUGUAUCAAAUGGAAAUGCAGGUGGCUGAGUGUACCCAUACGGUUCAUUCAUUUGCAAAGUAGGCUUCGAGGCAUAAUACUGACUAUCUGAAACCUUCAGCACUGGCUCACUAGCAGACCUGGGAAGCCUCAUUGUAGGACGCGCAACAUAUAUGGGAGUUUUAUGUGGUGGCGGAUCCACGAAUACCGGUGUGAUUGGUGGCACUGGCUGAGCAGCUGGUCUUGAUUGGGGAGCUGCCAAGGGCACACCAGAACUGCCAGGAUAAUAAUGUCCCGAAAAGCGUGCUCAGGUGACUCAGUAGGAGCAGAGAAUUGUGCCUGAGAGAGCGGUGGACAGUUAGAGAUAUUCCCAAGACCUUCAGGGAGCGGAGGAGGAGGCAUUCCGCUGGCCCAUGCCCGGUGUAAAUCUAUCAAUUGUUGCCUGAGCCUUACUACCUCAUCAUUGUGUUCAGAACUUUCUUCCCUGUGAUCCUGAUCCAGGUCAAUGAGCGAAUUUUCAAUCUCCCUGCUAGCCAUGGUGAACUUUACUUUGGAUCUAGUGAAGUAUGGGUGACCAGCCAGAGUGCUGCAAACCUACCACUAUUAUCUGAAAGAACAUGCUCAUCAAAAACGACAUCUGUUAGGAUUAGGGAACACAACAAGCAUGGGAAUCACAUUGGUAAAAUUGUCCUAAAUUCAUGUUCAUUUCUACCAGCUUUUGAGGGUAGCGAGGUCAUUUUAACAUCAUCCUGAUUUUUGCCUACACUUAUUUUUAUCUACACCUAUUAUUAUUAUUAUUGUUAUUUUUCCUUUCCCUCUUUUUUCUUUCUUUCUUUUCUCUCAUUAUCUACCUUUAUUUCAUCAUUCUUCUGGCUUUUGUUUUUCUUUAAAAGAGUAAAAAUAAUGAAAAACAACAAAACAAAAUGAUUAGAUCAAACCCAAAAAUAAAUUGCCUACGUAUCAUGUUAUACAAGAAUCAGAUCUUGCGUAGUUCGGGCAGCAUGUGCAUAAACAUUACCCUUUUUUUUCCUUUUUUUUUGUGCGAAAACUAAAAUAAACAAACCAAGGAAAGAAGUAAUAUCAAAACAUUUUGAAGAAAGAAAACAACAAAAAUGUACAAAAGUUUGGGACCACUUUAAAACUAAACAUCAAAUACGAAACAAAAUUAUAGACCCCUAAGACGACAUAGGUGAAAUUACUAAUAAUGACUCUAAAACAACUUGACUUUGACUUAAAGCAGACACCACCCUACAAUGACAGACACAUAAAAUACUCAAACAGAAUAAAGAUAAGAAGUGCUCUUUCAGACUGGUGCUCUACGUGACGACCCUGGCUGAUAUGGACCUACCUCUGAAGUUCUCUUUCACCCAUUCAAACUUUGUAGCAUAUCCUGUAAAGUCACCUUGAUACCGGGGAAGAAGCUUCGGGCCCGUAUUCCUGGUUCAUGAGGAGUGCACUUGGAAAGAUUUUUCUGACACCUUUCUACCGUCUUGAAUAACUCUGCUAACUGAACUUUCAGUGUUUCUACUUUGAACCCUACACUUUUAUCCUGAUGGUCGUCUACUAUGCAUUCUUCCUGUAUUCUUCCUCUAAGCUGCGCUGGUAAGGCUUGAAUGAUACCCCGAGGGAUAUAUUAAAGCCAGACCUCAUAUCCCUGAGUGUGGCCCGGAUUAUCCAAACUUUCUUUGAGCGUGUCCACACCUAGCUUUGUUGCAUGCUUCCAAAACUGCUCGUACUUGCUCUCACCUAAGGCUUGGUCCUUGAAGUACUCAACAUUCUUCAGAAGAUCCACUGCUGGUGGCACGUCCUGCAUCCUACCCAACUGGCGCAUUACCCUAGAAGGAUUGUAUGGUCUAGUGCAAUUGAGCCCUAACAUAACUAAAGGGAACUGUGUCUGACAACCCAACAAUACUACCUUUGGUCGAAGCCACAGAUAAGUCCACAAAAUGUUAUCCCUGGUUCUUGACUCAAGAAAUUCAAUCCAAGCGUCGACUCCCACGGGUAACGAGAAUUUAUCCAACCGCAGCCUGGAGUCCAUGGCCUUCACUCGAUUGGGAAUACAAUGAUCUAACACGUCCGAUCCAACUAAAGAAGGAGCAUGCAAAUGCUCCAUCAUCCAUAACUGCAAUAUCAGGUUACUGCCCUCAAAAAACCUCCUUCCCCCCUUCACUUCGGUUAAAGCCUUAUAUAUUUCUGUUAAGAUCAUGGGUAUCAGAGUGAACCUUUCCUCUUGAUUAAUGUCAUUGUCGUUUUGAUCCUUAUGAAAUAGGGUCAUCACCACAGAUUGCAAAUGGGUAUUAAUACGUCUUUCUUCUAGUGGAAACACUAAAAUACCUAACAAAGCGAGGGUGAAGACUUNNNNNNNNNNNNNNNNNNNNNNNNNNNNNNNNNNNNNNNNNNNNNNNNNNNNNNNNNNNNNNNNNNNNNNNNNNNNNNNNNNNNNNNNNNNNNNNNNNNNNNNNNNNNNNNNNNNNNNNNNNNNNNNNNNNNNNNNNNNNNNNNNNNNNNNNNNNNNNNNNNNNNNNNNNNNNNNNNNNNNNNNNNNNNNNNNNNNNNNNNNNNNNNNNNNNNNNNNNNNNNNNNNNNNNNNNNNNNNNNNNNNNNNNNNNNNNNNNNNNNNNNNNNNNNNNNNNNNNNNAUUCUCCAAACCUAAAUACCAAACCACUCGGAUCCCAAAAGGUCAACAAAGCCUCUAUUAGAUCUGGACGAGAGGUAACAUGCAGAAGUUCCGUAAGAUCACCUAAUAUUUUAACCAGUUUUUGCUGAUCAACAUAGUUAAACAUUUCCCACCAUUUGAUUAACUUUUUGGGCACCUCAACAACCAUCAAAACUCUAAACUUGGUGGAUAAAUCCAUCCUGUAAUAACACACAAGACGUUAUCUCAAAAAAUUCGACAGGUGUCGACGAUUCCAAACCCCUGGGAUUUUUGACGCAAACAUAUGUCGAUGGGACAGACCACAUUCAUGACUCCAAUUUACCGAACAGAAGUACUGAGCGAAAUCAGUCUACUUGGCAACAACUCUAGAUGACGGGGCGAGAGAUCUAGGCUAAUAAGAAGACAAAACCCAACACAAAGAUUUACCAGACCCACCGAGGGUUGCCUACGUAUCCCAACCCGAGGGAAGGGAAUCAGGUAUGUGUAGUUCAAUCAGAUUGGAUAAUUAACGAUUUAUUAAUAAAUUGGCCCUAACUUAAGAGACACUAUCAAAGACAAACGACAAAAAAACUUUUGGAUUUUUCAGCUAGACACUGACAACACCAAUUAUGAAGAAAAAUCUUUUUGACAUUUUUGUUUUUGACAAAUAAGUAGAAAAGGCAAACAAAACUCUUUUUUUUUAUUUUACUUUUUUUUGAAUUUAUGGUACUUUGAGAAGACAAAUGUAAAACGUAAAAAAAAAUUUUUUGAGUUUUUGGAUCGUGAAGAACAAAAGCCAUAAAGAAAUCUAAAAUAAACUACGACAUUCCUCUUUUUUUUUAUUCUUUUUGACUCACUUUUUCUAUUAUUAUUUUCUUUUUUUAUUUUUUUUCUUUUUUGUUUUUACCUACGCACCUUACUCCUAACAAUUUUUUUUAUUUUUUUUUCAAAAAUCAGUCCGUCAAAUGACCACGUUACCCUUAAAAAUGCAAUAGUUAACAUGUAAGGAUGCUUUAGAGGGGAGUCUCCUACAAAGGGCCAUGUGGGUCCCGCUAGGUCUCCGUAUGAUGCACAUAAGCAUGACCUAAAGGCUGACCUACGUUGUGGUUUACUAACAAGGCCGUUCAGGGGAGCGUAUGGUCGAUAGUGGCUGAUUUGCUUUCCACCUACUCCAUAACACCGACGGCUCCCCCCCUAAAAUAAGGGUGACUCAACUAGAGGUUGUGUACAACACGUGUACUACGGACUUGUUGUAGAAAGAAGGCCAGGGGAUGGACUCAUGAUGACAGAUAUAAAGCGGUAACAUAUAGGAUAAAUACUAUAAACAAAGAGCACAAAAACACACAAAAGUGAAAAUAACACAAACAAUAACCACAAACAAUGAUUAUAUACUCGUAAUGCCAAACAAAGCCGGUACGACUCCAAAAAUAGCUCGAAUUCUGAAAACUUGUUAUUGAGUCCUCAGCAGAGUCGCCAGAAGCUAUCACACCCCUUUUUUACGUACUCCAAAAAUGUAUAUUUUAAGUCCGAAAGGAUUUUAUUAUUUAAGUGACAAGAAAUGAAAAUUUAUUUCGGAAAAGGAUUAUUUGCAUUUUUUAUUCAGAGUCGCCACUUGGCAUAAUCCGAUGUGCCCAGUCACUUUUGAAAAAUCCUUUUCGAAAACCAUUUAACUCUUAAACUGGUUUGCGAACAGAGAUUCCGGCUAAGGAAUUCUGUUGACCGAGGGGAAGGUGUUAGGCACCCCUCGAUCCCGUGGUUCAACCACGGUCGCUUGGCAGAGCGUAUCGGAUAAAUUGACGUUACAAAUGCAUAAACCACACAAAAGCACGCAAAGUAAUCAAACAAUAACAAAGACAAAACAAAAAUGUAAAGUCCAGUCCAAUUAUUAUAACUCGAAAUAAAAAUACUGAAAUAACCUACGCUAGUCCUAAACUAUGCUUUACCCGAUGCCUCGAGCCUUGAUCACGAGAAUCCUUUGCGUACAAAAUUCUUCGGGGCAUUCCCUGGUGAGUAAUACAAAUUACCUUGGGGCAUUCCCCGAUUAAAUAAUACACUUUCAAAAAUACGAUAAACAAGACAUUCAACAAAUAUUCCAAUCAUUCCAACACUACACCAAUCCUAAACUUGCCUACCCGAGCUUACUGUUUGCCUACCCGCUUGAUGACAUAUCGUAUUCAACAUCAACAAUGUAUCAAAAAUAUCAUAAUAUUCACUUUUAUCAAUUUUCAAUUGCCGUCCCCAAAUUCAUUCCUAACCAAUGAUUAAACAUGCUUUGAUUUAUCAAUUCACUUUUCAAAGUCUGAAACCAACAUCAACCAGCACAUAACACAUAUUCGAACAUACCAAACACGCAAAAAAUAAAUCAUCCGCACCCACAACAUCACAAAAAGGUCAAAAUAAAUUAAAGAUUUGGUUAGAAGAAAUGGACCUCGAUGAAAUUAAUCCUUGAUGAUAAUAAAGAAAUCCGAAGACCAAAAUACUCGACCGAAGAACCUCAAUCACGAAUUUCCAAAUCAGUGUCCCGACAUCGCCAUCCGAACAGAAUUCAAACCAAGAAGAAAAACCCGAAGCUCCAAAAUCUUGCGCUUUCCGACAAAGAUGUCCCUAUUUUCGGGCAGCAACAGAACAAACGAGCUUAUCACGUUGGACUUUCACUACUAAAACUCGACUCUGCUCCACUAGAAUUCAAACAAAUUCAUCGGAUUUUCUGAUUGAAUUGGAUUCGAUUGAAACCGGACGGGUUCGGGUCGGAGGGGUUUGUCGUGGUCGGGUCUAUUGAAGCUGGAAUCGAGUUUUUGUUGUUUCUAUGGCUGAUGGCGUGGUAGAUCUAGUCGCUGGUUGGUGAGGAAGAUCUGGAAGGCGGAGAACGAAGCGGUGCCGGCGCUAGUUCGCCAGAGAGGAAGAGAAAAACGGCGACUGAGGCUUGCGGUCAGUGUGGCGGUAGUCACGUCCGUCGAGGCUCAUCGGGGUGAGAGAAUGAUAGCCGACGAUGAGCUGGCCGAAAUCAGCCAUGGAUACCGACGGGUCAUUGGUCGGUCACUGGCGAAUUUGCUGAAAGAGAGAGAGUGAGAGUCUAGAAAGAGAAAGAGAGAAUUUGGUCCCUUUUUUUUCUUUUUUGUUCACUGUUAAUUCCGAAAAAUCUCCUCCUUAAAGAAGAAGAUGAAGUUUUGUGUGUUUGCUGUGAGUGUUAUUGUGUGCAAAUGGUGUGUGUUCUUGGUGUGAGGUCAGUGUAAAAAUGGAGGAUCUGUGUACAUAUGGAGUUCUGUAAAAUGGAAAAUUGGAUAUGUGUAAUGUUGUUUGUAUAUAGCUGUGUGUGUAUUAUUCUGUUUUUUGAGAAAAAUGACAAUUGGAGUGCCUUCCGUUCUCUUUUUUUGUGAGAGUAUGUGUGUAUAUAUUGUGAGGGUGGGUAGUGGGGGUCACGUGGGUAGGGGUAGGGGGUAGGGUGUGGGGUGGUGAGGUGGUUUAUUUUAAUUGGGUAGGUUGUUAGUAUAAGAUAGAAUUAGUUAAGAUAGAUUUUGUUAGGGAUUUGGUUAUUUAUUAUUUUUUUUUUGUAUUUUGUGAGAUGUAAUCACGUGGGUGAGGGUACAUGAUAUGAUAAGGUAAAAAAUGAAUAAAAUCGAACUUUGGAGGGGAAAAAAUUAUGUGUUUACACUUUCCUCUAGGAAAAGUGAUGUUGUAGUGCUGACUCUACUAAGUUGCAGCCAAGAAAGAUCAUUAAAAUGAAGAAAGGUUUAUACAAUAUCAAUUCUUCAUGGAACUUAAGUAGAUUCACAACCCAAACUAGUUAUUUACAUCAAGGCUCCCAUAACUCAAGUAAAUAAAAUUAGUUACUCAUGAUAUGAAAAUCAACAACAUAUAUUGAAUUCAUAGUCAAAAGUAAGUAAAAAAUCAUACCCAAAACAAAGCUUCAAAUGGAAGAUGUUUACAAAAAUGUUAAGAAGCCUAGUUGAGAGAUUUAUGUAUAUUUGUAUUUCUUGUAUGUUUUUAUUAUGUCGAGGCAUAGGUAGAUAUAUAGAGCUCAAUAUUCCCGUGUAUCCACCAAAUUUUGACCAAUACUUUCCAACCACCAAGUUUGAAUACGCAGCCCCUCCAAAGUUGACUACUGUAUUGAUUGAAAUACGUAGUCCAAGACCCUUCUAUAUGAUCCACACACCUAUGGGAUACAAAAUUGGGACUCUUAUUAAUCCAUUGGUAUUUUGAACAAGUCAAAUGUACUUUACAAGCUCCCACAAAAGCCCAAUACAUUUCGGGACUCCAGCUAGAGUCAAUUUCUGCACUUUGGUUUCGUUGAGCCAUUCCGGGCCUUAUUGAGUUGUUUACACUUGAUUUGAAGCUUAUAUAUCCUUAAUAUAUCAUUAUUAUCCAUUCAAAAAGAAUAAUUAUUAAACACCACAAAUUAGAGCUCAAAACAACACAACAUUCAAGAUGAUGAACUCAAAACACAAGCUAAGCAUAGGCUAAUUGCAUAUUGAGUUUAAGCUUAUUGUUUUGGCUCUUUUCUUGAUCCAAUUAAUCUAUGAACAUUAUAAAUAAUUUAUUUCACAUAUAAACACAUAAUAACAACCUUAUUAACUCAUUAAAACAUAUUAGAACCCAACACAACAGACUAGACAAACGCCUAGCUCAAGCUAGUCACACUAGUUUUCUCGGUUGAACUCUAAAUGUUCAAAGUGAAUCAAAACUUAUGUAAAAACACCAUUAAGCAUUAUAAAACCAUAUUUGGAAACAUGAAUGCUCAUUUAUGUCAUUAUAUGCACAUAUAUCAUAAUAAUCAUCCUCAAAAUAAGACUUAAAAGGGCUACAAUAGUAAUGCUAGAAUACAUAAAUACACCCAACAUCAACACCCAACACUUAAAACCUUGUUCAUCCUCGAACUACUCUUCACUGUAAGUAUCAUGAGCUGGGGAACCUACACUUCUACUACAUGUAAUACAUUCAGAUAGUACUACAAUAACUACAUAAAAUGCAAGUUUCUACACUAAUCAUGUCACAAAUAUAAUGGAAAGCUCAUGAAUCCUACUUUCAAAACAUCCUAGCCUCAAGAAUUUACUCACCUUGUUGGCAAACUCAUGCUCAAUUUUCAGUCAAAGACAUCUUAAAAAUCACUCAUAUUCAUCAAACAUGUGCCCCUCACAACAAGAGAGUUACUCAUAAAUACUCACAAUAAUGCAAUUUAUAACAAUGGGUACAAGAAUAAAAUUAUGCUCACUCUCACAAAGAAUUCACAAGUUACACAUAAUGAACCAUAUGCUUGCCCUUAGUAUAAUGCUCUACUAAUAUUCGAAUGUAAAACUUAUUCCGGGUUGUAAUGUAGGCUAUGGGAUGGAUAGAAACUAUUUUAGCCAAUAAUAGUGACUAUCCCCUCUAAGUGCUUCAAUACACUACAUUAUACAUUUAAAACAAAUAUUCAACAACCAAAUUACACCAGAAAUCUUUUCUUUACCCCAUUUCUUUUUGUUUUUGCCCCAACUUUAUUCAAGACAUUAACAACAAUUAUGGUAGGAGUAUUUCCCUUUUACACCACAAGUCAAUUCUCAAAUCUUCUUCAUACACCGGUUAUUGUUACGCACCCCUAUAGUAGCCACCCUCAACUAAAGCUAUUCGCCUUGGUUGAGGUGCACAUUGUCCUAAAUGGACCAGGGACAAAACAGGUUCAUUGUAGCAAAAACUGGGCAACCAAAAAAGAAUGAAAUUUCUUUCAUACUUUCUAUAGUUCCUAACCAUCACAAUUUAGGCACACAAUGAACUUUUCCUUAGAGCUUCACUUUCACUUUCCUCCUUCAGUUUCACAAACCUUCCUACUUAGUCCUUUAUAUUAUAGCGCUUAGAAGAUUUGGAUCAAAUUAAGGUCAAUCAAGGAAGGGGAUUAGGCUUCACAUGAGGUUUGUAAAGAGAAGGCUAAAGUCUCAAUGGGUUUAACUAAGAUAAUGCACAAUGGUAGGUAAAAAGAAGGUAUAAAACAAGGGUAUUAAAGAAAUGCCUAUAUUUCUCUUCACACACACCGGACAAGUUUUAGACAUCACAUGCAACAAGGAAUAUACAAAAUACCUUACAAGCACAUGGCACAUGUUCAACUCAAUAGAAUCAUCAUAGACUCUAAACCAAACAUUAGCACAAAUUCAAAAUUAAGCCAACACUUACAAGAGUCACAAACAUGAGCCUAAGAGUGUCAAAAAUAGCAAUUCACACAAUUCAACAUACUUUUACAAACAAACCCCCUUGCAUCAUGUAAUCAAAAAUAGCACCAAUAAGAGUACCUCACUUAUUCCAAACCUAAAACAAAAAUUGAGCCAAAAUUUAGGAAUUUCCCACCCACACUUAAAAAUAUACUUUGUCCCCAAAGUGAAUUUUUAAAUAAAGCGAUAUGAUACGAGAAUAAUCACAGAAAUAAACUUAUGUGGGUGUGCAUUGAAAGAAACCAAGUGUAUGUGCAAGAGAAGUGUAAUUAAAGGCCCAAAUACACACCAAAACAGCCCACUUCAUACACUAGAGGGGCAGCCCAUUCUUGAAGGGCCUUUUUGAUCAUUUUAACUUUUAUUUCUUUUUUAAUAUAUAAGGAACAUGUAGGGUUUUAUUUACUUAGUUUAUGAAUGAAAUUAUAAGUCUUACUAGACAAAUAAACACAAGUCCUCUUUCCUUGAGGCACCCAAAACCAAAAUUUGGGCUUAGACAAGUGUAGAAUCACUUGUGUUUGCAUUUGCUUGGAAACAUUGAUGCUUGGGAGGUGGAUUCCCAUCUUGUGUCUUUGUAAGAGAUAGGUUUAUUGUUGUGUCUAGUGUUAAGGGUCCAAGAGUUAUCAUUAUUGGGUUCUUAACAUUAUACCUUCAUGUGGUCUAUUUAUAUAUCCUUUUUCUUUUGUAAUCUUGUGUCCGUUUUGUAUCUUAUAUUGUGAAGACGUUUUUGUUGUUGUUAUUCUUCUUCUCAUUGUUGUUUCAUCUUGUGUUCUUAACUUAGUUUUUUAUUGGCUGUAAAAUGUGUCAAACACCUAGUUAUAUUGUCCUUCUUGUAUUUCAUUUUUGAAUCCGAGAGUGAUCUUCAAAAGGGUCCUCGAUUCUUUGAAUUAGUGGACUAUUUUUGGUGUGUUUGGACUGUUUUGAGCCAAUUCCGUGUGUUCCUUGGUUUUCUUGUAUCAUUUGGUAUCAGAUCCCUCUUUGGUGUUGUUCUUACAAUACCAAUGUUGGCCUUUCUUGCUAAGAAAUUAAGAAAAAAAACAAAUUUGGUGUUCUUGUUGUUCUUGGCCUUGAAAGUGUUGUUCUUGUUGUUCAUCUUGGCCGAGGUUGCUUGUAGCGUCUAGAUAUAGUAGUCCUUUGGUGUGUAUUGUUGUUUCUUGUGUUAGUUUUGUGAUUCUCUAACACUAAAAAGUGUCUAGAUCUAUAUUUGAGCUUGAACUUGUUAAAGUUGUGUUGUGAACCAGGACCUAGGGCGAGAAUUUGUGACUUGUGGCCGGUUGGGUCUUGAAUUCAUGAAUAUUGUUGUUAUUAUUGAAGGAUUGUUAUGGUGUUCAUAUUAUUCUUCAUCUCAUCUUACAACUUAAGACAACUAAAAGUGUAAUAUAGAUUCAAAAAGGUGAACCUACAAGUUGUAAAGUUGUUUGUGAGAAGACUUGAGCCUUCACUUGACUUGACAUCUACUUUUCAACCACUUUUCCUUGUUUCAAGGGAACAUGUUUUGUGAGAAUUGUACAAAGUCAAUUCUUGAAUUUUGAAUAUUAGGCUUAAAGGAGAUUCAAGACAUAUAAUUUCCCUCCAAAACCAAUUGUUUCCAUUAGAUAGUAACUAAAGUUUGUAAACUUCAACAAGUAACUAAUUGUGGGGCCGUGACCAAUGGUGUGCUUCCACAUCACCCAAGUUACUGUUCACAAGAAAAUUUUAAGCUCAAAUUGUGAUCUUUUAGUUUCAUUUUGUUGUCUCAUUAGUUUCGUUUGUUGAUUCCAAUACUAACUUACAAACUAGUGACAAUUUACUAAAUUGUGAGUUGGUUUUGAAACCAUUUUUUUCGUGUUUAUGUUUCUUUGUGUGUUUUUAUUCUUUUGAUUCAUUGUACACACUCGGUUCACCUCUCAACGUCUCAUAGAUUACAAGCAAACUUACAAUAAUUGUGAGAUCAAAAGUGAGAAAAUCUAAGGAACAAAGGAUUAAAGAGAGAGUAUGAGGACUAUUCUUUGAACAACUAACUUGUUUAUUGUUUUGUAGGUAACUUCUUGGCUACAAUGGACAACAAUGCUCUUGGUUCUAUCUUGGAAAGACUUGAAACUAUCAAUCGAGGAUGUCCUCAAUCCAAGGAGAGAUGUCUACUAUGAAUGAGAGAUUAGAUCGAAUGGAGAGUCGAAGGAACUCUCGUGCUUCUACUCCUCGACUCCAUGUUUCCUCAAGUGGUCAUGACCAAAACCCUUCCAUCACCAUUGACCCCGAGACUUUGCAUACAAAAGUCAACCCUUCAAGUUUACCACAAAAUGCCAUGAGCCAAGUUACUAAUUACCUUCAAAAUCGAGAACAAGGUAGAUCACUUCUCCCACAAGUUGAUCAAGUCCCACAAGAAUGACUUAGAGGCCCAUUCCCUCCCAUCCAAGAUCCACAACCGAAGCUCCACAUUACCAAAAUAGCCUCCUCAACUGAAACUCCACUUCCACAAAACUGAUAUGUCCAUAUAGAGGAGUAUGGAAGAAAGGGACAUGAAGUAUAUAAAGUCUACGAUGAUGCUUAUAUGAUGGAAGGAGACUUGAGUUAGAUAAGAUUGAAGCCAAGUCUCAAGAUGGAGAGGAAUCCGAGGUUCAAAAUAAAGAUGUUGGUCGAGACUUGUUCAUAUUGAGCUCUUGGGUUCUUCAUGUUUUUCGAACUAUUUUGAGUGCUUGUUUUUGAAGUGGCCAAUUGAACGAAGUGAAGCCGUGAAUUUGUGGGCAAAUUCUUCUUAAGAUGGAGAGGAUGAUACGAGAAUAAUCACGAAAAUAAACUUAUGUGGGUGUGAAUUGAAAGCAACCAAGUGUAUCUGCAAGAGAAGUGUAAUUAAAGACCCAAAUACACACCAAAAUAGCCCACUCCAUACACUAGAGGGGCAGCCCAUUCUUGAAGGGCCUUUUUGGUUAUUUUAACUUCUAUUUGUUUUUUAAUAUAUAAGGAACAUAUAGGGUUUUAUUUAAUUAGUUAAUAAAUGAAAUUGUAAGUCUUACAAGAUAAAGAAACACAAGUCCUCUUUCCUUGAGGCACCCAAAACCAAAAUUUGGGCUUAGACAAGUGUAGAAUCACUUGUGUUUGCAUUUGCUUAGGAACAUUGAUUCUGAGAGGUGGAUUCCGAUCUUGUGUCUUUGUAAGAGAUAUUUUUAUUAUUGUGUGUAAUUUUAAGGGUCCAAGAGUUACCAUUAUUGGGUUCUUAACAUUAUACCUUCAUGUGGUCUAUCUAUCUAUCCUUUUUCUUUUGUAAUCUUGUAUCCGUUUUGUAUCUUGUAUUGUGAAGUCAUUUUUGUUGUUCUUCUUCUUCUUCUCAUUCUUGUUUCAUCUUGUGUUGUUAACUUAGUUUGUUAUUGGCUGCAAAAGGUGUCAAACACCUAGUUAUAUUAUCCUUCUUGUAUUUUAUUUUUGAAUCCGAGAGUGGUCUUCAAAAGGGUCCUCAAUUCUUUGAAUUAGUGGACUAUUUUUGGAGUGUGUUUGGACUGUUUUGAGCCAAUUCCGCGUGUUUCUUGAUUUUCUUGUAUCAUGAUAGAAAUACUCCCUGAGGCCUCUAGGCCUAGUUAAAUGCAUCUUCACAUAGAGGAGAUCCUUGGAACCCCACACUUAUUUUAUGCCAUGAUCCUUAGUGCAAGAUUAUGGUACUCAGACUUCCCAUUAACCUGUGACUCAACCAAAAACAAAACUUUUUGAAAUAAAAACUAAAGACUGAAAAUUAAAAAGAAAAAAUACCUUAGUUUGGGUUGCCUCCCAAGAAACGCCUAAUUAAGUAUCGCGGCAUGACUUAAUCAUGUUUUUUCCUCCACCUUGAGGAUAUAAAUUUCACCCCCAACUUAGCAUCCAACUUUUUGCCUCGCUCAUAAGGAGGUGGUAUAAAGAUUAAGAAGCCGAGUAAUGGAUGAUGCAUGGUAAACAACUCGGUCUUAAAGUGAGGUGUGUUUUUAUGUUGCUUAUCAAGUAUAAAAUAAAGAAUAUAGGAUUCUUGUUCCUCAUCUUCAUACUCUUCCACUGUUUUAGAUGAUUCCACAGACAAGAUAUCAUCUAAAUAUAAUGUGGAAAAAUGUUUUGAGGGCAGCCCAACUAAUUCUACUUCAAAAUUUACACUAUCUACUACACACUCACUUUUAUUCACCUUUUCAAUGUCAGUCUCAAGAUCAAGAUGGCAAUCGAGUGGUUGCGAUUUUUGAGUUUUCUCCUCAAAUUGGCUAAUGUCCUCCACAUAUUCUUCUUUUUAUAGCCACUGUAAACAUGGUGGGAGUGUUAACUCCUUUAGCUCUGCCCACAACUGUUCUUGAUUUUCUAAAAUUUGUUUCAUCAAUUUGUUCGCUUGAAUCAUGACAGCACACAUAUCUUCAGCAUGAUCACUUUGACCACAAGCCAAACACCAAGUUACAGUAAGUAGGAGAGUAUCCGCAUCAUAUUGUGAAGGUUCCGUCCAUGCACUUCCAGGUAAAUCUAGACAAUAAGACUCAAAAUGUGGUCCCCUAUAAUAAUAAUAAGAAUCAUCACAAGAAUCAUCAUUACUCAAAAAACAUCUAUCCAGGAUGACAUCUCAAGAAAGGUGUGAGAAAAAUAAAAUAAAAGAAAAAAAAUAAACUAAACAAAUAUUUACAAGUUUGAAUUCAAGCAACUAAACUAAAAUUUCAAACCAACUCAAUACGCCAAAUUGUUCUCCGGCAACGGCGCCAUUUUUGAUAAUGCUCAAAUUACACUCUUGAAUGGGUGUAAGUGAUCGUUGUCAAUAUAAUAACCCAACUUUGGAGUCGGGGUCAAAUCCAUGAGGAACAAUGUGAGUGGUGAUUAAAAUACUUUGAUACUAUAGUUACAAGUUGAAUUUAAACAAAUGAUACGAAAAGAUAAAAUGGGAGGUUUUUAAUGAUUGAAUAAAAGUUACUAAUCACUUCAAUUUAACAAUGUUAUGGAAAACUAGAGUUAUGGUUACCAAGAUGCUUGAACAAAUAAGGUUGUGAAUUAUUUUAGAGUUCCAAUUGACAACUUCAAUUGCAAGAGUAGUUGAAUCCUAUUAUUUAUCCAAUUCGUCUCUUGACCUCAGCGGGUAGUUCAUUCGUUAAUUCUCUCGAACUUAAUGAAUGUGUUUUCUAUUCAACUAUGUUCUCAUGUAGGCAAAUCCAGUUAAGGCAUUUGUCAUUAAACUAAAGAUUAAAGUCUUUCGAUUCCAUGUAAACUCUUUCUUUUCCCACAUACAUUUUCCUCUCGAACAAGUGAAGUUCUUGGGCUCACCUUUCAAGUUGCAACUAAGAGAGAUUGUUACAUUGCUCAACAAGCACUUUCCUCUCGGACAAGUGAUUGUUUCAUUGAAGUAACCUAACAAGCACUUUUCUCUCAAACAAGUGAUGUUGUAGUGCUGACUCUACUAAGUUGCAGUGAAGAAAGAUCAUUAAAAUGAAGAAAGGUUUAUAUAAUAUCAAUUACUCAUGGAACUCAAGUAGAUUCACAACCCACACUAGUUAUUUACAUCAAGGCUCCCAUAACUCAAGCAAAUAAAAUUAGUUACUCAUGAUAUAAAAAUCAACAAAAUAUAUUGAAUUCAUAAUCAAAAGUAAGUAAAAAACCAUACCCAAAACAAAGCUUCAAAUGGAAGAUGUUUACAAAAAUGUUAAGAAGCCUAGAAGAGAGAUUUAUGUAUAUUUAUAUUUCUCGUGUAUUUUUCUUGCAUCCAGGCAUAGUUAGUUAUAUAGAUCUCAAUAUUCCCAUGUAUCCACCAAAUUUUGACCAAUACUUUCCAACCAGCAAGUUUGAAUACGCAGCCCCUCCAAAGUUGACUACUGUAUUGAUUGAAAUACGUAGUCCAUGACCCAUCUAGAUGAUCCACGCGCCUAUGUUCUGCAAAAUUGGGCCUCGUCUGAAUCGAUUGGUCUUUUGAAAAAGUCCAAUGGACUUUAAACUCUCCCACAACAGCCCAAUGCAUUUUUGGACUCCAACUGGAGUCAAUUUCUGCACUUUGGUUUCAUUGAGCCAUUCCGGGCCUUAUUGAGUUUUUUACACUUUAUUUGAAGCUUGUAUAUCCUUAAUAUAUCAUUAUUAUCCAUUAAAAAAGAAUACUAAAUCAUUAAACACCACAAAUUAGAGCUCAAAACAACACAACAUUCAAGAUGAUGAACUCAAAACACGAGCUAAGCAUAGGCUAAAUGCAUAUUGAGUUUAAGCUUAUUUUUUUGGCUCUUUUCUUGAUUCAAUUGAUCUAUGAACAUUAUAAAUAAGUUGUUUCACAUAUAAAUACAUAAUAAAAACCUUAGUAACUCGUUAAAAUACAUUAUAACCCAACACAAUAGACUAGACAAACGUCUAUCUCAAGCCAAUCACACUAGUUUUCUCGGUUGAACUAUAAAUAUUCAAAGUGAAUAAAAACUUAUCUAAAAACACCAUUAAGCAUUAUAAACCCAUAUUUGGACACAUGAAUGCUCAUUUAUGUCAUUAUAAGCACAUAUAUCAUAAGAAUCAUCCACAAAACAAGGAUAAAAAGGGCUACAAUAGUAAUGCUAGAAUGCAUAAAUACACCCAACAUCAGUCCUUAGUUGGAAAAUUUAAUACUUUCCAAUAUGAUGAUCCCUACCUUGUUGGGAUUCGAGAUCUAGCGCAGAAUGGCGGUGUUAAAUCUUUCACUAUUGAUAGUGAAGAUGUGUUACAUCGUCAUGGAAGAUUGUGUGUUCCUAUUGUGGGUGAUGUAAGGCAUCUAACUCUUGAUGAGGCUCAUAUCUCGAGAUACUUUAUCCAUCCUAGUGCUAUAAAAAUGUAUCAAGACUUGUGUGGAUUGUACUGGUGGAAAGGUAUGAAGGUUGAUAUUUUGAAAUAUUUGACUAGUUGUUUAAAUUGUCAGCAGGUCAAAUAUGAACAUCAAAAACCUGGUAGAACGAUGCAAAAAUUGAUUAUUCUAGAGUGGAAGUGGUAAAGGAUUACUAUGAAUUUUGUUUUUGGGUUUCCAAAUACUUUUAGGAAGCACGACUCAGUUUGGGUGAUAGUGGAUAGACUUAAAAAUCUACCCAUUUCAUACCAGUUUGGGUUACUUAUAGUGCAAAGCAGUUAGCAGAAAUUUACCUUUGGGAGAUAGUUCGUCUUCAUGGUGUGCCUAUCUCAAUCAUAUCUGAUCGAGGCUCACAGUUUACUACUGAGUACUGGUUAUCUUUUCAGAAAUCAUUGGGUUUGCAAGUUGAUUUGAGUACAGUUUUUCAUCUGUAGACCAACGGAUAGUCUGAACAAGUUAUUCAGAUCUUGGAGGACAUUCUUAGAGCUUGCCCUAUUGACUUUGGUGGCCAUUGGGAUGACCAGUUGCCUUUAGCAGAGUUUACUUAUAAUAAUAGCUACCAGUUGAGCAUCCAAAUGACACCAUAUGAGGCUCUAUAUGGUCGCAAGAGUCAUUCACCAGUUGGAUGGUUUGAGCUCGGUGAAACACAGUUAUUAGGUCCAGAUUUAGUUCAGCAAGCAUUGGACGAGGUUGUAGUAAUACGGGACCGACUUAAGACGUCACAAAGUAGGCAGAAGUCCUAUGCAAAUAAGAGGGUCCUUGAUUUGGAGUUUGAAAGGGGGGAGAAAGUUUUUUUGAAAGUUUCUCCCAUGAAAGGAGUUAUGAGAUUUGGCCGGAAAGGUAAGCUAAGUCCUAGAUACAUUGGUCCUUAUGAUAUUUUAGGCCGAAUUGGAUUAGUGGCAUGUAGGAUUACUUUACCUCUGAGAUUUUCUGCAGUUCAUCUUGUGUUUCACGUGUUGAUGCUUAGAAGAUGUGUUCGUGAUGAUAGUCAUAAUAUCCAUCCGGAGGAUGUAGAGCUUGAUGAGAAUCUGACUUAUGAGGAAAGCCCGAUAGCUAUUCUUGAUAGGCAAGUGCGACAGUUAAAAUCGAAAAAAAAUAGCUUCAAUCAAGGUAUUAUGGCGUAAUCAUCCAACCGAGGAGGCUACUUGAGAGUCUGGGGAGGAGAUGCGAGUUAGAUAUCCUCACUUAUUCGAUACUUCAGGUAUGAUUCGAUACCCAUUCGAGGACGAACGUUAUUUUAAGUGGGGGAGAAUGUAAUAACUCAGAUUUUUUAAUGAGGGGUAAAUGAGUAAUUUGGCCUAUUAUUAUUAUUAAUUAAGAUUAAUUAAGAGGAUUUAAUAAGAGUGGGCCCCAUCCACUCCCUUAUAUCAGUUUCACGCCUACAAGAAAGAAACGGAUGAGGAGUAGUAUAUUAGGGCAAUUGGCCCCUUAACUAUUGUGAGAAAAGAAAAGUUACGUAUUGGAUUAUUUUUGGUGGCUUACAGAAUAUUGUUGUUACUAUUUGGAGUGAUUUUAGCCUUCAGGUAAUGGUCUCACAAAUUCUUUAUCAUGCUAUAUCCACUAUAUCCACGUAUUAUGUCGAAUCUGUGUAAUAAGAGGUGAUAAUUUCUUUCUACUAAUCAGUUGAUCAUUCAAUAUUGGAGAUGCCAUGGAUAAUUAUCUACUACUGAAGUGAGGGAAUUAUUUUGUUAAUGUUGAAUAGGUACAGAAAAAAAGGGGAAAUAAAGAAGAAGCAUGAAACAAUAUAUAAUGUGUGCGUAGUUACUGCGUCAACUUGUUAUUGACUUACAGUGAUUAAUUAAUCACUAUGUUGAUUAAGAGUGAUUUUCUUUGGUCAUUAUUUUGGAAUUGUUUAGCAUGUAUGAGCCUCAAAAAGCUAUGGCAUUAAUUAGUUGUUCACCUGCUGGACUUGCCACUUUUGUUCUUUGUUUUUUUGUUUUGUUAAUGCUGGAAACGAUUAGUUCCCUUUUUGGCUUUAUGAUGGGUCGUCAUCAAGUAGCAGGGACUGAAUAAGGUUGAGCAAUGACCUGUUUUGGCAGCCUCCUUUGUUAGAUUAUUUUUAAAUUCAUGGGUUAAGAUGUGAGAUGUUAGGAGUUAGCUAUAAACUUAAAGGUUAGGGAUGUUGAGACUUGACCCCGAAUUGUAUAAUUGAUAUUGUUAUUUAAUAUUUUGUUUUAGAUUGAUCCUUUUGGUCGUUGUUGGUUGAUGUUCUACACAUUGCAAAGUUGAAAAACUUGUCUUUAGCGAGGUAAGUGAGACUUUAAGCUUUGAUUCUUGCUUUUCAAAUUUGCUUUAUAAAAAAUUAUAUUUUUCUGCCUAAUUCAUGUGUUGGGACAAGUGUGAACCUGGUAGAAUUUAUGAUCUUUGGCUAGAUAUGGAUAUUUAUUUGUGAAGUGUGUUGAGAAUUAUUUAGAGGUGAAAUGUGUGGUGAGGUUGGGACGUUGAAUAUAUUUUCUUCGCUGUCGUUAUAGUCUCUAAGGGCAUAUAUAGCUGCCGUAAUAUGUUAGGGGCAUUACUUAUGUUGCCGUAAUAUGCUAGGGGCUUGUACAUGCUGCCGCAGUAGACUUUGGGGCAUUAUAUAUGCUGCCGUGGACUUGUCGGGGUGCUAGGCCGAUCACCUUCACUGCCGUUUAUGACAAGUCGUGAGAGUGGAUUGAGUUGAGAUGUAGAGUGGCACUUUUGAACUUCAUCUUGGAUCUUAUUAACAUUACCUUAUGAGAGAUAUUAUGUAUAUAUUGUUUGUGUAUUUUUUUUGUACCUUCUAUUUUCUAAAACUUGUUCCAGGGGUAUUAAAGUGAUUGGUCGAGGAUCUUACUGGGUUAUAUUCAUAUAGCUCACUCUUUACUUGCAUACUUGCAGAUACGGUUGCAGAGAGAGAGACUUGCGGCUGACGGUCAUUACGAGUGGAUUCUGUUGCUAAGGUGAGCCUUCGCAUUAUUCGUGGAGGCUUUCAUCCAGCUUUAGCUAUUGUUAGCUUAUAUUUCUUUUGUUGGGCUUGCAUGCCCGAAAGCUGAACUCAUGUAACUUUGUUUAGAUGCUCCAUGGUCUAGUGUGGGGUUUGGGUUAGAGAUUUGUUACCUAAACUAUUGUUGUUCCUGUAAAUCACUAUGCGAUAUCUUGUUGGAUAAUUACUUUGCAUUUAAUGAUUAUUUCAUGCAUUUGAGAUUGCACACAUUCUUAUCUCAGUGUUGUAUACAUUGUGAACGUAUGGAAAAUUGAUUCUCCCGACAAGUGUUGUUAGCGGGAGCCAGUCACGCCCAAGAGGUAUUUUGGGACGUGACACAAACCGGUCAUCCUUAAUGACAUCCCAUAGCUUUGAAUCUUCAACCACGAUGAAGUCAUGCAUUCUUGUCUUCCACCACCUAUAGUAUUCCCUAUUGAAUCUUAAGGUCUAGUGGUUGACUGUCCUUCUUCUAGAUUUGGAGGAGCAGUCAUUUUCAAGAUCCUUCCAAGGUGUUAGCCUUCUUAUCGAAGAUCCGCUCUGAUACCAAAUGAAGAGUUGCAGGGGUCACUCCUCAACUCCAGAACUUGUUCCCAGAUGAACUCACAUAACAAAACUAGCAGAGAUAUAAGUUAUGAAGUGCAGGAAUAAAGUAAAUAUGUGACACAAAAAUUUUACGUGAAAAAUCCUUGCUCAAGGGAGAAAAACCACGACCUGCCUCUAGGAUUUCUAAAUUCCACUAUAUCCAAGCAACUUCUUGAAUACAGACACCAGAACUUCAGGAUUAAACUCUUAAUCCUUACUCUCUUAGUAAUAACUCUAUUACAAGAAAACAGUACAACAGCUCUACUCCACUCACACUCCAGCUAACUCUAACUGGAUACACCAAGCUAACUCUAGCUUGAAAAUUACCUAACUCUAGAUGAUUACAAUGAGAAGAAGUUUACACCACAACACCUUUUUCUUACCCACAACACCUACUAACAAUCAUAAGCAAAUGUAGGCAAACGUUUAAGAGCACAUUUACAAAGACUCAAAUACAACAAGGAAGUAAAAUAUAACUUGUUGAGCUAUCAGUUUCCUGUUACAAACUGAAGUCUUUUAUUUUAGCUUCAGAGUGAUAUUUAGUUGUAAGAAUAUGGAAGCAUUGGUUUUCUUAUUGAGGAAGAUGAGCAAUGUAUAGUAUGACAUAAAAAAACCUAAGAGAGAUCCCAUUGGCUGAUACAAAAAGGUAGCAACAGCUUUUCACCAAGUUUUGUACUUUGUGACAGCUGUGAUAGUGACAGGUGAACUCAACCUGUUCCCUAAGCGGUAACAACUUUGUCAUUACAUAAUCUCUGGAAACAAGUCCCAACACACAGUUUGUCAAUCAUCAAAACUAAGGACUUAACAGUUCUAGGUUUGGGGUGGCUCAUCUGAUUAGUUCAACUAUACAUCACAGUUGGAAACCCUCGCAAUUGUUCGGGAAUAGAACUUUGUGGGGAUUUACGUUGAAUAUUUAUUCAAUUUUGUCUGCCAUUUUGCAUCCAUUACAAUCAUAUAUGUAUGUUUUUCAUGAAAAUGACUUAUUGGAUUACCUUGGUGACUAGUGUAUCAAGGUUCUGGUAAGGGAGGUUAAUUAAGUAGAUGGUGGUUUAGAAUUUCUUAGAAAAUAAAUAGAACAUCAAGUUUGCAUUCAUUAUCACAAACAUAAAAUUGCACGACUUACCCUUCAAAUAGGCACUAUGGUCUUUAAUUUUUUCCCUUGAUUUUUUUUUUUUUUUUGGGUGUACCCUCACAAUUAAACUUGCGUCAAGUGGGACAUAAAUUCUUUUAGAAACUGAACCUAUACUGAGCACAACUUAUGGAAUACUAUGAUAUGAAAAUACAAAUUUAUGCCCAGCAAAAAAAGUGUUUUUGUUACCAGGGGGAAAAGCUAAAACUAACUUAUCACAAACUCUCCACAACAAUUGAUGGAGCCCAAACGUUAUAAAAAGCUAAACAAAUACACCAACUAAAGACAAGGGAAAGAAGUUAAGAAGCGAACAACUUUGAUAACAUUAAUAAAAGUGCUAUUAAUGUUCAAAUUCGAAGCCUGACUUUAGCGAUAUCUUGCAGUAAUAUAGUAUCGAUCAUUUGAAUGAUGCAUGUAGAUCAAUGUAUAGUGCCAAAUGACGUAAAGUAUCAUCUUAAAGUUUGCGCAUAAGCAGAGGAGCACCAUACUGAGGAUGAAUAGUCACUACAGCAAAUGGAGCAUGUGUAUAAGAUGGUGAUAGUUCAAAGGAGAAUUUCUGUAGAAUCAUUGCCAAUGCCAUUUUUGCUUCCAUCAUCGCAAAGUUUUGUCCGAUGCAAACACGGGGUCCCCAGCUAAAUGGGAUAAAUGAGACUUGUCCUUUGGUUGCCUUUGACACUCCUUCACUGAAUCUUUCUGGUUUGAAUUCCUUUGCGUCUUCACCCCAUACUUCCUUAUCAUAAUGUACUAGGAUGGCGGGUAUAAUAAGUAUUACUCCAGCUGGUAGAUUUAGAUCUCCCAAUUUGACUUCAUCACUAGUCCUUCUACCAAUUACUGGCAAUGGGGGGAAUAGCCUUAACGUCUCGUACAAGAUCAUUGUUACCUAAAGAAGAAAAGUAUUGUGUAAGCUGGUAGUAGAAUGAGGACACAAAGCAUACUCAUUAAAUGAUUGGAAUAAUUUAACUUGUGAAAAGUACUUACAAUUUUCAAGCGAUUUAAUCCUUCCAAAUCUGGUUUAUCAUUUCCAAAGAUAUGUAACACCUCUUCUCUGGCACGUACUUGCCACUCUGGAUGUAAGCACAGCAAAAUCAUUGUCCAAACGAGUAACACUAAAGUUGUCUCUUGUCCAGCAAAAUAGAAUAGUUUGCACUCGUCUACCACUUCUGAUAUAGUCAUUCCAAAAUCGUUUCUACCAUGAAGCUCAAUUUCUUUCAAAUUGGAUUAAAGUAAUAUGCCUAAUAAGUCAUCCUUACUAGUCUCCCCUCCUUCCAUUGCUCUCAAUCUUUUGUCGAUGAUAUGCCUAAUUGUUGUUUGGACUUGCUCUUCGAUUUCCAGCAUUCUUCUGUUCCUUUUAGUAGGCAAGAACCUAUAUAAAUAAAUUUAGGAGCAAACAAGAAAAGUCUUUUCAGUAGAAAGGCAGAACACAGUUUCUUUUGUAUAGGAGUAAUUUGUUAAGGGUGGGAAGUUUUCAUAUUUAACGGCAGAACGUUUUGAACAUAGAAAUGUGAUGUACAUAAGUUAUUGCACCUUGAUCCUGGUAUAUAAAUUGAUUGUCCUUUUUCAAUUACAUAUUCAGCUUGUUCUUUCUGAAGAUCAAAUACUGUUCUUCCUUCUUCAUAGCUACUCCCAAAUGCAGUUCGAGAUAUGACUUCACUGGUCAUUUUUUGAAGGUCUGGCCAUACAUCGUGCUCGAAUGAUGUUUCGUUUGGAACAAUCUCCUCCCAUUUGCUUAGCAUUUCACUACAACUCACGUAAAAUGCUGGUAGCAUAUGCUGUAAACAAAUGAAAAACCAGCAAAUGUUUGUUGUAAAUGGAUAUCUCCUUAAUGAUAAGGCAUCUCAAUAUGCAAUCUUACAUUCUUGUUACUCCCUCUUGAUUCAAUUUGUUGUCUUACUUCCCUUCUAAUUUUGUUUAAAGAAGAAUAUCAUUUUCUAUAUUUAGUAACUCUUUAAUUCCGAUAUGGCACAUGACAUGUUUAAUACUGGUGUGUACAUAGACCUUACCCAUAGCUUGUAGAGAGGUUGUUUAAGAAAGACCAUCAACUCAAGUAAAGCAAUUCAAAGAAGGUUUGAAGUAACAAGAAGAAAAUAUAAUGUAGGAAUAAUAAAGUAGAACCUUCAACUUCUCGACGUGGAAGGCAGGAUUGAUUAUGUUUCUGUGUUUGGCCCAUUUGUCUCCUUCAAUGUUUGCAAGACCUUGGGCCAAUAACUUGGUCAAUGGAUUGGGAUGAGUCUGCUUUAGAUACACAUAACUUUUUGUGAAAAUCUCCUUUACAUGAUCAGGAUUUGUGAUCAGCACAACUGGAUAUCGGCCUAGCCACACAAAAGAACUUUUACCUGCAAGUAAUCAUUUUUGGGUUAGAAAAAACUAAAAUCUGAGUCUUUGCUAUGCCUUAUUGUAAGUGAAAGUGGUGAUAGACUCUAUUAGGCAUUUUCUAGCAAGGAAUUUCAACAACAGAAUCACUAAUAGAGGUGUUUAGUGGACGGGUAUGGUUGAAUCUGGACGGGGCAAAAAUGGGAUAAGAUAAUAAAUGGGCAGGUUAUGGAAUGCAUUCCCUAUUAGAAAUAAUAUACCUUAGCCUAUUGUUUAUUACAUAUUGGGCCUGAUCUUUAAUGUUUGUAUCCGGCCCAUUUCCUUUAUCAAGUGUUAAGUAUAUGUAUGUGUGUAUUGAAGUAGUUGGACUGAUUUUUGACUCAUUUUUUCAGAUAUUUUGUUCAUGUAAUGAGAACUCAUCUUAUUCUCUCUUCUCUCUAGAACCUUCUCAUAAAUCUGGGUUUACAUUCAUGGUAUUUGAGAGCUUUCAGCUUCAUUCCAUGUUUUCAUGGUAUCAAAGCCUCGAGAUUCUGAGAGAUCUGCUUAUCAUAUUUUGAGCGGUGGUACCCUAGGUCAUUUUUUGCCAAUUAUUUCUGCGUGAUUUUGGUAUUUGCUGCGUGUAUUUUGUGGAUUUUUGUUUGUGGAGCUUCGAACAUGGCUGGUUUUCCCUUCGAUUGAAUUUUUUGUGGAUUGCAUUUAUUUCGGCAAUGUUGAACAAGGCUCACUUCUUCGAGUUUUGAAGAAGACCGGUAACCUCUCUCCUUGCAGAAUUAGGGUUUUUUUGUGUCUUAGUGGUCAAUUGAUUACGAGCAAUGGCUUCGACUUGCCACAAUUCUCUGUCUACUAGUGUCAGUACUAUUCCCCACACUCAUCCGUUGUAUCUUCACCCUUCCGACUAUCCCCGUAUGGUGCUUGUCACCACGCCGUUUAAUGGAACUGGUUAUGGUAGCUGGAGAAGGGGAAUGUUGAUUUCUCUCUCUGCUAAGAGGAAAUUAGGUUUUAUUGAUGGAAAGGUAGUCAAGCCCCUACCUACUGAUCCAUUUAUGAUGCCUGGGUUAUGUGUAACGAUAUGGUUAUUGCGUGGAUAUUGAAUAGCUUAGAUAAAGAGAUAGCUGAAACUGUGAUUCAUACAGAGACUGCUGGUGAUAUUUGGAAGGAAAUAGAAAAGAGAUAUGGUCAGGCUAGUGGCACGAAAGUGUUUCAAAUAAGAAAAGAGAUUUCUUCUAUAACUCAAGGAUCUUCUAGUAUAGCCUCAUAUUUUAAUAGAAUUAAAAGACUGUGGAAUGAAUUGAACAUUUCUAUUGCUUACCCUCCUUGCACUUGUGCAUGUAAGGAUCAAUGCGUGAAACUAGAACAAGAUCAAAGGGUUCACCAGUUUUUAGCUGGUUUAAAUGAGUCUUAUGCUGGAAUCAGGAGAAACAUAUUGAUGAUACUCCAUGCUCAUACGUGAUGAGCAACAGUCUGAACUUUAGGUCUCUAUUCCUGCAUUUGCUUCUGAGUCCACUUCCUUUGUUGCUAGUGUGCAAAGAUUUCCUCCUGGGGUUGCAGAUAUCCUCCUAAAUACCCUGCUGGUGGAGGGGGACAAAGAUACCUCAACAGGGUAAAUUUUGACUCCACCACCUGAUCUAAUUCUAAUAAUAAUGUCUCUUCUUCCAUAUUUUGCAAAUAUUGCAAGAAACCAGAACACCUCAUUGGAAAUUAUCGCAAGCUUCAUGGUUAUAAUGAAAAUCUGAAAAUAAUAAGAGCAAAUAUGGGGCUGGUAUGGCAAAUUGUGCACAGAAUGCAAUGUCUGCAGUGUCAUCCACUACAUCUUCUUCUGGGGCUAUUAAUUUCGAAGCUUCUCUCCAUGGUUCAGUAAAGAACAACAUGACCACAUCCUCUCCAUUCUUCAGCAAAAUAACAUACAAGAUUCUGGAUUGUGUGCUUCUACAAACUUUUCAGUGUGACUAGUCUGUCUGCCUAUAAUAUUUGUUGUUUUUUUGCAUGUCAUCUCUAUCAGAUGUAUGGCAAUCCCUGGAUUUUAGAUUUUUGGAGCUACAAAUCAUAUGACACCUCAUAGAAACCUCCUUAUAGAUGUAAAACCUCUUACCACUCCAUAUCUUAUAUCUUUACCAGAUGGAUAUAAAGUAAAAGUGACCUGUACAAGUUCUUUACCUUUAUACACUAAUAUGAUAUUACAUAAUGUUCUUUUGGUUCCUAGUUUUCAAUAUAACCUCAUUUCCCUGCACCAAUUACUUUUUUAAUUUGAUUGUGUUGCUCAUUUCAGUGUUACAUCAUGUGUUUUGCAGGACCAUUCUCUGAAGAGGCCACUGGAAGUUGGUAAGCUCUCCAAUGGACUAUACAUACUUUAGCUGAAUAGUUCCACUUAACAAGACAUUACUGAUGGUGCUCCUGAUGUUUCCUCCGCAGUUUCUUCUUCUGUUCCUUUUACUGCUGAUCCUGUUUCCACUCCCAAUGUAAAGUUUUUAGAACAUCCUUUACUGCAUGAUGAUAUUUUUAGUAAUGAAUGUACUGUAAAUAUUUUCUCUUUAAAUAAAACAGAGUUCAGUUUUGAUAAAUCUGUUCCACUUAUUGCUUCUGUUUCCAUUGAUAAUGUUCUUUUACCUACUUCUUUCCCAAAUACUGAUAUAACUACCUCAAACAUCUUUUGGCAUCAAUGUCAUAACCCGAACCGAGGCCCUGGCCGUGACGAGCAUCCCGAACUAUGAAGGCCCGGACACCCUUCUAACUUGAAAUCAUAUACACCAUUCAUACAUAAAUAAGGAAAGACGAAAAUUAUAGCAAGACGGAAUCAUGGUCGUAAAUCUGAUAUAAAUUUAGUAUUGAAGAAUGAAAUCCAAAACUAACUAGCAACAUUUGCAAACCGUCUACGAAAUCUCUACUACAUACUCUCUAAUACAGUCGGAAUGCUGGGACAAGGCCCCCAGUAGACCAAAACCGUAACCACUAAUAAUUGUCUAAAAAUAAAUAGGCCUUCCGGAAUAUAGAAGGCUCACCAACUGGAAACUGCAACUCUGUCUGAUGAAUUCUACUGCUUAUCUAGACCCCUAGACUGAGCCUCAGAACCUGAGAGGUAGGGGGGUCAAUACAAUGUACUGGUAUGCAAAGUAAUCCAAAAUAAAACUUUUAUAUAAGUAAAAUAGUGGAGAGCGAUAUGUUAAAACAUCCUGUAUAAAGAUUUCUCAAAACAUAUGGGCACUUUCUGAAAAUCACAAAUCAUUCUUGUCAAUGCAAUGUAUGAUCUUUGUAUUACUUUUGAGCUAGGUGGCACUCCCCUACAACUCUGAUAUUCUACGGGCUAUAUGGAAUCUGCCAUUGACUCAAUGGGGAAGCCCCCAACCCAAGUAUGCCGCAAGGGUUGGAGUCUCUAAUUCUGAUACGCCACACAACACUAGGCCAGCGUAAUAUAAUAUACCCGAAUCGGCAAAUCACUAUUUUGGGCAAUGAGUUAUCUGAAAUCGUGUCCUCUUCAGGGAACCACCUAACAUUUAUUUAUGCCCUAUUUUAGCCUUUUCUGAACAUGCAUCAUUCUAAAAUUCUAAAACAUGAAAGUCUGAUUUUUGUAUCAGUUUGUGUCUGUUAUGGAAUUAUCGGAGUUGGUAUCGUCAUACCUAGACUUGCAAGUUGAAAUUGUAAUCCAUAAUGCUUUAAGCAUAAUUCUUUCAUUAAAACUCAAUUCAAACCACCCAGCUUUGCAAAUAGUAUAAGAGAUUUCAUGUUCCGAAGCAUAAGUCAAAACUAUGCAAGAAUCAUUCAAACAUAUGGUGGUCAUGUGCUUUUGGCAAAAAUCAUGCACUCUUUCAUUAUAUGCAUAUUUUUAACAUUUAUCAACACAUCUACCCUCUCUUUUGAAAUCCAAAUCUUAAUCCAAAUAAUAACACAAUUCAAGACAUUCUAAACCAUGCUUUUCAAGGAUGCAUUCAAAACAAUCUAUAGCAUAUGAUAAGUAAAGGAAAAUCAAACAAGAGAGGGAUUUUUUACAUAAGUCAUGCUCUCAAUUAAAUCAUCAAACUUAAAACACAAGAAUACAUAUAUAUACAAUUUCAAAUCGAUGUAAGGGAAGGUCAAAAGACCAAAACAAUACCAUCAAGAUUUCCAAAACAUGAAUGUAUUCAUAAAUAUGAAAACCUUUUCUUAAAAUCAUGAUUUCUAUGCCCAUGAAAUUUUAGAAAAACCCCGCAUACCUUGAUUAUGAAGAAUAAGGGAUGCUCCUUGAAGCCUACGGUUUGGGUAUUUCAAAACUCUGAUAAAUUUCGAAAACUUACGGUUGAAUCUUGAGUUUCUUGGAGGAGAAGUAUAUGAACUAGUGUUUUGUUCUGAAGGAAAUCUUGAGAAUGUCGAAUAUUAUGCUUGUAGAGGUCUUAAUCUCCUGUUUGGACGUUUUAAGAGACUUGGAAAAAGUCCAAACUACCCUUGUUAACUUCUGAACGAAACUGGAAAAAUAUAAACUGGGAACCCAAUCUUAUGGGCCACCGCAACGCGCCACUAUCGCGGUGGCUCACUGGAAAUUGAUGAAUCGGAAUUUGGCCCACUCCGUGAUGUGCCACCAUAGCGGAGUCUCACUAGAAAUUGACCAUCAUCAUUUACACCCUCUACGUGAUGCGCCAAAGACAGGAAUGACGGUGUUUUACAACUAGGACUUAAAUUAACCAUAACUCCUUCACCAAGUGUCCGUUUUGGACGAUCUUAUGUCAGUAGAAAACUUAUUCGAUCACCUACAUGAUGAAAAGUUGAAAUCUAAGGAAUUCCACAGAGAAAUAAGUAUAAAUCAUUCUAGAAGCCAAUGCUUGAUACUUUAGGGACAAAAAUUUAGCUAGGAAAAACUUCGGGGCAUUACAAUAUCCCCCUUUGGAACAUUCGUCCCCGAAUGUUGACGCGGGACAUAGAUAAGCAUAAUUUCAAGGAUACUAAGGCAUAGAAAGAAUAAGGCAAGGAUUGUACCUUCCAUUGGAUCAAAAAGGUUUGGGUAUCUAGCUCUCAUGUCAACUUUUGAUUCCCAAGUUGCUUCUUCAAUUUUUUGGUUUCUCCACAACACUUUAACUGAGGCUGUCUCUUUGUUCCUAAAUCUUCGAACUUGGCGAUCCAAAAUUUCUACAGGUUUUUCUUCAUAGGAUAAGGAAUCUGUCACUUUGAUUUCUUUGACAGGCAACACUAAAGAAUGGUCUCUGAUGCACUUCUUCAACAUAGAUAUAUGAAAUACCGGAUGGACAGAACCCAAACUAGCAGGCAAAUCUAACUCAUAGGCAACUGCACCUACCCCUCUCAAAAUCUGAUAUGGUCCUAUAUAAUGAGGACUCAACUUACCUUUCUUCCCAAACCGCAUGACUCCCUUCAUAGGAGAAACUUUUAGAAACACCCAAUCUCCAACCUCAAACUUUAGAUCUCUUCUCCUAACAUCGGCGUAGGAUUUUUGAUGACUCUGAGCUGUCUUAAGUCGUUCUCUAAUGACUUUCACAUGCUCCAUUGCCUGAUGAACAAGAUCAAGCCCAAAUAUCUGCAUCUCACCUACUUCAUACCAUCCUAUCAGAGACCUACAUCUUUUCUCAUACAAUGCCUCAAAUGGUGCCAUCUUAAUACUCGAAUGGAAACUGUUAUUAUAUGCGAAAUCUAUCAAUGGAAAGUGCUCUACCCAACUACCUUUAAAAUCAAUCAUGCAGACCCUCAACAUAUCCUCAAGGGUUUGGAUGAUGCACUCAACUUGCCCGUCUGUCUGAGGGUGGAAAGUCGUGCUCAAAUUCACUUGGGUACCUAAACCCUUUUGAAACGAUCUCCAAAACUGAGAAGAAAACUGUGUACAUCGGUCAGAUAUGAUGGAUACAGGUGCCCCAUGCAAAUGAACUAUUUCUGCAAUGAAUAGCUUGGCAUAAUCCUCUCUCGAAUAAUUAGUCCUGGCAGGUAGAAAGUUAGCUGACUUGGUCAACCUAUCUACAAUUACCCAAAUGGAAUCAUACUGGUUUCGGGACCUCGGAAGUCCCGUAAUAAAGUCCAUAUUAAUCAUCUCCCACUUCCACAAAGGCAAAGCUAUCUCUUGAGAAGAAACACCUGGCCUCAUAUGUUCCACUUUAACUUGUUGACAAUUCAAAUACUUGGCAACAUAGUUAGCCACAUCACGCUUCAUAUUAGUCCACAAAUAAAUGGUUUUCAAAUCACGAUAUAUCUUAGUAGAGCCAGGGUGAACAACAUACCUCAAUGUGUGAGCUUCGUCAAGGAUUCUCUUCCUCAGACCAUCUACAUAUGGCACACACAACCUGCCCUGGUGUCUCAAAAUACCAUUACCACCAACUUUAAAUGAUAUUACCAUUUGUUGACCCACAUCUUUCUUGAUCUGCAUCAAGAUGGGAUCUUCAACCUGCUUCUCUUUAACUUCUGCACAAAGGGAAGAUUUAGCUGUCUCAUGAACAACUACUCCUCCAUCCUCAGAAUCCAAAAGUCGCACUCUUAGAAUUGCAAGUCGGUGGAUAUCCUUCACCAUAUCCCUUUAUUGUUUCCCUACAUGAGAAAGACUGUCCAUAGAUAACCUGCUAAGGGCGUCGGCUACCACAUUCGCCUUGCUCUGAUAAUAGUACAGGCUCAUGUCAUAGUCCUUUAAAAGUUCCAACCAUUGCAUCUGCCUGAGAUUCAAUUCUUUUUGCAAGAAAACAUACUGUAAAAUCUUGUGGUUAGUAAAUAUAACAAUAUGUACCCCAUACAAAUAGUGUCGCCAGAUCUUAAGUGCAAAAACCACAGCUGUUAACUCCAAGUCAUGAGUAGGGUAGUUCCGCUCAUGCACCUUCAACUGCCUAGAUACAUAAGCCAUUACCUUAUCGUGUUGCAUAAGAACACACCCAAGUCUAACUCGAGAUGCAUCACAAUAUACAACAAAACCUUCUGUACCCUCCGAAAGAGUUAAAAUAGGAGCAGUAGUCAACUUAUCUUUCAACUUCUCAAAACUAUUCUCAUAAGAGUCAGACCAUAAAAACUUCAUCUUUUUUUAAGUCAACUUAGUAAGUGGUGCAGCUAUGGAUGAAAAACUCUUUAUAAACCUUCUGUAAUAACCCGCCAAACCCAAGAAGCUCUGAAUAUCGGUUGGAGUCGUGGGUCUGGACCAUUUCCUCACUGCCUCAACCUUUUGGGGAUCAACCUUAAUCCCCUCACUAGACACAAUGUACCCCAAGAAAGAAAUAGUAUUUAACUAGAAUUCACACUUAGAGAACUUUGCAUACAACCUGUGAUCUUUGAGAGUCUGGAGGAUAAUUCGGAGGUGAUUGGCAUGGUCCUCCUCACUUUUGGAAUAAAUCAAGAUAUCAUCAAUAAAAACUAUGACAAACAAGUCUAGAAACUAGCAGAAGACCCUAUUCAUUAGGUCCAUGAAGGCUGCAGAGGCGUUAGUCAACCCAAAGGACAUGACUAGCAAUUCAUAAUGACCAUAUCUAGUUUGGAAAGCUGUCUUGUGAAUGUCUGACUCCCUAAAUUUCAAUUGAUGAUAUCCUGAUCAAAGGUCUAUUUUAGAAAAGUACUUGGCACCCUGAAGUUGGUCAAACAAAUCAUCAAUCCUAGGAAGUGGAUACUUAUUUUUGAUAGUGACCUUGUUUAACUGGUGAUAAUCUAUGCACAUACGCAGGGAACCAUCUUUCUUUCGCACGAAAAGUAUAGGUGCACCCCAGGGGAAAACACUAGGAUGGAUAAAACCUUUAUCUAGGAGGUCUGCUAGCUGCUCUUUCAACUCUUUCAACUCUGCUGGAUCCAUUCUAUAUGGCGAAAUAGAGAUGGGAUGGGUGUCUAGCAACACAUCUAUGCCAAAAUCUAUCUCCCUAUCAGGUGGUAUUCCUGGGAGUUCAUCUGGAAAGACUUUUGGGAAUUCAUUUACUACAGGGACAGACUGAAGAGGAAGACUUUCGGUGUUAGAAUCUUUAACCUAAAUAAAAUGGUACAAGAAACCUUUGGAAAUGAGUUUACGGGCCCUGAGAUAAGAUAUGAAGUGCCCUCUAGGAGCUAAAGAAUACCCUUCCCAUUUUAUUAUUGGCUCAUUCAGAAAAUAAAAAGUAACCUUUAGGGUUCUACAAUCUAGUGUGGCAUAACACGAAUGGAGCUAGUCCAUCCCUAGGAUAGCAUUAAAAUCAACCAUAUCAAGCUCUAUGAGAUCGGCCACAGUAUCCCGGCUAAGAAUAGACACAACACAAUUUUUAUUUAUCUUCUUAGCCAUAACAAAAUCACCCUCCAGAGUGGAAACAGCGAAAGGGUCAGUAAUGACUUCGGGCUCAAACCUAAAACCAACAGCCACAUAUGGGUCACAUAAGACAAGGUAGACCCAGGAUUAAGUAACACCUAAACAUCAUGGGAAAAGAUUCGUAACAUACCGGUGACAACAUCAGGUGAGACCUCUGCCUCCUAGCGGUUAGUCAAAGCGGACAACCGGUUGCGACCGCUUUCGGUAGAUAAAGUAGCGCCCUUUUGAGGCGGUGGUGGUGCGGAAGAAUUUUCCUGAGAUUUUGCACCACCAACAUUCCUUCUAGCAGAUAGACAAUCCCUCUGUAAGUGACUCGGCUAACCACAUGAAUAACAUACAAAUGCGCCCCACUGACACCUUCUUGGACGAUUCCUACCACAAGUCUCACACCGGGGAAAAGUAUGAUACGGCGGAGCCACACUACCCUGUGACUGAGUAUCCUGAGCUCUAGAUCCCUGAUUAGUCUGGAAACUCUGAGAUCUUCUAUCAACUGGAGGUCUGGACGCUGGGGCGCUGCCUGCAGAUUGUGCAUUACCCCAACUCUUCUUCUUCUGCCAUUUAUUACCCAACUUACCACUUUGCGGCUGACUGUGAUGUUGAUUUGCUGUUCUGGCUCUUUGUGCCUGCCUGUCUUUCUCUCUAGACUCAGCAAUUUUCUUUUCUUUUCUUCUACUUGUUGCAUAUGGACUGACAGCCUAGCAAAGUCUAUAUCCCUAUUUAGCAUCGCCCCUUGACAUUUAAGCACUAGAUCAUCUAAAAGGCCGGAUGUAAACUUCCUCAUUCAGGCUCUCAUAUUGCUAGUCAUCUCUGGUGCUUAACGGGCUAAUUGGUUAAACUUCAAAGUGUACUCCUGGACAUUCAUAUUUUCCUGCUUCAGAUUCAUAAACUCCUCAGCUUUGGCCUCCCUCAACUCUAGAGAAAAGAAUCGAUUAAGGAAGGCUUCCACAAAUUCACCCCAAACUGUGGGCUCAGCACUCUCUUCCUUCGCAUCCUUCCACUCGUUAUACCACUGAUUUGCCAUAUCCUUGAGCUGAUAAGUUGCCAACUCCAGCCCUUCUAUUUCCUCCACAUGCAUCACCUUAAAGAUCUUCUCCAUCUCAUCCACAAACUCCUGUGGAUCUUCUUCUGCCUUGGUGCCAGUAAACUUGGGUGGGUUCAUUCUCAUGAACUGACCCACCCUAGUAGCCUCAGAUGUAACAGAAUUAAAAAUAUCUCUCUGAGAAGUCGGGGGACGGUUAACAUUGGUCUGUGGAGUCUGAGGUGGACUGGUCGGUACUGGAGGUACUCUCGGAGUAUGAACAGGUUCUGGGGUGAGAGCUCUAUUACGGGUCCACAUCCUGUGAGUGGGACAGACCUCAUCUGUCUGUGCAUUCUGAUCGAUAGUGCGACGAGGAGGCAUGAUCGAUUUUUUUCUGGAUAGCAAGAGAGCAUUGAUUAGAGGCAGAUUAGACUCCAAAGCACAUACUAGAUCAUAAAGAGGGGAAACAUUCCUAAACGCCUAGUAGCCCCCUGCUUAUAAGUGUGGUGCACUACACACCCAUAAAUAAGACUCUACCCAACGUGAUUUCGCAGACACCCUGGGAUCAUGAACCAUGCUCUGAUACCAAGUUUGUCACGACCCAAAUCGAGGUCCUGGCCGUGAUGAGCAUCCCGAACCAUGAAGGCCCGGACACCCUUCUAACUUGAAAUCAUAUACACCAUUCAUACAUAAAUAAGAAAACACAAAAAUUAUAGCAAGACAGAAUCAUGGUCAUAAAUCUGAUAUGAAUUUAGCAUUGAAGAACGAAAUACAAAACUAACUAGCAACAUCUAAAAAUCGUCUAUGAAAUCUCUACUACAUACUCUCUAACAUAGUCUAAAUGCUGGGACAAGGCCCCAAUAGACCAAAACCGUAACCACUAAUAAUUGUCUGAAAAUAAACAGGCCUUCCAAAAUAUAGGAGGCUCACCAACUGGACACUGCAACUUUGUCUGAUGAAUUCUACUGCUUAUCUGAACCCCUAAACUGAGCCUCAUAACCUAAGAGGUAGGGAGAGGGGGUUCAAUACAAUGUAUUGGUAUGCAAAGUGAUCCAAAAUAAAACUUUUAUAUAAGUAAAAUAGUAGAGAGCGAUAUGUUAAAACAUCCUGCAUAAACAGUUCUCAAAACACAUGGGCCCUUUCUGAAAAUCAUAAAUCAUUCUUAUCAAUGCAAUGUCUGAUCUUUGUAUUACUUCUGAGCUAGGUGGCACUCCCCUACAACUCUGAUAUUCCACGGGCUAUAUGGAAUCCUCUAUUGAAUCGGCGGGAAAGCCCCCAACCCAAGUAUACUGCAAGGGUUAGAGUCUCUGAUUCUGAUACACCACACGGCACUAGGCCAGCGUAAUAUAAUAUACCCGAAUCGGCAAAUCACAAUUUUGGAAAAUGAGUUAUCUGAACUCGAUCCCUCUUCAGAGAACCACCUAACCUCUCUUUAUGCCCUAUUUUAGCAUUUUUUGAACAUACAUUAUUCUGAAAUUCUAAAACAUGAAAGUCUAAUUUUUGUAUCAGUCUGUAUCUGUUAUGGCAUUGUCUGAGUUGAUAUCGUCAUACCAAGACUUGCAAGUCAAAAUUCUAAGCCAUAAUGCUUUAAGCAUAAUUCUUUCAUUAAAACUCAAUUUAGACCACCCAGCUUUGCAAAUAGUAUAAGAGAUUUCAUGUUCCGAAGCAUAAGUCAAAACUAUGCAAGAAUCCUUCAAACAUAUGGUGGUCAUGUGCUUUUGCAAAAUAUCAUGCACUCUUUCAUUAUAUGUAUAUUUUUAACAUUUAUCAACACAUCUACCCUCUCUUUUGAAAUCCAAAUCUUAAUCCAAAUCAUAACACAAUUCAAGACAUUCUAAACCAUGUUUUUCAAGGAUGUAUUCAAAACAAUCUAUAGCAUAUGAUAAGUAAAGGAAAAUCAAAUAAGAGAGGGAUUUUUACAUAAGUAAUGCUCUCAAUUAAAUUAUCAACCUUAAAACACAAGAUUUCUAAAACAUGAAUGUAUUCAUAAAUCUGAAAACCCCUUUCUUAAAACCAUGAUUUCUAUACCCAUGAGAUUUUAGGAAAACCCCGCGUACCUCGAUUAUGAAGAAUAAGGGCUUCUCCUUGAAGCCUAUGGUUUGGGGAUUCCAAAACUCUAAUAAAUUUCGAAAACCUACGGUUGAAUCUUGAGUUUCUUAGAGGAGAAGUAUAUGAACUAGGGUUUUUGUAUUUGAAGAAAAUCUUGAGAAUGACGAAUAUUAUGCUUUUAGAGGUCUUAAUCUCCUAUUUGGACCUUUUAAGAGACCUGGAAAAAGUCCAAACUACCCUUGUUAACUUCUGAACAAAACUGGAAAAAUUUAAACUGGGAAUCUGAUCUUAUGGGCCACCGCAACGCGCCACUAUCGCAGUGGCUCACUGAAAAUUGACGAAUGGGAAUUUGGCCCACUCCGUGAUGUGCCACCAUUGCGAAGUCUCACUGAAAAUUGACCAUCUUCAUUUACACCCGCUCCGCGAUGCGCCAAAGAUAGGAAUUAUGGUGUUUUACAACUAGGACUUAAAUUAACCAUAACUCCUUCACCGAGUGUCUGUUUUGGACGAAUCUUAUGUCGGCGGAAAACUUAUUUGAUCACCUAAGUAAUGAAAAGUUGAAAUCUAAGGAAUUCCACAUGAAAAUAAGUAUAAAUCAUUCUAGAAGUCAAUGCUUGAUACUUUAGGGACAAAAAAUUAGCUAGGAAAAACUUCGGGGUGUUACAAUCAAAGAUUGGGACAUAUACCUUUUUCCAAAAUAAAAUCCAUAAGAUACUUAAAGUCUUUGCUACCACCCAAACAAACUUUCACCUGCGGUAUUUGUCUUAUGGCAAGGCAACAAAGGCUGCCUUUGGGGUCCUUACCACACUCAAACAUAUAAUGGAUAUAGGUAUUUUUUAACCAUUAUUGAUGACUAUACCAGAUGUACUUGGACUCAUUUUUUAUCUACCAAGUCCAAUGCCUUUACCUUAAUCAAAUCUUUCUUUUUUUAUGUGCUGAAUCAGUUUCAUAUUUCCAUUCAAAAUAUUAGAUCUGAUAAUGCUUUUGAGUUGGGGUCUAGUUUUGAGGAAAUUAAAUUCUUUUUUGAUCAUGGUAUAUUUCAUCAAACCUCUUGUUCUCAGACACCACAACAAAAUGGUGUUGUAGAAAGAAAACACAGACAUUUACUUGAAACUUCUAGGGCCCUAAUUUUUCAAUCCAAACAUCCUCUUAAAUAUUGGGGUGAAUGUAUUUUGGCUGCCACUUAUCUAAUAAAUAGAUUUCCUUCCCCUUUAUUGCACAAUAAAACUCCUUUUGAACUUUUACACGGAUCUGUUCCCUUUUAUGGUCAUCUUAGAUGCUUUGGCUGCUUGUGUUAUGCUGCAGUUCCCAUUUCUCAAAGGGACAAAUUAUCCUCUAGAUCAAUUCCUUCAGUGUUUCUUAGAUAUCCUACUGGAAAAAAAGCUACAAACUUCUUUCCUUAUCAUCUCAUAAAUUUUUUUUCCAAAGAUGUUAUUUUCAAUGAAUACAUUUUUCCUUAUGCAUCUCUUCCUUCCUCUACUCUAUUUCCUUCCACUUCUGUUCUUGUAGUUGCAAAUUAUUCUACGCCUAUGUCUUCAUCUUCUCCUUCUCCAACUAUACUUUGUUGAUCUACUAGGUCCAUCACCACACCUUCCUACCUCAAUGAUUAUGUAUGCUCCUUUAUUUCUACCUCCAAUAUGGCAUCCACUCCUGUUGAGAUUGCUAUGAAUGAACCUCAAUCUUAUAGACAGGUUGCUGUCCAUCCUGAGUGACAGGCUGUAAUGUUAAAAGAGUUUCAAGCUUUGGAGUCUAAUAGGACUUGAGAUAUUGUGCCCCUGUCACCCGGUAAGAGGGCCAUUUCUUCUAAAUAGGUAUAUGAGAUUAAACAGCAAGAUGAUGGCUCCAUUGAAUGCUAUAAAGCUCGUUUGUUCAUAGGGGGUACCCAACAAAAAGGUGUCGAUUAUUUUGAAACCUUUUCUCCGGUUGUUAAAAUGACCACGAUAAAAAUGUUUGUUGGUUGUUGCUGUUAAGAAACAUUGGAAAAUUUUCCAACUUGAUGUGAAUAAUGUUUUCUUACAUGGGGAUCUAGAUGAAAAGGUUUAUAUGAAAAUCCCACAAGGCUUAGAAGUGCCUGACUCUGUCUCUGGCCAUUUGGUGUGUAAGUUACGUAAAUCUUUGUAUGGACUCAAACAAGCCUCUAGACAAUGGUAUGCGAAAUUUUCUUCAGCUUUGUUGUCCCGUGGUUAUGUUUUCAGUGUCAAUAAUUACUCUAUUUUUAAGAAAGUUUCUGGUGCUUUCAUUGCUAUUAUGGUUGUUUAUGUUGAUGACAUUUUGUUAGUUGGGGAUGAUGUUGUUAAGCUUAAUUCCCUUAAAUUGUUUCUUGAUGAAAGUUUUAAGAGGACUUGGGUGAGGCCCAUUAUUUUCUGGGAUUGGAGAUACUUCGCAAACCUACUGGACUGUUGGUUACUCAAUGGAAAUUUGUUUCUGAUUUACUUUCAGAAUUUCAUUGUUCUACUGUUACACCUGUUGUUAUCCCCUUGGAGUUGUAUGGUAAACUUUCUGCUGAUUCUGGUGUCCCUUGUUCUGACCCAAGUUAAUAUAGAAAGUUUGUGGGCAAGUUGAAUUUUCUACAACACACUCGUCCUGACAUAUCUUUUGAGGUUCAACACCUUAGUCAAUUUAUGCAUUGUCCUCGCUUACUGUAUUUUGAGGCUGGUUUACAUGUUCUUCAAUAUAUGGCUGGUGCUCCUGGAUUGGGUAUUUUUUUUAAUGAUUCUCCAGACUUCUCUCUCAUUGGUUACUGUGAUUCGGACUGGGUUGGUUGUUCCCAAACCAGACGCUCCAUCUUUGGUUUUUAUGUGUUUUUGGGUGGCUCUUCGAUUUCCUGGAAGUCCAAGAAACAACCUACUAUUGCUCUUUCUUCAGCUGAAGCUGAAUAUCGAGCUCUUCGAAAAAUUGUAGCUAAAAUUUCCUGGCUUGUUCGCUUACUUGGUGAUUUUAGUUUGGGUAAUAUUUGUCCUAUAGAUGUGUUUUGCGAUAAUCAGGCUGCUUUUCGUGUAGCCAAGAAUCCCGUGUUUCAUGAACGUACGAAGCACAUAGAGGUAGACUGCCAUUUUGUUCGGGUGGCUCUUACUGCUGGGCUGAUUUCUUUGCAAUAUGUUCCCACUGCUCUACAACUGGCUGAUAUUCUUAUGAAGCCCUUGACUGGUGUUCAACACAACAACUUGCUUUCCAAGCUGGGACUGGUUUCCAUCUCGCCGGGGGAUAUUAGAAAUAAUAUAGUUGGGCUUCAGCCUCCUUAGCCUAUUGUUUAUUACAUAGUGGGCCUGAUCUUUAAUGUUUGUAUCCGGUCCAUUUCCUUUAUCAAGUGUUAAGUAUAUGUAUGUGUGUAUUGAAGUAGUUGGACUGUUUUUUGACUCAUUUUCAUGUAAUUAAAACUCAUCUUCUUCUCUCCUCUCUAGAACCUUCUCAUAAAUCUGGGUUUACAUUCAUGGUAUUUGAGAGCUUUCAGCUUCAUUCCAUGUUUUCACCCCCCACCCCCCAACCAAAAAAAAAAGUUAUUUGAGCUAAACUGGAUUAGGUUGAAUGGACUAAAAUGUGGGUCAUAACAACAUACAGUCAAUUCUUAUUAAGUUUUAAUUGCUCUAUUUAGUCUUUUAUAAAGUUUAAAUGCUUAAUAAAUUCUUUUUUUUCCUUCACUAUUAAUAUUUAUAAUAUAUCAAAUAAUUAUUUUUUAAAAUAUUUUGACAAUAUUUUUCAUAAACCAAUUUUGGUUACAUCUGUUCAAUUCUUAAUAGGCUGAAAUAGGUUGAACUAAAGAAUGAGUGUAUCAAUAACCCAUCCAAACUUAAAUGGUUUGACGGAUUGGAUUGGAUUGGAUUUUGCCGCCUCUAGUUACUUAUGAAAGCAAAUAAGGAAUGGGCUCUUCACAACUUAAAUCAAAAGUUCAUUCAGGCAUUUUACCAAUGCCGAACAGUAUACACAUCUAGUCACAACAAUCUCAUCUCUAUAUAUACUAAUUAAUACAUAUUCCGUAAAAAGUCUUAAUCAGUAAUAUGAUGUAUAACUGCUACAUUUUUAAAAAGAAUGUGUUCAUGAUUUUUAUCACUACUCUUUUCACUUACUAUUCAACAAUGUUUAUCAUCAUACCUAGAUCAGUACCACCAUUACUAUCAAUCAUCUCUAUCUAUCUCUCUCUCUAUAUAUAUAUGUCAUUAGCUUCUUAAAUUACCCUCAAACUUUCAAUUUGUUUUUGUUUUUGCAUUGGCACGGAGUUUAAGAAAUUUAAAAAAAGACUUUUAAAUUUGCACAGAGGGUGUGGCCUAGUGGUAAAUGAAGUGGUUGGGAGUCAAGAGACCAGGUUCAAAUAUCAAUGGAGAAAAAAUACUUGGUGAUUUUUUUUCAUUUGUCAUAGCAUUGGUGGACAAAGCUAAUUAAUGUUGGUGUAUAUGCAUUUUAUUAUUAAAUUAAUAUAUUAAGUGAAUAUGUUAAUAGUUAUAAAUUGUGUAUUAUGAGUAUUAUUACUUACAUAUGUUAGUGGAAGAAUGUGGUCAUAAGUUUUCUUGAAACUCCUAUAACCACUAAGCUUUAUUGCCCAUUAUUCAUCCCUUUAUGUCUUAUAACUCUUGUAACAUAUGUAACCUCAAAGAUAUUCAUCUACCUGCAUUACUACCCCUCAUUUAUCCUAUUCAAUACAUUUACUACCCCUCAUUCAUCCUAUUCAAUACAUGGAAGAAUUCAUCACCUAUAAAUAGUUGUGUUUCUUCCUUUGAUGUGUAGAAGAAAAAAAUGUGAAGUGAAAGAGAGACUUGAGACAAAGAAAAUAUUUUAAGUCUUUAACUAUAUUCACUAUACAAAGAGAGUAAAUAUAUGUUGAAGGAAAGUGUUCUUAUGGUGGAGUUUUGGACUCUUCAACUAAUCCGGGGUUGUUUGAGUUAUACAUCGUUGAUGGGCUGUUGUAUCCUGGAGGGGACAAGUCACGAGAUAUACUGUUGGAUCGGUGUAGAUUAUGCCGCAGUGGACUUGAAUCUCCUUAAAGAAAGUGAGAUAUUCGCGCCUCAGCCAAGAAGAAGAUUAUUUUAUUUUCUUUACUUUUGUUCAUUUUAUUUUCAACUGUAAUGAUUAUUGUAAUUGUGGUAUAUUACACCAAUAAUUUUAAGGAGAUUCAUGUUUUGUUACAGCUUAAAAAAAUGCGGAUAUCAAAAUGGAGAUCUCAACAUCUCAACAUCAAUAGUCUCUUCAAGAGAUGAAAGGGAAGAGAUGAAGAGUAAAACAUUUUAUACUUCCUCAACUCAAGCGACUGAAAGGUAAAAUUUUUCUACUUGUUGUGGAAGAAAGGUAAAAAAAUCUUCUACCUAAUUUUUUAAUAAAAAAAUGAUACUACUUCUCAUGAUCAUAAAGUGGUUUUCAAAAUCUUGAAAUAGUGGGGGCUAAUGAAAUGAGAAAAAAUCACCACAAAAUUGUGACAUUUGCACUUUUGAGAAUGAGUUAAAAAAAAGUGCUAUAAGUGCAUAAUUAUUGUUGGAGUAAAUUACAUGUCAUUAUUAAUUUGCAUAUGACUUGAUGUCUUUAUAUUUGGCUCUAACAUGUUAUCAAAGAAAGAAUAAAAAAUAUGGAGUAGCCAUUUGACAUUAAAUAUUUGGGUGAGAUAAAUUUCAUUCUUGGAAUGAAAAAAUACCUAAAUUAUCUGAUGAACUUUUCUUUGACAUGUCACAUUAUGGUGCAAAAAAAAAAUUGUGAAAUACAUUUUGUUGAUCAUAUGAGCCAUGUAACUUCUUUUGAUUCAAAUAUGUGAAAGUAGUGUGAUAAAUAAAAAAGUAGUUUACUAGCCCAAUAAAAUAUGAGAUAUGUAGCUAGUUGCACUUGGCAUGAAAUUAUGUAAAAGUACUUAAACAAGCAAAUCAAGUAUAUUUACUUGGUUAAAAAAAGGGUUGUGGCUUGUUGUACUUAAAAGUGUUUUUGAUGCAAAAUGAGAAAAAAAUAACUUGGUGCUAUUCACUAAUGAGAAAUAAAUUAUGAUUUGCUAACUCAUUAUGGAGGUUGAACUAACUAUUUUUGCUUCAACUAGUGAAAAAGUGAAUUGAUCAAUCACUUUAUGUUGAGAAAUUAAUUUCUCUAAUUUUGAGUUAUAUGAUAGAACUAAAAAUUUAUUGAUAGAGAGUAAAUCAUUUUUAUAACGGUAAAUUCAGAUUAUAAGGAAAAAAGUACAAUUUUGUGAGAUCAUAUUGAUCAAUGGUAUACCAAUAUUAAUUAUGUUAACUUUGUGAUAAUCUUGUAGAUUCAAAACUAAGGCCUUAGCAAGAAAAUGGUCUGAAUCACAUUGAGGGGAGGAAAGAAGCCUAUAAAAAAAUCAUGAGUCGUAUAUGAGGAAACUCAACCUGGGACUAGAGAUCCUAUAACCAGGUUCUAUGGGAAGAACGAAUCAUAUGAUGACUUGAUGUGGGAUACACUGUUAUUUAAUCCUUCCUAUGAUGUGAGUGCAUUAACUUGUAAUGUGAGUGAGGUUGAGUUUAAAAUAACUCCUAAUGAAAAUCAGUAGCCUGUAUGAGUAGGGUGCUAAAUUACAGGAUCACUCUUGACGGAUUUCACCUAUGUGAGCGUGGAAGUAGGUCAUUCCUAUGAGAAUGAGGCUUAUUUUUAAAAAUGCUCAUGAAAAAUCGGGAUAGCACAUGGCCAUAAUGUGCUGGCUAUUAAAACUUAUGUCAAUACCUUGACUAUUGUGUGUAGGCAGUGAUAUUUUAUUUCCCCUAAGCAGUCAUAGUUCAAGUCUGAGACCACUACUGACUUUGGAGUAAAGGUUACUGUUUUACUAAGUGGAGGUUCACUGCAGAGCACACCUUUCUUAUGCAUAAUAGUCUACCUUCAACUAAUUUGGUGAAAUGCUCUCUUAAUUUAAUUUUAAAAUGAGUGAAGGAAUGUUGGUGUAUAUGCAUUUUAUUAUUAAAUUAAUAUAUUAAGUACAUAUGUUAGUGGGUAUAAAUUGUGUAUUAUGAGUAUUAUUACUUACAUAUUAUAACACCCCGCAUUUCGGGUUAGAAUAAAAACCAUGACUCUGAUGCGUUGAUAAUUCCAGAGCCUUAAAUCCUAUGCCAAUUUGGCAUGUUUAUGUAGUAUGUGAAUCCAUUUGAGCAUGAAUUUAGACCAUAGAGGUCCUUCAACUCAAGGACUAUUUCGAUCGAUUAAGUUUUAGUGGAUGUUGUAACUUGUGUCAGCUUCCAUCGAUCAUAACUCUCUAUAUAUGUCGAAUUAGAGAGCCUACUAUGUGUCAAAUGAUAGGUCUUCGAGUUAACUUUUCAAUGAUACCAAUUUUGCUAAAAUCCGACACCCGAGCAAGAAGUUAUGGCCUUUCAAAGUAGUAUGCAUCUCCUAACCAAUCGCACAUGGCCACUGGAAAGCAUAUGCGAUAGCAUAUGCGGCGCAUAUGUAAAUAUAGGCGAUAUCAUAUGUGGCGCCUAUGUAAAUAUAGGCGAUAUCAUAUGCGGNNNNNNNNNNNNNNNNNNNNNNNNNNNNNNNNNNNNNNNNNNNNNNNNNNNNNNNNNNNNNNNNNNNNNNNNNNNNNNNNNNNNNNNNNNNNNNNNNNNNNNNNNNNNNNNNNNNNNNNNNNNNNNNNNNNNNNNNNNNNNNNNNNNNNNNNNNNNNNNNNNNNNNNNNNNNNNNNNNNNNNNNNNNNNNNNNNNNNNNNNNNNNNNNNNNNNNNNNNNNNNNNNNNNNNNNNNNNNNNNNNNNNNNNNNNNNNNNNNNNNNNNNNNNNNNNNNNNNNNNNNNNNNNNNNNNNNNNNNNNNNNNNNNNNNNNNNNNNNNNNNNNNNNNNNNNNNNNNNNNNNNNNNNNNNNNNNNNNNNNNNNNNNNNNNNNNNNNNNNNNNNNNNNNNNNNNNNNNNNNNNNNNNNNNNNNNNNNNNNNNNNNNNNNNNNNNNNNNNNNNNNNNNNNNNNNNNNNNNNNNNNNNNNNNNNNNNNNNNNNNNNNNNNNNNNNNNNNNNNNNNNNNNNNNNNNNNNNNNNNNNNNNNNNNNNNNNNNNNNNNNCACUAAAGAGGGAAUCUAGCAUGAAUGUUUAAUGUUCAUAAUGCAUGUAAUGAAAGAGUGCAUGGAUUUGCUAAAGGCACUAGACCACCAUAUGUUGAUGAAGUUUUUGCAUGAUUUUGACUUGAGUUUCGAAACACGAAAUCUUCUAUAUCAAUUGCAUGUUUUUGGUGUUCUAAAUUAUGUUUUAAAUGAAAGAUUUAGCUUAAUGUAUUAUGGCUCAGAAAUCAUGACUUGCAAGUCUUGGUAUGACGAUACCAAUUCAGACCAAUGCCAUAUCAGACUCAGACUAAUAGACAUUUCAGACUAUCAUGAUUUUAGACAUUCAGAAUGUUGCAUGUACAGGAAAAUUUAAAAAUGAUCAUACAGAGAUGUUAGGUGGUUCCCUGAAGAGGGAUUGAGUUCAAGCAACUCAUUGCCUAAAAUCGUGAUUUAUCGAUCCGAGUAUAUUAUUAUACGCUGACUUAAGUGUCGUGUGGCGUAUCAGAUUCAGGAACUCCAACCUUUGCGGCAUACUCGGGUUGGAGGCUUCCCCACCGAGUCAAUGGCGGAUUCCAUAUCGGUCGUGGAAUAGCAGACUUGUAGGGGAUACCACCUAACUCAGAAGUAAUACACAGAUCAGAGUUUGAAAUUUAAAGACAGGUUACAUAUUUUCAGAAGGUGCCCAUGUCUUUUUCAGAAACUGUUUUAUGCAUAAUGUUUGAUGAAAAUUUACUCUCACGUAAUAUAUAUAUAUAUAUAUGUUCAAUUACUCUAUUUUGGAUUGCUUCGCAUGCCAAUACAAUUGUGCUGACUCCCCCUUCCUCCCAGGUACUGAGGCGCAGUCUAGUAGAGUCUAUAGACAGGGUUGUCUCAGAGUUCAGUUGGUGAGCCUUCUUUGCUUCGAAAAGCUAUUUCAGUAUGGUUUUUGGUCUGUUGGGGGCCUUGUCCCAGUUAUUCAGAUAGUAUGUUAAUAGAGAUUUCGCAGACUGCUGCAGAUGUUUAUUAAAUAUUGUUGGGCAUGUUUUCAGGCCUUUAACUAUUUUAAAUUGUUGACCAUGUUUUCGUAUUAUUGUGUCUAUUCCGUAUUACUUUGAUCAUAUGAAUUAUGUGCAUGAUUACUAGAUAGACAGAGGGUGUUCCAGGCCUUCAGGUUUGAGAAUGCUCGUCACGGACAGGGUCCCGGUUUGGGUCGUAACACAUAUGUUAGUGGAAGAAUGUGGUCAUAAGUUUUCUUGAAACUCCUAUAACCACUAAGUUUUUAUUUGCCCAUAAUUCAUCCCUUUAUGUCUUAUAACUCUUGUAACAUCUGUAACCUCAAAGCUAUUCAUCUACCCAAAUUACUACCCCUCAUUCCUCUUAUUCAAUACAUGGAAGAAUUCAUCUCCUAAAAAUAGUCGUGUUUCUUCCUUUGAUGUGUAGAAGGAAAAAAUGUGAAGUGAAAGAGAGAGUUGAGACAAAGAAAAUAUUCUAAGUCUUUAACUAUAUUCACUAUACAAAGAAAGUAAAAAUAUGUUGAAGGAAGGUGCUCUUAUGGUGAGGCUUUGGACUCUUCAUCUAAUCCAAAGUUGUUUGAGUUGUACAUCGUUGAUGAACCGUUGUAUUCUGGAGGGGACAAGUCACGAGAUAUACUGCUGGAUCGGUGUAGAUUAUGCCGCAGUGGGCUUGAAUCUCCUUAAAGAAAGCGAGAUAUCCGCGUCACAGCCAAGAAGAAGAUUAGCUUAUUUUCUUUACUUUUGUUCAUUUUAUUUUCAACUGUAAUGAUUAUUAUAAUUUGUGGUAUAUUAUACCAACAGUUAAUAUGUGUUGUUUGUGGGAGGCGACAUUACCUCGUGGAAUUAGUCAGGUGCGCAAAAUUAUUACAUACACCACAAUCAUCAAAAACAAGACAAAUAAAUUGAAACGGAGCAAAUAUUUUAAAAAAAAAUCAAAAAGAAGAACAGAAAACAUACCAUUUUUGUUGAUGGCAUUAACGAAGAAGGGAAUGAGUUUUUGAGCUAUGUCAUCAGAGAAAUUGAUGGGCUUUGACUGUGCUUCAAUGACACUUUUUUUGAGCUCCUUCAAAUCUCCAUAGAGUAACUUGUAUGGAUUUCCCUUAAGACCAUUCUCUAUUAAGUAUUUCUCCAAUUUCUUUGGCCUAAACCAUGCCCAAUUCAAUAUUUUCCAUGUAUAUACCAAUAAAAAUGCAACAUAUAAUAUUGCUAUUAUGUUGCUUAACAUCUCCAUUUUCACAAGUGACAACUCUAUGAAAGUGUCAGCUGCUUCCUCUUAAUCAACUAGUACAUAUAUAAUAAUGACCACAAGCCAGCGCAAACUUUCUUGAUUAUUCAAAUGAGGUUGUAGCUUUGGCCAAACUUACCCGACCCACCUUCAGUAAGGACCUUUAGUCUUUUCAUUAGCUAGUCUAUCGGGAAAAGCUACUUUCAUUCCUUUCCUUUCGGUCGAGUGAGCUUCUUAAUUUGAAAAGAUGGGUCAUUUAUGCUUUUGUCCCUUUUUUGUGCUGGACUUUCACAUUUUACUCCUCAAGAUAGAAUAAUUUUCUUGCAUAGCAUAUGUUUUAUAUUUUUGCAUUAUAGUAUUUUACAAAUUAUGUCUAGCAUACUUAAAGAACUUAAGUUUGUUAGACAUAUAUUGAUUGUUGACUGGCAAAGACUAUACACUAGUCUAUUAGAGGGCAAAUAAUGCAAUUAAGUGGAAAAAUCUUGAUAUAAAGAGUUUUCUUCUUUAAUGUACCAUAUACAAUACAAAUUCAAUUUAACUAAAACUCCAAUACAACUAUCAACCCUCAGAUGUGAAAUAAAAAAGGCUUAACUCGGCGUUAGAUCUUCAAACUUGUCUCGAAAAUAAUCAGCUGCUGUAUCAUUGUAGAUUAUGCUGCAGUGGGCUUGAAUCUCCUUAAAGAAAACGAUAUAUCCGUGUCACAGCCAAGAAGAAGAUUAUUUUAUUUUCUUUCCUUUUGUUCAUUUUAUUUUCAAUUGUAAUGAUUAUAUAAUUUGUGGUAUAUUAUACCAACAGUUAAUAUCUAUUGUUUGUGGGAUGCGACAUUACCUCGUGGAAUUAGUCAGGUGCGCAAAAUUAUUACAUACACCACAAUCAUCAAAAACAAGACAAAUAAAUUGAAACGGAGCAAAUAUUUUUAAAAAAAAAUCUAAAAGAAGAACAGAAAACAUACCAUUUUUGUUGAUGGCAUUAAGGAAGAAGGGAAUGAGUUUUUGAGCUAUGUCAUCAGAGAAAUUGAUGGGCUUUGACUGUGCUUCAAUGACACUUUUAUUGAGCUCCUUCAAAUCUCCAUAGAGUAACUUGUAUGGAUUUCCCUUAAGACCAUUCUCUAUUAAGUAUUUCUCCAAUUUCUUUGGCCUAAACCAUGCCCAAUUGAAUAUUUUCCAUGUAUAUACCAAUAAAAAUGCAACACAUGAUAUUGCUAUUAUGUUGCUUAACAUCUCCAUUUUCACAAGUGACAACUCUAUGAAAGUGUCAGUUGCUUCCUCUUAAUCAACUAGUACAUAUAUAAUAAUGACCCCAAGCCAGAGCAAACUUUCUUUAUUAUUCAAAUGAGGUUGUAGCUUUGGCCAAACUUACCCGACCCACCUUCAGUAGGGGUCUUUAGUCUUUUGAUUAGCUAGUCUAUCGGGAAAAACUACUUUCAUCCCUCUCCUUUCGGUCGAGUGAGCUUCUUAAUUUGAAAAGAUGGGUCAUUUAUGCUUUUGUGCUGGACUUUCACAUUUUACUCCUCAAGAUGAAUAAUUUUCUUGCGUAGCAUAUGUUUUAUAUUUUUGUAUUAUAGUAUUUUACAAAUUAUGUCUAGCAUACUUAAAGAACUUAAGUCUGUUAGACAUAUAUUCCUUGUUGACAAGCAAAGACUAAACACCUGUCUAUUAAAGGGCAAAUAAUGCAAUUAAGUGGAAAAAUCUUGAUAUAAAGAGUUUUCUUCUUUAAUGGACCAUAUACAAUACAAAUUCAAUUUAACUAAAACUCCAAUACAAGUAUCAAUCCUCAGAUGUGAAAUAAAAAUGGCAUAACUCAGCGUCAGACUCUCAAACUUGUCUCGAAAAUAAUCUACUGCUGGAUCGCUGUAGAUUAUGCCGCAGUGGGCUUGAAUCUCCUUAAAGAAAGCGAUAUAUCCGUGUCUCAGCCAAGAAGAAGAUUAUUUUAUUUUCUUUACUUUUGUUCACUUUAUUUUCAACUGUAAUGAAUAUUGUAAUUUGUGGUAUAUUAUACCAACAGUUAAUAUGUGUUGUUUGUGGGAGGCGACAUUACCUCGUGGAAUUAGUUAGGUGCGCAAAAUUGUUACAUACACCACAAUCAUCGAAAAUAAGACAAAUAAAUUGAAACGGAGCAAAUAUUUUUAAAAAAAAAUCUAAAAGAAGAACAGAAAACAUACCAUUUUUGUUGAUGGCAUUAAGGAAGAAGGGGAUGAGUUUUUGAGCUAUGUCAUCAGAGAAAUUGAUGGGCUUUGACUGUGCUUCAAUUACACUUUUUUUGAGCUCCUUCAAAUCUCCAUAGAGUAACUUGUAUGGAUUUCCCUUAAAACCAUUCUCUAUUAAGUAUUUCUCCAAUUUCUUUGGCCUAAACCAUGCCCAAUUCAAUAUUUUCCAUGUAUAUACCAAUAAAAAUGGAACACAUAAUAUUGCUAUUAUGUUGCUUAACAUCUCCAUUUUCACAAGUGACAACUCUAUGAAAGUGUCAGUUGCUUCCUCUUAAUCAACUAGUACAUAUAUAAUAAUGACCCCAAGCCAGAGCAAACUUUCUUUAUUAUUCAAAUGAGGUUGUAGCUUUGGCCAAACUUACCCGACCCACCUUCAGUAGGGGCCUUUAGUCUUUUGAUUAGCUAGUCUAUCGGGAAAAACUACUUUCAUCCCUCUCCUUUCGGUCGAGUGAGCUUCUUAAUUUGAAAAGAUGGGUCAUUUAUGCUUUUGUCCCUUUUUUGUGUUGGACUUUCACAUUUUACUCCUCAAGAUGAAUAAUUUUUUUGCGUAGCAUAUAUUUUAUAUUUUUACAUCAUAGUAUUUUGCAAAUUAUGUCUAGCAUACUUAAAGAACUUAAGUCUGUUAGACAUAUAUUCAUUGUUGACGGGCAAAAACUAAACACCAGUCUAUUAGAGGCCAAAUAAUGCAAUUAAGUGGAAAAAUCUUGAUAUAAAGAGUUUCCUUUUUUAAUGGACCAUAUACAAUACAAAUUCAAUUUAAGUAAAACUCCAAUACAAGUAUCAACCCUCAGAUGUGAAAUAAAAAAGGCUUAACUCAGCGUCAGACCCUCAAACUUGUCUAGAAAAAUCACUUAGACUCUUCAACUAAGGUUUGUACCUAUCAGGACCUUCAAGGGCUAAAAUUGGUACCUAUCAGGCACAAAAUGUUGAUUUGGCAAGGAGAGUGUGUUCACUCUUCUUGGGCGCGUGAAUAGUGUCUCAAAUGAUGUUUUUUUUAAAAAAAAAAAAAGUUACAUUUCAAUUUAUUUAAUACAAUAACAAAUUUUAAUUAAAAAGAAAAAGGAAAAAACAGCCCUCCUUCGCCCCUCCCCCCCACUGGAAGCCAUGAAUUUUAGCAUAUUAAUACAUUUCUCUUGUUUUUGCGGAGUAAAUUUGAUUCCGACGAAACUCUAUUUUUUUCGGCUAACUUGAUAUUAUUAAAGAAUUUAAAUUCUAAGGAACUCACAACACAAGAAGAACAAAAAUAACAAUAAAUAUGAAUUAGAUUGGUAAAGAAAUAAGAUUUCUAAAAGAAUGUUGAUUUUUUUUCUACAGAAAUGGAGAAGAAGAUGAUAAGAGGGGGCGGAAGGCGGGUUGGGGGUGGGAAGAGGGGAAGGUAGUAGAAAACGUUUUUUGAUUAUCUUCACUCUCUCAAAUAAGAUAUAAAAAUAAAAAUUAGAAGAUGAAGAAGAAGAUGACAAGAAAAUGGAGAAAAGAUGAAAGAGCAAGUGGGGUGGGGGUGGGAUGGGGGUUGAAAGGGACCGGUGGGGUGGGAUGUUGAAGGGGACCCCAUUUUAUUUUUAUUUUUUAAAAAUAUUUAUAAUUAAUUUUUAAUAAUUAUUGGACCCACAAUGCCAUGUGUCAGCUUUCAAUUAGUUUUUUUGCCACAUCAUUGCAUGUGUAUUACACACACUUAAACUUUUAACUGAUUGGACAAAAAGUGCCCGAUUAGAUCAAAAUUUGGGUGGGUUAGGGGCCUGAUAGGUACAGGCCUUAGUUGAGUGGUUUAAAUGAAUUUUUGAGACAAGUUUGAGGGUUUGGCGAUGACUUAAAGCCAAUAAAAAAAAGGUUUUAACCCAUUUCGAUAUAUCUAUUUGGUGAAGUAUUUUUUUUCAUAAUUUUGUCCUUUCUGCCCUGGUCCCUCUGGCCCACUACGAGGAAAUGAGAUCACUUAUGCUCAAGAAAAUGACGCUCAGAUAUAAAGGUUCCAUUGAGAGAGGUUAACUAAAUAGAGUGAGACUUGGAAUGUUUAGAAAAUAGUAAGUCCAAAAAUUUUGCAAAUAAACUAUCAAAGUGUGGUUCCUGUUAUGUAGUGAUUAAGACUUAAAUGAAGAGACAAAUAUACACGGACCAAAGAAAACGAGUUGUUUUAUUCUAUUCCUACAUCUGUCAAACCAAAAUGAAAAUAGAGAACGUCAACCAAACUGCAAUUCAAAGUUUAAAUUCAGCCAUCACGCAACAGUUUUCUUAGAAUCAUCAAAGGAGCACCAUACUGAGGAUGAAUAGUCAAUAUUGCAAAUGGAGCAUGUGUAUAAGAUGGACUGAGUUCGAAGGAGAAUUUUCUUAGUGUCAUUGCUAUUGCCAUUUUUGCUUCCAUCAUUGCAAAGUUUUGUCCAAUGCAAAUUCGAGGUCCCCCGGCAAAUGGGAUAUAUGAGAAUUGUUCUUUGGUUGCCUUCGACACUCCUUCACUGAAACUUUCUGGUUUGAAUUCUUUUGCGUCUUUACCCCAUAUUUCCUUAUCAUAAUGUACUAGGACUAGGGGUGGUAAAUAGGCUGUUUGGGUCGAAUUUGAGUGUAUCAAAAUGGGUUAAAACAAUAAAUGGGUCAUUUACCCAAUCAGUCCAACCUAACCCAUUAUUGAAUAAUUUAUCUUUUUUUUUUUGGGGGGGUUUCUCAAGGUCCCCACAGCCGGCAGCCGUGAGACUAAUCCUUCGUUCCACAGUCAGUGCACUAAGCAGUAGGUAACUGGACACAGAGUUUCACAAUCAGCGCACUAAUCAGUAGGGAACUGAUCACAGAGUUUUCUCCAUUCACCAGAGGUGGUGGCAGCCGUGAGACUAAUCCUCCAUUCCACAGUCAGUGCACUAAGCAGUAAGGAACUGGCCACAGAGUUUUCUCCAUUCACCAAAGAUGGGAUCAAAUCCCCAACCUCUUGCUUAAGGGGUGAGGUGUUGAACCACCACACUAACCCUUGUGGUUAUUGAAGAAACUUAGAUUGGAAUGAUAUCAUUCUAAAAGAAACUUAGAUUGGAAUGAUAUUUUUAAUUUUCUUUUUAUAUUUAUAUUUAUAUUUAUAUUGUUAUUAUUAUUAUUUUCAAAUAAAAAUAAAAUAUAAAAUAUAAAAAAAUAUAAUAAAAAUAUUUAUAUAAAUAUUUAACCCAAAAUAAUGAUAAUGAAUAUGAUAAGAGAGGUGGAAAAAAGCAAAAAAAUUCUAAAAUANNNNNNNNNNNNNNNNNNNNNNNNNNNNNNNNNNNNNNNNNNNNNNNNNNNNNNNNNNNNNNNNNNNNNNNNNNNNNNNNNNNNNNNNNNNNNNNNNNNNNNNNNNNNNNNNNNNNACUUUGAUUUUUUUAAAAAUUUCCUUGAAAAAUAUAAAGUUUUUAUUGGGGGAGAGGGUUAGGGGGUGGGUAGGGGUCGGGGUAGUGUGAUGGUGUAAGAAAAAAUUAUUUUUAAAAAAAUAUAAAUUAAAAAAAAUAUUUUAGUAUAUCUCCUUUUUAAUAUAAUAAAGUUCAACAUUUUGAAAAAUGACUAUAGUUAAUGAAGUAAUAAAAAUAUAAUAGAAACUAAGUGUUAAUUAUCUUUUAAUUCUUUAAAUUAAUAGAGGUAGAAAUGACAUCUAUUUUUUUUUUAACAUAGUAGACAAGAAAAUAUAAAUAAAAGAAGUAUAUUUGAGUAGCAAAGAAAAUAUACCAAAAAUUUCAUCAUAGCAUUAUCUACUAUAGGAUAUGGCAUUGUCUAGUUUGGGUUGGAGGAGUCUGCUAAUGCUACUAUUGAGAAGCUUAAACGCACCAUGGUUGGAGACAAGCUGUUGUAAGCAUUUCCAUACAUCCCUUGCAAUUUUUGACUAUAGUGGAAUUUUUUCUUGAAAUUAUGGCCUUUUAGGCGUCGAACUUGCAAAUUUGACACUUUACUAAGCUACUAGGUUUUGUAGCUAUAGCCAAUUCAUAACAUCACCAAAUAUUACAUUCCAAACUGGCAGCCAAGUAAUACAAAGAGUAUGAUAUAGACAGUUUAUACCAAUACAAGCGUUAAUGGUGGGGUAGGGGAGGGGGGCUGGGUUGGUCGGGGUAGGGGGAGGUGGGUGGGAAAAAAUUGAUUUCUUUUUUAAAUAAUAUAUAUUUUAGAAAAUAUUUAAUUUUUUGCGGUUGGGUAGGUGUAGGGGAUGGUGUAAGAAAAAAAAUCAUUUUUCUUUAUUCAAAAAAUUAUUUAUUACUACAAUUAUUCCAAGGCGAAAGAAGAAUAUAAUUGAAGCAAUUACAAAAAUAAAAAAAUAAUAAACACUAGAAUUUAACAUCUUUAUGCAUCAAAGUUGGGCAUCAUCAUGAGCCCAUUUAGAUUGAUGAUUUAUGAUAGGAAAUUGCAUGUCAUAGACCCAAAUAUGGGCUGCUUUAGAUAUUUGACCUCAAUAAGAAAUAUCUUUAAAAAAUAACUUUCAUUACUUUUUAAGCAUAGUACAAGUACCAUUUUGUCCUUCUACACCUCAAAUAUAUUUUUUAAACUUUCCAUACUUAUUUCUCUCACAAAUUUUAUUUUUUAUUAUUUUUACUUUUUAUUUUUUUUAAUUUUAUUAUUCUAUUUUUUAUUAUUUUCACUUUUUAUUUUUUAUUUUAAUUUUAUUUUUAUUUUUUAAUUCAUUUUUUUUUAACCUUUAUUUUUUCUCUUUUUUCUUUUUUUUUCCGAAGCAUUAUCUAUUUCUUUUUUUCCUUUUUUUAAUUCAUUUGUCUUUAACCUUUAUUUUUCUUUUAUUUUUUAUUUUUAUCAGUUAUCUUUUUUUCCCCUCAUUUUUCUCAAACUUUAUUUUUAUUUUUUCCUCUCAUUUUUUAUUUUCUCAAUUUUUUUAAUUCUUUGCUUUUUUCUUAAUCUUUUUUUUAUUUCUCUAUUUUUUUGAUCGUUUUUUUUUUCUCUUUUUCUCAACUUUCAUUAUAUUUUGCUAAUAGAUAAAAAAAUUGGAUAAUCCGCAAAGGUACCUUCUUUUUUUAACAUCAAAGCAAAUUUAAGGGCAUGAAUUGUUGUUAUGAAGUUCUUGAAAAUUCUUGAGAUAAGUCGUGUCUCUAAGGUGAAAGUUGUAGAAUAUCUCAUAAAUAAAGACAUAAUGUGGUAGUGUCAACUCUUGCUCAUUGACCGUGGGGCAUAAUUUAUUAUUUGAAAGUCCUUGAGCUAAGUCUUGCCUCUAAGGCAAGAGUUGUAGAACAUUCCAUAAAUGAAGACAUAACGUGGUAGUGUCAACCCUUGCCCAUGGAACAUAAUUUGUAGUUUGAAAGUAUUUGAGCUAAGUUUUGCCUCUAAGGCAAGAGUUGUAGAACAUCUCAUAAAUGAAGACAUAACGUGGUAGUGUCAACUUUUGCUCGUGGGUCAUAAUUUGUAGUUUGAAAGUCCUUGAACUAAUUAAGUCUUGCCUCUAAGGCAAUAGAUGUAGAACAUCUCAUAUAUGAAAACAUAACAUGGUAGAGUCAACUCUUGCCCGUGGGGCAUAAUUUGUAGUUUGAAAGUCCUUGAACUAAUUAAGUCUUGCCUCUAAGGCAAUAGUUGUAGAACAUCUCAUAAUGAAAAUAUAACGUGGUAGAGUUAACUAUUGCCCGUGGGGCAUAAUUUGUAGUUUGAAAGUCCUUGAGUCAAGUCUUGCCUCUAACGCAAAAGUUGCAGAACAUCUCAUAAAUGAAAACAUAAUGUGGUAGAGUUAACUCUUUUUCGUGAGGCAUAAUUUGUUGUUUGAAAGUUCUUGAGCUAAGUCUUGCACUAACGCAAUAGUUGUAGAACAUCUCAUAAAUAAAAACAUAAGUGGUAGUGUCAACUCUUGCCUGUGGGGCAUAAUUUGUUAUUUGAAAGUCCUUAAGCUAAGUCUUGCCUCUAAGGCGAUAGUUGUAGAAAAUCUCAUAAAUGAAAACAUAUCGUGGUUGAGUCAACUCUUGCCCGUGGGGCAUAAUUAGUUGUUUGAAAGUUCUUGAGCUAAGUCUUGCCCCUAAGACAAUAGUUGUAGAACAUCUCAUAAAUAAAAACAUAACGUGGUAGAGUCAACCCUUGCCCGUGGGGCAUAAUUUAUUGUUUGAAAGUCCUUGAGCUAAGUCUUGCAUCUAAGGCAAUAGUUGUAGAAUAUCUCAUAAAUGAAAACAUAAGGUGGUAAAGUCAACUCUUGCCCGUGGGGCAUAAUUUGUUGUUUGAAAGUCCCUGAGCUAAGUCUUGCCUCUAAGGUAAGAGUUAUAAAACAUCUCAUAAAUCAAAAUACAAUGUGGUAGUGUCAACUCUUACCCAUGAAACAUAACUUGUUGUUUGAAAGUCAUAAGUCUUGUCUCUAUAAUGUAGUAGUUUCAACUCUUGCCCAUGAAACGUAGCUUAUUGUUCGAAAGUCGUAAGUCUUACCUUUAUAAUGUGAUAGUGUCAACUCUUGCUCAUGAGGUGUAACUUGAAUUAACUUGUAGUUUGAAAGUCAUAAGUCUUGUCUCUAUAAUGUAGUAGUUUCAACUCUUGCCCAUGAAACGUAGCUUAUUGUUCGAAAGUCGUAAGUCUUACCUUUAUAAUGUGAUAGUGUCAACUCUUGCUCAUGAGGUGUAACUUGAAUGAAAGAAAUCGAAGAAAAGAACAAAAAUAAUAAAAAUUGCGGAAAAAGAAGAAAAUGAAAAAAAUAUUUAAGAAAUAAAAAUCAAAGAAAAUGUACAAGUUGAGAGAGAAUAGAAAAAAAAUAAAGGUUGAUAAAAAAAAGAUUAAAUAAAAAUAAAGGUCGAGAAAAUUUUAAAAAGAAAAAAUUAAAGUAAUAAAAGAAAAUUCUUUUAUAAAAAUAGACCUUGAAAGGUGUAAAGAAAAAAAAGUAGGGGUUGAGAAAAACUAAAAAGAACAAAAAAGAAGAGGAAAGAAAAGAAAAAAAAAAUAUAAAAGAAAAAAGAAAAAAAAGAAGUUGAGAGGAAAAAAGUAAGUGUUGAGAAAACUAAAAAUAAAAAGGGAAAAGAAAAAAUAAAAAUCAAAGUAAAAUUAAAAAGAGAAAAAAAAAAGUUAAAAAAUAUAAAUAUGGAGUUGUUAUCCAUUAUGAAGAUCAUUUAUGUAAUUUACUCCAUUGAUCAGGUGUAAUUUUAUCCAAAAAAAAAAACAAUAUUAGUUAAUAGGUAAAGGUUAUUUUUAGAAAACUUUUUUAUUUGAGGCUAAAAUUUAAAAAUUAUAUCAAUUUGGGUCUAUUUUUGAGAUUUGCCCAAUUUAUGAUGAUUCACUUGAGCUAGUCCAAAUCAUUCCAUCUUCAAAAUCACUCUAGUCCAAUCCAUUAAAACAUGAACGAAUUGAACGGGAUUGAGGGAAAGAUAUUACGAUGAUAAAAAAAAAUGACUGGCAAAAGAUAAAUUGGCUAGUUCUCAUUAUUUAAUUAAGAAAUCCAAUUGUUGGUCAUUAAAGAAUACAAAAGAAAGAAUUUCCAAUUUACAAGAUAUGAUCUAUCGAUUAACCUCUGGAUUUGAAAUCACUGCUUAUAUACCCGGUAUUGGCCAUAAUUCACAAGAACAUUCUGUAGAAGGUAAGAGGGGGAAGGGUUAAGGAUUUACCCGGUGUGAGAUAUCACAUUGUUCGAGGAACCCUAGAUGCUGUCGGAGUAAAGGAUCGUCAACAAGGGCGUUCUAGUGCGUUGUAGAUUCUUAUCCAGGACUUGUAUCAUUUGAUGAUGCCAUAGAUCUUUUUCCCUUACUCUUUAAUAUCAUCGUAAUUUUUUUGCUAUCACUCUAGAUCGUAUAUAACAUAGUUGUAUAUUUAGAUUCCCCUAUUCUAUUCCCUAAGUUAAGUAAUUCCACCCACCAUAUACAUUUUUUCAUUGCUGUGGGCUAAGCUAAAAAAGACUAUUUCAAUGAUGGCCCUCCAUGGAUUCACCUAUAUAAGCCGCGGCUAAAGUUGCAAAAAUAAGAGCUUGAAUACCACUUGUAAAUAAUCCAAGGAGCAUAACAGGUAUAGGAACUACUAAGGGUACUAAAGAAACAAGAACAACAACUACUAAUUCAUCAGCUAAGAUAUUCCCGAAAAGUCGAAAACUAAGUGAUAAGGGUACCACUCCAGCUGGUUGAUUUAGCUCUCCUAGUCUCACUUCAUCUUUCGUCCUUCUAUUAGAUGUGGGUAAGGGGGAAAUAGCCUUAAUGUCACGUACAAGAUGGUUACCUGUGAAUUAAAAAACUAUUGCAUAAGUUGGCAGUAACAUUAGGUGUUUGGAAAAGCUUUGACCAAGUAUUUCUUAGUCAUCCUGAAAUCUUUUCUAUUAUGAAGUUCAGUUUCUUUCAAAUUGGAUUCGAGUAAUAUGCCUAAUAAGUCAACUUUACUAGUCUCCCCUCCUUCCAUUGUUCUCAACCUUUUGUCAAUGAUGCACCUUAUUAUCGUUUGAUUUUCCUUUUCAAUUUCCAUCAUUCUUUUGUUCUUUUUAAUAGGCAACAACCUAUAUAAACAAAUUUAAUCAAACAAGGAAGGUCGUUUUAGUAGAAAGGCAGAGCACAUAUUUUUCAUAUUGAAUUUUUGAAUGCAGAAAUGUGAUGUGCAUAAAUUAUUGCACCUUAAUCCUGGUAUAUAAAUUGAACUCCUUUUUUGACUACAUACUCAGCUUGUUCUUUCUGAAGUUCAAAAACUAUUCUUCUUUCUUCAUAGCUACUCCCAAAUGCAGUGCGAAAAAUGACUUCACUACUCUUCUUUUGAAGGUCUCGUCAUACAUCGAGUUCGACUGAUGUUUCCUUUGGAACAAUCUCCUCCUAUUUGCUUAUCAUUUCACUACAACUUACAUAAAAUAUUGGUAGCAUAUGCUAUAAACAAACGAAAAAAAAACGGCAAGUGCUUGUUAAGGCAUCCAAUAAGCAAUCCUUAAGUCAAAGACAUGUACAAUUUACCAUGUUUUAUAAAGGCAUAGUACAUAAACGUACUCUUUAACUUGGCCUCAAUUGGCAUCUAAGUCAUCUUACUUUGAUUAAGCACAAAUAGAUACUUAAACUUAUAUAAAGUUGAAUAAACAAAUGCACACGUCCUAUGUGACAAUUAGCGUGAAAUACCAUGUAGGACACCACACAAGACGUCUGUAUCUACUGGUUCAACUUUAUACAAGUUUAAGUGUUUAUCUGUACAUACCCAAAGCUAAAGGACAGAGAUAUAAACUGAGGUCAAGUUAAAAGACACGUUUAUGUAUUGUGCCUUUGCUAAAUUUGUUAUUCGCUCUGAUUCAAUUUAUUGUUUUAUUUACCUUUUUAGUCUGUUUAAAAACGAACGUCACUUUCUAUAUUUAGUAAAUUCUUUAAUUCCAAUAUGUCCAACUACAAGAUAUAAAAAUCUAUCUUAUUUUCUUAAAUUUCGUGUCCCAUCAAACUAAGAUACAUAAAAUAUUACGGAGGGAGUCAUAAGUAGAGACUUCAACUUUUCAAGAUGGAAAGUAGAUUGAUGAUUUUUCUGUGCUUGGCCCAUUUGUCUCCCUCAAUGUUUGCAAGACCUUGAAGGAAUAACUUGAACAAUGGGUUAGAAUGAGUUUGCUUUAGAUAUACACAGAAGUCUUUGUGAAAAUCUCCUUCACAUGUAUAGGAUCUGUGAUCAACACUAUUGAUAUGGGCCUACCACCACAAAAGAAUUUUUACCUGCCAGUAAUAGUCACUUUGGGUUAGAAAAUUUUGAAGGGGCAUGUAAAGGCAUGAAGGGAGUAGUUUCUUAAAGUACUUGUUUUUGCGGGAAGGAGAAAUAGAGGAGAGGAUUACAUGGUGGAAAAUUAAACCUUGACUAAUAAGGUGAAAAUUCAUAUGAUAUAACUAAGUAAGUUAUUAGAGUUUUACUCUCCCAAUUUCAAUUUAUUUGUCAUGCUUUUGUUUUUAGUCCAUUUAAAAGAAACUUCUCUUUUCUUUUUAGCUAACUUUUUAAUUCUAAACUUUUCACAUGACAUGUUCGAAAGUAAAAGAUUAUAUUAAAGGAUAUUUUGAUACAUUUAAGUUUUGAUAUAUCUUUAAUUUAAGAUCACACAGUUUAAAUUUUUAUUUUACUUUAACUCAAAAUUAAACAAAUCAAAUUGAUGGUAAUAUUAAGUAUAUAUAUAUAUANNNNNNNNNNNNUGAGAAACACUCCAUUUUUGUUGAUGGCAUUCAGGAAAAGGGGAAUGAACCUGUGAGCUAUAUGAAACUUAGGGGUCAUUUGUUAGAGUGUAUUGGCAAAAAUAAUGUAUGUAUUAAUUAAUGUAUAUUAUGAAUACCUUGUUUGAUACCAUUUUUAAUCAAUGUAUAACUAAUGCAAGCAUUAGUUAUACACUCUAUUGUGUAUUAAGGUGUGAAUUACUAAUACCACCCAUUUUCUAUGUAUUAGUAAUGCAAAGUCUUUGAUACAUGCAUUAACUUAUUAAAUGACCUUAAUNNNNNNNNNNNNNNNNNNNNNNNNNNNNNNNNNNNNNNNNNNNNNNNNNNNNNNNNNNNNNNNNNNNNNNNNNNNNNNNNNNNNNNNNNNNNNNNNNNNNNNNUCUACAACAAUGAAUAAUUGAUUUAAAUAAUUGUAACAUAUUUUUUCUUUGCUUCGAGGGUCUUUAAAAAGAUUAAAAAAAUUGAGACUAUUUCUUAAUUUUAUGUCUUAUAUUUUAUUUUUGUUUCGACUAUGUUAAUCCUUUGGCAUAAUAUUUCAUGUGCAAAGACGAAGGUCUUUCAAUUAAUCCGAAACCUCUAUAUACUAGUUCAACAAUACUAAUUAUAUUUGAGAUGGCAAAAAGAUUUUGUUGCAAAAAAGUGUACAAAAUCAAAGAAGGGUAUUUAUAAACAAACAUUUCUUUUAUAGAAAUUAUGUAAGAUGUAUUAUUUCUUAUACAUCAAACCAAACAAUGUAUAAGAAAUAAUACAUGCAUAACUAAUACAAGCAUUACUAAUACAUUAUAUUUUGCAUUGAUCUUAUACAUUCUACCAAACGACCCCUUAAUGGGCUUUGACUGGGCUUCAUUGACACUUUUUGUAAGUUCAUUCAAAUCUCCAUUGAGUAACUUAUACUAAAAAUUACAUAUAUACCCAAGGUAGCUUUACCUUAUUACAUAAAAUCCCAUAUUGAAAAAGAAAUUAUAAAAAUUCCAAAGUAAUUACUUAAAUCUCUUAAAUUUACUCUUUCUCUUUCAUCCCCCUCAUACAUAUCAAAAUAUUAUUUUUUGCUCCUAUUUUAGUGCACUAAUUUUUGCUCCAUAUUUGUGCUCCUUCAUUUACGCCUAAAAUCAAGCUAACAUGAUCUGAAGAAUUUAAAAUUAUUGAGUUAUCAAUCAUUAACUGAACGAAGUUCACCUUUUCCUUCUUAUUUUCUGGAAAAAGAAAAACUCAGUUCAACAAAAAUCAUAGAAUGAUUAGAAAAUAAUUGUCAAGAAUCUAUUGGCAAAAAUAUAUUUACUUUGAAAUCAACACCACGUUUUUGCUGCUUCUUUGUUUGAGCUUUAGUUUUCACCAUUGUUAAUGGCGUAUGAAGGUUAAUAGGGUUUUGGGUUUAACGACGAGAUGUAAAAAAAACGUUAAUGAUAUUAUACUUUCCAAACUUUGCUUUAUUUGCUAUUUUUUUUAAAUUGAUUAACCCGUAAAGUAUAAAUUUUUUUGCAAUGAAGUCUGCUCACUUAUUGUUAUUCCCGUUGUUGGUUUCGUUCUUGGUUCUUUUGAUUAUGAAGAACCCAAUUUUGCAGAGAACCGUUCGAAGCACCGAAACGCUCCAGUAACAAUGAAGAAAUUGAGGAAAGUUGUCGGUUCAAGUUCAAACAAGAAAGCUUCAAAAUCGUCAAGUAAGAAAAAGGUUGAUGAUUCUGAACGACCACGUCUGCCGAAGAUUUAGUUAUCAUUAAAAUAUGUAUUAGCAGUUAUUCUAUGUACAAGAUUUCAUUAUACGUUUGUUAAGAUUAUAUAGUGAAUUGUAUAAGGUGUUCAUAUACAUGUAAAACAGUAUUAGAUUAUAUUUAUUACUUGUAUAAGGUUUACACACAUAUAUGAAACUGUUGUAUGAGAUUGCCUUUUAUUUGUUUUGGCAGUAUGAUUCUAUGUAUAAGAUUUCAUUAUACAUGUAUUAAUACUAUAUUAUUAAUUGUGUAAGGUUUACACGUACAUGAAAACUGUUGUAUUGUGCUGCAUUUUUUUUGGUUUUGUCUUUCUGCUUCUAUGUAUAAGAUUUCAUUAUACAUUGGUUCAGAUUAUGUACUGAUUUGUAUAAGAAGGUUAUACUUUCGAAACAAUUGCAUCACUUUUGUAGGAUUGAUAAAUAAUUUUUGACUCCCAAAUAUCGUAAUGACGCAACAAUAUGGGGAUGUUCAUAUUGAUUUUUUGAAGAAUUGAAGAAAGCAGAUGUUGACCUUUUUUUUCCAGAACGUAAUGCAACAAAGAAGAAAAUUAAUUGUGAUGUUUAAGAUAUAUUUUAAAUUUGAAUUUCAGUUACUAUAUUUAAUCAUACAUCACAUAAUGAUAAUUAAUUAAUGACGUUAAUUAAGGAAGAGAAAGAUAUUAUCUUUCUUCUUAUUUUCUGGAAAAAAAAACCUCAGUUCAACAAAAAUCAAAGAACGAUUAGAAAAUAAUUGUCAAGAAUCUAUUGGUAAAAAUAUAUUUACUUUGAAAUCAACACCAUGUUUUUGCUGCUUCUUUAAUUGAGCUUUAGUUUUCACCAUUGUUAAUGGCGUAUGAAGGUUAUCAGGGUUUUGGGUUUAACGGCGAGAUGUCAAAAAAAAAAUUAAUGAUAUUAUACUUUCCGAAACAAUAAUUGUAUCAUUUUUGUAGGAUUGAUAACUAAUUUUUGACUUCCAAAUAUCUGAAUGUCGCAACAAUAUGGGAAUGUUCAUAUUGAUUUUUAGAGAAUUGAAGAACGCAGUAGAAGAAUUUUUUAUUUUUUUGGCUGCUACAAAGAAGAAUAUUUUACCGUGCCAUUAAAGAAAAUAUUUGAAUUUAAAUUUCAGUUACUAUUUUUAAUCAUACACUACUUAAUGUUAGCUAAUUAAUGGCGUAAAUUAAGGAAUUGAAAGAUAAUAUCUGAUUUAUCUUACCUUAAAUAUAGGAUUAACAGUUUUAUCAUACAUUUGAACUAUGUAUGAGGGACUACCGAAUGUAUGAGUAAAUUUACCUAAUAUAAGAGAGAGAAAACAUUAAGGGAUUUUAUGUAACUAGUUUCACUAGAAUGGGAAUUUAUGUGGUUUUCACUAACUUAUAUGGAUUUCCCUUAAAGACCACUUUGUCUCAAGUAUUUCUCAAGUUUUUUGGGCCUAAACCAUGCCCAAUUCAGCACAUUCAAUGUGUAUAUCAGUAAAAUGGCAACACAUAUUGUUGCUAAUAUGUUGCUCAAGAUCUCCAUUUUUUCAGAAUGUCAACUCUUUCCUCAUAUGCUUCCUCUUAAUUGUUUCAUUACAUAUAUAAUAAGUAGAGGAAGUUAAGGAAAUCUUUCUUGCUAAUUUAAGUGGGGCGGGACGAUAGUCAAAUCUCUUUAUAAUAAAUGUUGUUUGUCCUAACAAAUAUUUUGCUGUCAUAAUGAAAUAUUGUUUGUUAUAAAGAAAAUAUAUAUAUAAAAAGAUUAGCUGUUAAAGUCAAAUAUUGUUACAAAGGUUGAUUAUUAUAGAAAAGUCUAAGUGUAUACGCUAAAUCUUUAUUGGCUGAAGUUUUAACCCUUUUAUCCCCAAGGCCCAAGGUCACGGCUCCCUCUAUGUCUAAGUAGAAAUUUAUGUUCGAGUUUGUGAAUGAAAAUAAUUCUUGUACGAAACAUUGGCCUUACAAAACGUAAACUCGGAUUAGUCUAAGAAUAAAUCAGGUGAGAAUAUUUUUUUACUUUUUAUUUUUAAGUUUUAACCAUCCAGAUAUGCUUGUUUAGUAGAGAAAUCUUGAUAGUUUAAUUGAUUAGAUAUCAAGGAUUUGAUUCUCACUUUGUAAUCGAAUCAUUAUUUCCUUUUCCCUCUUCCCUGUACAUAAUUAAAAAAUUAUUCAAACAAUUUUAAAAAUAUGCAUUUUUAUAUUUAUUUCAUUCUUUUCAAGUUUGGCCAUUUAAUAUUAAUUAAAUCAAUUCGCUAUUGUCAAACUCUUAUGCAAUAGUAUUAAAAAUUCAUCUUUUAUAUUAAUGAUUUGAAAAAAUAAAACUAAGAAAGGCCAUCUGCUUACUAUUGAGUUAAAAUAAGUUAUGGAAUAAAUAUUGUAUAAAUAUAAUGGCUCUUUUGCUUACUUUUUAAAAAAAAAAAAAAAAAAAAAAACUAAAUUAGACUAGUUCUGAAAUUUUGUCAUCUCUUAAUUCCAUCAAAAUGCUUGUUAGAACUCUUAAGGAAAUGACGAGUAUACCCAAGGUUCAUGGAUUAAAAAUUCAUGAGAUUUUAUAUUCAAAUUCCAACAAAAAUAAAAAUAUUAGGUUUCUUUUUCUAGUUUGUGCUAGUCUUUGAGGGCAAGUGUUACCUGGUAUCAAUGGAGGAGCCAGGAUUUUUAUUGAAGGGGUUCAGAAGUAAAUAUACGAACUAACUGGAGGAGGUUGAACGUCUAUUAUAUAUGCAUAAAAAAUAUUUUUAACCAUGUAAAAAUAGUAUAAAAACAAUAUAAUUUUUCGUCGAAGGGGUUCGAAUAAUGAACCCCUGGAGCAAAGGUAGCUCCACCACUACCUGGUACUUGGUGCUUGUAGGAGGUGACAGGUAUCUCAUAAAAUAAAUUGAGAUGCAUGCAAACUCGUCCGGACAUCACAAUUCUAAAAGAAAAAAAGCGUAUAAUCAACUAACGUUAAAACACUUUGGGGGUUAUUUUAUAAAAUAAACUUCAUAACCUAUUUUUAAAAUAAAACUAAUUCCAGAGGUGUUGACCACAUAUUUUUCUAAGAAUUUUUAGAAGAUAAAAAGAAUGUCAAGUUAAAUACUCCUUUGUUUCAAAUUGAUUGUCCAAUUUUGAUUCGGCACGAAUUUAAAAAGGUACAGAAGAUUUUAAAUCCUGUGGUAUUAAACUAAAGAUAUGUUAAAUGUAUCAAAAUAUCCUUUAAUCUUCUGACUUUAAACAUUGUCAUGUGAAAAGUUGAAAUUUAACAGUUGCCAAAAAGGAAAAGAGACAUUCUUUUCGAUAUUGACUAAAAAGAAAAGUAUGACAAGCAAUCUCGGUAGCUACAUCAUCCAUGGAAUUUAAAGAGCCGAAAGGAGCAUGAGUCAUAUUCUACGGAGUGCCGCUCCUGCCAAGGUCAUAUGUCUUCUUUCAACCUACUCAAAUCUAACUCAUUUGGACCCUUUAAGGCUCUAACCAUGGAGCAUACAGAUCCCAAAAAAGCAUAGUUUCUCCUCCAAGAACGCCAUUGAGACAGAGUUGGUAUCUUUUCCAUAGAGGAUAAGACGGGUAAAUUUCACCCAUGGUCACUUAAUUUUCCAUCUAUUACCCAAAAAUCAUUUUUCUUUCAUUCAUUUCAUUCAUGAUCACUUAACUUUGUAUCUAUUACGCAAAAAUCACUUUUCAUUCAUUCAUUUCAUCCGUGGUCAUUUAACUUUACUCCAACCAUCACAAAAGUCACUAUGACCGGAUUUUACAAUAAUUUCAUCAGAAAAAUGUUGUGCCAACCUUAAUUAGUUCUUAAUUUUAAUUUAAGUGAAUAUAUAAUAUAUUACUCAUAUCUUGACCUUUUUUAUAUAUGCACAAUCUAAUUUUCUUUAUGGAUUAUUUAAUGAAAGAAUACCAAUUUCUUAAUAGAUUAGAUUACCUAAUGAAGACUAUUUUCAUAAAAAAAAAAUUGGUUGAUAUUUUUAUGAAAUAAAAUUAUACUUAUGUAUUCUUAAAAUCCUCUAAAGUUGAGACAUGUGCUGGUAAAUUAUUUUUUUCACUAAUAUAUUAUGGCAUGUAGUUGAUAAAAUUAUUUUUUCCCCUCUAAAAUUGUGACAUGUCGUUGAUAAUUUUUUUUUUUAUACAUUCUUUUUCUUGCCACUUGAGUCUUUGUAUUCGGUAUAUCAUAAUAAUAUGAUAAACUACUCUAUUUAUUGAGUUUGUCUUUGUAUUUUUAAUUGUUUGACUAAUCAAUUAAUUCUCUUAAAAGUUUUUAUUAUAAUAUUCAAUUUCUGAUAAAUUACAAAUUGGUUAAUUAAUUUAAUUGAUAAAUAUAAGAAUUAGAUAUCCUAUAAUUUCUUUAUCUAUUAAAGUACUUAUAUUUUAUAACUUUUCAACAAAAAUGUACGAUAAUAUAACAUUAUUUGUACAAAUUUUGACAAUACUUAUUCAAUGACAUAAUUAAAAAGAUUUUAUUCUACCUUUAGCAUGUUGAUUUAUCUUCAAAGAAUUAAAAUAAUUUUUUUUCAAAAAAUAAUAUCAUACAUGUAUUUCUAUUUUAUGUGUUUUGAAGAAUUUAUCUUGCUUAUCACUCUUUUUCGAUGCACCUUUUUGGCAGAUGAAUGUAAUAUUAUGAAAUGUUUUAUAAAAAUAUCAACCAAACAAAUAAUCUUCGUUAGGCAAUCUAAUCUAUUAAGAAAUUGAUAUUCUUUCAUUAAAUAAUCCAUAAAGAAAAUUAGGUUAUGCACAUAUAAAAAAGGUCAAGAUAUGAGUAAUAUAUUAUAUGUUCACUUAAAUUAAAGUAAAGAACUAAUUAAGGUUGCCACAUCAUUUUUUCGAUGGAAUUAUUGUAAAAUCCGGUCAUAGUGACUUUUGUGAUGGUCGGAGUAAAGUUAAAUGACCAUGGAUGAAAUGAAUGAAAGAAAAGUGAUUUUUGCGUAAUAGAUACAAAGUUAAGUGAUCAUGGAUGAAAUGAAUGAAGGAAAAGUGACUUUUACGUAAUAGAUACAAAGUUAAGUGACCAUGGAUGAAAUUUACCCAGGAUAAGACAUAAAUGAGAGAAGUAUAUACAAGCCAAAGAAAACAAGAAAGUACAUAGCACUUGAGAAAAAUAGCAGUAGUUGUUUUGGUUGAUUCCCUGUAUAUGGACAAACCAAAAUGAACAUAGAGAUGCAUUAAUAGUAUGGUGCAAAACUUAUCUUUUUCUCGACCAAGCAUCCUAUAUGAAGUUCAAUUGAGAAAACCUAUGAAUACAAGUAUUCUUCUGGAUAUUCCGUUUUAAAGUUUGCGCAUAAGCAGAGGAGCACCAUACUGAGGAUGAAUAGUCACUACAGCAAAUGGAGCAUGUGUAUAAGAUGGAGAGAGUUCGAAGGAGAACUUUUGUAGUAUCAUUGCCAUUGCCAUUUUUGCUUCCAUCAUUGCAAAGUUUUGUCCAAUGCAAAUUCGAGGUCCCCCGCCAAAUGGAAUAUAUGAGAAUUGUCCUUUGGUUGCCUUUGACACUCCUUCACUAAAUCUUUCUGGUUUGAAUUCCUUUGCGUCUUCACCCCAUAUUUCCUUAUCAUAAUGUACUAAGAUUGCGGGUAUAAUGAGUAUCA